Molecule: long non-coding RNA, 239443 nt
Filed under: Triticum aestivum (bread wheat)
Lineage: Eukaryota; Viridiplantae; Streptophyta; Magnoliopsida; Poales; Poaceae
Description: long non-coding RNA (TAES_LNC000062)
Source: RNAcentral
AGCCGUGCCUGGUUUCGUUCUUCUUAGUUCUCCGUCAGAAUCGGAGUUGUGUUGUUUGUCUGCAGGUCGACAUGUUGUCGAAGAGGGUGGGCUUUGCCCUGUGUGAUUCAGUCUAUGAGAGUGGGCUCGGCCCUUGUUGUUUCGGUUUUUGCCCGGUUUUCCAUAAUUAUUUUUUUCUGCUUAAUUAAUAGAUGAGGCAACCUUUGCCUCUGUUUUGAAAAUAAAAUAAAAAUAAAAGGUACAAGCCCUGCUCGACGAGAAAUACAUCUGAUCUGAGCACACCAACACUAUAGCAGGGCAUCCAAGCCCAGCUGCCCAGACGCACGCACGCACGCACACACAAUGGGAAACACCCAGGCUGCAUCUCCCCCGUAGUAUAGGAUCGAUGAUGAUGAUUGAUGCGUCGUUAAGCCGCGCGCGGCGCGCGGCGCUCGGCGAAAGAGCCACGCCUGCCUCUUCCCUCGUUACGUAACGUAGCAGUUUUGUUUUCCAUGGCGGGACCAGGAGGGUCAAGCGGAGCGGGGCUUUAGGCCCGUGCGUAGGUCUGUCCGAGGUGCGCGGCGCGGAGGUCGGCGGGGUCGGCGCCGGCGGCGCGGUUGGCGGGGCGGUAGUAGCCGGUGACGGGGUCGGGCACCCACGAGGCGUCGGCCGCGACCUUCUCGGCCUCCCUGGCCGCCUUCCCGUCCGCGGCCGCCGCGGCGCCGCGCCUCAUCGCCCCGGAGGAGGCCGCCGCCGCGUAGCCCCUGGCGGUGGCCGGGGCCAGCCGCUGGGCGAGCGCGCGGGCAGCAGCGGAGCCGGAGAGAGCGAGGGCCAUCGGAUCCGUCUGCGUCGGAAGAUCGGACGGCUGGAGGGCUCCGGCUCUUUGCUGCUGCUACUGCUCCAACGUGGGCGUUUGAGGCUUUGGUGGUGUGGGGGGACGAGAGAGAGGCCAGGGCCCGUUUUUAAAGGGAUACGGGGAGGGGUAGGCGGGGUAAAAAGAGCCCAACGGCGCGGGGUUUUGUCAAAGAUUCGGUGGCUUUUGGGAGCCGUCACUCGGCGCGGCGAACCGGCACGUGCCCACGCGACGGGACGCAGGAAAUGGCGCCGCUGGUUCGUCGCUUCCUUCCUACGUGGUCGACCUGAUAUUUUUGUUUACUCUUCUCGAGCUGACGUUGGCGUGCAUUGCCGGGACGACAUGAGCCAGCGAGAGCGACGCACGUUUAAUUAAAUAUUAAAAGUUGGUGACAAUUUGGACUUUUGAGAGGAGUAUAAGCCAGGUCGUGCUUGUUUCGUUUUUUCUGUUCGGAUGUUUGUUUCGUUGUGAACGGCGAAGCUGCCUUUGCUCUUCUCGGUUUGGUGCGCAGUAAAAUUAUUUUUCAGCUUGGAUGCAGCGCGGGUCACCGUCGCCUGGAUGCAGCGCUGCGUCUCCCUGGCGUGUGGGUGCAGCGCCGGCUCGCGGAGGUCAACGCCGCGCGGGGCAUCACCAUGGCUGUCGGGUCGUCAUUGUGUGAUCGAGCGCUGCCCCGUCAGAGCUUGUGGUCAUUGCCGGGACGCGGUCACGUGGCCUCUUUGGCCAUAAGAAUGAGUUCAUAUAUGAAAUGAUUAUAUGUUAUAAUGUUAAGUGGUUUGCGUGUCACGGCAUGAGCUAAAGCCACGGGAUUGCUAUCUUAAUAUAAUGGACAUAGAGAUAGCCUACAGAUUACAUGGAGGACCCGGAGCUUCACCGGGCACAGCAGAACAAAAUCGGUGCCACGUCGAUAGUUUUCAAAAUUGUGGUGAUGGCAACUACUCCAUCCGUUUCAAAAUUCUUAUCUUAGAUUUGUCUAAAUAUGGAUGUAUCAAAUCAUGUCUUAGAUUUGUCUAAAUACGUAGGGAGUAUUUCGGAGAAAACUUCAUGAAGACUUCGGAAGACCAUGAGACGUUCCCGGAGCUCUCACUUAGUCCAUAUACGCCCGGACUGACCGGUACCCCUCAAAUCGGCCCAAUACAUAUGUGAAAAUUUUAAGUAUGAGCAAUUUAUUCGGAGUUUUUUGACAGCCCCGCCAGCCCAACAUGGACAUGAUGGUAUGCAUGUGUUUGCAUGUAUUAGCUAUUUUGAAAAUAGAAUUAAUGGUUGUAAAUGAUAAAAUUUGAGGCCCUCGAAGGGACCAAAUUUACAGGUUACGGCUCCAGAUGCUCUAAAGCACCUUUUAAGUACGGGGAUCAUUUUGAACCUGGACUGCAACUACGACGGUAGAUGCAAUUAUCUUGGAACUCUGGGACGUUUUUAGCAUCACAAGGUUCACAAACGAGUAAGCGCACUCGAGCCCGUGACAUCGACGUGCGGCCGGUGCGGCGAGAUGCAGAUGCGAUGCUUUCCGACGCCGUCGUGAGUGCAAGGCGACAUCCGUUCAAUCGAAGCGAGCUGAUUCCAUGCUGACCGCGCGUAGCAAUAUCCACGCUGCCCGGGCAGCGAGAAAAAGUGUUCACGGACAGCAACGACGUCGCGUGACCUACAUAAUUACAGUUUUACUAAAAAAACAACCUACUAACAUGCUUUAGAGACAGACGACGACGUGUCACGACCAGCGUUGGCGUGAAAAUUGCAAAAAAAAAGUUUGAGGCAGCAGCGCACACCGUGAGACGUCGGUGACACGGUAACAUUUUGUUGCGCAACUCCGCCGACGAGUCCGGUCCAAGGUUGCGGAGCAAGAGCGAGCGUCGUAGACGAAGUAGUCGAACACGCGAAAGUAAAUGACACAGAGAGAUAUGAAGGAGACCAGCUUUAUUAAUCACAGAGAUUACAAUGAUGGCUCCUCGUUGCUUUAUAUAGGGGUAGGGGGUCAAGGGAUAAGUACCCACUUAACGUAAAGUGGAGGGAAACGGGAGGGGCUAGCCCGUGCGAUACGCACAAGGCCGCCGCCACCCCUCGGUGGCCCCGGUUUCCCAACACUCCCCCUUGGGUAAUUAUCCGUAUAUCCAUGCCUCAAAACUCCGAAAAAUCCAGUGAAAAAAAUAUGGAGAAAGAGCACACGGUAUACAUUGUUGUAUUGCACGAAUUGCCUCGUCAAAAACCUCGUGUGAGAAACAUCAGGAAAACUCACUCAAGGGAAAAAGAGUACAAUCCACUCAACCAUCAAGUUGAGUACUCGAUCAUCAGGAUUGAGAUUUUAGCAACGAGUUUGUGAAGUUUCUCCCCCUGAACCUUGCAUCUCUCUAAGUCUCAUCAUACCGAUUUCACGCACACACCUCUCUAAGGUUGAUGCCGGUAAUGAUUUAGUGAACAUAUCAGCAAGAUUGUCACAUGACUUAGUAUGCAAAACUCUCACCUCAUUCAACUGUUGCAGCUCAUGUGCAUAGAAGAACUUGGGACUAAUAUGCUUUGUGAGGUUACUCUUCACGUAACCCAUCUGGACUUGUGCAACACAAGCAGCAUUAUCUUCAUAGAUAAUGGUAGGGGUUUGUACGGUGUUCAGCCCACAUGUCUGUUGAAUGUGGCCGACCAUCCGCCGAAGCGAUACACACUCUUUUGACGCUUCGAAUAGUGCCAUGAUUUCCGAGUGGUUCGUGGAAGUCGACACAAGUGUUUGCUUGGACGAUUUCCAGGAAAACGCAGUUCCACCACAAAGGAAAACAUAUCCAGUCUGCGAUUUGCAAUCAUGUGGGUCCGAUAGGUACCCAGCAUCGGCAUAGCCUAUAAUAAAUAGGUCUUGAUUUCUUUUAUAAAACAUGCCAAGAUCUUUGGUCCCUUGCAGGUAACAGAAGACGUCCUUGACACCUUUCCAAUGCCUCUUGGUAGGUUCAGAACUGUACCGAGCAAGCAAACUGACGGCGAACGCAAUGUCUGGCCGUGUACAAUUUGCGAGGUACAUGAGUGCUCCAACUGCACUCAGGUAAGGAACCUCUGGUCCCAGAGUUUCCUCCCCCUCUUCCUUUGGCCUGAACGGGUCCUUGUCUGGCUGUAAAGAUCUUCCGACCAUCGGGGUCUUAGAAGGAUAUGCCUUAUCAAAUCCAAAUCUCUCCAACACCUUCUGGGUGUAGGCCGACUGGUGCACUAGAAUCCCAUCAGGGGAAUGUUCAAGUUGCAGACCUAGACAGAACUUGGUUUUACCCAAACCCUUCAUCUCGAAUUCCGACAUCAGGUAGGAACUCGCUUCCUCAAUAUCCUCAGGCGUAGCGAUUAUGUUUAAAUCGUCCACGUACACCAAGAUUAUACAGAAUCCAUCUUGGGAUCGCCGUAUAAAAACACAUGGGCAAUCUUUAUUGCUCGUGUAGCCCUUCUCAUGAAGGAAAUCACUUAAGCGAUUGUACCACAUUCUACCAGACUGUCUGAGUCCGUACAGUGCCUUUUGAAGUUGAACACUGUAUAGACCCAUGUUUGCUCUAUCAUGGUUCGGAACAGGGAUACCUUCUGGAACCUUCAUGUAUAUGUUCGAAUCCAAGUUACCAUAUAGGUAAGCAGUGACAACAUCCAUUAGUUUCAUUUUCAAGCCCAUGUUUACUUCCAUCGAGAUCAAGUAUCUAAAGGUAACUCCAUCCAUGACCGGGGAAUAAGUCUCCUCAAAAUCGACACCUGGUCGUUGAGUGAACCCUUGAGCAACGAGCCUUGCUUUGUACCGUACUACCUUAUUAUUUUCAUCUCUCUUUCGAACAAAAACCCACCUAUGGCCAACAGGGCGAAUGUGGGGAGGAGUUCGAUAAACUGGUCCGAACACCUUCCUUUUGUUGAGAGAUAAUAAUUCGGCAGUAAUUGCCUGCUGCCAAUCUUUCCAAUCCGACCUUUUCUUGCAAUCAGCGAGCGUGUUAGGCUCAGGGUCAAGAUCUAUGAUUGAGGCAAUUUUCGUAGCAAAGUUGAUGUCGACAAUCACUGUUGCUCGGUUCAGGGAUUCCCCCGUAUAAAUAUAAUUUAUGGCCAUUUCGUCAUGGAGCGCAUCCGGCGCAAACACUUGCUCUACCAAAUUUCCCAUUGUGGGAGCAAGGUCCUUUAGAUUUCCCGCGCCGAUGUGUGCGCUCACAUCUCCGCUGGGUGUUUCCCCUAUGGGAAAGUUUAAGUCCGGAAUUUCGUGCACUGAAUUUUCCGUACUUGUGCCAGGUCUCGACUGGCUCCCCGUUUCAAUUUGGGGUACUUUGGCGACAGGCUGUGAUAAAUCUCUCUUAUCCUUUUUUGUCAGGCGUCCCCAAGUACUUGGGAUUUGAGAAGCCGGAUUUCUCGUCCUUUUAGGCCUUUGGACGGGAGCGGGUAUACCAUCAUUUUUCUUCGGUAUUUCAACCCUUUCCGGUGCAUUGCGCGCGUGCACAUGCGAUUUUGUCACAGUCUUUAAGUCACUAAAGUGGUCGGGCAGUUGAUUUGCUAAAGACUGCAAAUCUAUUAUCUUUUGGACUUUUCUCUCAGUCUCAGCAGCGCGCGGGUCAUGAGCGUGGACCCCCGUGGCUUGCCACGUGAUUUCUCGACUUUUAGCAUCAAGGGGUUGAUUCUCUCCCCCUAAAGUCGGGAAAAAAACCUCAUCAAAAAUGCAAUCAGCAAAACGAGCCGUGUGACAGUCACCUGUCAUGGGGUCCAGAUACCUGAUUAUGGACACAGUCUCAUAACCAACGUAUAUCCCCGACUUACGGAGCGGGCCCAUCGCCGAUCGCUGAGGGGGUGGUAUUGGUACAUAUACCUGGCAACCGAACCUAUGAAGGUGGGAAAUUUUCGGUGCCGACCCUUGCGCAAGUUGAACAGGAGAGUGGAUGUUGUAGGCCGACGGUCGAAAGUUGAUGAGAUUAGCCGCGUGUAACACCGCGUGGCCCCAACAUGUAGUUGGUAAAUUACAACCCUGAAGGAGCGGUCGGGCAAUGAAUUUAAUUCUUUUAAUCAAUGCCUCGGCAAGUCCAUUUUGUGUAUGAACAUGUGGUACCGAGUGCUCAACUUUGAUUCCCAUUGCCAUGCAAUAAUCAUCGAACGCCUUUGAAGUAAAUUCUCCGGCAUUGUCCAUUCGAAUAGACUUUAUACGAUAAUCCGGGAAAUUAUUCCUCAUUUGUAUGAUCUAUGAGAUCAAUUUUGCAAAGGCGUGGUUCCUUGUUGACAGCAGGCAAACAUUGGACCAUUUAGAGGAAGCAUCAAUGAGCACCAUGAAGUACCGAAACGGCCCCGUGAGGGGCUGAAUUGGACCGCAUAUGUCCCCUUGGAUACGUUCGAAGAACGCGGGGAUUUCAUCCCUCACCUUGAGGGGCGAUGGCCUAAUGACUAAUUUCCCCUUAGCGCAUGCAGAGCACACGAAAUCAUCGGGAUUCGGGAAGUUCUUCACGUUAACAUUAUGGCCAUGUGAGUUGUUAAUUAUAUUUCUCAUCAUCCUAAGUCCGGGGUGGCCUAACCUAUCGUGCCAGAGGCAGAAGAGUUCAGAGCUUCUAAAAAUGGUCUUGUGGGUAGUGUACACGGGCGGUGCUACUAUCUUAGUGUAGUAUAGCCCUGUGUCAAACGAAGGAAGCCUUUCGAUAACAUGUUUACCACCUGCAUCCCGCUUUGUGAUGAGUAGGCACUCCUUGCCGUUUUCAUCAUCGGUCUCAGCAUGGAAACCAUUAGCGCGGAUGUCUCUAAAGCUCAAAAGAGUACGAGUCGAUUCCGGGUACAACAACGCAUUAUUAAUGAUCAAAGUUGUUCCCAUGGGGAGUAUAAUAGUGGCUCGUCCGGAGCCAACUAUGUGAGAACCGCAGCCGGUGAUUGUCAUAAUACUUCCCGGAGAUUUUUUAAUUGACUCAAAGUACUUAGUUUCUCGUAAAAUGGUAUGAGUAGUGGCGCUAUCGGCAAGGCACGUUUCCUCCAUUCGGGCGCCACACGCGUUCUCCGCGGGAUCGACGAAAGCCUGCGUGAUGCAGGCUUGACGGAGAGUUGAUGGAGCGAAGCGUGCUGAUAACGUGUUCCGCAACUCCGCCGGCGAGUCCGGUCCGAGGUUGCGGAGUGAGGGCGAGCGUCGUAGACGAAGUAGUCCAACACGCGAAAGUAAAUGACACAGAGAGAUAUGGAGGAGACCAGCUUUAUUAAUCAAUGAUCAGAGAUUACAAUGAUGGCUCCUCGUUGCUUUAGGGGGUCAAAUGAUAAGUACCCACUUAACGUAAAGUGGGGGAAACGGGAGGGGCUAGCCCGUGCGAUACGCACGAGGCCGCCGCCACCCCCCGGUGGCCCCGGUUUCCCAACACAUUUCACCGUGUCCUGACGCGGAGCGAGCGUCUCAUCGCGUGCACACGGUUGCUGUAUGGCGGCUCAAGUUGUACGGUUGGCAAGGUUGGCGCUGGGUCAAACCAAACAGCCUCUUUUGCCUUUUUUUUAUAAUCCAAGCAAACAAAUCAUAAGUUAGAUUUGUUAUGGACGGAUUGGUUUGGUGAUUUGAUGAAUUGGUUAUUUGAUCAGACCAUAGAGAUGGUGAGGCGUCAUUUUUAAUUUCUUGAACUAUUUGACCACUAAAUUUUUGGUUGGUUAUCUGAUCAGACCAUAGAGAUGGUGAGGCGUCAUUUUUAAUUUCUUGAACUAUUUGACCAUUAAAUUUUUGGUUGGUUCUUUUUACCGUCUCUAGAUGCUGCUACAAGGUUAAACAAGAAGUUUGCAAGGCGCUAGAUAAAUAGAGAAGAAGGCAAUAUCAAGAUAUCAAGAGGACGACCAUCAAAGUGGAGCCGUGGGCUACCAUCACAACGAUCACUUCCAACAUGGACCAGUGCAGUGGCAGAGCUAGACAAAGAUAUCANNNNNNNNNNNNNNNNNNNNNNNNNNNNNNNNNNNNNNNNNNNNNNNNNNNNNNNNNNNNNNNNNNNNNNNNNNNNNNNNNNNNNNNNNNNNNNNNNNNNNNNNNNNNNNNNNNNNNNNNNNNNNNNNNNNNNNNNNNNNNNNNNNNNNNNNNNNNNNNNNNNNNNNNNNNNNNNNNNNNNNNNNNNNNNNNNNNNNNNNNNNNNNNNNNNNNNNNNNNNNNNNNNNNNNNNNNNNNNNNNNNNNNNNNNNNNNNNNNNNNNNNNNNNNNNNNNNNNNNNNNNNNNNNNNNNNNNNNNNNNNNNNNNNNNNNNNNNNNNNNNNNNNNNNNNNNNNNNNNNNNNNNNNNNNNNNNNNNNNNNNNNNNNNNNNNNNNNNNNNNNNNNNNNNNNNNNNNNUCCGCCGUUGGACCUGUGCAUUCCGCUAGAUGCUUUUCUUUUACAAAUCCAGUGCUAAUCAGGCUUUCCCAAGAAGAAAAUCAGCUUCGUCUAAUGUGAAGCAUGCAUGGUUCCGCAUCAAAUAAGACAAAAAAAAGAAUCAGAUCUACAAGGUUUAUAAGCGACCUUAUUUUCUAAAAAACCAGAUUAUUUGUCAUCCUGCGUUUUGUUUUUUCUAUGCAAGUUAUGUUUUCAAAGAGUUUUUUUUUCUGGAGGCGAUUUUCCUGGCGAUCUAGGGUUGGUGCGUGCUGAGGGAGUCCUGGAUUAGGGGCCCCUCGGGUGUCCGCGCUAUUUGAUAUAGACCGGACUGAUGGGCCGUGAAGAUAUAAAGCGGAAGACUUUCCUCCGCGUCCGGGGUAGGACUCCCAUAUGCGUGGAUGGCAAGAUUGGUGUCCGGAUAUGUAAUUUCCUUCCUCUACAAACCGACUGUGUACAACCCUAGACCCCUCCGGUGUGUAUAUAAACUAGAGGCUUUAGUCCGUAGAGGCUAUCAGAAUUCACAUAGGCUAGACAUCUAGUGUUUGGCCAUUACGAUCUCGAGGUAGAUCAACUCUUGUAACCCCUAUACUCAUCAAAUACAAUCAAGCAGGACGUAGGGUUUUACCUCCAUUAAGAGGGCCCGAACCUGGGUAAACAUUGUGUCCCACUUGUCCUUUGUUACCUUCGAUCCUCAAACGCACAGUUCGGGACCCCUUACCCGAGAUCGGCCGGUUUUGACACCGACAUUGGUGCUUUCAUUGAGAGUUUCACUAUGCCGUCAACAGAAAGAUCGAUGGCGCAUCUUGUCAUCAAUGAUGAUGUUGUUCCCGGGGAGACCUUUCUCCAUGGUCAACUUUUUGUGUUUGGCGGCUUCGCUCUACGUGCCAAUUCAACUGGUCGCCUCGAGAAGAUCGACAGCUACGCCCCUGGUUACCAGAUCAGAUUCGGAAGCCUGAAUUACAUCGCUGAUAUCUGAGGAGACUUGAUCUUCGAAGGGUUCUCGGCCUCGGCCGCCGCUCCUCAUCUACACGAAGGAAGCCCGUUGGAUCCACCACCAGGCUCUGUUCAAGGAUCAACUCUUGUUCCUGCCCAGUCUUAGAUCCAGAGCGGACCACUCUGUCCGAAGACGGGAGGCUAAGCCCCGCCGGACUCUCUCCUGUUGCGGAGUUCCCAACCGGAAACCCAGAGGUGGCUAUGUUGUCAACAAGCCUGGAGUCAAACAGGACUCUCUCUGUCAUCGGGAAACCGGACUCAUCUCUGGAGGUCAACACCGAACUCUCGAGGUCUGCGUCCAUUGAGCACAGUCAGGUGGCGUUUACCAGGCCCAGCUCCGCAGGUCCUCAGUCACCCAUCCAGCUUUCGCUCCUAAACGAGGCUCUGGACUUAAUGCGAUCUCUCGCCAUUACGGAAGUAUCACUUCCGAACUACGCCCAGCCCAAACUAGGGACUGAGAGCGGGGAAUUUUACGUCCCACCCACCACCCACUUGAUAGCCACUGUCAAGGACCUAACCGACAUGUUGGAUUACGCCUCCGAAGACAUCGACGACAUGGACGACGAUGCCGGAGCUGAAUCAGGCCAAAACCCACCCAUCACUGGGCAUUGGAUAGCCACUUCUACUUAUGAUGUGUACAUGAUGGAUACGCCCGAAAAGAAGGACGACGAUGGCACUCAAGAUCUGAUCAAGGACAAGCUCGUCGAGGCACCACCUAAGCGCCGACGUCAGCGGCGCCGCUCAUGAUCUCGUCGAGAAAAAGAUAGAAAUGCUGGCACCGGAGAUAACAACACUCCGGAUGAUGCCGAAGACCCCGUCGAGGCUGCGUCCAAGCAGGAUGAAUGGGAGGAGGGACAAGUUAACCCCGACGAACUCGUUGAUCAUGAGGAUUCGGAAGAUAGUAAUUAUCUACCGGUCUCCGAGGAGGACGUUAGCCUCAGCAACAAAGAUCUCAUCAUGCCUGAGGAACCCCUCGAAUAAGAACGCUUCAAGCGACAACUUAUCGCCACUACAAGGAGCCUGAAAAAGAAACAACAGCAGCUUCAAGCCGAAUAGGAUAAGCUCAACGACAGAUGGACCAAGGUCCUGGCCGCCGAAGAAUAUGGCCUUGAACGCCCAACAAAGAGCUACCCAAAACACAGGCUACUACCACAAUUCGACGACGAGGCCCUAGAGCCAAAUCCGUCAAAAUGCCACCAUGCUGAUGAACCAGACCGACCACCACGUGGACGGGACAAAAUGGCUAAUUAUGCCGAAUACCAGCCCGCGCCACCCCACCGUAGAGGCAAGGAGGCAUCGGCUCCGGGUUACACAUAUGACUUACGUCAGGACCUGGACAAUCGAGCCAGCCAUACCAGAUCCAUCUACGGAUCAAGGGGACGUGCUCCAACAAGAGACGACAGCCAUCAAGCCUGGCGCGACAAUCAUAAACCAAGUUCGGGCUGAGAACCGAACACGGAUAUCAUCCGAACUCCGUCGUGAUGUGGCCCGAUAUAGAGGCGCUGCACACCCCAUGUGCUUUACCGAUGAGGUAAUGCAGCACCAAUUUCCAGAAGGGUUUAAACCCGUAAACAUCGAGGCAUACGAUGGAAUGGCAAAUCCCGCUGUAUGGAUUGAAGAUUUUCUUCUCCACAUUCACAUGGCUCGCGGUGAUGAUCUCCACGCCAUUAAAUACCUCCCCCUAAAGUUAAAAGUACCAGCACGACACUGGUUGAAUAUCCUCCCAGAGAACUCCAUUGGCAGCUGGGAGGACUUGGAGGAUGCUUUUCGAGACAACUUCCAAGGCACUUAUGUCCGGCCACCAGACACCGAUGACCUCAGUCAUAUAGUCCAGCAACCCGGAGAGUCAGCCCGCAAACUCUAGACUCGGUUCUUAAAUAAAAAGAACCAAUUUGUUGACUGUGUGGACGCCGAAGCCUUAGCAGCCUUUAAGCAUAGCGUCCGUGACGAAUGGCUCGCCCGACACCUCGGUCAGGAAAAGCCGAAGACUAUGGAGCUCUCGCUGCACUAAUGACCCGCUUCUGUGUGGGUGAAGACAGCUGGUUGGCUCGUAGAAGCAGCAGUACAAACGACCCUGACACCUCUGAAGCCAGGGACGACAAUGGAAGGCCAUGACGUAACAAAAAUAAGCGUCGGAACAACAAUGAGGAAACUGAAGAUACGACAGUCAACGCCGGAUUCAGCGGUUCCAAACCCGGCCAGCGAAAGAAACCCUUCAAAGGAAAUAGAGAUGGUCCAUCUAAUUUGGACAAGAUACUAGACAGGCCUUGCCAGAUUCAUGGCACCCCGACAAGCCUGCCAAUCAUACCAACAGAAACUGCUGGGUUUUUAAACAAGCCGGUAAGUUAAAUACCGAACACAAGAGGAAAGGGCCUCAAAGCGAGGACGAUGAUGAACCCCGCCCUUCGAACACAAUUGGAUAGAAGAAGUUUCCCCCCGAGGUGAAAACAGUGAACAUGAUAUAUGUCACACAUAUCCCAAAGAGGGAGCGCAAGCGCGCACUAAGGGACGUCUACGCCGUAGAGCAUGUCGCCCCAAAAUUCAACCCAUGGUCGGCUUGUCCGAUCACCUUCGACCGCAGGGACCACCCGACCAGUAUCCGUCAUGGAGGUUCGGCGGCCCUGGUACUCGAUCCCUGUUGGGGAACGUAGCAUGCAAUUUUAAAAAAAUUCCUACGAUCACGCAAGAUCUAUCUAGGAGAUGCAUAGCAACGAGAGAGGGAGAGUGUGUCCACGUACCCUCGUCGACCGAAAGCAGAAGCGUUAGCUUAACACGGUUGAUGUAGUCGAACGUCUCCGCGAUCCAACCGAUCAAGCACCGAACGUACGGCACCUCCGAGUUCUGCACACGUUCAGCUCGAUGACGUCCCUCGAACUCUUGAUCCAACAAAGUGUCGAGGGAGAGUUUCGUCAGUACGACGGCGUGGUGACGGUGAUGGUGAUGUGAUCCGCGCAGGGCUUCGCCUAAGCAAUACGACAAUAUGACCGGAGGAGUAAACUGUGGAGGGGGGCACCGCACACGGCUAAGAAACAAUUGAUCUCCUUUGGGGUGCCCCCUGCCCCCGUAUAUAAAGGAAGGAGAGGGAGAGGGCCUCCUAGGGGGUGCGCCAAGUGGGAGGAGUCCCACUUGGUCUCCUAGUCCAAUUCGCCCCCUUCCUUUCUUCGGAGGGGGAAAGGGGAAAGGAGAGGCAGAGGGAGAAGGAAAGGGGGGACGCGCCCCCUCCCCUUGUCCAAUUCGGACUCCCCAUGGGGGGGGGGGCGCCACCCCUUGUGGGCUGCCCCUCUCUCUCCCCUAUGGCCCAUAGUGGCCCAUUACUUUCUCCGGGGGGUUCCGGUAACCCCUCGGUACUCCGAUAAAUAUCCGAAACACUCCAAAACCAUUCCGGUAUCCGAAUACUAUCAUCCAGUAUAUCAAUCUUUACCUGUCGACCAUUUCGAGACUCCUCAUCAUGUCCGUGAUCUCAUCCGGGACUCCGAACAAUAUUCGGUCACCAAAACAUAUAACUCAUAAUACAAAUCAUCAUCAAACGUUAAGCGUGCGGACCCUACGGGUUUGAGAAAUAUGUAGACAUGAUCGAGACACAUCUCCGAUCAAUACCAACAACGGAACCUGGAUGCUCAUAUUGGUUCCUACAUAUUCUACGAAGAUCUUUAUUGGUCAAACCGUAAUGACAACAUACGUCAUUCCCUUUGUCAUCGGUAUGUUACUUGCCCGAGAUUCGAUCAUCGGUAUCUUCAUACCUAGUUCAAUCUCGUUACCGGCAAGUCUCUUUACUCGUUCCGUAGUGCAUCAUCCCGCAACUAACUCAUUAGUCACAUUGCUUGCAAGGCUCAUCAUGAUGUGCAUUAUCGAUGGGCCCAGAGAUACCUCUCCGAUACUCGGAGUGACAAAUCCUAAUCUCGAUCUAUGCCAACCCAACAAACACCUUCGUAGACACCUGUAGAUCAUCUUUAUAAUCACCCAGUUAUGUUGUGACGUUUGAUAGCACACAAGGUGUUCCUCCGUUAUUCGGGAGUUGCAUAAUCUCAUAGUCAAAGGAAUAUGUAUAAGUCAUGAAGAAAGCAAUAUCAAUAAAACUUAACGAUCAUUAUGCUAAGCUAACGGAUGGGUCUUGUCCAUCACAUCAUUCUCCUAAUGAUGUGAUCCCAUUCAUCAAAUGACAACACAUGUCUAUGGUCAGGAAACUUAACCAUUUUUGAUUAACGGGCUAGUCAAGUAGAGGCAUAUUAGGGACACUGUAUUUGUCUAUGUAUCCACACAUGUAUCAAGUUUCCGGUUAAUACAAUUCUAGCAUGAAUAAUAAACAUUUAUCAUGAUAUAAGGAAAUAUAAAAUAAUAACUUUAUUAUUGUCUCUAGGGCAUAUUUCCUUCAGUCUCCCACUUGCACUAGAGUCAAUAAUCUAGUUCACAUCGCCAUGUGAUUUAACAUCAAUUCACAUCGUCAUGUGAUUGACACCGAUAGUUCACAUCGCCAUGUGACCAACACCCAAAGCGUUUACUAGAGUCAAUAAUCUAGUUCACAUCGCUAUGUGAUUAACACCCAAAGAGUACUAAGGUGUGAUCAUGUUUUGCUUGUGAGAGAAGUUUAGUCAACGGGUCUGUCACAUUCAGAUCCGUAUGUAUUUUGCAAAUUUCUAUGUCUACAAUGCUCUGCAUGGAGCUACUCUAGCUAAUUGCUCCCACUUUCAAUACGUAUCCAGAUUGAGACUCAGAGACAUCUAGAUCGGUGUCAAAGCUUGCAUCGACGUAACCCUUUACGACGAACUCUUUGUCGCCUCCAUAAUCGAGAAACAUUUCCUUAGUCCUCUUUAGGUACCUAAGGAUAAUUUUGACCGUUGUCCAGUGAUCUACUCCUAGAUGACUAUUGUAACCCCUUGCCAAACUCAUGGCAAGGUAUACAAUAGGUCUGGCACACAGCAUGGCAUACUUUAUAGAACCUAUGGCUGAGGCAUACGGAAUGACUUUCAUUCUCUCUCUAUCUUCUGCCGUGGUCGGGUUUUUAGUCUUACUCAACUUGACACCUUACAAUAUAGGUUAGAAUUCCUUCUUUGACUGAUCCAUUUUGAACUCCUUCAAAAUCUUGUCAAGGUGUGUGCUUUGUGAAAGUCCUAUUAAGCAUCUCGAUCUAUCUCCAUAGAUCUUGAUGCCCAAUACAUAAGUAGCUUUACCGAGGUCUUUUAUUGAAAAAUUCUUAUUCAAGUAUCCUUUUAUGCUAUCCAGAAAUUCUAUAUCAUUUCCAAUCAGCAAUAUGUCAUCCACAUAUAAUAUGAGAAAUGCUACAGAGCUCCCACUCACUUUCUUAUAAAUACAGGCUUCACCGUAAGCCUGUAUAAAACCACAUGCUUUGAUCACCUCAUCAAAGCGUAUAUUCCAACUCCGAGAUGCUUGCACCAGUCCAUAGAUGAAUCGCUAGAGCUUGCACACUUUGUUAGCACCUUUAGGAUCGACAAAACCUUCUGGUUGCAUCAUAUACAAGUCUUCUUUAAUAAAUCCAUUAAGGAAUGCAGUUUUGACAUCCAUUUGCCAGAUUUCAUAAAAUGCAGUAAUUGCUAACAUGAUUCGAACAGACUUAAGCAUUGCUACGAGUGAGAAAGUCUCAUCGUAGUCAACUCCUUGAACUUGUCGAAAAACCCUUUUUUGCGACAAGUCGAGCUUUCUAGAUAGUAACACUACCAUCAGCGUCCGUCUUCCUCUUGAAGAUCCAUUUAUUCUCAAUGGCUUGCCGAUCAUUGGGCAAGUCCACCAAAGUCCACACUUUGUUCUCAUACAUGGAUCCUAUCUCAGAUUUCAUGGCCUCAAGCCAUUUAUCGGAAUCUGGGCUCAUCAUAGCUCUUCAUAGUUCGUAGGUUGAUACGUCUCCAACGUAUCUAUAAUUUUUGAUUGUUCCAUGCUAUUAUAUUAUCUGUUUUGGAUGUUUAAUAUACCUUUUUAUAUUAUUUUUGGGACUAACCUAUUAACCCAAGGAGCAGUGGGAAUUGUUGUUUUUUGCCUAUUUCAGUGUUUCGUAGAAAAGGAAUAUCAAACGGAACGAAACCUUCGCGAGGAUCUUUUUUGGAGCAAAUGCAAUCCAGGAGACUUGGAGUGGAAGUCAAGGAAGCAAUGAGGCGGCCACGAGGUAGGAGGGCACGCCCAGGGGGGGGGGGGGUAGGCGCGCCCCCACCCUCGUGGGCCCCUCAUAGCUCCACCGACCUACUUCUUUCGCCUAUAUAUACUCUUAUACCUUGAAAACAUCCAGGGGAGCCACGAAACCACUUUUCCACCGCCGCAACCUUCUGUACCUGUGAGAUCCCAUCUUGGGGCCUUUUUCGGCGAUCUGCCGGAGGAGGAUUCGAUCACGGAGGGCUUGUACAUCAACACCAUAGCCUCUCCGAUGAUGUGUGAGUAGUUUACCACAGACCUUCGGGUCCAUAGUUAUUAUCUAGAUGGCUUCUUCUCUCUCUUAGGUUCUUAAUACAAAGUUCUCCCCGAUGUUCUUGGAGAUCUAUUCGAUGUAAUACCUUUUGCGGUGUGUUUGUCGAGAUCCGAUGAAUUGUGGGUUUAUGAUCAAGAUUAUCUAUGAACAAUAUUUGAUUCUUCUCUGAAUUCUUAUAUGCAUGAUUUGAUAUCUUUGCAAGUCUCUUCGAAUUAUCGGUUUAGUUUGGCCUACUAGAUUGAUCUUUCUUGCAAUGGGAGAAGUGCUUAGCUUUGGGUUCAAUUUUGCGGUGCUCGAUCCCAAUGACAGAAAGGGAACCGACACGUAUUGUAUUGUUGCCAUCGAGGAUAAAAAGAUGGGUUUUAUAUCAUAUUGCUUGAGUUUAUCCCUCUACAUCAUGUCAUCUUGCCUAAUGCGUUACUCUCUUCUUAUAAACUUAAUACUCUAGAUGCAUGCUGGAUAGCGGUCGAUGUGUGGAGUAAUAGUAGUAGAUGCAGAAUCGUUUCGGUCUACUUGACACGGACGUGAUGCCUAUGUUCAUGAUCAUGCCUAGAUAUUCUCAUAACUAUGCACUUUUCUAUCAAUUGCUCGGUAGUAAUUUGUUCACCCACCGUAAUAUAUGCUAUCUUGAGAUAAGCCACUAGUUAAACCUAUGCCCCCCGGGUCUAUUUUACAUCAUAUUAGUUUAUCAUCAACUUGCCAAUUUCUAUCACCGUUUAUUUUGCAAUCUUUACCUUCCAAUCUAUCCAACAAAAAUACCAAAAAUAUUUAUAUUAUUAUCUUUAUCAGAUCUCACUUUUGCAAGUUGCCGUGAAGGGAUUGACAACCCCUUUAUCGCGUUGGUUGCAAGGUUCUUGAUUGUUUGUGCAAGUACUAGGCGAUUUGCGUGUAGUCUCCUACUGGAUUGAUACCUUGGUUCUCAAAAACUAAGGGAAAUACUUACGCUACUUUGCUGCAUCACCCUUUCCUCUUCAAGGGAAAACCAACACAUGCUCAAGAGGUAGCAAGAAGGAUUUCUGGCGCCGUUUCCGGGGAGUGAAGCGCCUUUGGUAGGUGGAAUAUGGUAAGGAAAAAUUUAUAUAGUGUGCUGAAAUUUACUGUCACUUGUUACUAUGGAAAGUAAUCCUUUGAGGGGCUUGUUCGGGGUAUCUUCACCCCGACGAGUAGAGCAAAGAGUUGCUCCUCAACCUGCUGAACCUACUGAAAAUGUUUACUUUGAAAUUCCUUCGGGUAUGAUAGAGAAACUGCUAGCUAAUCCUUUUACAGGAGAUGGAACAUUACAUCCCGAUUUGCACCUAAUCCAUGUGGAUGAAGUUUGUGGAUUAUUUAAGCUUGCAGGUAUGCCCGAGGAUGUUAUCAAGAAGAAGGUCUCCCCUUUAUCUUUGAAGGGAAAUGCAUUGACAUGGUUUAGGCUAUGCGAUGAUAUUGGAUCAUGGAACUACAACUGAUUGAAAUUGGAAUUUCAUCAGAAGUUUUAUCCUAUGCAUCUGGUUCAUCGUGAUCGUAAUUAUAUAUAUAAUUUUUGGCAUCGUGAAGGAGAGAGCAUCGCUCAAGCUUGGGGGAGGCUUAAGUCAAUGUUAUAUUCAUGCCCCAAUCAUCAGCUCUUAAGAGAAAUUAUUAUUCAAAAAAUUUAUGCUCGACUUUCUCUCAAUAAUCGCUCCAUGCUCGAUACUUCUUGUACUGGUUCUUUUAUGAUGAAGACUAUUGAAUUCAGAUGGAAUUUAUUGGAAAGAAUCAAACGCAACUCUGAAGAUUGGGAACUCGACGAAGGUAAGGAAUCAGGUAUAAUGCCUAAGUUUUAUUGUGUUAAAUCUUUUAUGGAUACCGAUGUUUUCCAUGAAUUUAGCACCAAAUAUGGACUUGACUCUGAGAUAGUAGCUUCUUUCUGUGUAUCCUUUGCUACUCAUGUUGAUCUCCCUAAGGAGAAGUGGUUUAAAUAUCAUCCUCCCAUUGAAGUAAAAGUAGUUGAACCUAUUAAAGUUGAAGAAAAGACUAUCACUUAUAAUGUUGAUCCUAUUGUUCCUACUGCUUAUAUUGAGAAACCAUCUUUCCCUGUUAGAAUAACGAAUCAUGCUAAAGCUUCAACUGUGGUCAACAAAAGUAAUAUUAGAACAGCCAAACCCUCUGAGCAAAUUAAAGUUGAACCUAGUAUUGCUAUGGUUAAAGAUCUCUUGGUUGAUAAUAUUGAUGGGCAUGUUAUUUACUUCUGUGAUAAGCUGCUAGAAUUGCUAAACCCGAUACUAAAGAUAAACAUAGACCUGUUGUUGGCAUGCGUGUUGUUUCGGUUAAAUAGGAGAUCACUGUUGUCAUGGCUUAUGUGAUAUGGGUGCUAGUGUUAGUGCAAUACCUUAUACCUUAUAUAAAGAAAUUAUGCAUGAUAUUGCACCUGCUGAGAUAGAAGAUAUUAAUGUUACUAUUAAGCUUGCCAAUAGAGAUACUAUUUCACCAAUUGGGAUUGUUAGAGAUGUUGAAGUCUUGUGUGGGAAAAUUAAAUAUCCUACUGAUUUUCUUGCUUCCCCACAAGAUAACUUUUGUCCUAUUAUAUUUGGUAGACCCUUCUUGAAUACUGUUAAUGCUAAGAUAGACUGCAAAAAGGAUAUUGUUUCUAUUGGUUUAGGGGAUAUGUCUCAUGAUUUUAAUUUUGCUAAACUUCGUAGACAACCCCAUGAUAAAGAAUUGCCUAGUAAAGAUGAAAUUAUUGACCUCGCUUCUAUUGCCGUGCCUCCUAAUGAUCCUUUAGAACAAUAUUUGCUAGACCAUGAAAAUGACAUGUUUAUGAAUGAAAGAAGGGAAAUAGAUGAAGUAUUCUUCAAGCAAGGACCUAUUUUGAAACACAAUUUGCCUGUUGAAAUUCUAGGGGAUCCUCCUCCACCCAAGGUUGAUCCCGUGUUUGAGCUUAAACCAUUACCUGAUACUCUUAAAUAUGCUUAUCUUGAUGAAAAGAAGAUAUAUCCUGUUAUUAUUAGUGCUAACCUUUCAGAGCAAGAAGAAGAGAAAUUAUUGAAAACUCUAAGAAGCACCGUGCUGCUAUUGUAUAUACUCUGGAUGAUCUUAAGGGCAUUAUUCCCACUCUAUGCCAGCACAAAAUAAAAUUGGAGAAAGACGCUAAACCGUUGUUGAUCACCAACGACGGUUAAAUCCUAAGAUGAAAGAAGUGGUAAGAAAAGAAAUACUAAAGCUUCUGGAGGCAGGUAUAAUUUAUCCCGUUGCUGAUAGUCAGUGGGUAAGUCCUGUCCAUUGUGUCUGUAAGAAGGGAGGCAUUACUGUUGUUCCUAAUGAUAAAGAUGAAUUAAUCCCACGAAGAAUUGUUACAGGUUAUAGAAUGGUAAUUUAUUUCCGCAAACUAAAUAAAGCUACUAAAAAGGAUCAUUACCCUUUACCUUUUAUUGAUCAAAUGCUAGAAAGAUUAUCCAAACACACACAUUUUUGCUUUCUAGAUGGUUAUUCUGGUUUCUCUCAAAUACCUGUGUCAAAAGAGGAUCAAUAAAAUACCACUUUUACUUGCCCUUUCGGUACCUUUGCUUAUAGAUGCAUGCCUUUUGGUUUAUGCAAUGCACCUGCUACCUUUCAAAGAUGUAUGACGCUAUAUUCUUUGACUUUUGUGAAAAGAUUGUUGAGGUUUUCAUGGAUGAUUUUUUCCGUAUAUGGAACUUCUUUUGAUGAUUGCUUAAGCAACCUUGAUCUAGUUUUGCACAGAUGUGAAGAAACUAAUCUUGUCUUGAAUUAGGAGAAGUGCCACUUUAUGGUUAAUGAAGGUAUUGUCUUGGGGCAUAAAAUUUCUGAAAGAGGUAUUGAAGUUGAUAAAGCUAAAGUUGAUGCUAUUGAAAAGAUGCCAUGUCCUAAGGACAUUAAAGGUAUAAGAAGUUUCCUUGGUCAUGCCGGUUUUUAUAGGAGGUUCAUUAAAGACUUCUCAAAAAUUUCUAGGCCUUUGACUAAUCUCUUACAAAAAGAUGUUCCUUUUGUCUUUGAUGAUGAUUGUGUAGAAGCAUUUGAAAUAAUUAAGAAAGCCUUGAUUUCUGCACCUAUUGUUCAGCCACCUGAUUGGAAUCUACCCUUUGAAAUUAUGUGUGAUGCUAGUGAUUAUGCUGUAGGUGCUGUUCUAGGACAAAGAGUUGAUAAGAAAUUAGAUGUUAUUCAAUAUGCUAGUAAAACUCUAGACAGUGCCUAGAGAAAUUAUACUACUACUGAAAAAGAAUUUUUAGCAGUUUUAUUUGCUUGUGAUAAGUUCAGACCUUAUAUUGUUGAUUCUAAAGUAACUGUUCACACUGAUCAUGAUGCUAUUAAAUAUCUUAUGGAAAAGAAAGAUGCUAAACCUAGACUUAUUAGAUGGGUUCUCCUACUACAAGAAUUUGAUUUGCAUAUUAUUGAUAGAAAGGGAGCUGAGAACCCCAUUGCAGACAACUUAUCUAGGUUAGAGAAUGUUCUUGAUGACCCACUACCUAUUGAUGGUAGCUUUCCCGAUGAACAAUUAACUGUCAUAAAUGCUUCUCGUAAUGCUCCAUGGUAUGCUGAUUAUGCUAAUUACAUUGUUGCUAAAUCUAUACCACCUAGCUUCACAUACCAGCAAAAGAAAAAAAAUUCUAUGAUUUAAGACAUUACUUCUGGGAUGACCCACACCUUUAUAAAGAAGGAGUAGAUGAUGCUAUUAGAUGUUGUAUACCUAAGCAUGAACAGGAACAAAUCCUACACAAGUGUCACUCUGAGGCUUAUGGAGGACACCACGCUAGAGAUAGAACCUCACAUAAGGUAUUGCAAUCCAGUUUUUAUCGGCCUACUCUCUUCAAGGAUGCCCGUAAGUUUGUCUUGUCUUGUGAUGAAUGUCAAAGAAUUGGUAAUAUUAGUAGACGUCAAGAAAUGCCUAUGAACUAUUCACUUGUUAUUGAACCAUUUGAUGUUUGGGGCUUUGAUUAUAUGGGACCGUUUCCUUCCUCUAAUGGGUAUACACAUAUUUUAGUUGCUAUUGAUUACGUUACUAAGUGGGUAGAAGCUAUUCCAACUAGUAAUGCUGAUCAUAACACCUCUAUUAAGAUGCUUAAAGAAGUUAUUUUUCCGAGGUUUGGAGUCCCUAGAUAUUUAAUGACUGAUGGUGGUUCACAUUUUAUUCAUGGUGCUUUUCGUAAGAUGCUUGCUAAGUAUGAUGUUAAUCAUAGAAUUGCAUCUCCAUACCAUCCACAAUCUAGUGGUCAAGUAGGACUAAGUAAUAGGGAGAUUAAAUUAAUUUUGCAAAAGACUGUUAAUAGAUCUAGAAAGAAUUGGUCCAAAAAACUCAAUGAUGCAUUAUGAGCCUAUAGAACUGCAUAUAAAAAUCCCAUGGGUAUGUCUCCAUAUAAAAUGGUUUAUGGAAAAGCAUGUCAUUUACCUCUCGAACUAGAACAUAAGGCAUAUUGGGCCAUUAAAGAGCUCAAUUAUGAUUUCAAACUUGCUGGUGAGAAGAGACUAUUUGACAUUAGCUCACAUGAUGAGUGGAGAACCCAGGCCUAUGAGAGUGCCAAACUGUUUAAAGAAAAAGUUAAAAGAUGGCAUGACAAAAGGAUACAAAAGCGUGAGUUUAAUGUAGGUGAUUAUGUUUUGCUAUACAACUCUCGUUUAAGAUUUUUUGCAGGAAAACUCUUCUCUAAAUGGGAAGGUCCUUAUGUUAUCGAGGAGGUCUAUCGUUUCGGUGCCAUAAAAAUCAACAACUUCGAAGGCACAAAUCCGAAGGUGAUGAACGGUCAAAGAAUCAAACAUUAUAUCUCAGGUAAUCCAAUAAAUGUUGAAACUAAUGUUAUUGAAACCGUAACCCCGGAGGAAUACAUAAGGGACACUUUCCAGAAUGUUUCAGACUCCGAAAAGGAAUAGGUAUGUGGUACGGUCAGUAAACCGACUCCAAAACAGUUCUAAUAGCAUUUUUUCUCCGUUUUGGAAUAUUUAAGAAAAUAGGAAAAUAAGAACUAGUCCAAAGAGGACACGAGGCAUCCAUGAGGGUGGAGGGCGCGCCCCCUGCCUCGUGGGCACCUCGUGUGCCCUCCGGACUCCGUUUUCUUGAACGAUACUUCUUUUGGUCGAUAAAAAUUCAUUAUAUAAUCUCCCAAAGGUUUUGACCCUCGUAUCACGCAAAUACCUCCUGUUUUUGUUUCGAGCUAUUUUUCUGACAGAUCUAGAUCUCCAUGACGUCUCUAAGCGUCCCCAAGGACAAGUUCUUCGAGAAGGUCAUCAACCCCUACCUCGCGGAGGUGCUGCAACACCCUUAAACCAUUGAGAUGCGUGAGGGGUUGCUGCACAUCCGCGAUGUUGAGGGACCGAGGAGGACCGGAAGCGUGGAGACAAGACUCGAAGCAAUGGAGCAACAAGUUUUCAAGUGCCAGGAGAUGGUGGAACAUGGACUCGACGCCAACCACACAAUGAUUACGGAGUUCACCAACAACCACAAGCUAGAUGCCAAGAACAUUGGGGAGACCAUCUUCAAGCUUCACGAGAAAAUCGAGCACCUCCAAGCCCAGAUCUAUGACCUGCAAAACCAAAACUGUGAGUAUAAAUAUAGAUUCAAGAGGAUGAGUUUGGCUGCAGAUUCGAGGAUCCCGGAGACUCGAUCAUCCUUCUAUGAUGGUGAGCCUGUGCCUUGGAAGAUGGACGACAAGCUUACAACAUCAACAACUCCAUCAUCACCACUUCCGAAGAAAGAGACAUAAAUACAUGGGUAUGGGCACUCCCCUUGGCAACUGCCAAGCUUGAGGGAGGUGCCCCGGUAUCGUAUCACCAUCACACUCCUAUCUUUACCGUUUUUCUUAGUUCGAUCCUUUUGGUAAUAUCUUGAUCUAGUAGAAUAAAGUUUUAGUAUGAUUUAGUUUUGAGUUUUGCUUUAUGAUCCUUCUAUGUAAUCGAGUCCGUGAGCUAUAUAUAAUAAAGAUUAGUUUUAAGUUGAGGGCUUGGUUAUCUUGCUAUGAUCUUGAAGGAAUAAAAGAAAGAAUAAAAAUAAUUAAAGAGAUCAUAUUGAUCUUAUGGAGAGUAAUGACUUCACAUAUAAAGAGUAUGAUGAAUAAAAGUUGUUGAGAGUUGAGAAACAUAGUUUUGGUCAUCCUUGCAAUUAAUAGGAAGUAAUAAAGAAAGAGAGGUCUUCACAUAUAAAUAUACUAUCUUGGACAUCUUUUAUGAUUGUGAGCACUCAUUAAAAUAUGACAUGAUAAAAAGUUGAUGUUGGACAAGGAAGACAACGUAAUGGGUUUUGUUUUCUUAUAUCCGAAAUAAAGUAUAUUGUCAUGGAUCAUCCAACAUGUUGGGCUUGCCUUUCCCCCUCAUGCUAGCUUAAUUCUUUGCACCAAGUAGAGAUACUACUUGUGCUUCCAAAUAUCCUUAAACCUAGUUUUCUCAUGAGAGUCCACCAUACCUACCUAUGGAUUGAGUAAGAUCCUUCAAGUAAGUUGUCAUUGUUGCAUGCAAUAAAAAUUGCUCUCUAAAUAUGUAUGAUCUAUUAGUGUGGAGAAAAUAAGCUUUAUACGAUCUUGUGAUAUGGAAGCAAUAAAAGCGACAGACUGCAUAAUAAAGGUCCCUAUCACAAGUGGAAAUAUAAAGUGACGUUCUUUCGCAUUAAGAUUUUGUGCAUCCAACCAUAAAAGCAUAUGACAACCUCUGCUUCCCUCUGCGAAGGGCCUAUCUUUUAUUUUUGCUUUAUGUCUUAUGCAAGAGUCGCGGUGAUCUUCACCUUUCCUUUUUUACACUUUAUCCUUUGGCAAGCACAUGUGUGUUGAAAAGAUCCUGAUAUAUAUAUAUCCAAUUGGAUGUAAGUUAUCAUGAACUAUUAUUGUUGACAUUACCCUUGUGGUAAAAGGUUGGGAGGCAACACUAUAAGCCCCUAUCUUUCUCUGUGUCCGAUUAAAACUCCAUACCCAUAAGUAUUGCGUGAGUGUUAGCAAUUGUGAAAGACUAAAUGAUAGUUGAGUAUGUGGACUUGCUGAAAAGCUCUUAUAUCGACUCUUUCCGAUGUUAUGAUAAAUUGCAAUUGCUCCAAUGACCGAGAUCAUAGUUUGUUAGUUUUCAAUGAAGUUUCUGAUUCAUACUUGACAUUGUGAAUAGAUUGUUACUUUAGUAUAAAAAAUCAUAUGACAAUAUAUAUAUAUAUAUAUAUAUGUUGCUGUUAUAAGAAUGAUCAUGAUGCCCUCAUGUCCGUAUUCUAUUUUAUCGACACCUCUAUCUCUAAACAUGUGGAGAUAUUUUUCGUUAUCGGCUUCCGCUUGAGGACAAGCGAGGUCUAAGCUUGGGGGAGUUGAUACGUCCAUUUUGCAUCAUGCUUUUAUAUCGAUAUUUAUUGCAUUAUGGGCUGUUAUUACACAUUAUGUCACAAUACUUAUGCCUUUUCUCUCUUAUUUUACAAGAUUUACAUGAAGAGGGAGAAUACCGACAGCUGGAAUUCUGGGCUGAAAAGGAGCAAAUAUUAGAGACCUAUUCUGCACAACUCCAAAAGUCCUAAAACUCCACGGAAGUCAGUUUUGGAAUAUAUUAAAAAUAUUGGGCAAAGAAAGCACCAGAGGGGGCCACACCCUGUCCACGAGGGUGGGGGCGCGCCCCCUACCUCGUGCCCCCCCUGGCAGGCCUCUGGUGCCAAUCUUUUGCCAUAUAAAGUCUUUUGCCCUCGAAAAAAAUUGGGAGGAAGCUUUCGGGACGAAGCGCCGCUGUCUCGAGGCGGAACCUGGCGAAACCAAUCUAGGGCUCCGACGGAGCUGUUCUGCCGGGGAAACAUCCGUCCGGGAGGGGGAAAUCAUCACCAUCGUCAUCACCGUCGAUCCUCUCAUCGGGAGGGGGUCAAUCUCCAUCAACAUCUUCACCAGCACCAUCUCCUCUCAAACCCUAGUUCAUCUCUUGUAUCCAAUCUUUGUCUCAAAACCUCAGAUUGGUACCUGUGGGUUGCUAGGAGUGUUGAUUACUCCUUGUAGUUGAUGCCAGUUGGUUUAUUUGGUGGAAGAUCAUAUGUUCGGAUCCUUUAUGCAUAUUAAUACCCCUCUGAUUAUGAACAUGAAUAUGAUUUGUGAGUAGUUACGUUUGUUCCCGAGGACAUGGGAGAAGUCUUGCUAUAAGUAGUCAUGUGAAUUUGGUAUUCAUUCGAUAUUUUGAUGAGAUGUAUGUUGUCUUUCCUCUAGUGGUGUUAUGUGAACAUCGACUACAUGACACUUCACCAUUAUUUGGGCCUAGGGGAAGGCAUUGGGAAGUAAUAAGUAGAUGAUGGGUUGCUAGAGUGACAAAAGCUUAAACCCUAGUUUAUGCGUUGCUUCGUAAGGGGCUGAUUUGGAUCCAUAUGUUUCAUGCUAUGGUUAGGUUUACCUUAAUACUUAUUUUGUAGUUGCGGAUGCUUGCAAGAGGGGUUAAUCAUAAGUGGGAUGCUUGUCCAAGGAAGGGCAGUACCCAAGCACCGGUCCACCCACAUAUCAAAUUAUCAAAGUAACGAACGCGAACCAUAUGAGCGUGAUGAAAACUAGCUUGACGAUAAUUCCCAUGUGUCCUUGGGAGCGCUUUCCUUUAUAUAAGAGUUUGUCCAGGCUUGUCCUUUGCUACAAAAAGGAUUGGGCCACCUUGCUGCACCUUUUUUACUUUUGUUACUUGUUACCUGUUACAAAUUACCUUAUCACAAAACUAUCUGUCACCGAUAAUUUCAGUACUUGCAGAGAAUACCUUACUGAAAACCGCUUGUCAUUUCCUUCUGCUCCUCGUUGGGUUCGACACUCUUACUUAUCGAAAGGACUACGAUAGAUCCCCUAUACUUGUGGGUCAUCAUAGGUUUGUCAUGGUCUAGUAACAUGACUUCCAGAACAGGAUUACCGUACCACUCUGGUGUGGAACGUGCUCUGUUCGACCUACGAGGUCCAUUAGUAACUUGAUCUGAAGUUUCAUGAUCAUCAUCAUUAGCUUCCUCUCUAGUUGGUGUAGGCAUCAUGAGAACGGAUUUCUCUGAUGAGUUACUUUCCAAUUUGAUAGAAGGUACAAUUACCUCAUCGAGAUCAACUUUCCUCCCAGUCACUUCUUUCAAGAGAAACUCCUUCUCUAGAAAGGAUCCAUUCUUAGCAACAAAUAUCUUGCCUUCGGAUCUGUGAUAGAAGGUGUACCCAACAGUUUCUUUUGGGUAUCCUAUGAAGACGCACUUCUCCGAUUUGGGUUCGAGCUUAUAAGGCUGAAGCUUUUUCACAUAAGAAUCGCAACCCCAAACUUUAAGAAACGACAACUUAGGUUUCUUGCCAAACCACAGUUCAUAUGGUGUCGUCUCAAUGGAUUUAGAUGGUGCCCUAUUUAACAUGAAUGCAGCUGUCUCUAAUGCAUAACCCCAAAAUGAUAGUGGUAAAUCGGUAAGAGACAUCAUAGAUCGCACCAUAUCUAAUAAAGUACGGUUACGACGUUCGGACACACCAUUACGCUGUGGUGUUCCAGGUGGCGUGAGUUGCGAAACUAUUCCACAUUGUUUUAAAUGAAGACCAAACUCGUAACUCAAAUAUUCGCCUCCAUGACCAGAUCGUAGAAACUUUAUUUUCUUGUUGCGAUGAUUUUCCACUUCACUCUGAAAUCUUUGAACUUUAAAAAUGUUUCAGACUUGUGUUUCAUUAAGUAGAUAUACCCAUAUUUGCUCAAAUCAUCUGUGAAGGUCAGAAAAUAAUGAUACCCACCGCGAGCCUCAACACUCAUCGGACCGCAUACAUCAGUAUAUAUUAUUUCUAAUAAGUCAGUGGCUCGCUCCAUUGUUUCGGAGAACGGAGUCUUAGUCAUCUUGCCCAUGAGGCAUGGUUCGCAAGCAUCAACUGAUUCAUAAUCAAGUGAUUCCAAAAGCUCAUCUGCAUGGAGUUUUUUCAUGCACUUUACACCAAUAUGACCUAAACGGCAGUGCCAGAAAUAAGUUGCACUAUCAUUAUUAACUUUGCAUCUUUUGGCAUCAAUAUUAUGAAUAUUUUUAUCACCACGAUCGAUAUUCAACAAAAAUAGACCACUCAUCAAGGGUGCAUGACCAUAAAAGAUAUUACUCAUAUAAAUAGAACAACCAUUAUUCUCUGAUUUAAAUGAAUAACCAUCUCGCAUCAAAGAAGAUCCAGAUAUAAUGUUCAUGCUCAACGCUGGCACCAAAUAACAAUUAUUCAGGUCUAAAACUAAUCCUGAAGGUAGAUGUAGAGGUAGCGUGCCGACGGCGAUCACAUCGACCUUGGAACCAUUUCCAACGUGCAUCGUCACCUCGUCCUUAGCCAAUCUUUGUUUAAUCCGUAGCCCAUGUUUCGAGUUGCAAAUAUGAGCAACAGAACCAGUAUGAAAUACCCAGGCGCUACUACGAGCAUUAGUAAGGUACACAUCAAUAACAUGUAUAUCAAAUAUACCUUUCACUUUUCCAUCCUUCUUAUCCGCCAAAUGCUUGGGGCAGUUCCGCUUCCAGUGACCAGUCCCUUUGCAGUAGAAGCACUCAGUUUCAGGCUUAGGUCCAGACUUGGGCUUCUUCCGGGGUGCAGCAACUUUCUUGCUAUUCUUCCUGAAGUUCCCCUUCUUUCCUUUGCCCUUUUUCUUGAAACUAGUGUUCUUGUUAACCAUCAACACUUGAUGCUCCUUCUUGAUUUCUACCUUUGCAGCCUUGAGCACUUCAAAGAGCUCGAGAAUCGUCUUGUUCAUCCUUGCAUAUUAUAGUUCAUCACGAAGCCUUUAUAGCUCGGUGGCAGUGAUUGAAGAACUCUGUCAAUGACACUAUCAUCCAGAAGAUUAACUCCCAGCUGAGUAAAGUGGUUAUGGUACCCAAACAUUCCGAGUAUGUGUUCACUGACAUAACUGUUCUCCUCCAUCUUUGCAGCUAUAGAACUUGUUGGAGACUUCAUAUCUCUCAACUCGGGCAUUUGCUUGAAAUAUUAACUUCAACUCUUGGGACAUCUCAUAUGCUCCAUGACGUUCAAAAUGUCUUUGAAGUCCCGAUUCUAAGACGUAAAGCAUGGCACACUAAACCAUCGAGUAGUCAUCAGAUUUAGCUUGCCAGACAUUCAUAACAUCAGCAGUUGCUCCUGUAGUAGGCCUUGCACCUAGCGGUGCAUCAAGGACGUAAUUCUUCUGUGCAGCAAUGAGGAUAAUCCUCAAGUUACGGACCCAGUCUGUGUAGUUGCUACCAUCAUCUUUCAACUUAGCUUUCUCUAGGAACGCAUUAAAAUUCAAGGGAACGGUAGCACGGGCCGUUGAUCUACAACAUAGAUAUGCAAAAACUAUCAUGACUAAGUUCACGAUAAAUUUAAGUUCAAUUAAUCAUAUUACUUAAGAACUCCCACUUAGAUAGACAUCCCUCGAGUCAUCUAAAUGAUCACGUGAUCCAUAUCAAGUAAACCAUGUCAGAUCAUCACGUGAGAUGGAGCAGUUUUCAAUGGUGAACAUCUCUAUGUUGAUCAUAUCUACUAUAUGAUUCACGUUCGACCUUUCGGUCUCAGUGUUCCGAGGCCAUGUCUGUACAUGCUAGGCUCGUCAAGUUUAACCCGAGUAUUCUGCACGUGUAAAACUAUCUUGCACCCGUUGUAUGUGAACGUAGAGCUUAUCACACCUGAUCAUCACGUGGUGUUUCGGCACGACGAGCUGUCGCAAUGGUGCAUACUCAAGGAGAACACUUAUACCUAGAAAUUUAGUGAGGGAUCAUUGAUGGGGCUUGAAGCUACAUCGGUAUUUCCCCAAAGAGGAAGGGAUGAUGCAGCACAACGGCGGUAGGUAUUUCCCUCAGAUGUGAAACCAAGGUUAUCGAACCAGUAGGAGAACCAAGCAACACAACGUAAACAACACAUGCACACAAAUAACAACUACUCGCAACCCGAUGUGUAAAAGGGGUUGUCAAUCCUGUUGUGGAAUUGUCACGGCAGAUGUCCUAGUGUGAGGACUUAGUCGUGAGGCCAACGCAUCUAUGUGGUAGCUUGAGAGGGGUUGAGUGGAAUCGAGAAACACAACACAAGACAAGGGUUUAGACAGCUUCGGGCCCCGGGAAACAUCAUCCGGUAACAACCCUACAUGCUGUUUGUGGCUAGGUCUCAUUAUCAUCACGAGGGAGUCGCCGUAAACUGGCUCUCCCAGUUAUGUCUAGCCCUAAGAUUGUUUCUUCUUGCUUGUCCCUCUUUGGGGAGCCCUGCCCCUCCUUAUAUAAGUUGAAGGGGCGGGUUACAUGUAGAGUCCAACUCGGACUUAAGACUUAACUAUUCUGACUUCUCUUCAUGGGCUUCUUAACAUCUUGGGCUUCAUAACGUCUCGGGCUUCAUAACCCCUGGCAACCCAGUUAUCACUGUCUGCCGGUUUAUGACUGGUGCCGGUUUAUGAUGGUCUGCCGGUUUAUGAUUGUCUGCUGAGUUAUCAUCUAACUUAACUCCUGCCGGGUUAUCAUCUGACUUAACUCCUGCCGGGUUAUCAUCUGACUUAACUCCUGCCGGGUUAUCAUCUGACUUAACUCCUGCCGGGUUAUCAUCUGACUUAACUCCUGCCGGGUUAUCAUCUGACUUAACUCCUGCCGGGUUAUCAUCUGACUUAACUCCUGCCGGUUUACCACCUGCCAGUUUACCAUCUGUCUUAGCCAUCUGUCUUAACUAUCUGUCUUAACUGUCUGCCAGUUUACCAUCCGCCGGUUUACCAAGUCCAAGCCGGGUUAUGACUCCAGCCGGGUCAUACCGCGGGGUAUAUCCCCGACAAAUCCCUUUCGGGUAGCGGCUCCCCAGAUGGGCAAACAGACGUGAGAUAAAAUUGUAGUAAAUUGAUAGAUCAAACGCCAAAUAAAAUAAAUAAGAAUAAAUUGCAGCAAGAUAUUUUUGUAUUUUUGGUUUAAUAGAUCUGAAAAUAAAAGCAAAGGAAAACUAGAUCGAAAAGGCAAAUAAUAUGAGAAAGAGACCCGGGGGCCGUAGGUUUCACUAGUGGCUUCUCUCGAGAAAAUAGCAAACGGUGGGUGAACAAAUUACUGUUGGGCAAUUGACAAAACUUCAAAUAAUCAUGAUGAUAUCUAGGCAAUGAUCAUUACAUAGGCAUCACGUCCAAGAUUACUAGAUCGACUCCUGCCUGCAUCUACUACUAUUACUCCACACAUCGACCGCUAUCCAGCAUGCAUCUAGUGUAUUAAGUUCAUGGAGAAACGGAGUAAUGCAAUAAGAAUGAUGCCAUGAUGUAGACAAGAUCUAUCUAUGUAGAGAUAGACCCCAUCGUUUUAUCCUUAGUAGCAACGAUACAUAAGUGUCGGUUCCCCUUCUGUCACUGGGAUCAAGCACCGUAAGAUCGAAUCCACUACAAAGCACCUCUUCCCAUUGCAAGAUAAAUAGAUCAAGUUGGCCAAACAAAACCCAAAUAUCGGAGAAGAAAUAUGAGGCUAUAAGAAAUCAUCAUAUAAGAGAUCAAAGAAACUCAAAUAACUUUCAUGGAUAUAAAAAGAUAGAUCUGAUCAUAAACUCAAAGUUCAUCGAUGAUACGUCUCCAACGUAUCUAUAAUUAUUGAUUUCCUGCGAUGUAAAAAACAUGCAGAAAAUAGCAACUCGCACUUGGCACUAUGUCAAUAGGUUAGUAGCAAAAAAUGAUAUAAAAUGACUAUAAAAUGGCUAUAAAACACCCAAGAUUGAUAAUAUAACAGCAUGGAACAAUAAAAAAUUAUAGAUACGUUGGAGACGUAUCAGCAUCCCCAAGCUUAACUCCUACUCAUCCUCGAGUAGGUAAGUGAUAAAAACAGAAUUUUUGAUGUGGAAUGCUGCCUAUCAUGUCAUAUCAUAUUUCUUUUCUUUAAAGCAUGGACAUUUCGACUUUUCUAUUGUUUAGAGCAAUACUAUAGUUUUGACAUGAUAACUUAAAUACUGAAGCAUUCAACAAGCAACCAUGUCUUUCAAAAUAUCAACGCUGAAAUAAGUUAUCCCUAGCCCAUCAUCCUCAAUCAUUGAUCCAUUCAUGAAACACAUUCACAUAUUAUCUACACCCAAUGCUCAAGUAUGAUCAUAGUGCCUCCUAGUUGGUGCUUUUAUAAGAGAAGAUGGAGACUCAAAUUCAGAAAUAAAAAUUGCAUAAAGUAAAAGAAAGGCCCUUCGCAGAGGGAAGUAGGGAUUUGAAGAGGUGCCAGAGCUCAAAGCAAAAAAUUGAGAGAUAAAAACAUUUUGCGAGGUGUAUCCUUCCCACCAACGAAAACAACUUCGAGUUACCAACACUUUCCAUGCUAGAUAUAUCAUAGGCAGUUCCCAAACAAAAAAUAAAGUUUAUUCCUUUUUCAACCAUACUCUCACUUUCCAUGGCUAGCCGUAUCCACGGUUGCCCUCCAUACCAACACUUUCCAAGGAAUUUAUUAUUGGACAACAUAAAGUAAAUUCAUUUUUCAUUUAGGGACUGGGCAUCCCUAAUACCUUUGCCUUACUCUCAUGCAAUGCCAAGUGAAUAAACACUCAUCGUGAGAAUAACACAUCUAGCAUGGAAAAUAUUAGCCACCCCUCACCGCUCUGCGAGCGAAACGAACAGACAAAAGAGAAGUUUGUUAUGAAAAUUAGAGAUGGUACAUACAAAUUUGCUUAGAACGGCAAAAGAAUACUGCAUAUAGGUAGAUAUAGUGGACUCAUGUGGCAAAACUGUUUUAAAGGUUUUUGGAUGCACAAGUAGAGAUCAUACUUUGUGCAAAAUGAAGGCUAGCAAAAGAUUGAGAAGCGACCAACCAAGAAACGAAUAAUCUCAUAAGCGAGCAUUAAGCAUAAUUAACACCGAAUAAUGCACCACAAGUAGGAUAUAAUUUCAUUGCAUAAUUAUUGCCGUUCGUGCUUGCAUAUGGAAUCACAAACCUUAACACCAAUAUUCUUACUAAAGCAUAAUUACUCAUCAACAUAACUCACAUAUCACAUCAUCAUAUCUCAAAACUAUUACUAAGAAUCAAGUUUAUUUUGUCCAAUGAUCUUCAUGAAAGUUUUUAUUCUAUCCUUCUUGGAUAUCUAUCACUUUGGAUCUAAUUUUUAAUAUGUUGCUUUUGAUAAGCUCAAACAAAUAUAAGUGAGGAUCAUGAGCAUAAUUUUUCUUUCUUUCUCUCAAAUUAAUUUAAGUGAAGCAAGAGAGUAUUUCUUGAAAAUUUUACUAACUCUCAAAUAAAUCUAAGUGAAGCAAGAGAUCAUUUCUUCAAAAAUACUAAAGCACACCGUGCUCAAAAAGAUAUAAGUGAAGCACUAGAGCAAGUCCAUAGCUCAUAAAAAUUUAAGUGAAGCAAAGAGAGCAAUUCUAACAAGUCAUGACAUAAUUUUGGCUCUCUCAAAUAGGUGUGUCCAGCAAGGAAUUAAGACUUAAAACACAAAAUAAAACAAGCAAAGACUCAUAUCAUACAAGACGCUCCAACCAAAACACAUAGUAUGUGACGAAUAAAAAUAUAGCUUCGAGUAAAAUACCGAUGGUCGUUAGAAGAAAGAGGGGAUGCCACUCGGGGGCAUCCCCAAGCUUAGUUGCUUGCUCAUUUUUGGAUAAUAGCUGGGGAUGUCGGGGCAUCCCCAAGCUUAGGCUCUUCUUACUCCUUAUUCCUUCAUCCAUCGUAAGAUGACCCAAAACUUGAAAACUUCAAUCACACAAAACUCAACAAAACCUUCGUGAGAUCCGUUAGUGUAAGAAAGCAAAUCACUACUAUAAGUACUAUACCAAACCAAUUCAUAUUUUGUUUUUGCAUUAUAUCUAAUGUAUUCCAACUUUUCUAUGGCAAAAAAUCAUCAAAGAAAACCAUAGAGCCAUCAAAACAAGCACACAACACAAAGAAAACAGAAUCUGUCAAAACAGAACAGUCUGUAGCAAUCUGACUAUUUGGAAAACUUCUGGAAUUCCAAAAAUUCUGAAAAAUAAGGCGACCUAAGAAAAUUGUAUAUUAAUAUACUUAAAAAAGAAUUGGCAUUUUAGCAUGCUCUGGUAAAAAAUGGGAAUUGUUUUCGUGAGCACAAAAGUUUCUGUUUUUCAGCAGGAUAAACAACUAUUACCCAAGAAGAUCCUAAUGGCUUUACUUGGCACAAACACUAAUUAAAACACAAAAAACACAAUCAUAAUAGUAGAAUAAUUUUGUAAACACUCAAGAACAUAAAGCAAAAAUAAAUUUUAUUCAUUGGGUUUCCUCCCAACAAGCGCUAUAGUUUUACGCCCUUAGCUAGGCAUAAAGCAAGGAUCUAAGUUUUGUCAUCUUUGGUUCGAGAUCCAUAAGAUUCUCCCAUGAUUGAUUCUUAAGGUGGACUAAUUCUUGUUCUAGGAAAGUGUUCCAUACCCUACCUCAAGGGAAAUUGGAAUUUAAUAUUGCCUUCUUUCAUAUCAAUCACGACACCGAUAGUGCGUAAAAACGGUCUACCAAGAAUAAUUGGACAAGACGGAUUGCAAUCAAUAUCAAGAGCAAUAAAAUCUAUGGGCACAUAAUUCCUAUUUGCAAGAAUAAUAACAUCAUUAAUUCUUCCCAUAGGAUUUUUAAUAGUAGAAUCCGACAAGUGCAAAUUCAAAGAACAUUCUUCAAGAUUGGUAAGACCAAGCACAUUACAUAAAGAUUUCGGAAUUGUAGAAACACUAGCACCCAAGUCACACAAAGCAAAACACUCAUAAUUUUUAAUCUUGAUUUUGAUAGUAGGUUCCCAUUCAUCAUGCAAUUUUCUAGGAAUUGAAACUUCUAAUUCCAAUUUUUUUUUCAAAAGCUUUCAUCAUAGCAUCAACAAUAUGUUUAGUAAAAGCUUUAUUUUGUUCAUAAGCAUGGGGUGAAUUUAUCAUGGAUUGCAACAAAGAAAUACAAUCAAUCAAAGAGCAACUAUCAUAAUUAAAGUCUCUGUAAUCCAAAAGAGUGGGCACAUCACUAGCUAAAGUUUUGACCUCUUCAAAUCCACUUUCAUCAAUUUUCUCAACAAGAUUUUCACCCUCCGAAAUAUUGGGACGCCUUCUAGCUAAAGUUGACUCUUCUCGAGUCCCUUUUUCAUCAAUCUUAAUUUUACUAAACAAGGAAUCAAUAGAAGAAACACUAAUCAUUUUAAGAUCUACAUCACUUUUAUCCUCUAGUGAGAUUGGUUUAGCGUCCAUUUGAUUUACUAGAGUAGCUUGUGCAUCGGAUAUUUUUCCUAACAAACUUUCAGCAAAAGCAUACUUGGAUUGGAGAUUGCAAACUUCUCUACUAAUAUCAUCAAGUUGUUUUGUUAUAGCAUCAAGCACAACAGAGUGUUCCUUAAGUUCUUCGGUAAAAUAAUUAUUAUGCUCAAGUUGUGUAGUCAUAUAUUCCUUAGUACUUUUCUCAAUUUCAAGCAAAAUAUUGGGGUAAGGAACAUCAUAAUAUUUUCUUUGAGGCAUCAUGACUAUGCAAAUAAGAACACACACAAAACUAGAUCCGGCAAGAAAACGACGAACGAAAAAGAGGGGCGAAUAAAAUGGCAAAUUUCUGUGAAGUGGGGGAGAGGAAAACGAGAGGCAAAUGGCAAAUAAUGUAAAUUGCGAGGAGAUGAGAUUUGUGAUUAGGAACCUGGUAUAUGUUGAAGAUCCUCCCCGGCAACUGCGCCAGAAAUUCCUUUUGAUGCGGCUUGAAGCUACGUCGGUAUUUCCCCAAAGAGGAAGGGAUGAUGCAGCACAUCGGCGGUAGGUAUUUCCCUCUGAUGUGAAACCAAGGUUAUCGAACCAGUAGGAGAACCAAGCACCAUAACGUAAACAACACCUGCACACAAAUAACAAAUACUCGCAACCCGACGUGUAAAAGGGUUUGUUCGGGUAGCGGCGCCCCAGACGGGCAAACGGACGUGAGAUAAAAUUGUAGUAAAUUGAUAGAUCGAACGCCAAAUAAAAUAAAUAAGAAUAAAUUGCAGCAAGGUAUUUUUGUAUUUUUGGUUUAAUAGAUCUGAAAAUAAAAGCAAAGGAAAAGUAGAUCGCAAAGGAAAAUAAUAUGAGAAAGAGACCCGGGGGCCGUAGGUUUCACCAGUGGCUUCUCUCGAGAAAAAUAACAAACGGUGGGUGAACAAAUUACUGUUGGGCAAUUGAAAAAACUUCAAAUAAUCAUGACGAUAUCCAGGCAAUGAUAAUUACAUAGGCAUCACAUCCAAGAUUAGUAGACCGACUCCUGCCUGCAUCUACUACUAUUACUCCACACAUCGACCGCUAUCCAGCAUGCAUCUAGUGUAUUAAGUUCAUGGAUAAACGGAGUAAUGCAAUAAGAACAAUGACAUGAUGUAGACAAGAUCUAUCUAUGUAGAGAUAGACCCCAUCGUUUUAUCCUUAGUAGCAACGAUACAUAUGUGUCGGUUGAUACAUCUCCUUCGUAUCUAUUAAUUUUUGAUUGUUUCAUGCCAAUAUUAUACCACUUUCACAUACUUUUGGCAACUUUUUAUAUGAUUUAUUGGACUAACCUAUUGAUCAAGUGCCCAGUGCCAGUUCCUGUUUUCUGCAUGUUUUUUCUAUCGCAGAGUAUCCAUAUCAAACAAAGUCCAAACGUGAUGACAAUUUACGGAGAAUUAUUUUGGAAUAUAUGUGGUUUUUGGGAGUUGGAAUCACCGCAAACGGAGGCCCACACAGGGCACGAUACACCAGCGCAAGGGCCAGGAGCCUGGCGCGCGGUGGUGGGUUGUACCCACCUCGUACGUCAGAUGGAGCUGUACUUCGGGCGCAAGGAAGCUUAUAUCUGGAAAAAAAUCAUGUUAAAAUCUCAGCGCAAUCGGAGUUACGGAUCUCCGGGAAUGUAAGAAACAGUUUUCGGUCAGAUCUGAGGAACGCGAAACAGAAGAGAACAGAGAGGGAGAUCCAAUCUCGGAGGGGCUCCUGCCCGUCCGCCGCCAAGGAGCCAUGGACUAGAGGUGGAUCCCUCCUCCCAUCUAGGGGGGAGGCCAAGGAAGAAGAAGAAGGAGGGGGGCUCUCUACCCCUCUCUCCCGGUGGCGCCGGAGUGCCGCCGGGGCAACGAUCGGGACGGCGAUCUACAUCAACAAUCUUGCUACCGUGAACACCAACUUUCUCCCCCUCUAUGCAGCGGUGUAACACCUCUUCCCCCGCUGUAAUCUCUACUUAAACAUGGUGCUCAACUCCAUUUAUUAUUUCCCAAUGAUCUAUGGUUAUCCUAUGAUGUUUGAGUAGAUCCGUUUUGUCCUAUGGGUUAAUCAUGAUCUUGGUUGGUAUGAUUGUAUAUUAUAUUUAUGGUCUUGUCCUACGGUGCCCUCCAUCUCGCGCAAACAUGAGGGGCCCCCGCUGUAGGGUGUUGCAAUAUGUUCAUGAUUUGCUUAUUGUCAGUGUUGCGAGAGUGACAUAAACUUAAAUGUGGAUUGGUGGGUUAUGGCGUACGGGAGUAAAGAUUACUUGAUACUUAAUGCUAUGGUUGGGUUUCAUGACCUUAAUGAUCUUUAGUAGUUGCGGAUGCUUGCUAGAGUUCCAAUCAUAAGUGCAUAUGAUCCAAGUAGAGAAAGUAUGUUAGCUCAUGCCUCUCCCUCAUAUAAAAUUACAAGAAUGAUUACCAGUACUUGUUAUCGAUUACCUAGGGACAAACGACUUUCUUAUUGGCAAAAGCUAUCCUCUUUUAUUAUCUUUCAAUUUAUCGUAGUUUUAUUCUCGCAAAGUACUCGUAGUUUUAUUAUUGCCAAAUAGUUUCAUACUUGUUUCCGGUAAAGCAAACGUCAAGCGUGCGUAGAGUUGUAUCGGUGGUCGGUAGAACUUGAGGGAAUAUUUGUUCUACCUUUAUCUCCUCAUUGGGUUUGACACUCCUAUUUAUCGAAAAACGCUACAAACGACCCCCUAUACUUGUGGGUUAUCAAGACCUUUUUCUGGCGCCGUUGCCGGGGAGCAAUAGCGUGGGGUGAAUAUUCUCGUGUGUGCUUGUUUGCUUUAUCACUAAGUAGUUUUUAUUUCUCGUUCUAAGUUGUUCUCUAUCUUUAGUUAUGGAUAUGGAACACGAAACACCAAAAAAAUUAGUGGUACUUGCUACUCAUGGAGAUGGGGAACCUCCUAAAACCCUCGAUGCUCGUUUUGUGAAAAAUAUUAUGCACUACUUUGAUAAUCCUGAGAAAACCCCAUUCAACUUGAUAAUGGGAGUAACGUUGGAUCAACAUGAAUACUUUAGGGAUUAUCGCUUGACUCAAAAGGGAAAACUUUUAUGGGAUCAAAUUGAAAUGUUGCAAUGGUAUGCUUGGGAUUUAUGCCAGAGACAUGAUUAUACUUGUUGCUCUAGGAUGAAUGCUCCACAUCUUCCUUUUUCAUGUGAAUUUAAUGAUAAUGAAACCUUGGCUUCUUAUUCUAAUGGUAUGUAUGAUUUCUAUGAUGUGGAACGAAUAGAAGAAUUUGUUGCUUUUAAGGGUGCUUAUGAAAUAGAAUCUUUGUUUGAAAAGUUUGAAGAUUUUGAUGAUUCAGUUUAUGGACCUGAAAAUUUUGCUAUCCUUAAAUAUUGCUAUGUUAAUUAUAAAUACAAUUCCGAUAUUGAUGCAUUUAUUGAGAAAGUCUCCGCUGUGCAAGAAGAGACUAAUAUUUUGUAGGAGUCUAUGGAAGAAGGAAUUGAUGAAACUGUGAGCUCAUUGGAUGAAAAGGAUGAUGAGGAGAGCGAAGAACAAGCGAAGGAAGAUUGGAUUGAUCACCCGUGCCCGCCUUCUAAUGAUAGUAACCCUCCAACUCAUACAUUGUUUAAUGUUCCUUCGUUCUUACCGGAGGAUGAAUCCUAUGAUAAUUGCUAUGAUCCCGUUGGUUCUUUUGAAAUAUCCCUUUUUGAUGAACUUGAUGCUUACUAUGCUUGUGGCCCAGAUGCCAAUAUAAAUUAUGCUUAUGGAGAUGAACUUGCUAUAGUUCCUUAUGUUAAGAAUGAAAUUGUUGCUAUUGCACCCACACAUGAUAGUCCUAUUACCUUUUUGAAUUCUCCAAACUACACUAUAUCGGAGAAGUUUGCACUUGUUAAGGAUUACAUUGAUGGGUUGCGUUCUACCGUUGCACAUGAUGAUUUUGAUGAAUAUAAUAUGCAUGUGCUUGCUUCUCCUACUUGCAAUUAUUAUGAGAGAGGAACUAUAUCUCCACCUCUCUAUGUUUCCAACACGAUAAAAUUGCAAGAAACUUCUUAUACUAUGUAUUGGCCUUUACUUGAUGUGCAUGAAUUGUUCUUGUAUGACAUGCCGAUGUAUAGGAAGAGAGUUAGACUUCGUCAUUGCUUGACAUAUGUUGCUUUGUGCUCACUACUAAAUGCCAAAUCAUUGUUAAUUCAAACUGGCUUUGAUAUACCUUGGGAUCCGGGUGGAUUCAUUACUUGAGCACUUUAUGCCUAGCUUAAUGGCUUUAAAGAAAGCGCUGCCAGGGAGACAACCUGGAAGUUUUAGAGAGUCAUUUAUUUCUGUUGAGUGCUUUUAUAUAGUUAAAAAAAUAUAGAGGGGAACUUAAAACUUCACAAAAAUAAAAGUGAAAGUGAGAUAGACGAGCAUUGUGAAAGUGGGGGACGUCCUUGAACUUUGUUCAUGCCCAUGGAAAAUUUGUGAAUCUUAAUUACAGAAACUUUUCAACAAAAAUAAUUAUCCCCUUGUACAAUUCCAUUGUAUUAUAAAAAUAAUGUGCCAAGAUUUGCCUUUAGGAUGUUUACACCGCUUGUUGGUUUGUGCGGUGCAAAACAGAAACUUUGGUUGUAGUGCGCGAUUUUACAUUUUUUUGCUGGAACGUCAAAAGGUUCUGAAACUUUUUGCACUGGCUUUAUAUACAAAUUGUUUAUUUUUCUGUGACGCCCCCGAUUCAAUCGUACACUAAUCAUGCACGCAAAAAUGUAUGAUUAAGAUCAGGGACUCACGCGAAGAUAUCACAACACAACUCUAAAAACAUAAAUAAGUCAUAGAAGCAUCAUAAUACAAGCCAAGGGCCUCGAGGGCUCGAAUACAAGUGCUCGAUCAUAGACGAGUCAGCGGAAGCAAUAAUAUCUGAGUACCGACAUAAGUUAAACAAGUUGCCAUAAGAUGGCUAGCACAAACUGGGAUACAGAUCGAAAGAGGCGCAUGCCUCCUGCCUGGGAUCCUCCUAAACUACUCCUGGUCGUCGUCAGCAGCCUGCACGUAGUAGUAGGCACCUCCAGUGUAGUAGCAGUCGUCGUCGACGGUGGCGUCUGGCUCCUGGGCUCCGGCAUCUGGUUGCGACAACCAGGUAGAAGGGAAAGGGGGAAAAGAGGGAGAAAAGCAACCGUGAGUACUCUUCCAAAGUACUCGCAAGCAAGGAGCUACACUACAUAUGAAUGGGUAUAUGUGUAAAGGGCCAUAUCGGUGGACUGAACUGUAGAAUGCCAGAAUAAGAGGGGGAUAGCUAAUCCUGUCGAAGACUAUGCUUCUGGCCACCUCCAUCUUGCAGCAUGUAGAAGAGAGUAGAUGGUAAGUUCACCAAGUAGCAUCGCAUAGCAUAAUCCUACCCGGCGAUCCUCUCCUCAUUGCCCUGUUAGAGAACGAUCACCGGGUUGUAUCUGGCACUUGGAAGGGUGUGUUUUUAUUAAGUAUCAGGUUCUACUUGUCAUAAGGUCAAGGUACAACUCCGGGUCGUCCUUUUACCGAGGGACACGGCUAUUCGAAUAGAUAAACUUCCCUGCAGGAGUGCACCACAUUACCCAACACGCUCGAUCCCCUUUGGCCGGACACACUUUCCUGGGUCAUGAACGGCCUCGAAAGAUCAACAUGUCGCAGCCCUACCUAGGCACAACAUAGAGGUCAGCACGCCGGUCUAAAUCCUAUGGCGCAGGGGUCUGGGCCCAUCGCCCAUUGCACACCUGCACGUUGCGAGGGCGGCCGGAAGCAGACCUAGCCCCCUUAAUACAAGCGCAGGCUUACGGUCCAAUCCGCCGCGCGCCGCUUAGUCGCUGACGUCAAGAAGGCUUCGGCUGAUACCACGACGUCGAGUGCCCAUAACUGUUCCCGUGUAGUUGGUUAGUGCGUAUAGGCCAGUGGCCAGACUCAGAUCAAAUACCAAGAUCUCGUUAAGCGUGUUAUUAUGAAGUAACCGCGAACGCCGACCAGGGCCAGGCCCACCUCACUCCUAGGUGGUCUCAACCUGCCCUGUCGCUCCGCCACAAAGUAACAGUCGGGGGCCGUCGGGAACCCAGGCCCACCUCUACCGGGAUGGAGCCACCUGCCCCUUCAGCCCCCAUCUCCGAAUAGUAUCAUAAGUAAUGUAAUAGUAUAAAGUAUAUAGCAUAUGCCUGUGAUCACCUCCUGAAGUGAUCGCGGCCCAGUAGUAUAGCAUGGCAGACGGACAAGAGUGUAGGGCCACUAAUGGAAUACUAGCAUCCUAUACUAAGCAUUUAGGAUUGUAGGUAAGGGUAACAACUGUAGCAACAAUGACAGGCUAUGCAACAGAAUAGGAUUAACCGAAAGCAGUAACAUGCUACACUAUUCUAAUGCAAGCAGUAUAGAGAAGAAUAGGCNNNNNNNNNNNNNNNNNNNNNNNNNNNNNNNNNNNNNNNNNNNNNNNNNNNNNNNNNNNNNNNNNNNNNNNNNNNNNNNNNNNNNNNNNNNNNNNNNNNNNNNNNNNNNNNNNNNNNNNNNNNNNNNNNNNNNNNNNNNNNNNNNNNNNNNNNNNNNNNNNNNNNNNNNNNNNNNNNNNNNNNNNNNNNNNNNNNNNNNNNNNNNNNNNNNNNNNGGGGGGGGGGCUUGCCUGGUUGCUCUGGUAAGAAGGGUUCGUCGUCGAUGUAGGCGAUCACAGGGGUACCGGCAGCGGUCUCGGGAUCUACCGGAAAGAAGUAACGGAGGGGAACACAAUAAAUAAUAGAGCAAUCAAAGCAUCACAAAGCGUAACAUGGCAAUGCGCGGUGCUAGAGGUGAUCUAACGCAGGGAUAGGUAAUAUCGGCGAAGGGGGGAAACAUCCGGGAAAGUAUCCCCGGAGUUUCGUGUUUUCGGACAGAUGAACCGGAGGGGGAAGGUUGCAGGUUUGCUAUGCUAGGGACGCGUGGCGGACGAACGGGCUGCGUAUCCGGAUUCGUCUCGUCGUUCUGGGAAACUUUCAUAUAUAAAUUAUUUCCAUCCGAGUUACGGAUUAUUUUAUAUGAUUUUUUAAAGAUUAAAAGAUUUUAUGGAAAACUUUUAUUUCGAAAAUAAAUGACUAAAAGCUAGGUGUACCCAGGGUGUGUACACUACCAGUGCGGUUGUUUGACUGCCAGGUGGGGCCAGAGUCAAAAUCAACAGCCCUGUCAGAGUUGACCAGUCAAAGUCAACAGUGCCGACGGGACCCAAUUGUCAUAGAUAGUAGGUAAUUUGAUUUUUGUUUAAUCUCUAGGGUACCUGCAUGUCAGUGUCACAUGUGCUAAUAAAAGUAACUAGACUAAAUUAAUCUAGAAAGGGCCACAUGUCAUCUACACAUCUCACUAACUAAACAAAUAAACUAACCCAAUCUAUUCCUAGACUAAUCUAACUGGGGCGGCCUUGCUGGGUAGUAGAACAUACAGUCACGUAUGCACGGGAGUGCAUAGCGACCAUGGCCUGCGUUGGCAGCUGCACGCAGUAGCAAAGAGCAGCGGCAAGGAUUAGGAGCAGCAGCGGCAAUGAGCCGGAGCAGAGAGCACCAAUGGUGGCAUGAGCAGCAGCAAAGUAGCAGGCGCGAGUAGCAAGCAAAGGCAUCGGCAACGGAGCAGUAGCAGAAGAUAGCAGCAGCGACAACAGCAGGAGGCGGGCGUGGGCGCGUGGGCUGGGCGCGGGACGCAGCGGCCGGGCGCGCGCAGGGGCGGCAGGCAGCAGCGGUUCCAGAGCAGCAGCAGCGCGGGCACGCACGGGAGCUCGAGCUCCGGCCAUGGCGGCCGAAGUGCGGGGCGGCUAAACGGCGACGGAUCGAGGGCGUGAGCAGGGGGAGCGGGCAGAGGAGCUCACAGUGGACUCGGGGACGUGGUCGGGGCGGCCGGGGAUGGACUGGAUUAGCGGCAAACGACGGCGGACGGCCAUGAUGUACGCGGAGAUGAGCUCGAUGGCGACUGUACAGUACGUCCCUGCUCGAGAGUGUUGUUGUGGAGGUAGAGGGCGUCGAGGCGCAGCUCCUGGGUGCCUUCGAGCGGGACGGGGUGGUGCCGGAGCGUGCCAACAACGAGGCGGCGUCGACGGCUGCGUACGGGUGCCUCUCCAGAUCGGGGAGGAGAGCAAGGGGGAAGAAGUGGAUAAGGUAGGGUUCGACAGCGGCGUCGGGGACGGUCUCCUUAUCCACCAAAGGGCCGCGGGAUGCUUGACAGCGAGGCAAUCGGCGGGUGGACGGCGUACGUGCCAUGGCCACUCUGCCUCUGGUGAGAGGUUGGGGAAAAGGCCAAUGCGGGCUGGGCCUUAUGCACUGUAGCAAUAGGCUUUAUGAGCACAGUCUGUGCCGGGCCUCGUAAGAGCAUAGUGCCCUUUUCCUCUCUUUCAUUUUCUUUAUAUAUUUUUUUAUUAGCUACUGUUUUGUGUUAAGUUGAGCCACCAAAUGAAUUUUUUAAAAGUCCCACUUGUUAGAACAAAUACUAUGAAUUAUCUAGUACUUCAACAAAAAGUUUGGAGGCAAUAAGAUUUCAUUUAAAUUUUAUAUAAAUGAAAACGGAUUAAUGGGGAUGUUUUGGGCACUGUUUUAUUUGCCCGGGGCAUUCUAAACAUCUCCAAAAAUGUUGGUUUAUUCAUGAAAAUUAAUUAGUGAAUGUUUGCAACCUAACAAACAUUUUUAUUUUAAUGUUUGAAGAAUUAAUAACUUGACAUUAUUAAUUUGAAUUUCAAUCCAGUUUGGAACAAAGUGAGGUUUAGAAAAUAAUUGUGAUGACAUGGCACCAUUAGGGUGUGAUUACUGUAGCCUAAUUAUCCGGGCGUUACAAAUCUCCUCCACUACAAGAAAUCUCGUCCCGAGAUUUAAGAGGGGGAGUAAGGGGAAAAGUUCUGGUUGCGAAAUUCUAACAAAUCUUCUCAUUCUUGAUUGCUCUUCGCGAAGUAGUCGAUCCUUUUUGUUGAUGUCUUCAGUUCUCUGUUUCAGGGCAUCGUGACAAAGUUGUGAUUCUUCCUUCAUGAUCUUCAUCGUACUUACGGGAAAAAAUAAGAGGGGUAUUCCGGGAGAACGGACCCUUGCAAGGUUGACUAUCUGGUAGAUAACAUCAGGGAAGGUGGCGGAAAGUAACUCUCGAAUUGAAACUUAAGAAGAUAUCGAGGGCAAAGUAAGAAGGUACCAUGAGAAGUUUCAAACGGAUAGGCAAUCGUUCGAUGCCUGAAACAAAGUGUGAAAGGGGUUCAAGCAAUGGGAAUAAGUAUUGUGUCUGAUACCAGAAUAGAUCACUAGGAAUGUGGUUCGUGAAUUGCAUACGAAGCCAAGCUCAAGGAAUAUCUUUGGCAAUAGGGUCUACAGGAGAGUCAGGUUUCGAUCCUGUGGAACUGUGGGUUAUGGGCCCACCAUGUGGGUUAAAAGUAGAAAGUGGGCUGACAUCUUGCACGGUCACAAUAGCAAGGCAUGUCAGAGGGUAGUCUUUCAGUUAUGUCGGCAACAACGUGGGUACCAAGGGCGAGGGACGAAGAGAACCAUCUUCCUGCUUGUUGAACGAGGCAGACCAAUAGGCAAAGUUCUCGUCCAUCGGUGGUUACCGGAAUGCUAUCGACAAAUGCAACAGGGUCUUGCUGACAGAAUUGUACACCGGGGUGUUUACAUAAGCAGGAGAAUAUUACUGCUUAGAUAAUAUAGAUCACAAGAAAGAUCAAACAAAACAAUGGAAAGGGAAAUGGGUUUAAACACAUAUUUCAGGGGUAUAUCCUUCCCAAGGACAAGCAGAGCAUGAUAUCCAUGGCAGGAUAUAAUGUAGAUAACCCUUUAGGUGAGGGGAGAGGAAGUUCAUGACAUUUCCCAAACAACGGUGUUUGAAUAAUUGAUAAAGGAAAUUUAGCAUGGUGCUUCAAAUGUUCUUAUUGAUGAUCAGAGUACCACAAACAUGCUUCGAGAUAGCAUUACAUGGUCUUCAAGCAAGGUCAGACUUUGGAAACACAAUGGAUCCAUCAGGAAUAACUUGUGGAAUAAGUCUUACAAUUUCCUCAUGGAAGAAUGGAUAAACUUGUUCAAAAGGAAUCUAUAACAAUAGGGCCUCCGGCCAGGUGUGCUAGGCACGACAUCACCUUACCGGGUCACAUAAGGACCAAUGUUAUUACCCUUGGAAAAUGUUCCAACCAUCAUAUUUGACCGAGAUUCAGAUCUGGAUGGUGUCCAGAUACCUUAGACCUUAGGAUGCCUGAGAAGGAAAAGGUGCAACACCAGUUGACGAGAUGACAUUGUAAGAUUCUCGGAAAGGAACUAUGGAAGCGAGUUCCGAAAUAGGAGUUCAUCAUUAAACCAAGGAGAGGAUGAGGAGGUGGCUGAUGGACUCAGCGACAAUUCAUCGAGAUUUCCAAAAGGAUGGAUUUCCACAAUUAUGUAAACAAGGAGAUAAUAUUAGUCAGAUCAAAUGAUAUAAUGAUGUAUGUUCGAUGAAAACAUACAUGAUUGAACAAUGAUAGAAAGGUGCACCCGAAAUAUGGGCUUAGGUAGCAUGACCGAUGUUAUAAUGGUGAUUCGAUAACCAAUGGUCUAAGAAUGAAAUGUCGACCAUUAACUUCAAAGCAAUAGGGUUGCUAGAAGGAAAGAAUCCAAACAACACCGUUUACUUGUUGAAAUCAAGACGGGGACCAAGAAAGAAUGGUGAUGGUGAGAAGUAUCACUAUACCAAGAAUUCUUAAGAGGUGGAGUAAUCCUCAUGACAUUCUUGACAUAAAAGAUGGUAAUACUCCAAGGUAAAGAAGAACAAAUGCUGGAUAGCAAGGAACUCAAGGUAUAACACAGAACACGAACAAGUUUGUGUUGGAAGGCAAUAAUGUGGUCGAUGACAACACAAAACAUCGAGGGCAAGGAUGGUAUUUCUCAUCAAGAAUUCGAUUGGUAUCCUGGAAGGAGUCAAAAUGUUGAUGAUGAUCACGACAAAUUUUGUUGAGAUAUUUCAUGCAGAUGUAAUCGAUCAGCGAUGACAUAAAGUCAAAGGAAUGAUGAAGCAAGAGGUUAUUGGAACCACGGUUACGACACAAACUCGAAAUCAAGCUUGUUGUUUAAGGUGAAAGGGUAUGACGAGGAAGAUCGACGUAAGCUUAGCUAUCGUCGCAAAUUGCGCUCCCGGAAGGACCAGAUAGCACAGUUAAAAAUUUAGCACGAUAAUGAUAUACUCGGUCAGGCUAGGAAUGACUUGAAGGAUUAAUAAACUCAUAAGCAACGAAGAUUAUUUAGAGUUAUUGAAUUGGAGUGCAGAAUUGAUGCACUUAUCAGUGUUCUCGGUUGACGACAACCCAGAACCCAGGAAAAUUGGAAUCGGUGAGAAAUAACAAUUGAUGAAGAACCCAUAAGAAGUUAUGCAGUUCCGUGAUAUUCUUGAGAUACCAGAGUGUAAUACUCGACGGUAGAUCAAAGUAAAGGUUGGACAGGUGCAAUGAUCUGCAGAAGACAAGUGCUUAAACUUGUCCGAGAAAUGGGAUCAAAGAAGAACAAUAUGGUCGGAAAUCAUGAUUGCAAAAGACCAAAUCCCAGAUAUAAGAUGAAAUUAUAUCAAGCGGAUAAUUAUUGUUACGAGAAGCUUCCAUGACAAGAUCUACAUCAUGUCCAUGGGCAUGAACACAAAGUUCAAGGUCAACUCCCACUUCUUCAAUGUAUAACCUUUCAUUCACUUCUCAUUUUUCGAAGAAGUUGUAAUGUUAAAUUUUUUUCUAGCAAAACACCAGAAGAGUAUGACUUGUGAUAGCUCUCGGGUUUAGAUGGAUCUGGGAAGGCAUAGGUUCAACCCUUAGGGGUAUCUUGGGAACAUAUACCACAAGCUUCAAUAGUAAUUAACACAAGCUCGAUAGUAGAGCAUGGGUGACAAAAGAAGAGGUUACAAUUUACCGAAGGCAUUAUGUAUCAGGGAAAGAACUUCUCGAGGUUUUUGUAUACAAAGGACACCGUCGGAUGAUAUUUCAACAAAGGAUCUGACAGUCCAUAGCAGAGAUGAUGUGAGUAUCGGCACACAACCAGGGGAAUAAACAAUGCGAAGGCAUUGGAUUAUAGAAGCAACUGACUAGUUCAAAGCUCACAUGUAAAGGAAUUAUGAUUUCCAAAUCAAAGGAUCAGAAGCAAACGCUCUGAUUAAGGAUAGAUAAGUUGAGUAAGCUUAGGGGUAAAAUUGACAACAAUUCGAUUGGUCGAGAUCCAGCUCAUGCUUAAAAUGACGUCUGAACCGGAAAGAUAUUUUAAAAGGAUCAACCGAUGAUUGCGUGCACUCGCACUGAUGCUGAAUCAAUAGGUUCAAAAUGACGGUGUCAAAAGGAGACUAAUGGAUAUUGCCAGACAUAUGGGAAGCAUCCAUAAUGCAAGCAGACAAGUAUUUGCAGAGCAAUAAGCUACUAAGGAUUUUUGAAGGAUCGAAUAGUAUUUCGAAGACUUUUGUGAAACACCUGAACAACUGGGGAUGAGCGGAUACUAGGUAAGUGCGAGGAAUUAUCCGUAGGGGUAUUCAUGUGGCAAAGAACUACAACGCAGUAGGCACAAAAUAUUCUCGGAACAAUAGAGAGAAUUUUAAGGUAUCUUAUAAUAACAAGAUCAACGGGGAAUGAUUGUAAAUGGGAGGUAUACUUGGUUAUCCAUUGGGGUUUAUCGACGGAAUGGAAUUGCAAAAGCGAUGGCACAAAGUAUCGAGGGAACAUCAGAGAGUAACUUUGGAAUCUUCUAGUGCAUCAAGCGAUCAUCUGUAUCGAGUGGCUCUCUGGGAGGAAGUAGUUACGAGAACCUAGAGUUAGAGUUAGUAAACCAUUUAACCCAAGUAGAAGAGAGAUAAGAGUCCCAGAGUAUAGACGAGAAAUAAAAGAUCCUAAUACCACGCAAUGACGACGUGGGCCCGUAAGCCGCACAACCAUGUUAGUAAAAGUUUUUCAAUGUCUAGACUCAACUUCGGCCAAGGAGUUUGGAAGGGGGAUUCCUACAGGCAGUUGGCUCUGAUACCAACUUGUGACGCCCCCUUCAAUCGUACACUAAUCAUACACGCAAACGUGUACGAUCAAGAUCAGGGACUCACGGGAAGAUAUCACAACACAACUCUAAAAAUAAAAUAAGUCAUACAAGCAUCAUAAUACAAGCCAAGGGCCUCGAGGGCUCAAAUACAAGUAAUCGAUCAUAGACGAGUCAGCGGAAGCAACAAUAUCUGAGUACAGACAUAAGUUAAACAAGUUUGCCUUAAGAAGGCUAGCACAAACUGGGAUACAGAUCGAAAGAGGCGCAUGCCUACUGCCUGGGAUCCUCCUAAACUACUCCUGGUCGUCGUCAGCGGCCUGCACGUAGUAGUAGGCACCUUCGGUGUAGUAGGAGUCGUCGUCGACGGUGGCGUCUAGCUCCUGGGCUCCAGCAUCUGAUUGCGACAACCAGGAAGAAAGGAAAGGGGGGAAAAAGGGGGAGAAAAGCAACCGUGAGUACUCAUCCAAAGUACUCGCAAGCAAGGAGCUACACUAAAUAUGCAUGGGUAUAUGUGUAAAGGGCCAUAUCGGUGGACUGAACUGCAGAAUGCCAGAAUAAGUUGCAGCAUGAAGAAGAGAGUAGAUGGUAAGUUCACCAAGUAGCAUCGCAUAGCAUAAUCCUACCCGGCGAUCCUGUCCUCGUCGCCCUGUUAGAGAACGAUCACCGGGUUGUAUCUGGCACUUGGAAGGGUGUGUUUUAUUAAGUAUCCGGUUCUAGUUGUCAUAAGGUCAAGGUACAACUCCGGGUCGUCCUUUUACCGAGGGACACGGCUAUUCGAAUAGAUAAACUUCCCUGCAGGGGUGUACCACAUUACCCAACACGCUCGAUCCCAUUUGGCCGGACACAGUUUCCUGGGUCAUGCCCGGCCUCGGAAGAUCAACACGUCGCAGCCCUACCUAGGCACAAUAGAGAGGUCAGCACGCCGGUCUAAAUCCUAUGGCGCAGGGGUCUGGACCCAUCGCCCAUUGCACACCUGCACAUUGCGAGGGCGGCCGGAAGCAGACCUAGCCCCCUUAAUACAAGCGCAGGCUUACGGUCCAAUCCGGCGCGCGCCGCUCAUGCGCUGACGUCAAGAAGGCUUCGGCUGAUACCACGGCGUCGAGUGCCCAUAACUGUUCCCACGUAGUUGGUUAGUGCGUAUAGGCCAGUGGCCAAACUCAGAUCAAAUACCAAGAUCUCGUUAAGCGUGUUAUUAUGAAGUAACCGCGAACACCGACCAAGGCCAGGCCCACCUCUCUCCUAGGUGGUCUCAACCUACCCUGUCGCUCCGCCACAAAGUAACAGUCGGGGGCCGUCGGGAACCCAGGCCCACCUCUACUGAGAUGGAGCCACCUGCCCCUUCAGCCCCCAUCUCCGAACAGUAUCAUAAGUAAUGUAACAGUAUAAAGUAUAUAGCAUAUGCCCAUGAUCACCUCCCGAAGUGAUCGCGGCCCAGUAGUAUAGCAUGGCAGACGGACAAGAGUGUAGGGCCACUGAUGGAAUACUAGCAUCUAUACUAAGCAUUUAGGAUUGCAUGUAAGGGUAACAACUGUAGCAACAAUGACAGGCUAUGCAACAGAAUAGGAUUAACCGAAAGCAGUAACAUGCUACACUAUUCUAAUGCAAGUAGUAUAGAGAAGAAUAGGCAAUAUCUGGUGAUCAGGGGGGCUUGCCUGGUUGCUCUGGUAAGAAGGGUUCGUCGUCGAUGUAGGCGAUCACAGGGGUACCGGCAGCGGUCUCGGGGUCUACCGGAAAGAAGUAACGGAGGGGAACACAAUAAAUAAUAGAGCAAUCAAAGCAUCACAAAGCAUAACAUGGCAAUACGCGGUGCUAGAGGUGAUCUAACGCAGGGAUAGGUAAUAUCGGCGAAGGGGGGAAACAUCCGGGAAAGUAUCCCCGGAGUUUCGUGUUUUCGGACAGAUGAACCGGAGGGGGAAGGUUGCAGGUUUGCUAUGCUAGGGACGCGUGGCGGACGAACGAGCUGCGUAUCCGGAUUCGUCUCGUCGUUCUGAGCAGCUUUCAUAUAUAAAUUAUUUCCAUCCGAGUUACGGAUUAUUUUAUAUGAUUUUUCAAAGAUUAAAAGAUUUUAUGGAAAACUUUUAUUUCGAAAAUAAAUGACUAAAAGCUAGGUGUACCCAGGGUGUGUACACUACCAGUGUGGCUGUUUGACUGCCAGGUGGGGCCAGAGUCAAAAUCAACAGCCCUGUCAGAGUUGACUAGUCAAAGUCAACAGUGCCGACGGGACCCAAUUGUCAUAGACAGUAGGUAAUUUGAUUUUUGUUUAAUCUCUAGGGUACCCGCAUGUCAGUUCACAUGUGCUAAUAAAAGUAACUAGACUAAAUUAAUCUAGAAAGGGCCACAUGUCAUCUACACAUCUCACUAACUAAACAAAUAAACUAACCUAAUCUAUUCCUAAACUAAUCUAACUGGGGCGGCCUUGCUGGGUAGUAGAACAUACAGUCACGUAUGCACGGGAGUGCAUAGCGACCAUGGCCUGCGUUGGCAGCAGCACACAGUAGCAAAGAGCAGCGGCAAGGAUUAGGAGCAGCAGCGGCAAUGAGCCGGAGCAGAGAGCACCAACGGUGGCAUGAGCAGCAGCAAAGUAGCAGGCGCGAGCAGCAAGCAAAGGCAUCGGCAACGGAGCAGUAGCAGAUGAUAGCAGUAGCGACAACAACAGGAGGCGGGCGUGGGCGCGUGGGCUGGGUGCGGGGCGCAGCGGCCGGGCGCGCGCAGGGGGCGGCAGGCAGCAGCGGUUCCAGAGCAGCAGCAGCGCAGGCACGCACGGGAGCUCGAGCUCCGGCCAUGGCGGCCGAAGUGCGGGUCGGCUAAACGGCGACGGAUCGAGGGGGCGAGCAGGGGGAGCGGGGAGAGAAGCUCACAGUGGACUCGGGGACGUGGUCGGGGCGGCCGGGGACGGACGGGAGUAGCGGCAAACGACGGCGGACGGCGACGAUGUACGCGGAGGUGAGCUCGAUGGCGACUGUACCGUACGUCCCUGCUCGAGAUUGUUGUUGUGGAGGUACAGGACGUCGAGGCGCAGCUCCUAGGCGCCUUCGAGCGGGACGGGGUGGUGCCGGAGCGUGUCAACAAUGAGGCGGCGUCGACGGCUGCGUACGGGUGCCUCUCCAGAUCGGGGAGGAGAGCAAGGGGGAAGAAGUGGAUAAGGUAGGGUUCGACAGCGGCGUCGGGGACGGUCUCCUUAUCCACCAAAGGGCCGCGGGAUGCUUGACAGCGAGGCAAUCAGCGGGUGGACGGCGUACGCGCCAUGGCCUCUCUGCCUCUGGUGAGAGGUUGGGGAAAAGGCCAACGCGGGCUGGGCCUUAUGCACUGUAGCAAUAGGCUUUAUGAGCACAGUCUGUGCCGGGCCUCGUAAGAGCAUAGUGCCCUUUUCCUCUCUUUCAUUUUCUUUAUAUCUUUUUUUAUUAGCUACUGUUUUGUGUUAAGUUGAGCCACCAAAUGAAUUUUAUUUAAAGUCCCACUUGUCAGAACAAAUACUAGGAAUUAUCUAGUACUUCAACAAAAAGUUUGGAGGCAAUAAGAUUUCAUUUAAAUUUUAUAUAAAUGAAAACAGAUUAAUGGGGAUGUUUUGGGCACUAUUUUAUUUGCCCGGGGCAUUCUAAAUAUCUCCAAAAAUGUUGGUCUAUUCAUGAAAAUUAAUUAGUGAAUAUUUGCAACCUAACAAACAUUUUUAUUUUAAUGUUUGAAGAAUUAAUAACUUGACAUUAUUAAUUUGAAUUUGAAUCCGGUUUGGAACAAAGUGAGGUUUAGAAAAUAAUUGUGAUGACAUGGCACCAUUAGGGUGUGAUUACUGUAGCCUAAUUAUCCGGGCGUUACAAAUGUAUCAAUGGUUGAGCAUGAUGGGCUAGGGAUAACUUAUUUUAGCGUUGAUAUUUUGAAAAACAUGGUUGCUUGUUGAUAUGCUUGAGUAUUUAAAUUAUCAUGUCAAAACUAGACUAUUGCUUUGAACAAUAUAAAAGUUCAAAUGUCCAUGCUAUAAAGAAAAGAAGAUAUGAUAUGACAUGAUAGGCAGCAUUCCACAUCAAAAAUUCUGUUUCUAUCACUUCCCUACUCAAGAACGAGUAGGAGUUAAGCUUGGGGAUGCUGAUACGUCUCCAACGUAUCUAUAAUUUUUGCUUGUUCCAUGUUGUUAUAUUAGCAAUGUUGGAUGCUUUAUAAUCAUUUUAUGUCAUUUUUUGGUACUAACCUAUUGACAUAGUGCCAAGUUUUUCCAUGUUUUUUACAUCACAGAAAAUCAAUAUCAGACGGAGUCCAAAUGCCACGAAACUUUACGAAGAAUUUUUAUGGGCCAGAAGGAACACAACAGGCCGUGGCUGCGCCUGGGGGUGCCCCAACGGAGGCACAACCCACCAGGGCGCGCCAGGAGGCCCAGGCACGCCCUCGUGGGCUGUGCCCCCCGGACCGCCUCUUUGCUCUAUAAAUACCCCAAUAUUUCAAGAAUCCUAAAGGAGUCGACGAAAUAUUCAUCCAGCCACCGCAGAGUCCAGAACCACCAGAUCCAAUCUAGACACCAUCUCGGAUGGGGUUCACCACCUCCAUUGGUGCCUCUCCGAUGAUGCGUGAGUAGUUCUUUGUAGACCUUCCGGUCCGUAGUUAGUAGCUAGAUGGCUAUCUCUCUCUCUCUGAAUUCUCAAUACAAUGGUCUCUUGGAGAUCCAUAUGAUCUAACUCUUUUGUGGUGUGUUUGUUGGGAUCGAUGAACUUUGAGCUUAUGAUCAGGUCUAUCUUUUUAUAUCCAUGAAAGUAUUUGAGUUUCUUUGAUCUCUUUUAUGCAUGAUCUCUUAUAGCCUCGUAUUUUUCUCCGAUAUUUGGGUUUUGUUUGGCCAACUUGAUCUAUUUAUCUUGCAAUGGGAAGAGGUGCUUUGUAGAGGGUUCGAUCUUACGGUGCUUGAUCCCAGUGACAGAAAGGGAACCGACACGUAUGUGUCAUUGCUACUAAGGAUAAAGGGACAAUUACAUCCAUGCCACUAGUUGUGUCAUAGCCGUUUGUUUUGCCCCUAAAUUCAAAAAACCCUCAGUCUUGCCCAACCCCGUUUGCUGCACUUAUGUUUUUGCCCUUCCGUCACGGCUCCGCCUGGUCAGCGCCGUUUGACCAUAACCAGCGGCCGUUUAUGGACACAGCUUGCCCUUAGCUUGCUCUUACAGGUGGGUCCUGCCUCACUCUCAUUCCCCAUCUCACUCUAUCUCGCUCGACGAACCCUAAUUCUGAGCGGCGGCGACCUUGGCGAGAGGCGGCGCCAUCGAUUCUCCUCCCACCCAAUGGACAUCGGGGAAUGCACCGGUGGUGGCGGCGACCUUGGCGAGCGGCCGGGCCAUCGAUUCUCCUCCCACCCAAUGGACAGCGGGGAAUGCACCGGUGGCGGCGGCGACAAGGGAUCCACGCGGGCAUGCCAUAUUCCAUCGGGGUACUCCCUGCCUCUCUCCCUAGCUGUCUCUCUCCCCCUGGAUUUGGUCGAGUAGGCUCUCUCCCUCCUUCCCUUUCUCUCUCAUUUGGAUCUGGUGGAGUAAGCUCUUUUACACUAGAUCUACAUGAUGUAGGUAGUUUUUUCUUGUUCUUGUGUGUUGAUUUAUGCCCUGUUUGCAUAAUAGGAUGGAUCCCACAAGAGCAUUUUCUCUGUCUAUAAGAAUGGAGACAACUGUAUUAGGUUCUGUCGGCACAAAGCAACAAGGAUGUGGCUUUAGUAUCCCAUUAGUGGUGGACAACAAUAGCAGUUUUAAUGAGUUUAGAAAUGCAAUCUCUUCCAAGUAUCCCUGGGGUGUGCUUGAUGCAGUAGAGUUCAGGUACUGGGAUAGUGAGAAAGUUAAUUGGGUCCCUGUGCAGUCUGAUGAUGAGUUAGCAGUGAUGUUUGGAAGAAAUGCACGAACCAUGUCAUGUAACUUUGAAGUUACAGUUAUUCAGAGAACUAGAGCAGAAAGCAUGCCUUCUAGGCCAUCUGGUUCAAGGGGUUCAGGUGUCAAGUUCUCUGGUACACAAGCACAACGCAGGUCAAGCACAAGAGCAGGCAGUACUGCUUGUCAGCCACCUAGAACUCCAAUUGCUAGAGUCAAUUCUGAUCCUUCUUGCAGUCAGAGCCAAGCACAACCAGAGAAAGUGGUUGAUCAUGUUGUGGAGGAAGCUAUGCCUGAUGAGGCAAUAUUGUCUGAUGAAGAGGAUGUGAAAAUGUAUCCUAGCUAUGUCCAACACAAUAACCAGGAAGAUGCAGCAGAUGAGGAUUAUAUACCAGCAGAAUUUUCUGACACAGAGGAUGAUGAGAAGCAGGAGGAACAGGACAUGGGACAUUUUGAAGAUGAUGAUGAGGAUAGGCCUAUAGUUAUGUAUGACAGAGAGAAUCCCUCAGUUGAGGAAGGUGUAGUCUUUCCCUCUGUAGUUGACUGUAGAAAUGCAGUUGCAACAUUCUCAAUAAGUACAGAAACAGAAUUUCAAAUUGACAAAAGUGAUCCAACAAGGUUUACUGUGCACUAUGCAUAUGAUAGGUGUAAAUGGAGAUUGCAUGCAUCUUUGAUGAGGAGAAGCACACUGUUUCAGGUACUACACAUGUUUUCAUAGUUGCAACCUCUAAUAAACUAGUUGUGAUUAAUAGUUAUUUAUUACUUAUUGUGUUUUCUUAUUCAUUUCAGAUCAAAGUAAAUCCUUACCAACACAACUGUCCAAGUGUUAACAGAAGCCAAAGGCUGAGAGCUGCAAAGAGAAGGUGGAUAGCAGAUGCUGCAAUGUCAUGGAUCAGACAUAAUCCAGGCAUUGGUCAAAAAGAAAUUCAACAAAAGUUACUUGAGAAAUAUGGAGUAGAACCUCCAUAUAUGAGAUGUUACUAUGGGAAAGAGAUGGCCCUGGACAGGAUAUAUGGCAAGUAUAAUGACAGUUUUCAGCUACUUUACACAUUCAAGGCUGAAGUUGAGAGGGCUUCACCUCGCAGUGUUGUUGAGAUUGACAAACACACUGUACACACUACAAAAAAAUACACUUCCGUGAUGAUACGUGUUUGUCACAGUAGGUCGCGUUUUUUGUCAUGCAUGUACAUCCAUGACAAAUUUAUGACAGAAUCAAGAUAAUCAUACCUGUGCUGUCGUAGAAGUGUUCCAUGACAUUACCAAAAUUAUCAUCACGGAAGUGUCCACUUCCAUGACGAUAAAUCGCGCGUCACAAAAGUGCUUUCGUCAAGGGUGACCGACACAUGGCAUCCACCGUAACGGAACGCCGUUAAGCUAUCGGGUCGGGUUUUGGAUCCGAUAACCCGUUAACAGCCCCGACCAAUGGGGAUUUUCCACGUGUAAAAUCAUCAUUGGCUAGAGGAAACACGUGUCGGCUCAUCGUUGGGACAGGCCGGCCCAUUUUACUUGGUCAAAAGGUGGCGGGCCGGCCCAUGUAAAGCCUGUUAACGGCCUGUUCGCAUAUAGCCCAUUUACAACCCGCUAACCCAAGGCCCGUUACGCCCUAUCCGAAUUAGGCCCAGUAGCGUCAUCUGGGCCACCCAAUAUGAUUCCAGCCCGUUUUCACUUCUGGCCCAUGUAUGGCCCAUGACGUCUUUCGGCCCAUAUGAGGCCCUAUGUAACUCUUGGCCUAUUAACGGCCCGUGGUGAAACUGGCCCGUAAUGAACAGUGUAUCACUUUACACCCAUUAACGGCCCGUAGUGAAACUGGUCCGUAAUGAAUAGUGUAUCACUUUAUACCCAUUAACGGCCCAUUAUUCCGUUGGGCCGUUUCCAGCCCAUGUUAUCUUUCGGCCUUCUCAGAGCCCAUUUAUUCUUGGGCUCAUUUCCAGCAUUCGUUUACUUACGGCCCGUUACUGUCAUUUUCUGCUUGUGGGCCAAAGUCAGCCUGUGGUUACAGUCGGCCCGUUUGUGGUCCGUUAAUACGUUGGGCCGUUUUCAUAGCGUCAUCAAAUACGGCCUAUUAACGAUGGCCCGUUAUGGUCGGCCCAUGAACGGACGAUUCCAACUCUAGCCCGUUUACGGCAAAAUGCGGCCUGUUAUUGGCCCAUGUUUUGCCAAUCGAUCAUACUGCCCGUAUAAGGCCCAUUGAUGAUUCGGCCCGUAGAAGGCCCAUUGUUUCUACGGCCCGUAGAAGGCCCAUUGUUUCUACGGCCCGUAGAAGGCCCACUGUUUCUAUGGCCCGUAGAAGGUCCACUGUUUCUACGGCCCGUAGGAGGCCCAGUGUCACUACAGUAAAUAUUAGCCCAUGGUUAUUGUGGCCUAGUUUUAAAAAAUAGGUUAUUGCAGCCACUAGCAAACCGCGGAAAAAGAACUGCAAUGACUACAAUCAAACAAAUAAACAAGACAACAUGGAAAUAAAUAAGCAAGAAACUUACGCUAGGCUAUCACGGCUAUCACACAUAUUACAUCCACUGGGCAUCAAAGUUCGCCACCAGUGCAAAUAAACGCGCUGACAAAAGAAUAUACAAAACUGAGAGCACUUCAGAAGGCACUAGGCCUAGCCACGUCGGUCCCCCCAAACAGCUGAAGAAGCUGAGUAGACCUCAGUUGUGUCAACGAUAGAUGCAUCAACACUAUAUUUAAGGCAUGAUGGUGCGCACGGCAGUCCUCUGACAUCUUCAUUGCAUCUUUGACUUCAAGUCGGAGCUGAGCUAAAGCAAGCCUUUCUGCUUUAAGUUGAGACUGAAGAAGUCGAACUGAUUGAGGCAGCGACUGCACAGAGGUUGUCUCACACCUGCUGGUGAGUAGCUUCAACUCACUGUCUUCAUCAAGACAGGACCUUGGGGUCAUCUCGCUAUCCUCAAGAUGGUUUGGCUCACUAUCUUCCCUAAAGUUCUGCCUGGCGUAAGAGAUACGAGUCUGAAAGAGAAACAAGGAGACACGUAACAGGUUUCACAAUUAUAUAAGCAAAUAAAUGGAUCUGUUCUGCAUAAGGAACAUGUUUUUACAACUACAAUUUGAAACUGGUAGUUGUUGCAAACAUCCAAUCAGAUGUAAACAGCAAAGCAAACAGCAGUGGAGGAAAUGAUGCUUAUCCAAAUCUAUACUAGAACAAAGUUUGAAGGCUUGAGAAGGAUGAACUUACAUUACAUGUUAACACGGGCUGGACAAAGCCAUUCUCCAUGUUGAUGGAAGGAUAAUUCAAUAAAUUCCCCAAAGAAAAUUUUUAUAAGCGUUGCCAUUAUUCUACAUUUUGCAAAGAGUAAAUAUAGAUCAAAUAAUAUUGGAAGAAACAGAGGAUAAUGAAGCUCAGGUGGAGACUGAUGAUACAUAAUCAAAUAGCAAUUAAUUAAGUACAGCGUUACAAGGCAAAAGGGAGAGAGGUACUAACAAGAGCAAUGCAGAGCCCAUUAUUGUUUUGAGAUCGUAUGAUCCUUUGAGCAAGGAGAUUCAUCUGAAAUUAGUUUUCAUACAAGAGAGAAGGUAAGGCACAAGCAGAAAUUUAGGAGUUCAAAUUUUCAAUUGAUAUCAUAGACAGUACCUGACGCUGGGCUCCCAGCAGUUCUAAUAGGGGUUUGGCCACUAGAGUAGGGGUAAAGUGUGGUACAGUUGGGCCUGUGUUUUCUGUGGCUGCUGAUCUAUCUGAUUUAACAGGUAUCACUACCUUUUCCAAAUACCUAGUUUGUACUCCUUGAGGAUGUGCACUCACCCUCUUCCUUUUGGACAUCUAUUAUGAAAGAACAACAUUUGACUGGAAAAACAUAGUGUGACGACACAUGGAAUAGGUACAGAAAAUGGAUAGGUAUGGCAUAUACUCAUAUAUGAUGCUUAAACUAAGCAGAUGGUGUAAGAAAGUAGAAGUAAUGCAAGAGGUCAGAUGCAAAAUAUGUGCGACCAAUACAACUUUGCAAAGUUAGAGCAAGCACCUUGAUGGGUGAAUAAGAUAGGCCAUCCUCCACCAUGCCAAGUUUGUUAGCCAGUGGAUCUUUCCGCAAUAUUCCUCUCGUGCACCCAUUCUCAUAUUCAUUUUGAUAAUGUUCAAUAUCUGACAUGCAUGAAAACAUAAAAACAAGUGAGAUUUUCUUUGUAAUGCAGAAGUGAUUCUAAUCCAAUACUGCCUCCCUGUAAACCCCUUUGUGCUAUCUCUGCAAUUCUUUUAAAAGAUGCCAUGCAUUCUGUAAUUUGUUGUGUGCAUUAAUAUAAUGUGGCCUACUACUCAAAAUAUGAGAGCUCCAGAAGUGAUGACACUUCGCAGAUGAUAGCUUCAACAUAUAGUAAAGAAGAACAAGUCGACCUGACCUGACAGAUUCAAAAUAUACUAAGGGAGAACAACUCGACCUGACCAGUCGACCGCAAGAGAAGAGUAUCAUCUUAAAGAAGAGCAGAAGAGCAAGCAGAUUGAAGAUAUUACAAGUCUUUCAAUACAAUGUCGGUUGGCCACCCAUGAUGAACCAGAGCGCACAGAGAAAUACUAUUCUUUCUGGUCUCUCCAUAUGUGGCUCACAUGCAUUUCGAAACUAAAGUAGGAACAUUUAGCUAACCAAUUAAACAUCUCUCAGUUUUACUAAUAUCAGCAAUAAUAUCAGAUAUGAAUUUGUACAACUAAGCUUGUUUAGCUCGAUGGGUGGAGCAGUGCUAUUACGACACGAACCACGUAGGAUGAUUGUGGUCAUCAUAAAAUGGGGAAAACAUAAGCAUGAUGAGUACAGUGUUGACUGUGGCAGUGGGAUGGCAGAUCUGAAGCUGCAAACCGCGCAAAGGGUAGUUAGCAACCGAUGUUUGCUUUGAAAUAACAACUAAGAUUUGGUAUGGACAAGAAAGUACGGUCAACAAGUGACAAAGAAAUGCAAUUAUGCCGUCAAGUGGGACCUUUAGCUAACCAAUUAAAUGUGUCGGUUAACUAAUAUCAGUAUCAUAUCACAAUCAUAUUUGAACAACUAAGCUUUCGAAUUCUGAGUGUUGCGUUGUUUAGCUUGAAGGGUGGAGUAAUGCUAGUACGACAGAAAGCACCUACGCAGAUCAUAGUAGAGUAGAUAAAAGGGGAAAACCCUAAGCAUCAAGAGAAAAAUCAGGAAAGUGGAACUAGCCGGACCAGUGGGUGGCGCACAUGCUUUUCGAAACGAAUAUAGGAACAUUAGGUGACCAAUUAAACGUUCUCUGUUUUAGUCAUAUGAGCAUCAUAUCAGAUUCGUAUUUCAACACGUAAGCUUUGGGUUGAGGUCUUGAGGAGCAGUGCUAGCACGACACGAAGCACCUACGAUGAUGGUAGUGAAUAUAAAGGGGGGAAACCAUAAGCUUUACGAGUAUAGUGCCCGUGCCAUGGCAGAUCUGAAGGUGCAAACCGGACAAAGCUACUUCGCAACCAAUGUUUGCUUUCAACUAGCCACUACGAUUUGGUACGGAGAAGAAAAGUACAGUAAACAAAUUACGAUCUAUUUUCCGGGUGAGAUCAAUAACUUAAGCACAUAUGGAAGAGUACCACCUCUCUUGCGACACCGUGUAGGCCUAUGCUGAUACGUUGAGGGUGCUGCGGGUGCGAUGGCUGUCGGCGGCGGGGAAGAAGACUUUCGACGGCAGACGGCCGGGUCGGGGGAUAUAUCCUGUUGCCGUGGACGAGGCGGUCAUAGGAGCGGCAACGGCAAGGUGGACGACGGCGCCGAUGAAGCGAGAGGAGGCGAUGAAGGAUCCUAGUCCAGCGCCGUGGAUGAGAGACGUCCAUCUCUUGCAGUGGACGACGGGGUAGGGGUAGCGGCUCCGGCAAGGUGGAGGAUGGGGUGGCGGACGAAGGAGGCUGGCCACAGUGCGGAGGUUGUCGUGCCGCCGACGGUGUAUGAAUGGGGAAAUGGAGGGGAGGGGGGAUGUCAAACUUUGGGACGCGCUUCUCUUAAAUGGGGGAAAGUUACGAACUUAUCCCCCGUUUAAAAUUUCGGACAUCGCGUCGGUUGGGGAUAGGACGGUAAUCUCGCAUCUCCCAAAUAUUUGCCGGUAACUAUUUCGGGCGAGGAGAGGGUGUUUUGCCGCCCACGGUUGGCGCCCACGGUGUAUGAACGGGCCUGACAGGUAGGGCGGUUGUGUCACGUCUGAUGGAAGUUACACAUCUGCCCCUAUUUAAAAUAUUAGCCUACACCGAUUUCGGACGAGGAGAGUUUGUUUUGCCGCCCACCGUGUAUGAAUGGGGAAAUGGAGGAGGAGACACAUGUCUUUCGGACGAGCUUGAAUCAAAUGUGUUUUGCCGCCCACGUUUGGCGCCCACCGUGUCUGAAUGGGCUCAGAGGCCGUCGUGUCACGUCUGAUUGAAGUUACUAGUCUACCCCUAUCAACAGCAGUGUAAAUCCGGUCGAUAAGGAUGUCAAGUGUCAGGGGUAAACAGUAAUUUCCAUCUCGCAAACACUUGCUUCGGGAAGCCUACAAAUUAUAGUGGGUGUUUAGCCGCUUCAUUCAAAACUUGGGAGAAUUAGCACUCACGUUUGCCCUAGGACCUGGCAAACUAAAUUCAAAUCCAAUUUGUAUUCGAUUACGAAUAUCCACAGAUAAUUAUACGUUUUGUUAUUUAUUUCUUCAAAAGCACAACAAAGAUUUAUUCCACCUUUAUAUAUGAUUAUGAUUUAGAAAUGCCAUGAUCUUCGAAUUCAGUAGGUUGGAUACACUCUGAGUCAAACAGUUAUUUCAUCCAAUACAAUAUGCUCACACGAAAAACAGUUCACCUUAUGUCAAUCAUACAAGUACUGAGGAUUACCUCGCCUAAAAAAUUCGGAUCAUUACAACACAUGGACAACAUAGGGGGUCUUGCAACAUAAUCCAUUCAAAGACAUGACACAACAUGCAAGUACAAUAAUCUAAUGACAAUUUCAACUGGUAUCUAAAGAAGAACCGGGAUUACCUUGGGCUUCAGAUAGCAGAAACAGCAGGACCUCCUCCGUCUUCAAAUGCAACAUUCUUACUUCCUCCAAUUCUUGGGUUGCUUGCAUAAUGCGUGCCGCUAAUUCCGUAAUUUCCAGCCUCAAGAUAAAGAUUACCUCAUUCAUGGCAGCCACACCAUCUCUUUCUGCCUCUAGUAGAGCCUCAAGCACUAUAAUAUCUGUGCUCAGACUGCUCUCCGGCGGUGUUGCCUCUGAACUGCUACCAUCUGGUAACAUGGAUGGCGCACUGCUUCCACAAAUAGAUUAUGUGGUUGGACAUUGUGUCCUAGUGUGAACGGCAUCCUGAAAGGUUUCUGCUGAACAUCAGUAAGAGAUAGUUAUCGUAUGAUCCAGGCAGUAAGCUUACAUGGUAAACGACGGACGAAUUAUUGCCGAGCAUGGCAAACUAUAUUUAAAUGGUUCGAAGCAGCAUCAGCCGAAAAGAAAUUAAAAUGGUAAGAUGAAACUAGGGAUGUAAGUGGCAAAUAAACGACAUCCGCCAGUCCCAUCUAGUUAGUUUUUGCUACCUCCCUAGUUCAUUUUCCUCAAAAAACAAAAACUCUUUUGAACUAUCAUACCACUAGUGGACUUUAAUCCAGAUUAAACGGGACCCAGUUGACAUCCCUAGUUGAAAGGGAGUGUACAACCACUAUAUUUAAGUUGCCAAGGCAUCUAAGCAGUUGAAAUAAUCUGAGAAAGCACUUAACAGUGUGGCCACAUAUAAACUACGAAGACAGUCUUGUGAUGAAGUUGAGAGGAAAAGUUAAGGACUCAAAUGAAAUAGGCAUGCAUUUCUUUACGAUAGUACAGCAGGCACUGCUAACAUAUUGGCCAACUCAGGUAUAGCGUAACAACAAAUAAGCAUUCGAAUCAAGCAAUACAGCAAAGCAGACAACUGAACUAUUUGUAAUUCGGUAGGAUUACACGUUGAGGGCACAAGCCAAGAAAGCAGCCCACUCGCAUUACAUUUCACAUGUACUAAAACACACUGGCUUACCAUAUGUUGCUGUGAAGCCUAGCUGCUGUUGCAAUGUUCUUUGAAGAUAUCGUCAGCAUCCCGUGGUUGCAAAUCUAGUUGUUGUAGUUUAUUCUGCACCAUCUAUUUAGGUAAAAUUAAUUUUAAUCGCAUGCACUGGUCUGAAUUGAUCAUCAAUGGUUCAUCUAAACUAAUGAAAGAAGGGUGUGUGCAUACACGACAAUAUAUCUGCUUCCCUCUAUUUUUAUGCUUGUUUGAGGUGCCAGCCCCAAAAGAACAAAUAUUUUGCUUGAUGGGGUUGGCAGCUCCAUAAUUAAUAGAAGCCUCAAAUUAGUCAUGCAACUUGGGAAGAUCAAGAACACACAAACAAGUAAUGAACAGAGGCUCGGAGCAGUGAUGUAAUAGCUAGCAUCAGAAAAUGUAGGGUAAAACGAACAAAAAGCAGCGGAACCACAUGCUAGUUUGCUGAUGUGUAAUUAAGCAUACAGAACAUUAAGCAUUCUGAUGGAACCAACAGGUGGCAUCAGAACAAAACUAAAGCAUAUUAACUAUAUGUGCGCUGGUAUGUAAUUUAGCACAUGUAACAUGUUCACUGCCAGAAGUAUGGCCCUACAGGUGCAAGCAGAAUAACGCGUCUCAUGAAAAACUGAAUGAUGCCCUGAAGAAAUUCAAAGGUGCGGUGCUUAUGCUAGGAAAUUGAACGUAGGCGCCGGCCGUUGGAUAAUAGUACCUGAUUCUCGGUGGCGUAUGGGUAUCGUUGUCAUACUUGAUAGCUAAGGAUCGUCGAUGGUGCUCGUGUUGCGGUUGAGUUUGGGCCGGCUGUCGCCGUUGCUGAAGUAAGUGCUAGAAAGCUCAUCUGUGGUAAGUGAACAGUUGCGGCGCCUGUUGACAUACAAGAAAGCUCAUCUGUGGUAAGUGAACAGUUGCACGAUAAAGAGAAAAACCGAAGGAGUACAAAUCGAAAUAACCUGAUGAGGCUGCGGCGUCGGUAAAGCAGGGCCCGUGGAGUUGAAUAUGGCGUCUGUGGAGCGGGUCUGGUGCAGUGGACGAAGGCUUCGGCGGGCGCGUUGUACAGUGCUUUCGGUGAGGCGGAUCUGUUGCGGCGGACGAAGGCUUGUAUGAAGGGCCAGCGAAGGGGCAGACGAGGGAGUCAGUGAAGGGCCUACGCUGUGGUGGACGAGGGCGCCGGUUAAGCAGAUCCGGUGCGAUGGACCAUGAUGGCGGUCAAGGAGAUCUGGAGCGGUGGACAAGCCAGUCGCUGAAGCGGCUUUGGUGAAGUGGUGAGUUGGCAGUUGGGGGUUCCAAGGUGCGGAAGGUAGAUCCGGCGGGGUGUGAGGUCCACCGCUGCGGCGGAGGACUAGAUUCGGCGGCUUGCCGUGGUUGGGGGGUCGGGGAGGGGAAGGGGAGGGGCUCUGGGGAAGAAUGUUGGGGGCAAAGAGGGGAAAACAAUGGAGUUACCAAAGCAGCCUUUUCCGUUCAUGUGGCAGGGGUAAAACAGGAAUAUCGCAGGGCUAAACUUUCGGGCGCGUGAUAUUUCGAUGUGAGCGGGAAGUUUGAAAGCUUUUGGCACCCAAAAUUAUAAGUAUUCUGCUCUCGUACGGCCGACUAUGAUAUCAUGGCCGACAAUUUGUUUGUUUUGCAUGCAAAAAAAAUGUGCAAGUUUUGAAAAUCAAUGUCUCCAACUCGAAACUUAGAUUGUCCAUUCAAUUCAAAUAUGGAUCAUUGAGCUACUACAAGCAAAUACCAUCAUACGGUCCAAUUCAAAUGAAAUUCCAAAUGUGUUUAUCCUAAAUAUGAUGACAAAAGCAAAAAUGUGUAUGUGUAUGAAUAAAGUGGAUGAUUAUAAAGUUUGAACAUGCCCGUAUGUGUAUAUCUCUAGGUUUGAUAUAUGAAUUUGAAAUCACGAAAUCCCGGCUUAAAAAAUGUACCUCCGUUUAAAUGAAUUACAAAAGCUAAUGAUGGAGUCGAAUUCCAAAAUUCCAAUCUUAGGUUUGUAAUUCUGGUACAUCAAGGUAUAUCACGCAUGUUCAAAAGUAUCGUUAUCUCAUAGUACAAACUGUGAAACAAAUUGAUCAACCAUGAGUGCACAAUAUCUCAAUUACGCUAAAGUCCCUCAAAUAUAGACACCUCACUCUUUAUCUGAAGUCAACCCCCCCCACCACCACACACACACACAUAAAGAAGUCGUUCUCUCCCCCAAACACCAACACACGAGCACAUUAACACCCCUCUCUCUCUUGUAAUGUCCGGACCCCAACAUAGGUCUCUAUCACUUUGUCUCUCGGGCAUGCACACAUCUCUUCCCUCACUCUCUAGGUCUCCCGCUAUCUCUCUUACCCAAGCACACACACUAUGUAGAGUGUAUAUUUCCCAUACACACAAAACGUCGCCCCCAAACGUCUAUCUCCCUAGUCAUGUGGUUCUCGCGCACUCACCUCACACACCACCCCCACUGCAAACAAGCACACUUUGUCUCCUUGUGCACCACUCUCCUCUUUCUAUCUCUCCCACAUGCGGACCCGCCCCAGCUCCUUCCCUGUAUACAUAUAUGUCGUGACUCUUUGCAUAGCUCCCUAAUGUAUAAUCGUUCUUGAUUUCGCACAUUGUUCUCUACACCAUCUAUUCUAGAUCUCUCAUGAAGUCCCUAUCACACACACGAUGACUCGCUUCCCUUGCGUCUCCGUUCAUAGGCCAAUUUCGGACAACAUCAACAUUGUCUCCCUAUCUAUACGCCAUUUAUGGACACAAACGACCCCUCUCGCCCCCUCUGUUCCUCUCUCUCUCUCUCUCUCUCUCUCUCUCUCUCUCUCUCCGUCGCUAGCUCUCUCUUUCUCUCGCUCUCACACCCCUCUCCCACACACACACUCGAUGUCUCUUCCAAAUAGUCUGCUCCCCCCGCCCGCACCCGUGCUAUCUCGCUACUACACAUGUCACACCAUUCCCCCUUCCCUUAUACUAGGUUUACAUCAUCAGUGGUCUCUCUACUCCACAUACACUCUCUCCCUCUCACACACAAACACGUGCACAAACACACAGAGACACGCACAAACACCCAUUUAUUUGGAUCCUCAUCUCUCCUCAUGUCCGCAUGUGUAUCUCACACACUCACUCUCUAAUUAUGUAUAUGUGUCUCCACGUUACACAACACAAAGCCCCAUGUACAUGUCUCUCUCUAUCCUCCACACACAUAGACACAAAGAAUCUGUUAUCAUUGCCUCAGUCUCUAACAUAUCACACACGCACACUGUCUCUCUCUCUCUCUCUCUCUCUCGCAAACACGCUCAACAAGGGUUUCCCCGUGAAUAACUUACCGUCUAUUCAUCAACAGUCGUGGCAGUACGACGAACACGAGACGUGAAAAAGAAUAAAUCUACACGUGCUUAGACCACCUAGUAUGACUACUAGGACUAGAGCAAGCCAAAAAGCGUGCCGCCGUCGCCCCCUCGUCGGCGACGGGAAAAUCUUUGUUUUACACAGUCGAGAAGUCAUUGUGCUAAGGCCCCACAUGCCGAGGCAUUGAAUAGAAUGUAGAUGCUAGUUUACGGAAGCAAGUAUCGAUAAUACGUUUGUAUCUCCAUACUUAUAUUUCUUCUCUUAUAAAAAACCGAGUUGGUGAUGAUGGUAUGUGUGCCAUCUUGCAAUAUAGACCGUCCGAUCUAUAUCUGACGGAUGGAAAUUAAACUAAAAGAUACCCGCACGCCUCUCCACAUUUGCAGACAAGGCCCUCCCUCGUUCAUCCUUAUCUCCAACAAACCUCAUUGUUGAGCAAUUAAGAAAGGAAGCCUCUGGAACAAACUGGCCUGGUGGCCGCUGCCGGCGUCGUCAAUCCCCAUGCCUCCGCUCAGUCCGACCACCAAGCACCACCACACCCCACUCCUCUUCACCUUAUCUCAUAUUUCUCGAGAUAUCAUUAGUUUUUACACAUGGGAUUACUCCCGCAAGGGUCAAUCACAACAAGUGUUUUAUAAAAAAAUGCAUCUUGAUGUUCCAUGCAAUGCACGGAUCUUGCUAGUACUCCUACACAAGACUAAGUUGGUGAUGCUGGUGUGUCUGCCAUCUGUCGUUUCUGACCAUUAGAUCUACAUCUAACGAUUGUGAGGUAAGUUGUUGCCUUUUCUCACCAACAACCCACUUGUCUACCAAUUUGCAGAAAAACCCAUAAUUAGUAUCUUAAAACCAACCACAUCCCUCCCUGACCUCACCAAAACAGCCCAAGGAAUAUAUUCUAAUUGAAACAUAAUAUAUCUCUAGUGACAUAUGUAUAUCAAAAUUAGAGUGUUUUGUACCAAGUUUGUGAAUAAGUAUUAUUCUAAUUAUGAUUCGUUGCAACGGACAUGAACAUUGCUAGUAUUUCCAACCAUGCAUUUUUUUCCUAGUAUUCCAUAGUUUCGAGUUUUCCAUCAAGAUAUUAGUCACUCAUGGUUAAUAUUUACUUUCAAUCAUGUACACAUAUGCACUAUGUAACUAGCCUUGCUUAUUGGCUUCCAAAGCUUAACUUUCACUCCUACUUAAAAUAUGUAGAGUAUUUAACAUAAAACUACCACUUUCAACCAUCCCUAGGAAGAAUCUAUUGUACAAAAAAUAGCAAAAACAUACCCAAAUUUUUUUAAUCCAUGCCAAAAACUACCUAGUACUCCUACCGAUUAGGUUCAUUUAAACCCAUUUAUGACAGGGUUGGCCCACACGUCCGUGCUGAGAGGCAGCUUAAACCAACACAUUUUGUUUGACCGUUGACACGAGGGACCCACAUCUGACCUUCUAUCCUGUUAUUCCCCCUCAAAUCAUUAUUUUUCCUGAACAUUACUUCAAACAGUACUGAUGCGUGUUCGUCGGUGGCGCCGGUGAUGAGCGAGUUGGCCGCCGCUCCGCCGGACGGGCCGGACGCCGCGCUGGCCUCCGCACGGGUUGGCAGGCUGGCCCGAGCGUGACUCACGAGCGAGCAAACCGCCGCGCUGGCCUUCGCUCGAGCCAGAUGGCCGGCCUUAGCGCGGCGCGCACGAGCAAGCCGCCGCGCUGCCGUGCCAAUCUAGCUAGCAAACCUUGUAGACAAGCAGCUGGACGGAGCUAUCUUGGCUAGCUAGCGGCCGCGAGCGCCGGACGGAGCUGGCAUCCGGGCUGCCGCAACAUGGGCUCCGCACGCCGGCGGUUUUGACCUCGCCUUCUGCCGGCAGCGGUAGCUGCGUCCCAUGGCCGAGGAUGAGUAGGUGGACGGGCUGGAGGUAGGAGGUCACUCGAGGAUUUUUGUUGGUAAGAGCAUGUACAAUGGUUGAUAAGGUAGUCUUAUCUUAAGUCUGCCACGUAUGCAAGUGGUAGUAGUUUCUUGGCAUUUUAGUGGUUUCUUGCAUUAUUAGAGCAAGUACAAUAGAGCUGAGUCAGCAGGCUAUAAGAAAUAAACUAGUAUAUUUCUGCUUAGUUGGAGGAAAGAGAAGAGGGGAGAGAAGGUAAGCGGGCUCUUCGUGAAGAGCCAGCUCUAGCACGUGCUCCUAGGCACUUUGUGAGAAUGAGAAGUGGGCCACAUAAUAAAAAAGUAGUACACUCUUUUGAUCUAUUAUUGUACAUGUUGGCUAUAAGAUGGGCUGUAGAUGACAUGGCACUGGCUUAUAGCCAGCAGCUGGCUAUACUAUUAACCAUUAGGGGUUUCUUGUAAGGAACAAUGUACGUACUACUAGCGACAAAAGGCGAUUCUAGGUUACGUUGUACUCCAACGAGUACUACUAGUGGUCGUGGGAGUGUAUACCUCGUUUUGUGGGUUCGAUCCCGGCCGAACACACAGCGACCUUUUUUUUAAAAUAGUACUACUACACUUCGCUGCGAGCCAAUAUUUUACAUGGGUAGUUUGAGUUUUGAAGUCAAACGGACGUGCGGCCCCACAAUCUGGGUGCACAGGACAGCCUAGCCACAUGAACGGGUUUUCCUUCCCAGCAUCCCGUGGCUCGCGUGCUCGCCCUAGCCGCACCUCGCUUGCAGCUUCCAGCUAGUAGCAUAUUUAAACUAGUGUCUCCCAAUUAAGUCCGAGGAGCCGGAAAUGCCUGGCGGGGCAUUGGGAACUGUUCAAUAUGGCUCUGUACUUAAAGUUCUCUACUACUACUCUGUAGCUUGUGGCGUUGCACGCAUGGACUUCACUCCAUUAUCGGCUCUACUAUAAAAGAAAUUUCCUCUUGACGUGUUUUUUUUGAAACGGAGGCAAAAGCUUUGCUUCAUCUCAUUCAUAAAGAAGGAACUACUAACAAAGUUCGACGAGAUCCAUUACACCUCCACAAAUGGAAGCGAAAAGCCUAGUCUCGUUGUAUCAAAUAACUCAAAUGUUCUGCCCCCGCAGUAACCGUCGCUGAUAAACAGGUUGCUAGUGUGUGCGUGAGAGGACUGGCUGAGUAGGCCAGCUACGUGAGGGGAGCGGCUGAAUAGAGCACCGAGAGUACCCACUAGGCCACUACACAGGUGUACUUCCCCUACAUUGAUAGUACAGCGAUGGUUCUAGAGAACAGUAGUACCCUCCACUUCCAACUGUAGCUCCUUGGCCCUGAGAUUCAAGAGUUCAAAACUGGUGCACUAUACUAGACUAGACUAGAAGUACAGUACAUCGCACUACUAGUUGAGAAAACUAGUACUAGUACUGCUAUAGUACGAGUAUGUACUCCUCCGUCACAUAAUGUAAGACCUUUUUUGACUCUAGUUGGCGUGUACAAAAAAUGGCAAAACAUACCCAAAAUUUCAUAAUCCACGCCAAAAACUACUACCUAGUGCCAAAAAUUUCUUACUAGUGCUAUUAUUUACAGUAUAAUGCAAUCCCAUAACGUUCCAUAAUGCUAGUACUAGUAGUAAAUAAUAGCCUCACGCCUUCGCUGAGGAACGAUCUACAGUUGGAAGGGACGAGGCCCUGCGGUUACUACGCUCUUAUCUCCUCCUCGCCAGUUCCCCUCCCCCCGAAGAGAAGGCAGUUCGUCGCUGCACCCAUGGAUUCGCCAGGCGGUUCUCCUCCUCGUUGGGGCUGGGAGACCUUGGACGACGAUUCUCUGGGAGAAAUUGCACGCCGCUCCGACGUCCUCGCCGCCGCAAGACUCGGUGCUUCCUGCACCAACUUUUUCAAGACGCUGCUUAAACAGGCUUGGGAAAAGGCCAUGCUUGUUGGUCUUCCAUGCGUCCUUGAGGAGAAGGUUCUUCUAUGGGACAAUCCUUCGAACAGUCCACCGCUCCCUGGCCAUGGUUGCACGUUGACUCCGCUAGAGUUGCCGACGUUGAGAGGUAGUCGGAUUUUGUCCGAUCAGCAGGUCAGUAAUGGAGUUUGAAUAUGUAGUACGUAGUUAUUCCAUUUGCACCCCGUAAUUUCUCCGUUGCCCAUCGUCUUAUAUAUAGGUCUGGGUCGGUGCCAACGAAGAUUGGCUUGCAUACCUCCGGCCGGAUACCACCAUCAUUUUGCACAACAUCCACAGCAGUGCGGCCGUUCCGGUAGACCCCUUCUCCACCAUUGGGAUCGGCCUUCUGGACUGGCUGGGCUUGAAUACGUAUGAUGAUGCCUACAUGAGAUUGAAGAAGAUAGCAAUUGCGGACCCGCCGACAAAGCAACGCGGCUACGACGAUUACUAUCUCAUCGCGGUGUUCGACAUAAGGAUUGCCAUCAAUGCAAGAGGCAGUAACGGCAGAGGCUGGCGCGUGUUGGCGGCGGCAGAUUUGUACCCCUACACAUUCGAAGACGCCAUGCACCAUCUAGGCCGCAUCUUCGCGGUGACAAGCCAGGGGACUUGUUUCAUCUGGUUGCCAUCCUACGGUAUGGGAGAUUACAAACGGAAUGCACAAACCAUCAUUUGCAUCCCUAACGGUACUCCAUUAUUUUGCAGGGACCAGUCAUCCCCCGAUCAAAAUAAGAUCGCCGAUCCUGGAUGUGCAUUUGCAUCCGCGAUUCGGUCUAACCUGGAACCUUGUAGCUGACUUUGGCAUAUUGGGAUCAACUAUCUUAGCAGUCGUUACCCAUGGUACCACUGAUGUGCAACAUGGUCACACAAUCUACCACGAUCGGACCGUCACCAUCUACCCAGGUAUUCCAUUUUUUAACCCUCUCGCUUCUCUUUCAUUGUUGUACUAGUAGUAUACUUUGUAGUACUAGUAGGAGUACUUUUUACCUUGGAGGACGCGUAUAGCUAGCUAGGCCCUUGAAGACUUGAACCCACUAGCUGCCACCAUUUUUGUUUUUCCAUGUCUUACUAUCUCAUCCAUGUAGCCAAGAGUGGCUAUAUAUAAUAAGCCGGUUAUUUUACUUCCUCUAUACCGGAGUAGUACUAUUUGCUGCACAGUAUUACUGACCACCAUAUUUGAGCACAACAUUAUUAUGCAUGGACCUUGACUAUGUACGUCACCAUGUGUCCAGAUCUGGGAUGCCGCGUGUACCAGAUGAACGGCACCGAGUUCGACCCCCGUGAUGCUACGUGGGUGCCGAGGAACACUCUUGGAGAGUACUCGCUUUUCAUCGGGGACAGCUACCCCAUUGUGAAGCGGAUGCCACCUUCCGUGCACGACAUGGAAGAACUGCCGUUCAUGAAGCAUGGUUGUGUCUUCAGUGCGCACCGCCGGAUGAACGUCAUGCUGGGACACGCUAUCCCUGAUUUAUGCCGCUUCAGCUUGGAUGAGUCUCCAUCGUGUGGAACCGGACUAGAAAGCUGUGAAAAUAAUUCAUGUUGCCCACCGCUAUGGAUCGUGCCAUCCAUGAAGAACACCUGGGACUGGAACCUGGAGGAGGAAAUGUAGCCCAGCUAUAACGUGUAAGUGGAGUACGGUAAUUGUGAACGGUAGCGCUGUGAAUAUAUGUAGACUAGUCGUGCACAAAUUUAUCACAUGAAUUGGAGAUGAACUUGUGUGCCAUACUGGCAUUUGUCCUUUAGAAUUUAUUACUAGUAAAUGUGUUAUGUGUACGUGCAACUUGUGUGGUUGUUGCACGGGCUCCAACACGCUCUUUGAGAAAAAAAGGUGGCACUGCUUUGGAUAUACGUGACGUGGCGGCAUCAUACAGUAGCAUCGUUCGCUAUAGUUGUAGUACACUCCUACUAGGACGAAAACUCCUAUAAAACCUUGCGCUUGGCUCUUUGCCUCUUCGGGAGGUUCAAUAGUUCGUACUCGUGUGAACCUUGCACUUGGCUCUUCGCCUCUUCGGAAGGUCCAACAAUGAUGAUACUACAGUACAAUAUGCUUCUGGCAAUCUGACACCGAUUGAACUGCUGCACGUCCACCGCGAGGGCGAGGGUGAGGGAGAGGGAGAGGGAGAGGGAGAGGGCGUUGUAGUCAAAACCCUCUCCUCGUCCUGCGAACCACCACGCGCAUGGGUGAGGGAGAGGCGUAGUAAGCAAGCUUCUCCUCGUUCGGCGAGUUGACGGGACACAUCAAAGAAGUACUAGUACUAGUAGUAGUAGUCCAUACUGCGUCGUUUCUGAUUAAUAUGGCUUAAUUUGAAACGAGAAGAAUACACUGGCGGUCAACGUAUGUAACAAUACGCUCUUUACGGUCACUACAUAUAGUUUUGCGGCGAUUAUACGAUCACUAGCUCAUCGUAGAGCACCGUAUUGCACCCUACUGACCGGCCACAUAGUCGACGUGGCACUUUGUUGACUGGUUAAAUUGUCACCUGGUUUCUGGGUCCCACCUGUCAGUUGGCAGAGCAAAGAAACCAGUUAAACAAAACUUUACGCAGGCGCGACACGAGUCCAACCCUUGCGCGCGAACCGCCCUGGCUGUGUAUGUGAGUGCAUGCACGUGUCCUCCCUCGGUCUUCCAACAAAGAGUGUACAUCGGCUAUAAAACAAAGAGUACAUUUAGCCUUUAAUCUAAAUCGAUAUUGAUUCACUAAUGCACCAACUUGUGCUGUAGGUAUAGGCUACAUGUCUAUCCUUAAUUACAGCAUGCAACGGCCUUCAUUUAAUCUUCUUAUCUCAAUGGUCGCAUGCACACAUAAGUCUGUUACUUUUGGGCGUUAAUUAUGCCCUGGUCAAUGUGUAAAUCUCUAAAUGUACAGUCUUUCACGGACGUAGGGAGUAGGUUGAGCACUUGAGCGUGAGCGUGUGUGUUGCGUCGUGUGCUGUGUGCCGCAUGGGUGCGUGAGUGUUGCGUGCGUCCAUGUGUACGUGUGAGUGUUGCAUGUUGCAUGCAUGCAUGCAUGCAUGGGGCUUACUCCCUCCCAUUGACAUGUUCAUAUUUCAAGCUUCCUCUGUUCCCUCCAUAUGGUGAUACUCCCUCUGUUCCCAAAUAGUACGGAGUAAAAGCCUCCCUCUGUUCCCAAAUACGGAGUAUUUGUCUUUCUACAGAUUUCAACAAGUGACUAGGUACGGAGCAAAAUGAGUGAAGUGAGCGUAGAGGCAUAGGGAUACUAUAGAAAGGAAGUCCUCGCGAUCCAUUAUUCCCCAUCUCGGUCAGAGAGAACUAUUCAACUAGUCUUCGCAGUGAAGUGACAAUACACGCUGCAGCAGAUGGGACACGUAAUUAAUAAGCUGAACCAGCGUGUUGGUGUUACUAAAUCAGCCUUACCCAGUACUGCCAUCAUGUUUGCCAGUAGAGCACGCUUCCGCAAAUACACCUACGCACCUCUGUCCUCCAUUAACUAACAUACGGGCCCUGUUGUGGUAGACCCACAUGUCAUCGGUGUAACUAUUUACACUCCGAAGGACGGUAUAUCCUGGUAGUAGUACUAGUAGAAUUGAGAUUGAAUGCACUUUCUUCCCCGUCUUCCACUCUUCUUCCUCCUCUCUUCCCCAUCGUCGGCCGCGCACCAUUUACCCCCGCUCACUGCUCGCCCGCCCGCGCCAUCUUCCUUGGUAGCUCGCGCGUACCAUAUCCCCCCGCUCACUGCUCGGCCACACAAGGAGAAGCUUCUUCACUCGCCCGCCCGAAUCCACUUCCCUGCUGGCUCGCAGGCACCGAAAACCCCAAUGGCCGAAUCGACUGACACGCAGAGCCGCGAUUGGAAUUCCCUCCCCGAUGUUCUCUUGGAGCAGAUCUAUAGUCGUAUGGACCUACUCAGCACCGUCCGUCUGGCCGCAUGCUCGGUGUCUUUGUACCGUCUACUCGUCUGCAACCGGCCGGCUCUUUUCAAGACACCCUGCUUGCUAAUGCCCGAUCCUCGCAGGUGGCCCAGACACCGACUUGAAGAUCCUAUGGAGGUUGCCGUGGUUCCCCUCGACAUGCUACCACUACCCGUCCACCUGUCCUUCAUGCACGACCACUAUUGGGCGGGCAUGAAGGCCAAUUGGAUCGUCCUCAUCCACCACACCGGUAGUCCGUGGUGUCUCGUGGAUAUCUACACCCAGCGAGAGAUCACCCUUCCAUCGUUGGAUACCGCGGCCAUCGAGCCUCACGGCCCGCCGGACACUCCUGCCUACUACGCACGAGAUGCGUCAAGCUUUUGGCUUGACCUCUGUUUGCAGAAAGUUGUAAUCUGCGAAGUGCCCACACCAUCAGAUGACUACAUGGAUUACAAGCUCAUUGCCUUGUUCAACAUGGGAUUAGUCUAUCUGGAAUCCGGUCGCCAUACAUGGUUAUGGCUCAUCAUCAAUCCUGUUGAGGCAACAUUUCUGUCUGAUGCUAUAGUGCACGAUGGCAUUGUUUACACGGUCGACGCACAGAUUGGCUGCCUAUACUGGUGGAAUCUAUCGUCGUGUAAUUAUUCUAUCUCAUCUCAUCUUUACUUUAUGAAUACGACUCCCUGUUCAUUUGUUACAAAUUUAGAAUGCAUAGCAUGUCUAUAACCACAUCAUUGCUAUAUGUUCCUCUCAUUUCCUAGAUUUUUAUGACCACACAUGUUAUUUUUAGAGUUGAUAUGAGAACAAUUGGCAUCUAAUGAUUGUUAGAAUACAUAUUAUGAGCAUAACAUCAUGAUUGCUAUAUGUUACUCUCGUUUACAAGAUUUUUAUAACAACACAUGUUAUUGCUUAGAGUUGAUAUGAGAACAGUAGCAGUAAGUGCUAUGGUAGAAUAUGAGUAGGCGCUGUCAUAGCUGUUUUCCUCUCAUUGUUACAUGAUGUUUGAACCAUGACAUAUUGCUAGAAUAUGAAAGCCAUUGGCUUAUUUUUUUAACUUGGGGUAUGAUUAUGACCACGGCAUUGCAAUUCUCUGUCUAUGAUAUGUGUCACUGUUAUAAUAAUCUUAAUUCCACACAUACUCUGAACAUGAUUAUUUAUUUUUGUCCUUUUGGUCUCCAAUUUGAAUUGUUGCAGCAGAUGCAAAUGCGCUGGCCUUCAUGAUUCUAGGACUUGGAAUCAUACCAGCCGAUGGGUGGUGGUUUAUCGCUCGUUCAGCUGACGGCGGUCAUUUGAUGCUCAUUCGCACGUACCAAAUUGACCAAACCAUUACAUCAAACCACAUGCAGUACAAUGCGUGGGGCGUUCGUGACAUUGAUGGCUAUGGCUGCUUCGUGUUUGAGAAAGAUCCCAGCUCCGUUGGGCCAGGCGUAUUCAACUGGAGGCGGGUUUACAGCCUCGGCAACCACUCCUUGUUCCUCGAGCUCAAUUAUCCGAUCAUCCAACCAAUCAUCGAUCAUAUCACCGGCGAUGAUUACUGUGCUAUGCAACUUCCAUUCGCGAGGGGGGGCUGUGUUUACACAUCAUACCAUGGGUUUCAUGAAUCACCAUAUCCAGAGAUUCGUCGACACAGCUUGUUGCUGGAUAAUCUUCAGUGUGUGAAAGGCAUCAAGCUUCCAUGCGAUGGAUGACUUUUGCAAACCCGACAUGCGGUGAUGUGGUUCAUGCCAACAACAAAUAUGCACAACUUGAUUCGUGCUGAUAUCUAGACUGAGCCAUGUAUUCUGCUGCUGUAGCACGACCCUCUUUUGUUGGAUAUUAUGUACUGUUGUUAGUUUGAAGCACUCCUCUGGUUUGAAGGAUAGAUACCUUCCUGGGAUCAAGUGCAUCCUAACUCACCUGCGUAGGAUGUACUAAUAAUGAUGAUGGAGAUGCUGUGCAGAAGCCAUAUAUAUAUAUAUCAGUUAGGCUUCAAGUGCGUACUUGUUAGUUAAACCUAUGUAUAAAUUGUGACACUAAAUACAACUAGUAAGUAGUACAGUAGCAAUACUAGUAUACGUCGGUCAAAUUAUUCAUCAUGUCCACACAUUAAAUUGACGUGACAACACGCUGCGCGUGAGGUGACACAAGAAUCCCGGUGGCGUGUUCGGGUAUUCUGGACUUCAGAUUUGGAGUACCACUUAUCUGUCGAAAUCUUUCAUCAUUCACUUAAAAUAGUCGAUUGAUCAUACAUUCAGUACCAUAUAACUGGAAUUACCGAUGCAAGUCGAAGAAGGAUUGGCCGGUGCUGCCGGCUGGCGUCAAGUUCGAUCCCACGGAUCAGGAGCUGAUCGAGCACCUUGAGGCCAAAGUGAGUGCUGACAGCGCGAGAUUUCAGUCUCUCAUCGAUUUGUUCAUACCAACCAUCGACAGCGAGCACGGCAUAUGCUACACCCAACCUGAGAAACUUCCAGGUAAGACACCGAUCGACCGUCUACUUGCACAAACAUAUUCCUUUGUUUAUAGCUCUAUUUUUCUUUUUAGAUGCAGACCUGGUGAAGCAAUUACAAUUUGACAGUUAAUAAAAAGUGAAACAAGUGACUGCAACAUGCCAAAGAUGUUAUGAAAAUGCCAACUAGGUACACUAAAACCUGUAUUCCACAAUACUGCAGGUAUCACACUGAGUGGCCUAAGGAAGCAUUUCUUACAGCGCAAUUCCAGGGCAUUCAAAAGGGGCACGUGGACGCGUCGCAAGAUACAGUCGGAGUGCGGCAUGCACGCGGUGUGGCACAAGACCGGCAAUACCUUGCCGGUGAUGGUCAACGGCCGGCAAGACGGGCAGCAAAAAAGGUUCUGGUGCUGCACACCAACAAGAACUUUGACCAACAGAGGACCAACUGGGUGAUGCACCAGUACCACCUCGGGGACCUGGAGCAAGAGAAGGAGAGGGAGCUGGUCCUCUGCAAGAUUUUCUACCAGACGAACACUAGGGCCAGGAGUAAAAAGAUUAUAAGUUAGUUUGGUAUUGGUAGUUGUACUACCUUGUCGUCCGCAAGUUGGUAUUGUUGUUAACGAUCUUUUGGUAUGAACUUGCAUUUGCUUCCAACCAUCAUGCCGAGGGUCGACGUGGAUAUAAAGCUGAAUCAUUUGUUUCGAAACGAAUUUUCAGGCACCUGAUUUUUAUUUGAUGGGUAGCAUAAGCACCCGUCGUUCGAAUUCCCAUUUCUCCAAUUUUUUCGAAACAAGUGCAUGCACUUAUUAUCACGAUAAAAAACAAUAUCCGUGCUGCAUCCCAGUUAUCAGUCUGUACUUGCAGAAUUCUCUCGUUUAUUGAGCACGUAUAUUGUUUUUUUAGGUUGAGCAAGUUUCAACUGGGCUGUAGAGUGCCCAGGGUUGGUUUUGUUUUUAACAGGCCCAGCCCAUGACGACAACGGGGCACAAAGAUCCAGCAGGUAUAUACUGGCCUCUGGCCCGCCAGCGUUAGUUAUAUUUUGUGUUACAACAUCCGCAAGCAGUUUUUUUUACUAAAUCAAACACACAGCCCAGUUCUAUUUUCCUCUUGAAACGCAUGUCCUACAUCCGUUUUCUAAUCUCUACCUAUAGUUUUACUAGUUCAUAUACACGUAUCAUUAUAUUGAAAACACAUAAAAUUCCCUUUUCAUAUUUACAUCCUUAUUUUUGUUGUUUUUUCCCACCCAGCGCUGAUUUUCUUACCACUGGUUUUCCCUUAAACCAACUCAAUUGUCCCACGUCUUAUUUUCUUACAAAAACAAAACGAUUUUUUUGGCAAAUCAAUAAGUUCUUAAAAAUGUUUAUCAUUUCGGGAUUACAACAGUUCGGACUCCACCGAGAUAUGCAAAAUAAAGUUGAACUUUUUGACCGUGGUCCUGGGCAGAAAAUGGGCUGUAAUAAAUUACUUAAGAAUUAGCAAAUGGGCUGCAAAUUAUAAAAAAUAGCAAAUGGGCUUUAUGUUGUCUGCCACAGAUUUGGAGGCUGACUUGUGGGCCUACUAAGUGCAUGCGUACACAAGGUUUAUGAAAAAAGAAACUUAGUCAACAAUCGACUCUACCAGCGUCAGACCGUUAGAUGUCAAUCUAACGGCAAUCGUGCUUCUUCAGUCUCUGAUCUUCCUGCCCCAGCCGCCCAAACCAGCGCCGUCGGAACCGCCUGCUCCCACCUCCCGUGGCCGGCAGUGCUGCCGGGCAGGCCUCACGGCCCCAUCAUACUCGCAUCCCUGGCCUGUCUAUCCCUCUACUUACCCACACCUCCUGUUAUUUUCCGCUGACGGCAGGCGAACCAGUCAACCCUCGUACUCUCCACCGCGUGGGCAGCCACUGCCGUGUCUUCCCCGGCUCCGUGUCGUUCCCUUCGUAGGCCUCGCCAUCGUCCACCGCCCUGGUGCUCUCGGCGCGGCGUAGUCAACGAUGUCCAUCCAACGACCGUAGUGCUUCUUCAACCUAUGGUCUUCUUGCCCCAGCCGCCCAAAGCAGCGCCGGUCGUGCCGCAUGCUCCUGCCUCCCGUAGCCGGCUGUGCUGCCGCGGAGGCCUCACCGUUCCCAUACUACUCCCACCGCUGGCCAGGCCAUCCCUCCACUCACCCACUCCCCCUGUUAUACUACGGCGACGGCAGCCUCACACCGCAGCCGAACCAGUGAACCCUCGUACUCCUCUCCGCGUGGGCAUCCACUGCCACGUCUUCCCUGGCUCCGCGUCGUCCCCUUCCUAGGCCUCGCCGUCGUCCACCGCCGUGGUGCUCUCGGCGCGGCGUGGUCAAUGUGGUCAACGACCGACUUCCAUCGGAAGAGUACUGUACGUGGAGAGGCUAACAGCUAGGUCCACGGCAGCCGCAAGGAAGUGCCUCCUUAUUACGCGCAACAUAAUUAUUCCUCCACUUGACAGCAGGAACCCACCGAACGGGCCACCAGUAUUUCGCGGAAAAAAUGUUUCCCCCCUGACUGCCGGGACCCACCGGACGGGCCACCGUAUUUCGCGAAAAAAACGUUUGCCCCUGACUGCUGGGACCCACCGGACGGACCACCGUAUUUCGCGAAAAAAACGUUCCCCCCGCUGUCAGCUCGGACCCACCGGAAGUGCCUCCUUAUUACGCACAGAAAAAUGAAUACUCCCCCUGCUAGCUGGGACCCACCAUGGUGGGAGGCUGACUUGUGGGCCUACUAAGUUGACGGGGACGGAGGGCUUUGUCAACUUAGUCAAUAUGAAUGAUUCUAGCUUCAGUGACUGUACGAUGUCCAUCCAACGGCCGUAGUGCUUCUUCAACCUCUGGUCUUCUUGCUCCAGCCGCCCGCAUGCUCCUGCCUCCCGUGGCCGGCUGUGCUGCCGCGGAGGCCUCACCGCCCCCUACUAUUCCCACCGCUGGCCAGGCCGUUCGGCGACAGCAGCCUCACACCGCAGCCGAACCAGUGAACCCUCGUACUCCUCUCCACGCGGGCUUCCACUGCCGCGUCUUCCCCGGCUCCGCGUCGUCCCCUUCCUAGGCCUCGCCGUCGUCCACCGCCGUGGUGCUCUCCGCGCGGCGUGGUCAACAUGGUCAAGGAACGACUUCCAUCGAAAGAGUAUUGUAUGUGGAGAGGCUGACAGCUGGGUCCACGGCCACAGCCCAGUUUUUUUGUGAUUUGCCAAGUAAGUCUCUUUGUCAGGCCUUUUGGGCUGCAAAUCUUUCAAGACGAGGAGAGCUUUCAUUCGGCUGGCCGAGAAAAUGGCCCAUCAGUAAUGAGAAAUGGGCUGUACAUUUUUAAAACACAUCAAACCGGCAAUUAGUUUCAAAUUUCUUUUUUUCCAUUUAGAGAUUUUAAAUUACAUUAAUUUUUAUGCGUGGAGAAUUUGUUGGAUUUUAUAUUGAUAUACAUUUAUUUUUAAAAUCAGUUUGAAUGUGAGUCGAAAUUUCGGGAUUAAAAACAGUUCAGACCGCACCGAAAUAUGCAAAAUUUCGUAUAAUUUUUUAACCGUGGCCACAAUAUGGGCUGUAAUGCUAACAAAAAGAAUAUGGGCUCCAAAAAAACCUUAAUAAUUAGCAAAUGGGCUGUAAAUUAUUAGAAAUAAUGGCAGAUGGGUUGUAUGCUGUUUUCCACAGAUUUGAGGCUUUCCUAAAAAAAAGGUUGACGCACAAGCAGUGACUGUUGGAUGGCCAUCCAACGGCCGUCGUGCUUCUUCAAUCUCGACUCUUCCUGCUCCAGCCGCUCAAACAAGCGCCGGCGGGACUGCCUGCUCCCUCCUCCCCGCAGCCGGCUCUGCUGCCGCGCAGGCCUCACCGCCCCACCGUACUCCCAUCGCUGGCCUAGCCAUCCCUCUACUCACUCACACCUGCUGUUAUUCUCCGGCGACGGCAGACGAACUAGUAAAUCCUCGUACAGUCGUACUCCCCUCCGCGUGGGAAACAACUGCCGAGUCUUCCCUGCCUCCAUGUCGAUCCCUUCCUAGGCCUCACCGUCGUCCACCGCCCUGGUGCUCUCGGCGCGGCCUGGUCAACAUGGUCAACGACCGACAUGCAUCUGAAGUGGACUGUACGUGGAGAGGCCGACAGCUGGGUCCACGGCCGCACGCAAGGAAAUGCCUCCUUAUUACGCGCAAAAUAAUGAUUCCUCCACCUGACAUCAGGGACCCACCAAAACGGCCUCUGUAUUUCGCGAAAAAGCGUUACCGCCGCUGACAGCUCGGACCCACCAGCUAUAUCUUCGCACGCAAGGAAGUGCCUCCUUAUUACGCACAAAAAAAUGAAUACUCCCCCUGCUAGCUGGGACCCACCAUGGUGGGAGGCUGACUUGUGGGUCUACUAAGUUGACUGGGACGGGGGCCUUUGUCAACUUUAGUCAAUAUGAAUGAUUCUAGCUCCAGUGACCGUACGAUGUCCAUCCAACGGCCGUAGUGCUUCUUCAACCUCUGGUCUUCUUGCUCCAGCCGCCCAAAGCAGCGCCGGUCGUGCCGCAUGCUCCUGCCUCCCGUGGCCGGCUGUGCUGCCGCGGAGGCCUCACCGCCCCUACUAUUCCCACCGCUGGCCAGGCCCUGCGGCGACGGCAGCCUCACACCGCAGCCCAACCAGUGAAACCUCGUACUCCUCUCCGCGCGGGCUUCCACUGCCGCGUCUUCCCCGGCUCCCCCUCGUCCCCUUCCUAGGCCUCGCCGUCGUCCACCGCCCUGGUGCUCUCGGCGCGGCGUGGUCAACGUGGUCAAGGAACGACUUCCAUCGGACGUGGACUGUACGUGGAGAGGCUGACAGCUGGGUCCAAGGCCGCAGCAAGGAAGUGCCUCCUUAUUACGCGGAAAAUAAUGAUUCCUCCACCUGACAGCUGGGACCCACCGGACGGGCCAUUGUAUUUCGCGAAAAAAACGUUUCCCCCUGACUGCUGGGACCCACCAGCUACAUCUUCGCACGCAAGGAAGUGCGUCCGGGCAAAAAAAAAACGAUUCGCCCUUCUGACUGCUGGGACCCACCAGCUACAUCUUCGUAGGCAAGGAAGUGCGUGACGGUCGGGACCCACCUGGUCGAAGCGUACGUAGCGUUGUCAUUCUGGUCGCGAACGUGUACGUACAUAUAUACUGGUGGAUGUAGAGGCGCGCAUGUGUCGUAGUAGAGGCGCGUACGUGUCGUAGUAGAUGCGCGCACGUAGCAUGUACACGUACGUACAGCGGCCAGGGUGCAAGAAAGAAAAUACGGCCACGUAUGUGUACAUACUGGCGGGGUCUCGAACGCCUACUCGCGCAUAUGUAUGGCCAGGGCUCGUGUACAUGGCUGGGUCGGAACAGAGAAACAACGUCGUCGUCGUGUUCAUGGGGAGGCAAUGGAAUGCGUCGUGUUCAUGGGGAGGCAACGGAAUGCGUCGUGUUCAUCGGGAGGCAACGGAACGCGUGGGAGCCAACCGGCUGGGUCGGAACGGAAUGCGUGGUCGUGUUCAUCGGGAGGGCUUGGACGGAACAGGCGAUGGAAACGAGGCCUGGCGUACCGCAGAACGGAGGAAACGGACCUCCUACGGUCGAAACGGGGGUCCUGUUGAUCGGGAGGGGUGUGGCGUAUCGCAAAACAAAGGAAACGUACCUCCUAUGAUCGAAACGGGGGUCCUGUUGAUCGGGAGGGGUGUGGCGUACCGCAAAACGGACGAAACGGACAUCCAAUGGUCGAAACGGGGGUCCUGUUCAUCGGGAGGGNNNNNNNNNNNNNNNNNNNNNNNNNNNNNNNNNNNNNNNNNNNNNNNNNNNNNNNNNNNNNNNNNNNNNNNNNNNNNNNNNNNNNNNNNNNNNNNNNNNNNNNNNNNNNNNNNNNNNNNNNNNNNNNNNNNNNNNNNNNNNNNNNNNNNNNNNNNNNNNNNNNNNNNNNNNNNNNNNNNNNNNNNNNNNNNNNNNNNNNNNNNNNNNNNNNNNNNNNNNNNNNNNNNNNNNNNNNNNNNNNNNNNNNNNNNNNNNNNNNNNNNNNNNNNNNNNNNNNNNNNNNNNNNNNNNNNNNNNNNNNNNNNNNNNNNNNNNNNNNNNNNCACCGUCUACUGUUCAUCCAACCCUCCACACCACGGGGUCCUGUUCAACCAUCCCUCCACGGGCACCCCUCCACCGUCUACUGUUCAUCCAGCCCUCCACCACACCACGGGGUCCUGUUCAUCCAGAGGCAACGCCACCGCUCACUGUUCAUCCAAACCCCCUCGCAACACUCACUGUUCAUCCCAGAGGCAGCAUCGAUCGGCUUCAGUUAGCAGCAGUAGCGAAGGAAUCGCUCGAUCGGGUUCAGUUAACAGCCAUCGAUCGAUCGCUCGGGUUCAGUAACGCGUAGCCUGCAGUGCAAUCGCUCGGGUUCAGUUAGAGCCCAAUGCCUCGCUCGGGUUCAGUUAGAGCCAACGUCUCACACACGCGCGCGUACGUGUACGAGAGAAACGCGCAUCGCUCGGCCCCGACCUCCCACCGUAACCGGGAACUCCCCGAAAUUUUCCUCGCCCUCGCUUCUACCACGGUUUUUUCCGUCAUCGACGGCCCAAAGAAUGUCAUGCAGCAGCGUCUCCGGCCCGCUCAGGACGAAAAGCCCAUUUUCUGUCAUGAUUUUUUGUCAUAGAAGUAGGAGCUCACCACAUCUAUGAUGAUAUCGGGUUUUGUCACAAUUAUCGUCAUAGAAGUGUCAUAUGUAUGACAGAAAAAAAUUCCGUUCGGCCCAAAAUGUCACGGAUGUGUCUUUUUUUUGUAGUGACAGUACAAGCUCAGAGGUAAAUCUUUCUAGAAAGAGUGCUUUAGAGGAGUAUUUUUCUGUUUCAAGGCUUGUCAGAAGGGUUUCUUGGAGGGGUGUAGGCCAUACCUUGCUGUGGAUGCUACAACAUUGAAUGGAAGGUUUAGAGGCCAACUAGUUGCUGCAUGUUCCGUAGAUGCUCAUAACUGGCUAUUUCCUGUAGCAUAUGGUGUCAUAGAAGCAAAGUCUGAAGAGAGUUGGGGUUGCUUUUUCAAAAACCUAAAAAAUGUCAUACAUACUACUGAAUUCACAUAAAUAACUCAUAAACAAGUUCCAAACUGCAUCUUCCAUUACCAUUUAGUUCAUCAUCCAUCAUAAACAACACUACAUCAUCCAUUAACUUGCUCAAAUCCGUGAAGACACAGAGAUGGCCACAACAAUAACACACAAUAGGCUAAUACCAAACAACAGUGUCCACACACGCAACAUUUCAUCUCGCUCUUUCAGUUUCUUCUUCAAAGUGCGCUUCUUCUUCGCCAGCUCCAGGUUUCUCUUCUGCAACUGAUGACAUUUGAUCCACAUCCGUUCAAUCUCAGCAUGCAUGUCUUCAAAUGCAAGUGCAACACGAGUUGGGGGAGGCAGAUCAACCCAAACCAACCAGUGGCACUCUUCUGGCAACUGCAAUUUAGGCAAAGAUCAGAUCACAGCAAGGACAUGUCCAUAUCCAAGAUUAAUGAUCUAAAUGUUACUCUUACAUCAAGUGGGCACCCUAAAAACCGCCGGCCGGUGCUUCCCUCUCCCCAGGCGACUCGACGGGCCGGAACUAGGCCAUGUCCAGCGAAACGGUGCUUCGAGCGGUACUCCAAGCCGGUGUAGGUGUCGUCCGACAGAUAAAACUCGGAUGCAUGCUCCACAAUUCCCACCCCGUCGACCUUCUCGAAAAAUGUGAGAUUUUCCCCCAAAAUACACAAACCCUAACCCUAGAACAGAGGAGCCGCGGGAAAUCCAAGGGGAAUCACCAAGCGUUGCUUACCUCUCCAGCCAUGGCGGAUGCCGACGAAAUCUUAGAUGAGAUGCCCGGGCUCGACAUCUCCGGAUCCACCUCCUCCCGCUUCUCCUCCUCUGGUUUUGCCGCGCCGUCGCUCUUUUUUUCACUUCAGCUGAACGAGGAGGAAGUAAUAAGGGCAACCAGCCCAGGGGCAAAAAUGUCCAUAAACGGCCGCUGGUUAUGGUCAAACGACGCUGACCAGGCGGAGCCGUGACGGAAGGGCAAAAACAUAAGUGCAGCAAACGCGGUUGGGCAAGACUGAGGGUUUUUUGAAUUUAGGGGCAAAACAAACGGGUGUGACACAACUAAGGGCUGAAAUGUAAUUGUCCCAAGGAUAAAACGAUGGGGUCUAUCUCUACAUAGAUAGAUCUUGUCUACAUCAUGUCAUUGUUCUUAUUGCAUUACUCUGUUUUUCCAUGAACUUAAUACACUAGAUGCAUGCUGGAUAACGGUCGAUGUGUGGAGUAAUAGUAAUAGAUGCAGGCAGGAGUCGGUCUACUAAUCUUAGAGGUGAUGCCUAUAUAUGAUCAUUGCCUGGAUAUCGUUAUGAGUAUUUAAAGUUCUAUCAACUACCCAACAGUAAUUUGUUCACCCACCCUUUGCUAUUUUUCUCGAGAGAAGCCACUAGUGAAACCUACGGCCCCCGGGUCUCUUUCUCAUAUAUUUGCCUUUGCGGUCUACUUUUUCCUUGCAUUUAUUUUCAGAUCUAUUAAACUAAAAUACAAAAAUACCUUGCUGCAAUUUUUCCCUAUUUAUUUUAUUUGGCGUUCGAUCUAUCAAUUUACUACAAAUUUAUCUCACGUCCGUUUGCCUAUCUUGAGGCGUUGUACCCCGGAAGGGAUUGACAACCCCUUUAACACGUCGUGUUGCGAGGAUUUGUUAUCUGUGUGCAGGGGAUGUUUAUAUUGUGUUGCUUAGUUCUCCUACUGGUUCAAUAACUUGGUUUCAUAUCUGAGGGAAAUACCUACCGCCGUUGUGCUGCAUCAUCCCUUCCUCUUUUUGGAAAUACCAAUGUAGCUUCAAGCGACAUCAGGAACACAUCAAUAACAUGUAUAUCAAAUAUACCUUCCACUUUGCCAUCCUUCUUAACCGCCAAAUACUUGGGGCAGUUCCGCUUCCAGUGACCAGUCCCUUUGCAGUAGAAGCACUCAGUCUCAGGCUUAGGUCCAGACUUGGGUUUCUUCAUUUGAGCAGCAACUUGCUUGCCGUUCUUCUUGAAGUUCCCCUUCUUCCCUUUGCCUUUUUUCUUGAAACUAGUGGUCUUGUUAACCAUCGACACUUGAUGCUCCUUCUUGAUUUCUACCUCCGCAGCCUUUAGCAUUGCGAAGAGCUCGGGAAUUGUCUUUUCCAUCCCUUGCAUAUUAUAGUUCAUCACAAAGCCUUUAUAGCUUGGUGGCAGUGAUUGAAGAACUCUGUCAAUGACACUAUCAUCAGGAAGAUUAACUCCCAGCUGAGUCAAGUGGUUGUGGUACCCAGACAUUCUGAGUAUGUGUUCACCGACAGAACUAUUCUUCUCCAUUUUGCAGCUAUAGAACUUGUCGGAGACUUCAUAUCUCUCAACUCGGGCAUUUGCUUGAAAUAUUAACUUCAACUCCUGGAACAUCUCAUAUGCUCCAUGACGUUCAAAACGUCUUUGAAGUACCGAUUCUAAGCCGUAAAGCAUGGCACACUGAACUAUCGAGUAGUCAUCAGCUUUGGUCUACCAGACGUUCAUAACAUCCGGAGUUGCUUCUGCAGCGGGUCUUGCACCUAGCGGUACUUCCAGGACGUAAUUCUUCUGUGCAGCAAUAAGGAUAAUCCUCAAGUUACGGACCCAAUCCGUGUAGUUGCUACCAUCAUCUUGUUGGGGAACGCAGUAUUUCAAAAAGAAUUACCUACGAUCACGCAAGAUCUAUCUAGGAGAUGCAUAGCAACGAGACGGGAGAGUGUGUCCACGUACCCUCGUAGACCAAAAGCGGAAGCAUUUAGUAACGCGGUUGAUGUAGUCGAACGUCUUCACGAUCCAACCGAUCCAAGUACCGAACGUAUGGCACCUCCGUGUUCAGCACACGUUCAGCACGAUGACAUCCCUCGAGCUCUUGAUCUAGUUGAGGACGAGAGAGAUUUCCAUCAGCACGACGGCGUGGUGACGGUGAUGAUGAAGUUACCGGCGCAGGGCCUCGCCUAAGCACUACGACGAUAUGACCGAGGUGUGUAACUGUGGAGGGGGGCACCGCACACGGCUAAGACCAAUAUUGAAGUGCCUUUGGGGUGCCCUCUGCACACAUAUAUAAUGGAGGGAGGGAGAGAGGCCGGCCCUUCUAGGGGCGCGCCAAGUGUAGGCAGUCCUACUAGGACUCCCAAGUCCUAGUAGGAUUCCCUUUCCUUUUCGGAGUGGGAAAGAAGGAAAGGAGGGAGAGGGAGAAGGAAAGGGGGGCCGCGCCCCAACCCCUUGUCCAAUUCGGUUUGGGCAGGGGGGAGGCGCGCGCCACCUCGUGGCCCUUCUUCCCUCUCUCCACUAAAGCCCAAUAAGGCCCAUUAACUUCCCCAGCAAAUUCCCGUAACCCUCCGGUACUCUGAAAAAUACCCGAAUCACUCGGAACCAUUCCGAUGUCCGAAUAUAGCCUUCCAAUAUAUGAAUCUUUACCUCUCGACCAUUUCGAGACUCCUCGUCAUAUCCGUGAUCUCAUCCGGGACUCCGAACAAACUUCGGUCAUCAAAUCACAUAACUCAUAAUACAAAUCGUCAUCGAACGUUAAGCAUGCGGACCCUACGGGUUCGAGAACUAUGUAGACAUGACCGAGACACAUCUCCGGUCAAUAACCAAUAGCGGAACCUGGAUGCUCAUAUUGGCUCUUACAUAUUCGACGAAGAUCUUUAUCGGUCAAACCGCAUAACAACAUACGUCAUUCCCUUUGUCAUCGGUAUGUUACUUGCCCGAGAUUCGAUCGUCGGUAUCAUCAUACCUAGUUCAAUCUCGUUACCGGAAAGUCUCUUUACUCGUUCCGUAAUGCGUCAUCCCGAAACUAACUCAUUAGUCACAUUGCUUGCAUGGCUUAUAGUGAUGAGCAUUACCGAGAGGGCCCAGACAUACCUCUCCGAUACUCGGAGUGACAAAUCCUAAUCUCGAUCUAUGCCAAACCAGGAAACACAUUUGGAGACACCUGUAGAGCAUCUUUAUAAUCACCCAGUUACGUUGUGACAUUUGAUAGCACACAAGGUGUUCCUCCGGUAUUCGGGAGUUGCAUAAUCUCAUAGUCAAAGGAAUAUGUAUAAGUCAUGAAGAAAGCAAUAGCAAUAAAAUUGAACGAUCAACAUGCUAAGCUAACGGAUGGUUCUUGUCCAUUACAUCAUUCUCCUAAUGAUGUGAUCCCGUUCAUCAAAUGACAACACAUGUCUAUGGUCAGGAAACUUAACCAUUUUUUAUUAACGAGCUAGUCAAGUAGAGGCAUACUAGGGACACUUUGUUUUGUCUAUGUAUUCACACAUGUAUCAAGUUUCCGGUUAAUACAAUUCUAGCAUGAAUAAUAAAAAUUUAUCAUGAUAUAAGGAAAUAUAAAUAACAUCUUUAUUAUUGCCUCUAGGGCAUAUUUCCUUCACAUCUUUCAACUUAGCUUUCUCUAGGAACACAUUAAAAUUCAAGGGAACGAUAGCACGGGCAAUUCAUCUACAAUAGCAUAGACAUGCAAAAACUAUCAGGUACUAAGUCCAUGAUCAAUUAAAGUUCAAUUAAUCAUAUUACUUAAGAACUCCCACUUAGAUAGACAUCCCUCUAGUCAUCUAAAUAAUCACGUGAUCCAUAUCAACUAAACCAUGUCCGAUCAUCACGUGAGAUGGAGUAGUUUCCAAUGGUGAACAUCUCUAUGUUGAUCGUAUCUACUAUAUGAUUCACGUUCGACCUUUCGGUCUCAGUGUUUCGAGGCCAUAUCUGCAUAUGCCAGGCUCGUCAAGUUUAACCCGAGUAUUCUGCAUGUGCAAAACUGGCUUGCACCCGUUGUAUGUGAACGUACAGCUUAUCACACCCGAUCAUCACGUGGUGUCUCGGCACGAAGAACUGUAGCAACGCUGCAUACUCAGGGAGAACACUUAUACCUUGAAAUUUAGUGACAAAUCAUCUUAUAAUGCUACCGCCGUACUAAGCAAAAUAAGAUGCAUAAAGGAUAAACAUCACAUGCAAUCAAAAUAUGUGACAUGAUAUGGCCAUCAUCAUCUUGUGCCUUUGAUUUCCAUCUCCAAAGCACCGUCAUGAUUUCCAUCGUCACCGGCUUGACACCUUAAUCUCCAUCGUAGCAUCGUUGUCAUCUCGCCAACUAUUGCUUCUACGACUAUCGCUACCGCUUAGUGAUAAAGUAAAGCAAUUAUAUGGCGAUUGCAUUUCAUACAAUAAAGCGACAACCAUAAGGCUGCUGCGAGUUGCCGAUAACUUGGACAAAACAUGAUCAUCUCAUACAACAAUUUAUAUCUCAUGACUUCUUGACCAUAUCACAUCACAACAUGCCCUGCAAAAACAAGUUAGACGUCCUCUACUUUGUUGUUGCAAGUUUUACGUGGCUGCUACGGGCUUCUAGCAAGAACCGUUCUUACCUACGCAUCAAAACCACAACGAUUUUUCGUCAAGUGUGCUGUUUUAACCUUCAACAAGGAUCGGCCAUAGUCAAACUCGAUUCAACUAAAGUUGGAGAAACAGACACCACCCACUAGCCACCUGUGUGCAAAGCACGUCGGUAGAACCAGUCUCAUGAACGCGGUCAUGUAAUGUCGGUCCGGGCCGCUUCAUCCAACAAUACCGCCGAAUCAAAUUAAGACGGUGGUGGUAAGCAUUAUGACUAUUAUCGCCCACAACUCAUUGUGUUCUACUCGUGCAUAUAACAUCUAAGCAUAGACCUGGCUCGGAAGCCAUUGUUGGGGAACCUAGUAAUUCAAAAAAAAGUCCUACAAUCAUGCAAGAUCUAUCUAGGAGAAGCAUAGAAACGAGACGGGAGAGUGUGUCCACAUACCCUCGUAGACCAAAAGUGGAAGCGUUUAGUAACGCGGUUGAUGUAGUCGAACGUCUUCACGAUCCAACCGAUCCAAGUACCAAACGUACGGCACCUCCGUGUUUAGCACAAGUUCCGCACGAUGACAUCCCCCGAGCUCUUGAUCCAGUAGAGGGAUGAGGGAGAGUUCCGUCAGCACGACGGCGAGGCGGCGGUGAUGAUGAAGUUACCGGCGCAGGGCUUCGCCUAAGCACUACGACGAUAUGACCGAGGUGUUUAACUUUGGAGGGGGCACCGCACACGGCUAAGAGAUUAUCUGUUGUGCUUUGGGGUGCCCCCUGCCCACGUAUAUAAAGGAGGGGGGACGAGGAGGCCGGCCAAGUGUAGCGAUCCGACCUCAGACGGUCAAAUCUCUGUGCAUAAGUGUCUUCCCUGGAUCGGUAAUGCUGACACACACAUCACUUGAAGGGUUUAUAACAGAGUGCAAUCACACACUUAUUACAUCGAAUGUCUCGAAAGAGAACUUAUUACAAUAGUAUGGCUUAAGGCCAUCUAAAUAAGACAACUGCGGAAGCAUUGAAGGUAAAUGAGUCCAUCAACUCCAACGGCAUAGCUGAGUGCACGACAACGACCUAGCGCACCUUACUCUUCAUCUGAAAAGUCUGCAACAUAAUACGUUGCAGCCCGAAACGGGUCAGCACAUGGAAUGUGCUGGCAAAAUAACACUGUAGAGCAAUGAACAAUGUAACAGCUAACACUACAUGCAUAUAUGGCUGGUGGAGGCUCUAUGGUUAUCACUUUUGGUAAAGCCAAUUUUUUCCUACUGCAAAGGAAUAUAUUUUAUUUAACUAACAAGUUGGUUGAUAAACAUUGAGAAUGGAAACCCAUCUCAAUCCCAAUUAAACAGUAGUUAACAACCCAACAAAUUAAAUUAAGAGGGAUGAGAUCAAAUCUAUAAUUCAAGAACCAGAUACUCAAGAUGUCCAUAACCGGGGACACGGCUAACCAUGAUUAGUUUGUACACUCUGCAGAGGUUUGCGCACUUUUCCCCUCAAGACUCGAUCUCCUCCGUUGUAUUUCUCGCACUGCAUGGUGUUUGAGAAACGGAUGACCGAGACACAGUCUUUCCGAAGAGGUCCCCUUAACCGAUAGAUAGGCCGGUACACCUACAAUCCCCUACAUCUGCUAGCCCAUCAUGGAAAGGAUUCCCACAACUUACUCAACUAUGCCAGGGCCCGUAGUGGCUUGUGGCUGCACACGGAAGUUUCUAGCAUGUAUAAUCUUAUGAUCCCUUUGAGCCUGGGUGGCGAACCAUAGGAUGAUCACACGGAUUCCCCGGGAUCUCCUUGGACAACACUGGAUUCCCCAGGUGCCCACAAACAAUCCACCCAGAUGUGUAUUAAAGUAGCCACCUUAAGUUAACCAUUAAUUAACAACUCUCACAUCUGUCAUGGAUACACUCAACCAAUCCACGUCUACGAGCAUAGCAUAGCAAAGUAAGCAUAACGUAGUAACUCCCAAGGUUUGAAUAAAGCACAAUAGGAUCUACCUCAUCAACUACUUCCCAAUACCCACAUGUUAACAAAUCCUAACCAUGCAAUGUUUGAGGGUUGGAUCUAAUGCAUAAAAACUGGGUAAUAGAAAGGUAUGAUCAAAGUGUUACUUGCCUUGCUGACGAUCAGAAAACCCUAGUGACUCGUAGUAGCACGCUUCGCACUCCGGAAACUCUAUCACAAACAAACAAUAGCAUAGAUAAGUACUCAAGCAUAGAUGCAAGGGUAAAACUCAAUAGAAAAGAUUCAAACUGAAAGCUCAACUGAAGAACUUCGAUUUGCAAAAAGAAUCAAUCGAAUCGGAGCUACGAAACUCAAACUAUGAUCAAAACAAAUUCGAAUUCAAAUCUGCUUGAAACCAAAUUUUAAUUUUUCAAAACAAUGUUCAAGUUCAUUAACUGGAAAGAGGGGUUCGAGAUGAAGAUUAUGGCAUCGGUUUCACUGGAUUUGGAUGAACGAGCAAAAAGUUGCGAGGGUUUGAAGAUCAGGGGCUAAUCUACGAUAAAAAUAAUUGUGGAUAGGUCCCUGGACGAAAAAUAAAAUAAAAAGCAAAACACUAACGAACAAACGUUCGUUACCAGAGGCUAACGAACGAAAACGUUCGUCGAAAUGAUCUAACCGGCGAGCGUUCGCAAAAAUAACAAACCUAAAAAAACCAAUCUGAACCGAUCUAACCGAAAACCGAAAAAACGUAAACCUAAAAAAACGAACGGUUUUAUACCGUUUAACCGGGGUUGACCGACGGCGAGACUCCGGCGUGGUGGGGCGGCGGUGUCGGCGAGCGGCGGCGGAGCAACGGCGGCAGCAGGCGGCGGCGGCGCGGGCUGGCGGCACGAGCGGNNNNNNNNNNNNNNNNNNNNNNNNNNNNNNNNNNNNNNNNNNNNNNNNNNNNNNNNNNNNNNNNNNNNNNNNNNNNNNNNNNNNNNNNNNNNNNNNNNNNNNNNNNNNNNNNNNNNNNNNNNNNNNNNNNNNNNNNNNNNNNNNNNNNNNNNNNNNNNNNNNNNNNNNNNNNNNNNNNNNNNNNNNNNNNNNNNNNNNNNNNNNNNNNNNNNNNNNNNNNNNNNNNNNNNNNNNNNNNNNNNNNNNNNNNNNNNNNNNNNNNNNNNNNNNNNNNNNNNNNNNNNNNNNNNNNNNNNNNNNNNNNNNNNNNNAAUAAAUUCCGCCUAAGAAAAAUCCUAAUAAAAUAUAAAAAAUUCUAAAAAUGCCAAAAACAAAUUUCACCGUCUAAAUAAAAUAUUUAGAACAAAGUGAACAUUUUUGUGGCCUAAUAUUGCAAUUUUCAAGAAUGCAUAUUCUUCUAAUUCAAAUAAAAUCUCAAAUAAAGUCCAAAUAAAACAUAUAUAUUUGAUUUUAAUUUUUUUUUCCUCCAAUAUUCCUCUCUUUUUGAAGAUGUCAUAUUAUCUUCUCUGUUUUAUUUUAAUAUUAGAAAUAUUUGGAGAGAAAAAUAUUAAAACUAAAUUGAUCCUCUUUUUAAAUUUGAGAAAAUUCAAAUAUGAAAAUAAAUGAAAUCCCCAACUCUCUCCUUGGGUCCUUGAGUUGCUUAAGAUUUCUAGGAUCACAACCAAAAUGUAAAUAAAAUAUGAUAUGCAUAUGAUGACCUAUGUAUAACAUCCUAAUUGAAAAUUGGGAUGUUACAAACCUACCCCCUUAAGAUGAAUCUCGCCCUCGAGAUUCGGGUUGGCUAGAAAAUAGGUGUAUGUGGUCUUUCCGUAGGUCUUCUUCUCGUUCCCAGGUGGCUUCAUCCUCGGUAUGGUGGCUCCACUGAACUUUGCAAAAUUUGAGAACCUUGCUGCGCGUAACUCGGCUGGCAAACUCGAGAAUCUUUUUGGGUUUCUCCUCGUAGGUUAGGUCAUUAUCCAACUGAAUUGCUUCCCGGGGCACGAUAUCUCUCAGAGGAAUAUAGGUCAUCUCUGCAUGGCACUUCUUCAACUGGGAAACGUGAAACACAUCAUGAACUCCUGAUAGUCCUUCGAGUAACUCCAACUUGUAGGCCACUUCCCCCAUACGUUCAAAAACUCGGUAUGGUCCUACAAAUCUCGGGGCUAACUUUCCCUUAACUCCAAAACGUUUAAAUCCUCGGAGCGGUGACACACGAAGGUAUGCUCUGUCUCCUUGCCUUUGGUGUCUGCAUAACUCUUCUGCCUGGACCGAGCUAUCUUUAGUGUAUCUCGAAUCAACUUGACCUUCUCUUCAGACUCCUGAAUUAGAUCCGGUCCAAACAACUGAUGGUCUCCAACUUCAUCCCACAUUAAUGGUGUCCUGCACCUUCUUCCAUACACAACUUCGAAAGGUGCCAUCUUCAAACUAGCCUGAUAACUGUUGUUGUAUGAGAACUCCGCGUAAGGCAAAUUAUCAUCCCAACUAGAUCCAUAAUCUAGCGCACAAGCUCUCAACAUGUCCUCCAGAAUCUGAUUGACUCUCUCGGUCUGUCCAUCUAUCUGCGGAUGAAAGGCUGUACUAAGCUCUAGCCUGGUACCCAAAGUAUGGUGCAACUGAUUCCAAAACUUUGAAGUGAACUGUGUUCCUCUAUCUGAUAUGAUGGUCCUUGGAACUCCGUGCAGACAUACGAUCCUGGUCAUAUAUAUCUUGGCCAACUUCGCACUCGUGUAAGUGGUUUUCACUGGGAUUAAGUGAGCCACUUUGGUCAAGCGAUCAACUACUACCCAGAUGGAAUCAUAUCCCGACCGUGUCCUAGGUAAUCCGGUGAUGAAAUCCAUGCCAAGCUUGUCCCACUUCCAUUCGGGUAUCAGCAUAGGCUGCAGUAAUCCCGCUGGCUUCUGAUGUUCUCCCUUCACUCUCUGACGUACAUCACAUACGGCUACAUACUCGGCAAUAUCCUUCUUCGUACCUGUCCACCAGAAACGCUCCUUCAAAUCCAAAUACAUCUUAGUGUUUUCGGGGUGAAUCGAGUAUGGUGAGUCAUGAGCCUGCUGAAGUAUUAACUUCCUGAUCUCUGCAUUAUUGGGUACAUAUACACGAUCCUCAAACCAUAAGGUUUCGUGCUCAUCCUCACAAAAACCCUUGGAUUUUCCUUUGCUCAUCUUCUCCUUUAUCUCAGCAAUUUCCUUGUCAUCCUUUUGAGCUUCUCGAAUCUUUCCCAAUAAUGUAGACUGAACCUCCAUUGCUGCAAGAAAACCUCUUGGAACUAUCUCCAAACUAAGUUCAUUGAGACCGUCAACUAACUCCUGCGGUAGUCCUCCGCUUACGAGGGUAUUGACAUAACUCUUCCGGCUCAAAGCGUCUGCUACGACAUUGGCCUUUCCUGGAUGAUAAUGCAGCUUCAUAUCAUAGUCCUUUAUAAGCUCCAACCAUCUCCUCUGCCUGAGAUUCAUCUCCUUCUGAGUGAAAAUGUACUUCAAACUCUUGUGAUCCGUGUACACAUCACAACGAUUUCCAAUAAGAUAAUGUCUCCAGGUCUUGAGCGCAUGCACUAUGGCUGCUAGCUCCAAAUCAUGUGUGGCAUAAUUCAACUCGUGAGGUCGAAGCUGUCGUGAGGCAUAAGAAACAACUCUUCCGUCUUGCAUAAGUACACCUCCAAGUCCUUGGCGAGAAGCGUCGCAAUACACUUGGAAAUCCUUGCGAAUAUCCGGAUGAAUUAGCACUUGGGCUGUAACCAAACGUUUCUUCAACUCCUGAAAACUAGCCUCACAUUCUUCCGUCCAUUUGAACUUGGUGUCCUUCUUCAACAACUCCGUCAUUGGCUUCGCAAUCUUGGAAAAAUUCUCAAUGAAUCUCUGGUAAUAUCCCGCGAGUCUAAGAAAACUGCGGAUCUCCCCAACUGAGGUGGGUGCCAACUACUCAGUGACUGACUGAACCUUGGUAGGGUCUACUGCUAUACCUUCUCCGAAUAUAACAUGCCCAAGGAACCCAACUUCCUUCAACCAAAACUCACAUUUGCUGAACUUGGCAUAUAGCUAGUGUUCCCUGAGCUUCUCGAGAACUAAACGCAAAUGCUCCUUGUGCUCCUCUUCAUUCUUCGAGUAUACCAAAAUAUCAUCAAUGAACACCACAACAAACUUAUCCAAGAACUCCAUACACCUUGUUCAUCAUACUCAUGAAAUAGGCAGGGGCAUUAGUCAAUCCAAAUGACAUAACCGUGUACUCAUAUAGCUCGUACCUUGUGGUGAAAGGUGUCUUUGGUAUAUCCUGUUCUCGGAUCUUCAGAUGGUGGUAUCCUGAUCUCAGAUCGAUCUUGGAAAAUACUUUAGCUCCUUGCAACUGGUCAAACAAAUCAUUGAUCAUCGGUAGUGGGUACUUGUUCUUGAUCGUCACCUCAUUCAAUGCACGAUAAUCAACAACAAUCCUCAAGGAUCCAUCCUUCUUCUCAACCAAGAGCACUGGGGCUCCCCACAGUGAUGAACUUGGUCGGAUAUAACCUUUCUCCAAUAACUCCUUAAUCUGCUUCUUAAUUUCCUCCAGAUCAUUUGCGGGCAUCCGAUACGGUCUCUUGGAUGUUGGUCCGGUGCCUGGCAACAACUCUAUCAAAAACUCUAUGUCUCAAUCCGGUGGCAUGCCUGGUAAUUCCUCUAGAAACACAUCCGGGUAAUCCUUCACAACAGGCACUUCCUCCUGAACAACUCCUGAGAGAGAAUUUACUUGGGUCCUCCUCGGCGCAUGCCUAGACACAUACUUGAUCCGUUUACCCUCUGGGGUGGUGAGCAGAAUUGACUUACUGGCGCAAUCGAUGUUUCCUCCAUACAUCGAUAUCCAAUCCAUGCCUAGUAUCACAUCCAAUCCUUGUGACUCCAGAAUUAUUAGGUUUGAGGGGAAAACAUGCCUACCUAUGGUCAUGGCAUCUGAAAACAUCCUCUGCUUGCCAUAUACUCAGCUCCUAGCGAGCUUACUAACAUAGGUGUCUUAAGAACUUUGGUGGGAAACUUAUACUUAUCCAGAAAUCCCCUCGAAAUGUAUGAAUGCGAUGCACCAGUAUCGAAAAGAAUUAUUGCAGUAAAUGACUUAAUCAAAAACUUACCUAUAAAUGCAUCUGGCUGCUCUUCAACCUCCUCCACGUUAACGUGGUUCACCUGUCCCCUGUUGAAAGGGUUGGGCUUCUUACCAGAGCUUCCAUUUCCAUUGCCAUUCUUCAACUCAGAACAAUCAUUGGCGUAGUGCCCGGUCUUCCCGCACUUGUAACAGGUGACAUGACUCAGAUCCUUCUUAGCGGGUGUUGUUGGGUUGGAACGGUUCUGGUUGCUGCUUGCUCCAUUCCCAUUUCCAUUCUUGGAGCCACCGUGGUUAUGUGAACUUCCUCCAUUGUGAGUGUGGCCUCCAUGGUUAUGGGCAUAUCCUCCCGAGUUCGGGGUAAAACGAGGCUUCUGCUGAGCUCCAGAAUUAUACUUCCCUUGUCCAUACUUCCUUUUGCGGCUCUCUAUCUGCUGCUGCUUCCCUUCAAUCAUAAGAGACCUGUCUACCAACUCCUGGUAGUUUGCAAAUGUUGCUACCAUCAACUGCAGGCUCAGCUCAUAAUUCAACCCUUCCAUAAACUUCUCCUGCUUCGCGGCAUAUGUGGCCACAUCAUCCUGGGCAUAGCGUGCUAACUUGCUAAACUCAACCACGUACUGCCCCACAGUACGAUUUGCCUGGCGUAAGUUGUGAAACUCACGCUUCUUCAUGCUCAUAGCUCUAGUUGAGACAUGUGCAGUGCGGAAUGCUUGCUGAAACUGAUCCCAAGUGACAUUGGCUAUCGGGAAAGUGGCUGUGUAAUUCUCCCACCAUGAGGCUGCGGGUCCAUCCAGUUGGUGUGCGGCAAAGCGCACCUUCUCAGCAUCUGUACAACCUGCGGUGGUCAACUCCCUUCCAAUCAUGCGUAGCCAGUCAUCAGCAACAAUCGGCUCGGUGCUACUGGAAAACACAGGCAGAUUCAACCUCAGAAAACGGGCUAAGUUGUCAACUGGAGGUGGUGGCGGUGGGUUGUUGUUGUUGUUGUUGUUGCCUUGGUUCUGGACUAGCAACUGCAUCAAGGCAUUCUGUUGUUGGAUCAACUGAGUGAGCUUCGGUGGAAAGACAAAUCCGGGGUCAUGUCUUGGAGGCAUCUGAUGGGUUUAGAGGGAAGCGAUUAGAAUAGAAUGAGGUCUAAAGAGAAAUCACUACCCAUAUGCACUUGAGACAAACACAUUCAUAUCACACCACUCAAUUCAAACAAGGGCAUACAAUCAAUCUAACUACCGUUACAAAAUACUCGGACUACUACUAUAUACAUGGGGGGAAACUACAGAUAAUAUGGUGGUCGACUAAAAAUUUUGUUCAGUGGAAGACUCCAUGAUAUCCGCUCCAGCUUCGUCUUCGUAAUCAUCAUCACUUCUGUCGGGAUCGGAGUCGGUGUCGUCGAUGAUGAUGUAGUCUUCAGGUUGGUUGUCCUCUCUAGGUGCGGGAUCUCCCAUGAAUAUUCCUAGCUUCUUCUCCAGGUCUUCAUUCUUCUCCAGUAACACUACAAUUUCCUCCUCAUAUCCAUCGCGUGUCGACUUAAGUUCUUCUUCAAGCUCCAUGUUCCUGGUCAUCACCUUCUUCAGGUCUAUCAUGCUGGUGCACAUCUGGUUCUCCUGUUGGCGAAUGUGCUGGUUUAACUCCUGGAUGUAGGCUGAAAUAGACUUGUCCCUCCUGGUGCUGAUCAUCUCCCAUUGCUCAUCUCGGCGCCCACAUAUUUGGUAUAUGGUGUCCUUAAGAUCCUUGUUGUAAACUUGUCUGAUGCGUCCCAUGGUGACGUGGGCUGCCAUGCUCUUUCCUAGACUCCAGGUUGGUGCAUCAAAGGAAAACUCUAUGGGCUCAGUAACUGGCGUGAAUGUCCUUCCUGGAACAUGAACACGAAUCAUCCAAUGCUCCUCUUCUGGUAAAGUGGCGGUGUAGGUCCCGGUGAAGCUUGGUAUUCCAAUGUUCAGGUACCUAGUGACUUCCUUCAAGUGUCGUCCAAAAGGUGUGUCUUCAUUCGGUUGAGCAAACUGUUCCUUGGGUCCGCCAUCUAUAGGGUGAAAAUGGAGAGGAGUCAGAAAUGAGUAGAAAAGAGUGACCUAUGGCUUAUCUUAGUGGUCGCGUCCUACAUUCAACAUGUGCUCUGAUACCAUCUUGUAGCGAUCCGACCUUAGACGGUCAAAUCUCUGUGCAUAAGUGUCAUCCCUGGAUCGGUAAUGCUGACACACACAGUACUUGAAGGGUUUAUAACAGAGUGCAAUCACACAUUUAUUACAUCGAAUGUCUCAAAAGAGAACUUAUUACAAUAGUAUGGCUUAAGGCCAUCUAAAUAAGAUAACUGCGGAAGCAUCGAAGGUAAAUGAGUCCAUCAACUCCAACGGCAUAGCUGAGUGCACGACAACGAUCUAGUGCACCUUACUCUUCGUCUGAAAAGUCUGCAACAUAAUACGUUGCAGCCCGAAACGGGUCAGCACAUGGAAUAUGCUGGCAAAAUAACACUGUAGAGCAAUGAACAAUGUAACAGCUAACACUACAUGCAUAUACGGCUGGUGGAGGCUCUAUGUGUAACACCCCGGAUGUAACUUUCCAUAUUUGUAACUCCAACUCUUGCCAUUUUCGGCUAUGUGUUAUGAUACUCCCUUCGUGGUCGGGUUUUGUCUUUCGUUUUGCAUUUUGUUCUUGUCAUGCAUCUCAUACCAUGUCAUCAUGUGCAUUGCAUUUGCAUACGUGUUCGUCUCAUGCAUCCGAGCAUUUUCCCCGUUGUCCGUUUUGCAAUCCGGCGCUCCCACCUCCUCGGGCGCACCCCUCUUGUUUUCUUUCGUGAGCGGGUGUCAAACAUUCUCAGAAUGGACCGAGGCUUGUCAAGUGGCCUUGGUAUACCACCGGUAGACCACCGGUCAAGUUUCGUUCCAUUUGGAGGUCGUUUGGUACUCCAACGGUUAACCGGGCAUCCGCAAAGUCCAUUUGUGUGUGCAGCAAAACCCCCCCUCAAAACCAGCCCAAAACCCACCAAACUCUCUUCCAUGCUCUAGGUCGUUCGAUCACAAUCGUGUGGGCGAAAACCGCACCUCAUUUGGACUCUCCUAGCUCCCUCUUUCUAUAUAAAUGUGAGACCCCCCGAAAUUCCCGCAGUCCAAAACCCUAACCCGAUCAUCCGCGCCGCCGGACGUGUCCGUCUGGGGCCGGACACAUCCCCGCCGCCGCCGCGUCCAACGGGAGGCCGCCACGUGGCCCCCGCACCGCCGGCCCGGAGAGCCCGCGUCGGGCCCUCCCGGCCCGUCUUCCCCGCGCCCUGCCGNNNNNNNNNNNNNNNNNNNNNNNNNNNNNNNNNNNNNNNNNNNNNNNNNNNNNNNNNNNNNNNNNNNNNNNNNNNNNNNNNNNNNNNNNNNNNNNNNNNNNNNNNNNNNNNNNNNNNNNNNNNNNNNNNNNNNNNNNNNNNNNNNNNNNNNNNNNNNNNNNNNNNNNNNNNNNNNNNNNNNNNNNNNNNNNNNNNNNNNNNNNNNNNNNNNNNNNNNNNNNNNNNNNNNNNNNNNNNNNNNNNNNNNNNNNNNNNNNNNNNNNNNNNNNNNNNNNNNNNNNNNNNNNNNNNNNNNNNNNNNNNNNNNNNNNNNNNNNNNNNNNNNNNNNNNNNNNNNNNNNNNNGCGCCGCCGCCGCAGAUCGCCGUCGCCGCGCCUUUCUUCCUCCUCCCCACCGGCGCCUCCCCGCGCCUCCUCCGGCCCCGCGCGCCUCGAGCUCCGACGAGCCAUCGGGCCGAUCCGAUCUGGAAGACCGAAGGUUGACCCGAAAUCCCUUCGAAAUUUCUUCCAAGUCCUAUGCAUUUUGACAUUACACGUACAUGUUCAUCAUGGCAUAACUCUCUAUAUAUAGCUCCAUUUCGCGCGUGUAAUAUAUUGAUUUGUUCGUCUCAUGAUGCUCUUCAUUUUGUUCAAUUGCACCAUGUUCAUUUGAGUCCAUCUUGAUGCCCAAAUCUCCGGUGCAAGAGUGCUAGUUGCUGUUGUCUGUUGUUACUUAGCAGAACUUGAGGAUUUGUUAUUUUUGUAUCAUUUAAUCUGUGCAUCUUGUGGGCAUGAGCUCUACAUGUGUUUUGUUUUAUGCCAUGCCAUCUUUCCAGUGGUGUAUGCCAUGUAUUUUUGUGAUCUCUGUGGUGACUAGAACAAGCAUGCAAACUAGGCUCCGUAAUGUUUCUGAUUUCAGGGACGGUGAUUUCUCCGAGUCUGUCUGCUGUUAUUUUGUUGCCAUGUAAACUUGAUGAUACGGAGAGAUCCAUGCAUAUUUUGGAGAUGUUCAGUAAGGAUGUUUUGUAGAUAUUGUUGUAAUUGUUCCAUUCCUGCACUUGUUUGCAAUUAUGGAGUGCCAUAGCAGGACUCAAUCUUGCUCUACUUUUGCUAUUAAAUAUUUUUGGCAGAUUGUUUACGUGUUAUUCAAUUUUGCCAAGCUUGUUGUAGUUGUUCCAUACAUGCUAUGUAUUUGCUCUUGCCAUGGAUAGAUUCAUAAACAUGUCAUCUUGCUGUAGGUAUGCUUGUUUUGUCAUGUAUUGCCUUGUGGUGAGUGCAUCAAGCUCACCAAGAUGCCUUCAUAUUAUUGUUUCUGCCAAGCUCACCAAGUCUGAAACCUGUUAACGAAACUUGCUAUGUUUACAUGGUUGCCAUCAUAUCGUCUGGUCCUUUUUGGCUUAUGGUCAGUAAGGGACUUUUGUCAUAUGCAUUUAGUAGAAUACUGCCAUGCCUAGUUUUGCCAUGUUAAGUUCCUGUAGCAUGUUGAUUUCGUGCUCUGUGAACAUUGCUACCUGAUGCUGUUUCAGGCAUGUACGGUAAUUUCACAAAGUUUGUGAACCUGUUAUCUUUUGCACUUUUGCCAUGCUUGUUUGAGCUUGUUAUAUUGUGAUCUAGCCAUAGCUCAGUGUUCAUCUUUUGUCAAGCAUCUCCCGUAGAUCACUGCCAUAUGCUUUGUUGCUACGUUGGAGUGCUGUAGCAUUGUUACUUGUUGCAUUUUAAGUGCUAUCAUGCUGUUAAUCGCAGAUUCGUGUCAUUCUUGUUUUGCUUGCCAUUUGCAAACCGUGCAUCCGUUUCCGGUGAUCUUUAUAUCGAUUUCAACCGAAAUCAUCUCAUGUUUCCAGUGGCAUGCUUGGUUUGCCAAGUUACUGCCUUUUUCAUCUUUUCCUUCCGGAGCACGCAUAUGCAUCGCAUAUCAUAUCUUGCAUAUCAUUCAUGUAUUGCAUCAUGUUGCUUGUGCAUUCCCCGUGAUUGAUUGUGGUUCCGUUGCUUGUGUUCUUGUUGUGGGUAGAGCCGGGAGACGAGUUCGUGAAUGAGGAACCUGUUGAGUACGCUCACGAGGAUCAAGCUUUCGACAACUCUGAGAACCUUGCAGGCAAGAUGACCACCCCUCGAAAUCACUUCUAUCUUUGCUUUGCUAGUUGUUCGCUCUAUUUUCCAUGCUGCGCUACCUACCAUUUGCUAUAUCAUGCCUCCCAUAUUGCCAUGUCAGCCUCUAACCAUCCUUUCCUAGCAAACCGUUGUUUGGCUAAGUUACCGCUUUUGCUCAGCCCUUCUUAUAGCGUUGCUAGCUGCAGGUGAAGUUGAAGUUUGUUCCAUGUUGGAACAUGGAUAUGUUGGGAUAUCACAAUACCUCUUAUUAUAUUAAUGCAUCUAUAUAUUUGGUAAAGGGUGGAAGGCUCGACCUUAUGCCUGGUGUUUUGUUCCACUCUUGCCGCCCUAGUUUCUGUCAUACCGGUAUUAUGUUCCUUGAGUUUGCGUUCCUUACGCGGUUGGGUGAUUUAUGGGACCCCCUUGACAGUUUGCCUUGAAUAAAACUCCUCCAGCAAGGCCCAACCUUGGUUUUACCAUUUGCCACCUAAGCCUUUCCCCCGGGUUUUUGCGAGCCCGAGGGUCAUCUUAUUUUAACCCCCCCGGGCCAGUGCUCCUUCAAGUGUUGGUCCGAACUGAGUAGACUGCGGGGCCCCCUCCUGGAAACUUGAGGUCUGGUUUUACUCGUUGGAUGUCUCAUCCGGUGUGCCCUGAGAACGAGAUAUGUGUAGCUCCUAUUGGGAUUUGUCGGCGCAUCGGGCGGCUUUGCUGGUCUUGUUUUACCAUUGUCGAAAUGUCUUGUAAACCGGGAUUCCGAGACUGAUCGGGUCUUUCCGGGAGAAGGUUUAUCCUUCGUUGACCGUGAGAGCUUAUGAUGGGCUAAGUUGGGACACCCCUGCAGGGUAUUAUCUUUCGAAAGCCGUGCCCGCGGUUAUGAGGCAGAUGGGAAUUUGUUAAUGUCCGGUUGUAGAGAACUUGUCACUUGACUUAACCAAAAUACAUCAACCGUGUGUGUAGCCGUGAUGGUCUCUUCUCGGCGGAGUCCGGGAAGUGAACACGGUUUGAGUUAUGCAUGACGUAAGUAGGAGUUCAGGAUCACUUCUUGGUCAUUGCUAGAUGACGACCGUUCCGUUGCUUCUCUUCUCGCUCUCAUUUGCGUAUGUUAGCCACCAUAUCUGCUUAGUGCCUGAUGUAGUUUCACCUCAUUACACUAUCCUUUCCUAUAAGCUUAAAUAGUCUUGAUCUCGCGGGUGUGAAAUUGCUGAGUCCUCGUGACUCACAGAUUCUACCAACACAGUUGCAGGUGCCGACGAUGCCAGUGCAGAUGAUGGGAUCGAUCUCAAGUGGGAGUUCGAUGAGGAACGUGGUCGUUACUAUGUGUCUUUUCCUGAUGAUCAGUAGUGGAGCCCAAUUGGGACGAUCGGGGAUCUAGCAUUUGGGGUUAUCUUAUUUUCAUUUGGAUUUUGACCGUAGCCGGUCUAUGUGUGUAUUUUGGAUGAUGUAUGAAUUAUAUUUAUGUAUUGUGUGAAGUGGCGAUUGUAAGCCAACUCUUUAUCCCAUUCUUGUUCAUUACAUGGGAUUGUGUGAAGAUGACCCUUCUUGCGACAAAACCACAAUGCGGUUAUGCCUCUAAGUCGUGCCUCGACACGUGGGAGAUAUAGCCGCAUCGUGGGCGUUACACUAUGGUUAUCACUUUUGCGUAAAGCCAAUUUUUCCCUACUGCAAAGGAAUAUAUUUUAUUUAACUAACAAGUUGGUUGAUAAACAUUGAGAAUGGAAACCCCAUCUCAAUCCCAAUUAAACAGUAGUUAACAACCCAACAAAUUACAUUAACAGUGAUGAGGUCAAAUCAAUAAUUCAAGAACCAGAUACUCAAGAUGUCCAUAAACGGGGACACGGCUAACCAUGAUUAGUUUGUUCACUCUGCAGAGGUUUGCGCACUUUUCCCCACAAGACUCGAUCUCGUCCGUUGUAUUUCUCGCACUGCAUGGUGUUUGAGAAACGGAUGAUCGAGACACAGUCUUUCCGAAGAGGUCCCCUUAACCGAUAGAUAGGCCGGUACACCUACAAUCCCCUACAUCUGCUAGCCCAUCAUGGAAAGGAUUCCCACAACUUAAUCAACUAUGCCAGAGCCCAUAAUGGCUUGUGGCUGCACACGGAAGUUUCUAGCAUGAAUAAUCUUAUGAUCCCUUCGAGCCUGGGUGGCGAACCAUAGAAUGAUCACACGGAUUCCCCGGGAUCUCCUUGGACAACACUGGAUUCCCCAGGUGCCCACAAACAAUCCACCCAGAUGUGUAUUAAAGUAGCCACCUUAAGUUAACCAUUAAUUAACAACUCUCACAUAUGUCAUGGAUACACUCAACCAAUCCACGUCUACGAGCAUAGCAUAGCAAAGUAAGCAUAACAUAGUAACUCCCAAGGUUUGAAUAAAGGACAAUAGGUUCUACCUCAUCAACUACUUCCCAAUACCCACAUGUUAACAAAUCCUAAUCAUACAAUGUUUGAGGGUUGGAUCUAAUGCAUAAAACUGGGUAAUAAAAAGGUAUGAUCAUAGUGUUACUUGCCUUGCUGACGAUCGGAAAACCCUAGUGACUCGUAGUAGCACGCUUCGCACCCUGGAAACUCUAUCGCAAACAAACAAUAUCAUACAUCAGCACUCAAGCAUAGAUGCAAGGGUAAAACUCAAGAGAAAAGAUUAAAACUGAAAGUUCAACUGAAGAACUUCGAUUUGCAAAAAGAAUCAAUCGAAUCAGAGCUACGAAACUCAAACUACGAUAAAAUGAAAUUCGAAUUCAAAUCUGCUUGAAACCAAAUUUUAAUUUGUCAAAACCAUGUUCAAGUUGAUUAACUGGAAAGAGGGGUUCGAGACGAAGACUUUGGCAUUGGUUUCACUUGAUUUGGACGAAUCUAUGAUAAAAAUAAUCGCAGAUAGGUCCCUGGACGAAAAAGAAAAAAAAAAGAAAAACACUAACGAACGAACGUUCGUUACCAGAGGCUAACGAACGAAAACGUUCUUCGAAACGAUCCAUCCGGCGAGCAUUCGCAAAAAUAACAAACCUAAAAAAACCAAUCUAAACCGAUCUAACCGAAAACCGAAAAAACGUAAACCUAAAAAACGAACGGUUUUAUACCGUUUAACCGGGGUUGACCGACAACGAGAUCCGGCAGCGGCGGCGAGACUCUGGCGAGGCGGGGCGGCGUGCGNNNNNNNNNNNNNNNNNNNNNNNNNNNNNNNNNNNNNNNNNNNNNNNNNNNNNNNNNNNNNNNNNNNNNNNNNNNNNNNNNNNNNNNNNNNNNNNNNNNNNNNNNNNNNNNNNNNNNNNNNNNNNNNNNNNNNNNNNNNNNNNNNNNNNNNNNNNNNNNNNNNNNNNNNNNNNNNNNNNNNNNNNNNNNNNNNNNNNNNNNNNNNNNNNNNNNNNNNNNNNNNNNNNNNNNNNNNNNNNNNNNNNNNNNNNNNNNNNNNNNNNNNNNNNNNNNNNNNNNNNNNNNNNNNNNNNNNNNNNNNNNNNNNNNNNNNNNNNNNNNNNNNNNNNNNNNNNNNNNNNNNNNNNNNNNNNNNNNNNNNNNNNNNNNNNNNNNNNNNNNNNNNNNNNNNNNNAGUGGGCGGCGGCUGCGGAGAGAGGGGCCUGGGGCGCCGUAUAUAAAGGAGGGGGGCGGUGGCUUCCUUGGGCGAGGGGGCGGCGGUGGUGGAGUCUGGCUCGGACUCGGGGAGUCCGGCGGCGGCGCGACACCCGCUCGGGGAAGGCGGCGGCGGUCCGUCUCGGCUGGGCCUUUGGCCCACUCGGGCGGAAACUUUUUUUAAAAUAAAUUCCGCCGAAGAAAAAUCCUAAUAAAAUAAAAAAAAUCUAAAAAUGCCAAAAAUAAUUUUCACCGUCUAAAUAAAAAUUUAGAACAAAGUCAACAUUUUUCUUGCCUAAUAAUGCAAUUUUAAAAAAUGCAUAUUUUUCUAAUUCAAAUAAAAUCUCAAAUAAAGUCCAAAUAAAAUGUAUAUUUGAUUUUUAAAAAAUUCCUCCAAUAUUCCUCUCUUUUUGAAGAAGUCAUAUUAUCUUCUCUCUUUUAUUUUAAUAUCACAAAUAUUUCGAUAGAAAAAUAUUGAAACCAAAUUGAUCCUCUUUUCAAAUUUGAGAAAAUUCAAAUAUGAAAAUAAAUGAAAUCCCCAACUCUCUCCUUGGGUCCUUGAGUUGCUUAAGAUUUCUAGGAUCACAACCAAAAUGCAAAUAAAAUAUGAUAUGCAUAUGAUGACCUAUGUAUAACAUCCAAAUUGAAAAUUGGGAUGUUACACCAAGGGGGAGGCGCGCCAAGGGGGUGAGUCCUACUAGGACUCCAAACCUAGUAGGAUUCGGCCCCCCUUUCCUUCCAACGGAGAGGGGGAAAUGGGAAAGGAGGGAGAGGGAGAAGGAAAGAGGGGGUCCGCACCCCCUCCCCUUGUCCAAUUCGGAUUGGGGCAAGGGGGGCACGCCCCACCUCCUGUGGCCUGCCCCAUCUCCUCCACUAUGGCCCAUUAGGGCCAAUAACUUUCCCGGGGGGUUCCGAUAGCCUCCCGGUACUCCGAUAAGUCCCCGAACCUUAUUGGAACCAUUCUGAUGUCCGUAUAUAAUCUUCCAAUAUAUCAAUCUUUACCUCUCGACCAUUUCGAGACUCCUCAUCGUGUCCGUGAUCUCAUUCAGGACUCUGAACAAACUUCGGUCAUCAAAUCACAUAACUCAUAAUACAAAUCAUCAUCGAACGUUAUGCGUGCGGACCCUACGGGUUCGAGAACUAUGUAGAUAUGACCGAGAUACAUCUCCGGUCAAUAACCAAUAGCGGAACCUGGAUGCUCAUAUUGGCUCCUACAUAUUCUAUGAAGAUCUUUAUCGGUCAAACCGCAUAACAACGUACGUCAUUCCCUUUGACAUCGGUAUGUUACUUGCCCGAGAUUUGAUCGUCCGUAUCUUCAUACCUAGUUCAAUCUCGUUACCGGCAAGUCUCUUUACUCGUUCCGUAAUGCAUCAUUACGCAACUAACUCAUUAGUCACAUUGGUUGCAAGGCUUAUAGUAAUGAGCAUUACCGAGAGGGCCCAGAGAUACCACUCCAAUACACGGAGUGACAAAUCCUAAUGUUGAUCUAUGCCAACUCAACAAACACCUUCGGCGACACCUGUAGAGCAUCUUUAUAAUGACCCAGUUACGUUGUGACGUAUGAUAGCACACAAAGUGUUCCUCCGAUAUUCGGGAGUUGCAUAAUCUCAUAGUCAGAGGAAUCUGUAUAAGUCAUGAAGAAAGCAAUAGCAAUAAAACUAAACAAUCAUAAUGCUAAGCUAACUAAGAGUCCAAGUGGGACUCCUUCCACUUGGUGCGUCCCCUAGGCCGGCCCCCUCCCUCUCCCUCCAUUAUAUACGGGGGCAGGGGGCACCCCAAAGGAGAUCAACUGUUUCUUAGCCGUGUGCGGUGCCCCCCUCCCCAGUUUACUCCUCCGGUCAUAUUGUUGUAGUGCUUAGGCGAAGCCCUGCGCGGAGCACAUCACCAUCACCACGCCGUCGUGCUGACGAAACUCUCCCUCGACACUUUGCUGGAUCAAGAGUUCGAGGGACGUCAUCGAGCUGAACGUGUGCAGAACUCGGAGGUGUCGUACGUUGGGUGCUGGAUCGGUUGGAUCGCGAAGACGUUCGACUACGUCAACACUGUUAAGCUAACGCUUCCGCUUUCGGUCUACGAGGGUACAUGGACACACUCUCCCCCUCUUGUUGCUAUGCAUAUCCUAGAUAUAUCUUGCGUGAUCAUAGGAAUUUUUUGAAAUUGCAUGCUACAUUCCCCAACAGUGGCAUCCGAGCUAGGUCUAUGCGUAGAUGAUAUGCACAAGUAGAACACAGAGAGUUGUGGGCGAUCAUAGUCAUACUGCUUACCACCAACGUCUUAUUUUGAUUCGGCGGUAUUGUUGGAUGAAGCGGCCCAGUACAACCUUACAUGACCACGUUCAUGAGACCGGUUCCACCGAUAGACAUGCAACUUGUUUUGCAUAAAGGUGGCUGGCGGGUGUCUGUUUCUCCAACUUUAGUUGAAUCAAAUUUGACUACGGCCGGUCCUUGUUGAAGAUUAAAACAGCAAACUUGAUAAAAGAUCGUUGUGAUUUUGAUGCGCAGGUAAGAACAGUUCUUACUAGAAGCCCGUAGCAGCCACGUAAAACUUGCAACAACAAAGUAGAGGAUAUAUAACUUGUUUUUGCAGGGCAUGUUGUGAUGUGAUAUGGUCAAGACAUGAUGUAAUAUAUGUUAUUGUAUGAGAUGAUCAUGUUAUGUAAAAGUUAUCGGCAACUGGCAGGAGCCAUAUGGUUGUCGCUUUAUUGUAUGAAAUGCAAUCGCCAUGUAAUUGCUUUACUUAAUCACUAUGCGUUAGCGAUAGUUGUAGUAGCAAUAGUUGGCGAGACGACAACGACGCUAUGAUGGAGAUCAUGAAGUAAAUAUGCCCUAGAGGCAAUAAUAAAGUUGUUAUUUAUAUUUCCUUAUAUCAUGAUAAAUGCUUAUUAUUCAUGCUAGAAUUGUAUUAACCGGAAACUUAGUACAUGUGUGAAUACAUAGGCAAAACAGAGUGUCCCUAGUAUGCCUCUACUUGACUAGCUCGUUAAUCAAAGAUGGUUAAGUUUCCUGGCCAUAGACAUGUGUUGUCAUUUGAUGACCGGGAUCACAUCAUUAGAGAAUGAUGUGAUGGACAAGACCCAGCCGUUAGCUUAGCAUAAUGAUCGUUAAGUUUUAUUGCUAUUGCUUUCUUCAUGACUUAUACAUAUUCCUCUAACUAUGAGAUUAUGCAACUCCCGAAUACCGGAGGAACACCUUGCGGGCUAUCAAACGUCACAACGUAACUGGGUGAUUAUAAAGAUGCUCUACAGGUGUCUCCGAUGGUGUUUGUUGGGUUGGCAUAGAUCGAGAUUAGGAUUUGUCACUCCGAGUAUCGGAGAGGUAUUUCUGGGCCCUCUCGGUAAUGCACAUCACUAUAAGCCUUGCAAGCAAUGCGACUAAUGAGUUAGUUAUGGGAUGAUGCAUCACGGAACGAGUAAAGAGACUUGCCGGUAACGAGAUUGAAGUAGGUAUGAUGAUACCGACGAUCGAAUCUCGGGCAAGUAACAUACCGAUGACAAAGGUAAUAACGCAUGUUGUUAUUACGGUUUGACCGAUAAAGAUCUUCGUAGAAUAUGUAGGAACCAAUAUGAGCAUCCAGGUUCCGCUGUUGGUUAUUGAUCGAAGAUGUAUCUCGGUCAUGUCUACAUAGUUCUCGAACCCGUAGGUUCGGCACGCUUAACGUUCAAUGACAAUUUUUAUUAUGAGUUAUGUGUUUUGGUGACCGAAGUUUGUUCGGAGUCCCGGAUGAGAUCACGGACAUGACGAGGAGUCUAGAAAUAGUCGAGAGGUAAAUAUUCAUAUAUUGGAAGGUAGUAUUCGAACAUCGGAAUGGUUUUGAGUGGUUCGGGUAUUUUACUGGAGUACCGAGGGGUUACCGGAACCCUCCGGCGGAAUUAAUGGGCCUACAUGGCCUUAGUGGAGAGAGAGGAGGGCCGCAAGGGGUGGCCGUACCCCCCAUGGCAGUCCGAAUUGGACUAGGGGAGGGGGCGGCGCCCCCCUUUCCCUCUCCCUGUCCCUCUCCUUCCUUUUCCCUCCGGUGAAGAAAGGAAAAGAGGGGGCCGAAUCCUACUAGGACUAGGAGUCCUAGUAGGACUCCCCCCUUGGCGCGCUCCCUCCUGGCCGGACGCUUCCUCCUCCCCUCCCUUAUAUAUAGGGGCAGGGGCACCCCAAAGGCACAUCCAUUGUUCUCUUAGCCGUGUGCGGUGCCCCCCUCCACAGUUUACUCCUCCGGUCAUAGCGUCGUUGUGCUUAGGCGAAGCCCUGCGUGGAUCACAUCACCAUCACCGUAACCACGCCAUCAUGCUGACGGAACUCUCCCUCGACUCUCUGCUGGAUCAAGAGUUCGAGGGACGUCAUCGAGCUGAACGUGGGCUGAACUCGGAGGUGCCGUACGUUCGGCACUAAGAUCGGUUGGAUCAUGAAGACGUUCGACUACAUCCACCGCGUUAAACUAAUGCUUCCGCUUUCGGUCUAUGAGGGUACAUGGACACACUCUCCCCCUCUCAUUGCUAUGCAUCUCCUAGAUAUAUCUUGCGUGAUCGUAGGAAUUAUUUUGAAAUUGCAUGGUACGUUCCCCAACAGUGGCAUCCGAGCCAGGUCUAUGCAUAGAUGAUAUGCACGAGUAGAACACAAAGAGUUGUGGGCAAUAAUAGUCAUACUGCUUACCACCAACGUCUUAUUUUGAUUCAGUGGUAUUGUUGGAUGAAGCGGCCCAGACCAACAUUACAUGACCACGUUCAUGAGACCGGUUGUACCGACGUGCUUAUGCACACAGGUGGCUGGCAGGUGUCUGUUUCUCCAACUUUAGUUGAAUCGAAUUUGACUACGGCCGGUCCUUGUUGAAGGAUAAAACAACACACUUGAUGAAAAAUCGUUGUGGUUUUGAUGCGUAGGUAAGAACGGUUCUUGCUAGAAGCCCGUAGCAGCCACGUAAAACUUGCAACAACUAAGUAGAGGACGUCUAACUUGUUUUUGCUGGGCAUGUUGUGAUGUGAUAUGGUCAAGACGUGAUAAGAUAUCAAUUGUUGUAUGAGAUGAUCAUGUUUUGUAAAAGUUAUCGGCAACUGGCAGGAGCCUUAUGGUUGUCGCUUUAUUGUAUGAAAUGCAAUCGCCAUGUAAUUGCUUUGCUUUAUCACUAAGCGUUAGCGAUAGUCGUGGAAGCAAUAGUUGGCGAGACGACAACGACGCUACGAUGGAGAUCAAGGUGUCAAGCCGGUGACGAUGGAUAUCAUGACGGUGCUUUGGAGAUGGAGAUCAAAGGCAAAACAUGAUGAUGGCCAUAUCAUGUCACAUAUUUUGAAUGCAUGCGAUGUUUAUCCUUUAUGCAUCUUAUUUUGCUUAGUACGGCAGUAGCAUUAUAAGAUGGUCCCUCACUAAAUUUCAAGGUACAAGUGUUCUCCCUGAGUAUGCACCGUUGCUACAGUUCAUCGUGCCGACACACCACAUGAUGAUCGGUUGUGAUAAGCUCUACGUUCACAUACAACGGGUGCAAGCUAGUUUUGCACGUGCAGAAUACUCGGGUUAAACGUGACGAGCCUAGCAUAUGCAGAUAUGGCCUCGAAACAUUGAGACCGAAAGGUCGAAUGUGAAUCAUAUAGUAGAUAUGAUCAACAUAGUGACGUUCACCAUUGAAAACUAUUCCAUCUCACAUGAUGAUCGGACAUGGUUUAGUUGAUAUGGAUCACGUGAUCAUUUAGAUGACUAGAGGGAUGUCUAUCUAAGUAGGAGUUCUUAAGUACUAUGAUUAAUUGAACUUUAAUUUAUCAUGAACUUAGUCCUGAUAGUUUUUGCAUAUCUAUGGUGUUGUAGAUCAAUGGCCCGUGCUACCGUUCCCUUGAAUUUUAAUGCGUUCCUAGAGAAAGCUAAGUUGAAAGAUGAUGGUAGCUACUGCACGGACUGGGUCCAUAACUUGAGGAUUAUCCUCAUUGCUGCAUAGAAGAAUUACGUCCUGGAAGCACUGCUAGGUGCAAGGCCCGCUGCAGGAGCAACUCUGGACGUUAUGAAUGCGUGGCAAACUAAAGCUGAUGACUACUCGAUAGUUCGGUGUGCCAUGCUUUACGGCUUAGAAUCGGGACUUCAAAGACGUUUUGAACAUCAUGGAGCAUAUGAGAAGUUCCAGGAGUUGAAGUUAAUAUUUCAAGCAAAUGCCCGAGUUGAGAGAUAUGAAGUCUCCAACAAGUUCUAUAGCUGCAAGAUGGAGGAGAUUAGUUCUGUCAGUGAACACAUACUCAGAAUGUCUGGGUACCAUACCACUUGACUCAGUUGGGAGUUAAUCUUCCUGAUGAUAGUUGUUGGGGAACGCAGUAUUUCAAAAAAUUUACCUAUGAUCACACAAGAUAUAUCUAGGAGAUGCAUAGCAACGAGCGGGGAGAUUGUGUCCACGUACCCUCGUAGACCGAAAGCUGAAGCGUUUAGUAACGCGGUUGAUGUAGUCGAACGUCUUCGCGAUCCAACCGAUCCAAGCACCGAAUGUACGGCACCUUCGCGUUCAGCACACGUUCAUCUCGAUGCCGUCCCUCGAGCUCUUGAUCCAGUUGAGGCUGGGGGAGAGUUCCGUCAGCACGACGGCGUGGCGACGGUGAUGAUGAUGUUACCGGUGCAGGGCAUCGCCUAAGCACUAUGACGAUAUGACCGAGGUGUGUAACUAUGGAGGGGGGCACCACACACGGCUAAGAGAAGACUUGGUGUGCCUUUGGGGUGCCCCCUGUCGGUGUCAAAACCGGCGGAUCUCGGGAGGGGGUCCCGAACUGUGCGUCUAAGGUCGAUGGUAACAGGAGACAGGGGACACGAUGUUUACCCAGGUUCAGGCCCUCUCUAUGGAGGUAAUACCCUACUUCCUGCUUGAUUGAUCUUGAUGAAUACGAGUAUUACAAGAGUUGAUCUACCUUGAGAUCGUAAUGGCUAAACCCUAGAGGUCUAGCUUGUAUGACUAUGGUAAUGAGUAUAUCCCCCUCCGGACUAAGUCCUCCGGUUUAUAUAGACACCGGGAGGAUCUAGGGUUACACAAGGUCGGUUACAAAGGAAAAUAAUCUACAUAUUCGGUCGCCAAGCUUACCUUCCACGCCAAGGAGAGUCCCAUCCGGACACGGGUGCAGUCUUCGGUCUUCGUAUCUUCACAGCCCAUCAGUCCGGCCGAUGGCUAACAGGCCGGACGCCCGAGGACCCCUUAGUCCAGGACUCCCUCAGUAGCCCCUGAACCUGGCUUCAAUGACGAGGAGUCCGGCGCGCAGAUUUGUCUUCGGCAUUGCAAGGCAGGUUCCCCUUUCCGAACUCCAAGAUAGUCUCCAGAUGUGAUGAUUGUAUCCGCAUCUGUAACUCACACCACACACAACUACAGAGAGAAUAUAAUACUCCACGAGUCCAAUCCGCUGACAACUUUUUGUAACAUGACAUCACAUCCGUCCGGUCAUAAUUUCGAACCGUUUUCCGUUCACCGCUCCAUGUUUCGAGACGCGGUUGCCAUUGGCACGUCUUGUCAAAGUAGAGAUCGUGUCCCCUUAUUGCGGGAUUCUCAUCAAUACGGGCAUGGGUAACCCAACCGUGCCAUUUACAUAGUCCUUGGGAAUAGGCGAGUUUCGAGGCGAAUGGGGAGGCGUUCAAUAUUUACUGCCUUUAUAAGGGGAUAAGGAUUCCCCCUUCUUCUCCCACGCCUUCUCUCUUCCUCCGCCCUUCCAAUCAUGAGCUCCAGCGCCCAAGUCCUCAUCUUCUACCCACUCAAGCUAGCACUCGACCAUGUCCGGAUCCGAAGGUCAAGGCAAGUGGAUGGUUUCCUCUGUCGGGGAGAAGGACAUUACCGAGCUUCGGGCGGCCGGGUACUUGGCGAAGGAAAUCGCCCACCGUCUUCCAGCCCAGGGGCAAAUCGUCCCCACGCCGAAGCCCAAUGAGAGGGUGGUAUUCAUCCCUCAUUUCCUUCGCGGGCUAGGGUUUCUACUCCACCCUUUCGUCCGCGGGCUGAUGUAUUAUUACGGGAUAGAUUUCCAUGAUCUAUCCCCGAACUCUUUCCUCAACAUCUCGGCAUUCAUCGUCGUGUGUGAGGCCUUCCUCCGCAUCCAACCCCACUUCGGGCUAUGGCUCAAGGUCUUCAACGUGAAGCCGAAGGUGGUGGAUAGCCAGCACGCAGAGUGCAGAGGAGCCAUGGUGAGUAAGCUGUCCAAUGUCUCCUGGCCGAAAGGCACUUUCGUGGAGACUGUCAAGGAAUGGCAGAAACAAUUGUUCUACAUUACAGAACCCCGCGGCACCAACUGGGCCGCAGCUGCCGAAUUCAACCCUGGUGCCCCAAUGCGGCUCACCUCCUGGGUCGAGAAAAGCCCGAACUAGUGUUCGCCAGACGAGCUAAUAGCGCUGCAGACGCGCAUUCAAAGCAUGGUGGACAGGAAUGUCAAACUUGUCGAUAUAAUCCAGGUGAUGCUAGUUCGCCGGAUUCUCCCGUGCCAAAGCCGAAGCCUCCCGCUAUGGAAGUUUAAUCCGAAGAAGCACCAUACCCUGGAGAGGCUCUUCGAGACCACUCACGAAGAUACCUGGAAGUUGCUCUUCAAGGGCAACGAAACACCGCCAGCCAUGGAUUCGGAUCGUGGGCACGACAUUAACCACCCUGCCAGCGAGGUGAGUUUCCAACACGUCAUCUACUUGUCUGCUUUCAAGGCGGAUAUCUGAAAUUUUACUGUCAUUGUUUCUUCGGGAAUGGAUGAAGAGGGCGAAGCAGAUCCAGUGUCCGGCUCCGCUACCCGAAGAACCAGUCAUUCCUCGCUCAGCGAAGAUGCUGGUGCCGGCGCCCUAUACAGGGCCAGCGAAGAAGGCCAAGGGGGUCCGGAGUGGCCCCCGUCGCAAGAGCGCUUCGGACGCGACGUCCGAAGACAAGACCCGCUCCUCCGCCACCGAAGAUGACGAUGAUGAGGAGGAGGAGGAGAACAACCCUCCCCCUGAUGAGGGAAGGAAGAAGAGGGAGGCCUCCACGAACCUGGAGGCGGGGACGUCCAAGAAGGGGAAGGGCUCCUUCGCGGAUAACUCCGCGUGGGACAUCAACAGCAGUCCAGAGCGGCACCCUCGCACCAAGCCUCAAGCUGCAUCGUAAGUGCUAUGACUCCCGCACACCCAUAUGUCCAGCCUCUCCUCUUGAAUGUAUUGACAUGGUUAAUUAUGUUAUUACAGUCCGGCCCACGACAGCUCCCAGCGAUCCUCAUCUAGAGGUUCGUUGGACUCAAAGGAGAUGGCCAGCGAGACACCACCGGCCGCUUACUCUCCCAAGGCCAAAGGAGACGACGAGGUGUUGUCCUGAAGGACCGCUCCAGGCCAAGGAGAGGCUCCGGACGCUGUCAAGGGAGCGCCAAAGGGCAAAACCUCUACCGCCGGACACACGGGGGAGCAAAUCCCCACAGAGACUGGCGAGGAGGACCGUAUUCAGUUUGGCCCUCAGUCGAAUAUGAUUACUGAGACCAAUACGGCUCCGGAAUCCGGUGAGCGACCUCCUUUGAAAUAGGGGGGUGUGCCUAUUCCACCGGUGGCCCCUGUCCAACCAGGGGCACCGGAUAAUCUGAUGGAGGCACUUCGAGGUGCCUCCGUUGUGGACGAGCACCGUAUCCUUAUGGGUAUGGUGAUUGAGAGGGUCCAGUCCACCAAGAGCGGACUGACCGAAGCCUGCAGCAGCUUGCUGACAGGUUUUGAGGUAAGCAACGUAAAAAUCCCAAUAUAGUCAGUAGCCCCUGAGACACUGUCCGGUGUUCGGAAAGAAAAGUCGGACAGAGGAUCAAUCCUUUAUUGUAGGAAACUAACUAAACUUGUCAGGAAUGAAUAUGCAGGCGUCGCUGCUGUCCGCGGCCUCACAUGCUGCUAAAGUCUCCGAACUUAAGCGGAGACUGGAGAAGGCCGAGGAGGACCUCGGCCAGGUGAAGAGGCAGCUCCAGGAGAAUCAAGGUAUGUAAUAACCCAAGAAGUAUUCGGAAAGAGUAGGAUGAUAUAUAUUGACCGAAGUGUCCUGAUAUGUAUAGGAGCAACGACCGAGGUCAAGGCCCUAGGCGAAGCUGAGGGGAAGGCCGUCAAGGAGCAGGCUGCCCAUAAGAAGCUCAAGGCCCGGGUCAACGAGGUCCAACAAGAGCUCCAUGACACGGUGAAGAAGUGCGAGACCUUGGAGCGUGUCGCGUCGGCUAAAGAGGCCGAACUUUCCAAGGCUCGUCAGAGCACGGAGACAGCCCGGAAUGAAGCCCAGGGCACCCUCCAAGAGAUCCAAGAGGCGAGGAAGAUUGCGGCGGGUAAGGCAUUCAGUAUGCAAAGAAAAUAUGCAAAGAGGAAGUAUCUUUUACUAACCCAGAUUCGGAGUUCUCCAGGGGCUUUUGUUGAUCUGCCGCAAAGUGUGUCCGACGCCGCAGAGUUCUUCCGAGCUGAAGAAGGGAGCUCCACGGAGAAGCUGUUCUGGUCACAAUAUCUUGCGCCAGAGCAUCCCGUGCCCUUCACCGAUCAGCUGAAACAGCUGGUGGAGCUGCAUAGGGUGGCCGAACUAGCCAUGAAGGAUUUGAUAAUCCGGCUAUGGCCAGCCGAAGCUAUGCCCGACAGCUACUUCGGACUCGUGAGGCGGCUUGCGAACGCCUGUCCUUGGUUGGACGUCGUCAAGCGAUCGGCCUGUAUUGAAGGUGCGCGUAUGGCCUUCGCCCGUUGCAAGAUGUGGUGGGCGAAGAUGAACGCCGUCGAGCUGGCCAGGGGGCCGCCAGAGGGCAAGGAGCACCACACACCCGAGCGCUAUUUUGCGGAUGUCCUAGAGGGGUCUCGCAUUGUGGCAACGCAGUGUGGGCAGGACAUUAUUUUCGAAUGAAUACAUUCGUGUUGUCUUUGCCUUCUAUGAUGAAACAAAGUGGGUUUGUAAUAUAAUGAUUGUUAUGUUUUUAAUUUCACCUCCUGUGCGGCCGUGUUGUAUGAGAUCUGAGGGUUGGCCAGUCGUCGGCUUCUUCCCCCACGUAGGUAGUACGGAGGUGUUCGGGAUGGAAUCUAAACAAUCUUGAUCCAAUUAUAUGGUCCUUGAAGGAGUUGUUUAGCGCAACGAACCAGGCAACCAGACUAUUCAGCUUUAACACCCUCACUUAGCCAUAGGAGUUCGACAAUAAAAACAUGGACGCAGCCCAUAGUUUCUGAACUAGAGUGCUAUAAGUGUCUAAUCGGGAAGUACCAAUCCUUCGCGUAACGCGGAAGAAAUCUCCAACGAUUUGCAACCGCCGAACAGCUGACCGGCGCUCGCCACAUCAUGACAGUCAGUUUUCGGCUUUCUCUACUAAGGUGCUCCUUUGGAUAAACCAGGGCACAAUCAUAGUAGUUCUCCCUUUACUACCUUAGCCGAUAUAGCGGAACGUAAGGUAGCAAGCACAGGAGUUGUGCAACCCAACUAUUGACCAAAGACAUGAUUCGGAGCCAAUGCACAUAAUGCUAAAUUCGGGGUGCCGAACUAUACUAUAAAAAAGUGUUUGGACUUUGUUGCCAUCUUGUGGGGCACUGGGGAGCCCCUGGCAAAUAUGAAACGUACCAAAGUGUACGGGUGCUAGAAGAUAAGUUAUCAAAUGGGAAAAGGAAAACAGAAAGAGAGCAGAGGUAACAUCUGGGGCCCUUAAACUUAUGCCACGAACUGCUUCCAUUAUAAUUGGGUUAAUGCGUCAAAGCGCAUUAAUACAAAUAGUGCGAUAAGCAAGCGGCUAUUUAACAUGCCAUGACCAAAGGCGAGCUGCGUGUGGGUCCUGACAACAGGUAGAGUGGUCGUUGAGUUGACCUCUAGAGGUUCCCCUAUACGUCUGUGCUUCUUGCCAUCCUGGUAUUUUUAUCCUUUGACAGGACCGGUAGUCGGGUCGUCAAAGAAGUCCUAUGUGAAAGAAACCUGGAAAAAAAGGAAAUAGUGAAAGUAUAUGUGUGUCCCGGAUCGGUCGAGCCGAACUGUGGAUCACAAGCUAGUUGUGCCUCCGUCGAUGCCCGUGGGAUUUCUAGUGUGUAAUUGUGCACGCGUGGUACGAAUGCCACUACCUGAUCGGGGCUGGGACGGAGGCCGAAUUGCUAAUCGAGCUCUUGAUGAGCCGAGCUCUCCUGUUGCAGCGUAGUCUGGACCCUCUUUACGAUGUCCAGGGGCUCGGCAACCGGAUUACGGUUCUGCUUGAGACGACCGCUCUGUACUUCUGCUGUUAGGGAGUCGGUGUGCUCCUCUGUACGGAGGGAGCGUUCCGUGUUUCCGUUGACCGUUAUGACGCCGCAUGGACCGGGCAUCUUGAGCUUAAGAUAAGCGUAAUGCGGCACCGCGUUGAACCGAGCAAAUGCAGUCCGUCCGAGCAGUGCGUGAUAACCACUGCGGAAUGGGACGAUGUCGAAGAUUAACUCUUUGCUUCGGAAGUUGUCAGGGGAUCCGAAGACAACCUCUAGUGUGAUUGAGCCCGUAGAGUGGGCCUCUACACCUGGUAUGACUCCUUUGAAGGUAGUCUUUGUUGGCUUGAUCCUUGAUGGAUUAAUGGCCAUUUUGCGCACUGUGUCUUGAUAGAGCAGAUUGAGGUUGCUACCACCGUCCAUGAGGACUCGCGUUAGGUGGAAUCCACCAAUGAUUGGGUCCAGGACUAGUGCGGUUGAUCCUCCAUGCCAGAUACUGGUCGGAUGAUCCCGAUGAUCAAAAGUGAUCGGGCAUGAUGACCAUGGGUUGAAUUUUGGGGCGACUGGCUCUAUCGCAUAAACGUCCCUUAGUGCGCGCUUGCGCUCCCUUUUGGGGAUGUGUGUAGCAUAUAUCAUGUUCACCGUUUUGACUUGAGGGGGGAACUUCUUCUGCCCCCUUAGUUCGGUUGCCGGGGCUCUUCGUCAUCGUCCUCACUUUGUGAUCCCCUUUCCUUAUUCUCGGCGUUUAACUUGCCGGCCUGUUUGAAGACCCAACAAUCCCUAUUGGUAUGAUUGGCUGGUUUGUCUGGGGUGCCAUGUAUCUGGCACGGACGAUCGACUAUACGGUCCAAGCUGGAUGGUCCCUGACUGUUCCUUUUAUACAACUUUUUCCGCUGACCGGGCUUGGAGCCGCUGAAUCCGUCAUUAACUGUAGUGUCACCGGUAUUAUCACCAUUGCUUCGGCGCUUGUGUCUGUUACGUCAGAGCUUGCCGUUGCUGUUUGUGACCUCGGAGGGGCCCACCUCGCUGGCUAUGUUUUUGCUACGAGCGAGUGAACUAUCCUCACCCACGCAAAAACGGGGCAUGAGUGCCGUGAGGGCUGCCAUAGAUUUGGGCUUUUCUUGGCCGAGAUGGCGGGCGAGCCAUUCAUCACGGAUGCUAUGUUUAAAGGCCGCUAGGGCUUCGGCAUCCGGACAAUAAAUGAUCUGGUUCUUUUUAGUUAGGAAUCUAGUACAGAAUUUCCUAGCUGACUCUCCAGGCUGUUGGACUAUGUGACUUAAGUCAUCGGCGUCUGGUGGCCAGAUGUAUGUACCUUGGAAGUUGUCAAGAAAAGCUUCUUCCAAGUCCUCCCAGCUACCGAUGGAAUUUUCAGGCAGGCUGUUAAACCAGUGCCGGGCUGGCCCUUUGAGCUUUAGUGGGAGGUAUUUGAAAUCAUGGAGGUCAUCUCGGCGGGCCAUGUGAAUGUGGAGAAUAAAAUCCUCGAUCCAUACCGCGGGGUCGGUUGUUUCGUCGUAUGAUUCAAUAUUGAUGGAUUUGAACACUUCGGGGAAUUCAUGGUCCAUUACUUCAUCAGUGAAGCAAAGAGGGUGUGCAGCGCCUCUAUAUCUGGCCGCAUUGCGCCGUAGCUCCGAUGGAGUUCGUCUGCGGUUAUCGGCUCGGGUGUGACUAGGUUUGUCACGCCCGAAUAGGUAUCCAUCAUCAUGUGUCGAGGGACAUCCCUGUGAUCCAUAAAUCGAUCGGGUAUGUCCUGCUCUACUAUCCAGGGUCUACCGGAGGUCGUAUCUAUGACCCCGAGCUGUUUCCUCUCUAUUUUUAUGAGGCGGUGGGGCAGGCUGCUGUUCGGCCUGAGUUGCCGCUCUAUCCCGACCAUGUGGUGGUCGGUCCGCCGCACUGUCCCGAUCGCGUAGUGGUCGAUCGGCCGUAUUACGCGAGGGAGGUAUGGGCUCCGGCGCCUCUUCAUCAAACUGGGGUAGCAGCCUUCGCUUUGGGUAACUCUUGGCUGGGCGUCUGUGGCCGUAUUCUUCGGUUGCCAGGACAUCAGUCCAUCUGUCGAUGAGCAGAUCUUGGUCAGCUUGAAGCUGUUGUUGUUUAUUUUUUAGGCUCCGUGCCGUUGCUAUUAGCUGGCGCUUGAAGCGCUCCUGCUCGAGAGGUUCCUCAGGCAUGAUGAAAUCUUCGUUGCCGAGGCUUUCCUCAUCCUCAGAGAGCGGACGAUAACUACCGUCCUAUUGAUUCGUUGGGCCUGGCCUGUUCGUCGGGGCUAGCUUGCCCGUUUGCUUGCUCCUCCUAUUCGGAUAUUACUUCGGCAAGGUCUGCAUUGUUUUCGGCAUCGUCCGGAGUAUUAUUUUCACUGGUGCCAGCAUUGCUAUCUUUUGAAUGACGUGACUUUGAGCGGCGCCGAGGACGCCGGCGUUUCUGCUGUGUCCCAGGAGGUUUAUUCUCGACUGGAUUUUCUUUGUCAUCGUCGUUGGUUGUUUUGGGUGUGUCCACCAUAUACACAUCGUAUGAAGAGGUGGCCGUCCAGCGUCCAGUGAAUGGCGGACUUUGAUUUUGCUCCUCAUCGGCAUCGUCGUCCAUACCGUCGAUGUCUUCGGAGUCGUAAUCAAGCGUGUCGGUUAAAUCCUCGAUUGUGGCUAUGAAGUGGGUGGCGGGUGGGAAGCGAGAUUCUCCUUCAUCAGCCCCUAGUUCGAACCGAACAUAGUUCGGCUGUGAGUCCCCCACCAAGGACAUGCUCUUUAAAGAGUUUAGCACAUCGCCCAAGGGCGAGUGCUGGAAGAUGUCUGCGGUGCUGAACUCGAAGAUCGAUAAAUGAUCAAGUUUGACAUCCGCGGGCUCACAUGGUUCGGAACUUAUGCCCGGAGACGAGUCUGGAGUUCCAGAAACACAAAGAUUGUGUGAGGUUAAGUCCAUGUGCGGCUCCAACGUCGGGGAAUCUGUGGCCUCCGUGGUGGGAUUGAGCCUCCAAUCCUUGGACGGCGCUGUAUGCUCCGAAUCUAAGGCCAGAGCUGUUACAGGAGCUAUCUCCUGGAUACGGAUUGAUGACAGAUUUAAUUCAUGUUCAUCAAGGUGACCGGGAGUGGUUGCCGCGGUCUCGAAUCCGGCGAAGAUCAAAUCUCCACGGAUGUCCGCGACGUAGUUCAAGCUCCCAAAUCUGACCUGAUGGCCAGGGGCGUAGCUAUCGACCUGCUCCAGAUGGCCAAACGAGUUGGCCCGCAAUACGAAACCGCCGAAUACGAAGAUCUGUUCGGGGAGAAAUGUUUCUCCUUCGACAGCGUUGUUGCCGAUGAUUGAAGGGGCCAUAGAAACCUUUUGGGGACGGCACAGUGGAACUCUCAAUGAAAGCACCAAUGUCGGUGUCAAAACCGGCGGAUCUCGGGUAGGGGGUCCCGAACUGUGCGUCUAAGGUCGAUGGUAACAGGAGACAGGGGACACGAUGUUUACCCAGGUUCGGGCUCUAUGGAGGUAAUACCCUACUUCCUGCUUGAUUGAUCUUGAUGAAUAUGAGUAUUACAAGAGUUGUCUACCACGAGAUCGUAAUGGCUAAACCCUAGAGGUCUAGCUUGUAUGACUAUGGUAAUGAGUAUAUCCCCCUCCGGACUAAGUCCUCCGGUUUAUAUAGACAUCGGGAGGAUCUAGGGUUACACAAGGUCGGUUACAAAGGAAAAGAAUCUGCAUAUUCGGUCGCCAAGCUUGCCUUCCACGCCAAGGAGAGUCCCAUCCGGACACGGGUGCAGUCUUCGGUCUUCAUAUCUUCACAGACCAUCAGUCCGACCAAUGGCUAAUAGGCCGGACGCCCGAGGAUCCCUUAGUCCAGGACUCCCUCACCCCCCUCCCAUGUAUAUAAAGGGGGGGAGUGGAAAUGGCCAGCCCAAGGGGGGGCGCCAGGUGUGGGGAGUCCUACUAGGACUCCCUAGUCCAAGUAGGAUUCCCCUCUCCUUUUUCCUUUUUCGGAAUAUCAAAGAGGGAUAGAGAGGAGGAGUAGGAGAGGGAAAGGGGGGCGCCGCCCCCACCCCUUAUCCAAUUCGGAUUGGCAAGGGGGGGGGGCGUGCCACCUCCCUGGCCAGCCCUCUCUCCUCCACUAAGGCACAUGUGUGGCCCAUUAACUUCCCGGGGGGGUUCCGGUAAAACCCGGUACUCUGAAACUUAUCCGAUACGACCCGAACCAUUCCAGUGUGCGAAUGUAACCUUCUAAUAUAUGAAUCUUUACCUCUCGACCAUUCGAGACUCCUCGUCAUGUCCGUGAUCUCAUCCGGGACUCCGAACAAACUUCGGUCAUCUAAUCACUUAACUCAUAAUACAAAUUGUCAUCGAACGUUAAUCGUGCGGACCCUACGGGUUCGAGAACUAUGUAGACAUGACCGAGACACAUCUCUGGUCAAUAACCAAUAGCGGAACCUGGAUGCUCAUAUUGGCUCCUACAUAUUCUACGAAGAUCUUUAUCGGUCAAACCGCAUAACAACAUACGUUGUUCCCUUUGUCAUCGGUAUGUUACUUGCCCGAGAUUUGAUUGUCGGUAUCAUCAUACCUAGUUCAAUCUCGUCACCGGCAAGUCUCUUUACUCGUUCCGUAAUGCAUCAUCCUGUAACUAACUCAUUAGUCACAUUGCUUGCAAACCUCAUAGUGAUGUGCAUUACCGAGAGGGCCUAGAGAUACCUCUCUGAUACAUGGAGUGACAAAUCCUAAUCUCGAUCUAUGCCAACUCAACAAACACCAUCGGAGACACAUGUAGAGCAUCUUUAUAAUCACCCAGUUACGUUGUGACGUUUGAUAGCACACAAGGUGUUCCUCCGGUAUUCGGGAGUUGCAUAAUCUCAUAGUCUGAAGAACAUGUAUAAGUCAUGAAGAAAGCAAUAGUAGAAAAAGCUAAACGAUCAUUAUGCUAAGCUAACGGAUGGGUCUUGUCCAUCACAUCAUUCUCUAAUGAUGUGACCCCGUUCAUCAAAUGACAACACAUAUCUAUGGCUAGGAAACUUAACCAUCUUUGAUUAACGAGCUAGUCAAGUAGAGUAAUACUAGGGACACUCUGCUUAUCUAUGUAUCCACACAUGUACUAAGUUUCCGGUUAAUAAAAUUCUAGCCUGAGUAAUAAACAUUUAUCAUGAUGUAAGGAAAUAUAAAUAACAACUUUAUUAUUGCAUCUAGGGCAUAUUUCCUCCAGUCUCUCACUUGUACUAGAGUCAAUAAUCUAGAUUACAUAGUAAUGAUUGUAACACCCAUGGAGUCUUGGUGCUGAUCAUGUUUUGCUCGUGAGAGAGGCUUAGUCAACAGGUGUGCAACAUUCAGAUCCGUAUGUAUCUUGCAAAUCUCUAUGUCUCCCUCCUUGAGUUGAUCGCGGAUGGAAUUGAAGCGUCUCUUGAUGUGCUUGGUUCUCUUGUGAAAUCUGGAUUCCUUUGCCAAGGCAAUUGCACCAGUAUUGUCACAAAAGAUUUUCAUUGGACCCGAUGCACUAGGUAUUACACCUAGAUUGGAUAUGAACUCCUUCAUCCAGACUCCUUCAUUUGCUGCUUCCAAAGCAGCUAUGUACUCCGCUUCACACGUAGAUCCUGCCACGACACUCUGUUUAGAACUGCACCGACUGACAGCUCCACCAUUCAAUAUAAAUACGUAUCCGGUUUGUGACUUAGAGUCAUCCGGAUCAGUGUCAAAACUUGCAUCGACGUAACCAUUUACGAUGAGCUCUUCGUCACCUCCAUAAACGAGAAACAUAUCCUUAGUCCUUUUCAGGUAUUUCAGGAUGUUCUUGACCGUUUUCCAGUGAUCCACUCCUGGAUUACUUUGGUACCUCCCUGCUAAACUAAUAGCAAGGCACACAUCAGGUCUGGUACAUAACAUUGCAUACAUGAUAGAACCUAUGGCUGAGGCAUAGGGAAUGCCUUUCAUUUUCUCUUUAUCUUCUGUAGUAGUCGGGCAUUGAGCGUGACUCAACUUCACACCUUGUAACACAUGCAAGAACACUUUCUUUGACUGAUCCAUUUUGAACUUCUUCAAAACUUUAUCAAGGUAUGUGCUUUAUGAAAGUCCAAUUAAGUGUCUUGAUCUAUCUCUAUAGAUCUUGAUGCCCAAUAUAUAAGCAGCUUCACCGAGGUCUUUCAUUGAAAAAUUCUUAUUCAAGUAUCCUUUUAUGCUAUUCAGAAAUUCAGUAUCAUUACCGAUCAACAAUAUGUCAUCCACAUAUAAUAUCAGAAAUGCUACAGAGCUCCCACUCACUUUCUUGUAAAUACAGGCUUCUCCAAAAGUCCGUAUGAAACCAUAUGCUUUGAUCACACUAUCAAAGCGUAUAUUCCAACUCCGAGAGGCUUGCACCAGUCCAUAAAUGGAUCGCUUGAACUUGCACACUUUCUGAGCACCUUUUGGAUCGACAAAACCUUUUGGUUGCAUCAUAUACAACUCUUCUUUAAGAUAUCCAUUAAGGAAUGCAGUUUUGACAUCAAUUUGCCAAAUUUCAUAAUCAUAAAAUGCGGCAAUUGCUAACAUGAUUCGGACAGACUUAAGCAUAGCUACGGGUGAGAAAGUCUUAUCGUAGUCAACUCCUUGAACUUGUCGAAAACCUUUUGCAACAAGUCAAGCUUUGUAGACAGUUACAUUACCGUCAGCGUCAGUCUUCUUCUUGAAGAUCCAUUUAUUCUCUAUGGCUUGCCGAUCAUCGGGCAAGUCAAGCAAAGUUCAUACUUUGUUCUCAUACAUGGAUCCCAUCUCAGAUUUCACGGCCUCAAGCCAUUUCACGGAAUCUGGGCUCAUCAUCGCUUCCUCAUAGUUCGUAGGUUCGUCAUGGUCAAGUAACAUGACCUCCAGAAUAGGAUUACCAUACCACUCUCGUGUGAAUCUUACUCUGGUUGACCUACGAGGUUCGGUAGUAACUUGAUCCGAAGUUUCAUGAUCAUCAUCAUUAGCUUCCUCACUGAUUGGUGUACGAAUCACUGGAACUGAUUUCUGUGACGUACUACUUUCCAAUUUGGGAGCAGGUACAAUUACCUCAUCAAGUUCUACUUUCCUCCCACUCACUUCUUUUGAGAGAAACUCCUUCUCUAGAAAGGAUCCAUUCUUAUCAACGAAUAUCUUGCCUUCGGAUCUGUGAUAGAAUGUGUACCCAACAGUCUCCUUUGGGUAUCCUAUGAUGACACAUUUCUCUGAUUUGGAUUCGAGCUUAUCAGGUUGAAGCUUUUUCACAUAAGCAUCGCAGCCCCAAACUUUAAGAAAUGACAACUUGGGUUUCUUGCCAAACCACAGUUCAUAUGGUGUCGUUUCAACGGAUUUAGAUGGUGCCCCAUAUAAUGUGAAUGCAGCCAUCUCUAAAGCAUAACCCCAAAAUGAUAGCGGUAAAUCAGUAAGAGGCAUCAUAGAUUGCACCAUAUCUAAUAAAGUACGAUUACGAUGUUCGGACACACCAUUAUGCUGUGGUGUUCCAGGGGGUGUGAGUUGCGAAACUAUUCCAUAUUGUUUCAAAUGAAGACCAAACUCAUAACUCAAAUAUUCACCUCCACGAUCAGAUCGUAGAAACUUUAUUUACUUGUUACGAUGAUUUUCCACUUCACUCUGAAAUUCCUUGAACUUUUAAAAUGUUCCAGACUUAUGUUUCAUCAAGUAGAUAUACCCAUAUCUGCUCAAAUCAUCGGUGAAGGUCAGACAAAAAUGAUACCCGCCGCGAGCCUCAAGACUCAUCGGACCACAUACAUCAGUUUGUAUUAUUUCCAAUAAGCCUGUUGCUCGCUCCAUUGUUCCGGAGAACGGAGUAUUAGUCAUCUUGCCUAUGAGGCAUGGUUCGCAAGCAUCAACUGAUUCAUAAUCAAGUGAUUCCAAAAGUCCAUCGGCAUGGAGUUUCUUCAUGUGAUUUACACCAAUAUGACCUAAACGGCAGUGCCACAAAUAAGUUGCACUAUCAUUAUUAAACGUGUAUCUUUUGGCUUCAAUACUAUGAAUAUGUGUAUCACUACUAUUCAGAUUCAACAAAAAUAGACCACUCAUCAAGGGUGCAUGACCAUAAAAGAUAUUACUCAUAUAAAUAGAACAACCAUUAUUCUCUGAUUUAAAUGAAUAACUGUCUCGCAUCAAACAAGAUCCAGAUAUAAUGUUCAUGCUUAACGCUGGCACCAAAUAACAAUUAUUCGGGUCUAAAACUAAUCCUGAAGGUAGAUGUAGAGGUAGCGUGCCGACUGCGAUCACAUCGAAUUUGGAACCAUUUCCCACGCGCAUCGUCACCUCGUCUUUAGCCAAUCUUUGUAUAAUCCGUAGCCCCUGUUUCAAGUUGCAAAUAUUAGCAACAGAACCAGUAUCAAAUACCCAGGCGCUACUACGAGCAUUAGUAAGGUACACAUCAAUAACAUGUAUAUCAAAUAUACCUUUCACUUUGCCAUCCUUCUUAUCCGCCAAAUACUUGGGGCAGUUCCGCUUCCAGGACCAGUCCCUUUGCAGUAGAAGCACUCAGUCUCAAGCUUAGGUCCAGACUUGGGCUUCUUCACUUGAGAAGCAACUUUAUUGCCGUUCUUCUUGAAGUUCCCCUUCUUCCCUUUGCCCUUCUUCUUGAAACUAGUGGUCUUGUUAACCAUCAACACUUGAUGCUCCUUCUUGAUUUCUAUCUCCGCAGCCUUUAGUAUCGCGAAGAGCUCGGGAAUUGUCUUAUCCAUCCCUUGCAUAUUAUAGUUCAGCACGAAGCUUUUGUAGCUUGGUGGCAAUAAUUUAAGAACUCUGUCAAUGACACUAUCAUCAGGAAGAUUAACUCCCAGUUGAGUUAAGUGGUUGUGGUACCCAAACAUUCUGAGUAUGUGUUCACAGACAGAACUAUUCUCCUCCAUCUUGCAGCUAUAGAACUUAUUGGAGACUUCAUAUCUCUCAAUCCGGGCAUUUGCUUGAAAUAUUAACUUCAACUCCUGGAACAUCUCAUAUGCUCCAUGAUGUUUAAAACGUCGUUGAAGUCCCGAUUCUAAGCCGUAAAGCAUGGCACAGUGAACUAUCGAGUAGUAAUCAGCUUUGCUCUGCCAGACAUUCAUAACGUCCGGAGUUGCUCCUGCGGCGGGUCUUGCACCUAGCGGUGCUUCUAGGAUGCAAUUCUUCUGUGCAGCAAUGAGGAUAAUCCUCAAGUUACAGACCCAGUCCGUGUAGUUGCUACCAUCAUCUUUCAACUUAGCUUUCUCUAGGAACGCAUUAAAAUUCAACGGAACGGUAGAAUGGGACAUUGAUCUACAACAACAUAGACAUGCAAAAUACUAUCAGGUACUAAGUUCAUGAUAAAUUAAAGUUCAAUUAAUCAUAUUACUUAAGAACUCCCACUUAGAUAGACAUCCCUCUAGUCAUCUAAAUGAUCACGUGAUCCAUAUCAACUAAACCAUGUCCGAUCAUCACAUGAGAUGGAGUAGCUUUCAAUGGUGAACAUCACUAUGUUGAUCAUAUCUACUAUAUGAUUCACGUUCGACCUUUCGGUCUCAGUGUUCCGAGGCCAUAUCUGCAUAUGGUAGGCUCGUCAAGUUUAACCCGAGUAUUCUGCGUGUGCAAAACUAGCUUGCACCUGUUGUAUGUGAACGUAGAGCUUAUCACACCCGAUCAUCACAUGGUGUCUCGGCACGACGAACUGUAGCAACACUGCAUACUCAGGGAGAGCACUUGUACCUUGAAAUUUAGUGAGGUAUCAUCUUAUAAUGCUACCGCCGUACUAAGCAAAAUAAGAUGCAUAAAGGAUAAACAUCACAUGCAAUCAAAAUUAGUGAUAUGAUAUGGCCAUCAUCAUCUUGUGCCUUUGAUCUCCACCUCCAAAGCACCGUCAUGAUCACCAUCGUCACCGGCUUGACACCUUGAUCUCCAUCGUAGCAUCGUUGUCGUCUCGCCAACUAUUGCUUCCACGACUAUCGCUCCCGCUUAGUGAUAAAGUAAAGCAAUUACAUGGCGAUUGCAUUUCAUACAAUAAAGCGACAGCCAUAUGGCUCCUGCAAGUUGCCGAUAACUGUGUUACAAAACAUGAUCAUCUCAUGCAACAACUUAUAUAAUCACGUCUUGACCAUAUCACAUUACAACAUGCCCUGCAAAAACAAGUUAGACGUCGUCUACUUUGUUGUUGCAAGUUUUACGUGGCUGCUACGGGCUUAGCAAGAACCGUUCUUACCUACGCAUCAAAACCACAAUGAUUUUUCAUCAAGUUUGCUGUUUUAACCUUCAACAAGGACCAGGUGUAGUCACACUCGAUUCAACUAAAGUUGGAGAAACAGACACCCACUAGCCACCGGUACGCGAAGCACGACGGUAGAACCAGUGUAAGGGCAUAUUUAUCCCUAAGAUAUUUUGGUGAUUGAUGAUAAUGCUUUUGCGGACUUAUCGUGUGCAUUGAGUUUUUUCAGAGAUUUAUCCUUUGGCACGAGACGAUUCCCUCCCCUCGGAGUUUGAAGCGAAGACGGUGUAGUACUUUCGAAUUAGUUUGGUGGACUAGUUUUGUAGGGAUCACCGUACUAUCAAGAGGAGGUCCGCUUUGGAAAGGCUAGGGUGGAAUCAUCACGUACACUUCCUUUGCACACCCUCCGAGCCUUUCCGCUUCGUUGAUGAGCUCGUUCCCCUCUCUCAGUGUGCCCUCUCUGGUCCCAGCGGUAGUACCGCGGGCCGGAGCGGUAGUACCGCUUGGGUGCUACAAGCGGCAGUACCGCUCCACAGCGGUAGUACCGCUGUAGCCCCCAGCCGUAGUACCGCUGCCGCUUCAUGCUAGUACCGCCUCGAUUCUUGGGGCUUUUUCCAUGUCGGGUUUUACGGUACUUGUCGCGGCAGUGGGGGGUAGUACCGCUCGUGUGCGGUAGUACCACCCUGACCACCGCGGUAGUACCGCUCAGGGCCCAGCGGCAGUACCGCGGGAGGGAACGGUAGUACCGCUGGCUUAGCGGUAGUACCGCUGGCCAAGCGGUAGUACCGCUCUCUGCGGGGCUGAAGUGGGGGGUAACGGUUGGAUUGCUUCCCCCACUAUAAAAGGGGGUCUUCUUCCCCAAAGUUGACUCACCUCUUCCCCCAAAAGCUCCAUUGUUGCUCCAAGCUCCAUUUUCGCCCGAUCUCUCUCCCUAGCCAAUCAAACUUGUUGAUUUGCUCGGGAUUGGUUGAGAAGGCCCCGAUCUACACUUCCACCAAGAGAAAUUUGAUUCCCCCCACUUAUCCCUAGCAGAUCUUGUUACUCUUGGGUUUUUAGCACCCUAGACGGUUGAGGUCACCGCGGAGCCAUAGUCCAUUGUGGUGAAGCUUUGCGGUGUCGUUGGGAGCCUCCAAUUAAGUUGUGGAGAUUGCCCCAACCUUGUUUGUAAAGGUCCGGUCGCCGCCUUCAAGGGCACCAAUAGUGGAAUCACGGCAUCUCGCAUUGUGUGAGGGCGUGAGGAGAAUACGGUGGCCCUAGUGGCUUCUUGGGGAGCAUUGUGCCUCCACACCGCUCCAACGGAGACGUACUUCCCCUCAAAAGGAAGGAACUUCGGUAACACAUCCUCGUCUUCACCGGCUCCACUCUUGGUUAUCUCGUCCCUUUACUUUCGCAAGUUUACUCGUGUUAUAUCUCUUAUUUGUUUGCCUGCUUGUUGUCAUUGCAUCAUAUAGGUUGCUCACUUAGUUGCAUAUCUAGACAACCUAUUUUGAUGCAAAGUUUAAUUUGGUAAAGAAAAGCUAAAAAUUGUUAGUUGCCUAUUCACCCCCCCUCUAGUCAACUAUAUCGAUCCUUUCAAUUGGUAUCAGAGCCAGGUUUCUUUUUUAAGGACUUUACCGUCCGAAGAGUAUGGUUGACGUCGUAGACGGUGUGGAGGAGCACUCCGGUGUGAAUCCGGUCUCGUCUACGGGAGAUGGGGGAACCGCGGUCUCUCGUGAGGAAUUAAAUGUGGCGUUGGACACAUUGAAAACCUCCAUGACUACCGAGGUCGAAAGCAUGUUUAAUAAAUACUUAGAAGGGCUUAAGCUUUCCACCGCACCGUUGAAAGUGGGUGAUUCCGCCAACAAGGUGACAGAUGCUACCUCCGACAAAGGGGAAGCUACUAGCGAGAAAGCUCCUUCUUCUAGUGGUAAAAAGGGCACCGGCAUCUUUGCCCAUGUGGAACCUCCACCUGUCUAUGGUGGUCCGCUCCCUUCCACUCAUUUAAAUCAUGCCGGCCCGGCUCCUAAGAUUGAGAAGAAUGUAGAUUUUGAUUCUUGGGUCUAUCAUUUUAAGCGUCGUUUAAAUCAUGUGAACACUAACCUUUGGAGAAUCAUUGAAGAAGGUUUCUAUCCACAUGACCGAAGUAACUUCACUCCUAGAGAAGUUGUGGAUCAUCAAUUCAAUGAGAAUGCUCUCUUCAUCAUCCAAGAAGCAAUCCCACCCGAAGAUCUUCCUCAUCUCCGGCCUUACACCGUGGCCAAAGAUGCUUGGCUCCAAGUUGUUUCCCUCUAUCGGGGAAGCGCAAGCAUUCAACGCUCCAACUAUGAAGUAGUGCAAGAUGAAGCCGACGAGUUUGCAAUGAAAGAAGAUGAAGAACCUCGUGAGCAUUUUCGGAGAGUAACCAAACUCGCGGUCUCUCUCCGAGAUCAUGGAAGUAAGGACACAGAUGACAAUUGGAUCAAGCGCAAAUUCCUCAAGGCAAUGAUGCCCUACCACAAAGCCAUGUCCUUCGUAAUUCGUCAAAGGCCGGACUUUCACACCUUGUCCUCAAGUGAAGUGUUGGAUGAGUUUGUUGCUAUGAGCAUCUUGGACAAGACCGCCGACAAUGCGGUUCUUCGCUCUCAAAGAGUAAAGAAGCCCAACCUUGCUCUAAAGGCCAAGGUUAGUAUGGAGGAAGAGGAUGAAGAGGAAGAAGAGGAGGGCAACCUCGAAGAUACGAAGUAUGCCUAUCAUGAACACAUGGCUUUUGCUUCAAGGCAAUUUUGGAGCAAGAAGAACACAAGGCCAAACUUCAACAAGAGCAAUUCAAGUGGCGCAAAGGGCAAGCAACUAGUGAGGACUUGCUUCAAUUGUGGCAAUGUGAGCCACUUUGUUGCGGAGUGCCCUUAUGAGAAGAGGGAAGACAAUGGUGGCAAGCUCAUUAGAAAGGACAAGGCCAAGUCGUUCCCCAACAAGAGCAACUUCACCAAGAAGUCUCCUCCCAAGGCAUUGGUGGUACAAGAAGAGUACAAUGAGGAUGAUUACGAUGAUGAAGAUGGUGAUUCGGUUGCCAUGGCCUCCGUUGCCAUUGCGAAGACUCCAUGGAUGUCUCUCUUCGACUCACCCAAUGAGAACAUCACCGCCAAGUGUCUCAUGGCUAAAGCGACCAACAAGGUAACCCCCAACAUCAAAACUACCAUCAUUAAUCAUCCUUCUUUGAUGGAUAGCAUUGAUGAACAUGAGGGGACAAGUGUGGAGGAAAAUGAGUUUGAGACCUUUAUGGGUAAGCUCAAGGGUAAAUCCAAGAAGCACUUCGUUGCUCUCUUGGAACAACUUGGUGAAGCCAAUGACAUGAUCGAGGCUCACGAAGAUACCAUCUCUAAGAUGGAGGGGCAUAGUCGUGACUAUGCCGAUGAGAUUUCGGAUCUUUCCAAUGCUCUUGAUGAAGAGCGUGGUCUUCGUUUGGCUCUUGAGGAGUCAUACAACGAUGAUCAUGCUAAGUUAAAGAAAGAUCUUGAUCAUGCUCUUGUUGUGUCUCGUGUGCUAAACUCCGAGAAGGCAAAACUUGGGGUUGAUCUUGCUAGACUUAAAGAGGAGUUUGACAUUCUCGACAAGGCUCACAAAGUCUUGAAGGGUGUUCAUGCUAGCCUCAAGGAGUCUCAUGAUCAACUCCAAGUAAAGCUAACUAAGGAGAAAGCCACCUUUCCUCAUAUGGUGUUAAUUGAUAAUGCAAAUGCUACUAACCCUUGUUGUGAGCAUGUGCACCUUGCUGAGGAGAAUGCUAAGUUGAAGGAGCAGCUUGAUAAAGGCCUUGUGUCAUGCAUACAAGGUGAGAAGAACCUCAACGACCUUUUGAGAAACCAAAAGGAAGUUGUGGCCGAGGAGGGGAUUGGGUUCGCACCCAAGCCCAAGAACAAGAAGAAGAAUGACAAGACCAAACGACCUCCUCCUCUCAAGCAAACUUUUGUGAAGGAGGGAGAGGGUGCUUCCAAGGAGAAGAAGAACAAUGCGAAGGGUGACGGUGUCAAGAAGGGCAAUACCACCCCAUCCAACAAAGCCGGCGACUUUAAUCCUUCUUAUGUGUUAUGCCGUGCUAGUGAUGGGCAUGUUUAUGCCAAAUUUGUUGGUUCUCCUCAUGAGUAUAUUGAAUGGUCCAUUUGGGUUCCUAAGACCCUUGUUACUAACAUCAAAGGACCCACUACAAAAUGGGUACCUAAAACCAAGCAUUGAUCUCUUGUAGGUGUUUGCUUCCGGUGGGGGAUCAUGGUUGCUCGAUAGUGGAGCUACAAAUCAUAUGACCGGAAGCAAGGACUUGGUGGUGGACGUGCACAAGAUUCCAUCUAUGCCCACCAAUGUCGAGUGGGGUGAUGCCUCGUCUUCUAAGGUAUUGGGACUCGGCAAAGUUGUCAUUUCUCAUGAUCUCACGAUCGAGAAGGUCAUGCUAGUUGAGUCCCUUGAAUACAAUUUACUUUUCGUUCGUCAACUUGCUAUCAUGGGCUUUGCCACUUUCUUUGAUAUUGAUACCGUGCCCUCUUGUGGAGCAAGACUCUUAAAGUAGCCUUUGUUGGGCAUGUCGAGAACGGUCUCUAUGUGAUUAACUUUUCGGAGCGACCCACUAAGACCGCGACAUGCCUAAUGGCUAAAAUUGACGUGGGAUGGCUUUGCCAUCGCUGUUUAGCCCAUGUCAAUAUGAGAUCUUUGCAAAGUCUUCUCAAGGGGGACCAUGUCCGUGGACUAACGAACGCUAGUUUUGCUAAAGAUCGUGCUUGCAGUGCUUGUAUCGAAGGAAAGCUUCAUGAGAAGACUCACCCUCCCACGACUCUCAUUUACUCGAAGAGGCCUUUGGAGCUCCUUCAUUUGGAUCUCUUUGGGCCUCCAUCCUUUGAUAGUCUUGGGGGUAGAAAGUAUUGCUUGGUAAUUGUGGAUGACUAUUCAAGAUACACUUGGGUGUAUUUCUUCAAGAGGAAGAGUGAGACCCAACAAACCGUCAUUGACUUUGCAAAUGAAGCCCAACGUCAAUACAAUGCAAAGAUCUUGACAAUAAGAAGUGACAACGGCACCGAGUUCAAGAACUACACCUUGGAUGAGUUUCUUAGUGAUGAGGGGAUCAAGCAUCAAUAUUCCGCACCUUACAGCCCUCAACAAAACGGUGUUGCGGAGAGGAAGAACCAGACGUUGAUGGAUGCCGCAAGGACCAUGAUGGCGGAGUUCAAGUCUCCAUACAACUUUUGGGCAGAAGCCAUCAACACCGCGUGUCAUGCAUCCAAUCAGCUCUACCUCCGCAAGGGCUUGAACAAGACUCCAUAUGAGAUACUCACCGGUAACAAGCCCAACCUCAAGUAAUUUCGGGUGUUUGGGUGUAAGUGUUUCAUUCUCAAGAAAGGUGUUCGAUUGUCUAAAUUUGAGGCUAGAGCAUAUGAGGGCAUAUUUGUUGGUUAUGCUACAAACUCCAUGCUUACCGUGUCCUCAAUAAAUUCACGGGACUUAUUGAGGAGACGUGUAACAUGGAGUUUGAUGAGAAUAACGGCUCCCAAGUGGAGCAAAGUGGCACUUGUGAUGUAGGUGAUGAAAUUCCUCCUCAAGCCAUAAGAAGAAUGGGUGUUGGUUUUAUCCUACCCAUUGAGGAACCCCUUGUGGCCGAAGGAGAAGGACAAUGCUCCACUCAAGUGGAGCCAUCACCAACCCAAGGCCCACACGCUUCCGAAGAACAAAGUGAAGGCCCUCAACCUCAUGAACAAGAACAAGGGCAAAAUCAUGAUCAAGACGGUGGAGACACACCAAGUGAUGACCAAGGUCAAGUUCUCUCCUCCGAGCAAGUUCAAGAUCAAGAACAAGCUCAAGACGGCGCUCAAGAUGACCAAGUGACCGCUCCUCAACUCACCUCCGAGGAGGAAUUGGAGCGUCGUGCCGCCAAGAUUGCUUCCAAGCUCUCCACCAAGGGUCAUCUCAUGAAUAAUGUACUUGGAAGAAUUCAAAAGGGGGUAAGCACUCGUAGACAAUUGGCAAACUAUUGUGAACAUCACGCGUUUGUCUCUUGUGUGGAACCCCAAAAGGUAUAUGAAGCUCUCGAAGAUCCGGAUUGGCUCAAUGCCAUGCAUGAAGAACUCAACAACUUCGAGUACAACAAGGUGUGGAGAUUAGUGCCAAGGCCAACGGGGAACCACAAUGUCAUUGGAACAAAGUGGAUAUUCAAGAACAAGCAAGAUGCUCAUGGGACCAUCAUCCGCAACAAGGCACGAUUGGUGGCACAAGGCUACUCCCAAGUCGAGGGUAUCGACUACGGUGAAACCUUUGCUCCCGUUGCUCGCCUUGAAUCUAUUCGUUUGUUGAUUGCUUAUGCUUCUCAUCACAACUUUAAGUUGCAACAAAUGGAUGUGAAGAGUGCUUUUCUUAAUGGACCUAUUAAUGAGUUGGUGUAUGUCAAGCAACCCCCCGGGUUCGAGGAUCCCUACUUUCCCGAUCAUGUGUAUCAACUCGAUAAGGCACUCUAUGGCCUUAAACAAGCCCCACGUGCGUGGUAUGACCACCUUACCGAGUUGUUACAAGAUCGUGGGUUUGAAGUUGGGCUAAUCGACCCCACUCUUUUUACUAAGAAGGUCAAAGGGGAGUUGUUUGUGUGCCAACUAUAUGUUGAUGACAUUAUCUUUGGUUCCCCUAACAAAGCUUUCAAUGAGGAAUUUGCCGCACUCAUGACCUCAAAGUUCAAGAUGUCUUCCAUGGGAGAGUUGAAGUUCUUUCUCGGUUUCGAAGUAAAGCAAAGAAGAGAAGGAACCUUCAUCAACCAAGCCAAAUACACUCAAGACAUGGUCAAGAGAUUCAAGCUAAAUGAUGUCAAGCCGGCGUCCACUCCAAUGCCCACCAAGUGCCAACUUGACAUCGAUCCCAAUGGUAAAGCGGUGGAUCAAAAGGUAUAUCGCUCCAUGACUGGUUCAUUACUUUACCUUUGUGCAUCUAGACCGGAUAUCAUGUCGAGUGUGGGAAUUUGUGCACGUUUUCAAGCCGCACCUAAGGAAAGCCACUUUGUGGUGGUCAAGCGGCUCAUACCCCAAACUUUGGCUUAUGGUACCCAAGAGGAGCAAACUUCAAGCUUGUAGGGUAUUCGGACUCCGAUUGGGUGGGAGACAAAGUGGAUAGGAAGUCCACUUCCGGAGGUUGCCAAUUCCUUGGUUGCUCUUUGGUAAGUUGGUCUUCUAAAAAGCAAAGUUGUGUUUCUCUCUCGUCCACCGAAGCGGAGUAUGUGGCGGCCGGGAGUUGUUGUGCACAACUCUUAUGGAUGAGGCAAACUUUAAAGGAUUACGAUGUCAUUUGUGACAAAGUGCCUCUUUGGUGUGACAAUGAAAGUGCCAUCAAGAUUUCUCUCAACCCGGUGCAACACUUCAAGACGAAGCAUAUUGAGAUUCGGUAUCACUUCACCCGGGAUCAUAUUAGGCGAGGGGUGAUCGAGCUCAACUAUGUCAACACUCGUGAUAACCUUGCAGAUAUUUUCACGAAGCCAUUGGAUGAAGCAAGAUUUCGCGAGUUAAGGCAUGAGCUAAAUAUCAUUGAUUCGAGCAAUGUUGCUUGAGCACUUGCACUCCCCACCAUACUCGACUUGUUAUCUUGUUUAGGUGUAGGCAUGGACAUAGGGGGAGUGUUGUUCUCUUAAUGAACUCUCCCUCCCCUUAUUAUGCAUAAAUUGAUCAACUCUUUCACAUUAGCCAUUUUUGAUGAUACUUGUGCUUCAAAGACGAGUUUUGGUCAUGGGUCCAAGGAUAAUUCUUCGCGGUGCCAUACCAAUUGACUCAAACAUAGGUGGCCUCGGCCACCGCCCUCUCUUGUAGAGGUGUGUGGUUCUUGUCCUUGUGCUGAUGCUUUUGUUGGUGUGUGUUUUGCUCUCUUUUCUUGCCGUUUGUUUCUCUCUUCUUUUGAGCUAAGCCUCUGUGUCUAGACUUUGGAGUAUUGGCUGGGCGGUACUACCGCUGGUGGUGCGCGGUACUACCGCUUAUGUUGACAAGCGGUACUACCGCCCACCCGAGCGGUACUACCGCUUAUGUUGACAAGCGGUACUACCGCCCACCCGAGCGGUACUACCGCUGGGGGCGGGAUCAGGGGGUUAUGUUGGGGCAGGGGGAGGUUUCUCCUCCCCCAUACCCAUUCGCACCACCCCUUCGUCCCUCUCCCUCUCUCCAGCGACUCCUCGCCGCGGGAGGGCUCCGGCGGGCCGCCGUCUCCGGGCCAUCCCUCUCCAUUCCCUUUGGUGGAGUCGAUCCCCACCUCGUCCUCUUGCCAUGGAUGCCGGUAUUGACCUCGUUCUUUCUCUCUUUUUGUCUAGUUCUUAGAUCUAGUGUUUUUGGGGCAAUAGUGGUUGCAUCUCUAGAUUUUUGGCUAAAUCUCGGCUUGAGUUGUUUGGAGAAGGCGUCUAGACUAUGUGGAUUAAGUUUUGGUAGGAUUAUUUUUGAAUUUGGCAGUCCGGUAGUGCCGGAUCUGACCACCAUAGUAGGAACUGCCGGUUCCCCGUCUUGCGCAGUACUACCGCUUGGGCGGUACUACCGCUCCCACUGGGGCGGUACUACCGCUUGGGCGGUACUGCCGCCUAUGGCCAGCGGUACUACCGCUGUCUGGCAGAUUCCAUCAUUCCCAACCUUUGUUUGAUCCAUGUUGUUUUGUUUGGAGGCUUACGCUUUCUUCUUCCGUGUUGGUUUUCUGUUCGUGUGUUUGGUUCCAGGUGAUGAACAUCCUGAGCAGCAAGUCCGCCGUGUCAACCCCGGACGUUCAACGUCAAAGCGGUAUCGCACAUCUGAGUCUGCUGGUGGUUCCUCCAAUGCUCCACCGCCGCCAGUGGGUGCUUCCUCAAGUGCUAAUCCUCAACAUCAGAAGAAACUUGCCAACAGGCCGAAGCCAAGGGCCAAGACUGUGACUGAGAUGUCUGCAAAGGAGUUCUGGGCAAAGCGUCGCUGCAACCCCUAUGCGGAAGACCAAGAACCCAGUUUGGUCAACUGGCUGUUCUGGAACCGCUUUCAUUUUGCCAUCUACUUUGAUGUGAUCAAGGCCAAGAAGAAUCUCUUUGUUAAUGUUCGCUCCAUCGACACAGAUGCCAUGGAGAAGGAUCCCGAAUACUUUGGUGAAGCUCUUCAGAUGUGUACUCAGCUCAACAUUCUCAGAAUCAUGCAGUUCAACAAGGACUUUGAUGCAGAGUUGGUGGCUCAGUUCUUUGCUACUGUCCAUCUUGGAACUGGUGAAGAAAGGUCUCUGACCUGGAUGACAAAUGGCAAGUUACUGUCUGUCAAGUGGAAGGCCUUCAUGGAGUUACUUCAUGUGGAAGAUGGCGGGCUUGAGAUGCCUGUUGGCUUUCGCCCUCACCACAACGUCAACUCCACUCACAAGCAAGCCCUCUGGCCCUACUGCACAGUGAAGGUUCACCCUGUGACUAAGAAGGAGACCUAUGAGUUGUCCGCCUACCUGGACAUCCUUCAUCGUAUCUUUCGAGAGACCCUCUUUCCUCGCAUCGGGAAUCUGGAUAUGGUUCACUCCUAUCUCGUGGAUAUGCUUCUCUUCUGCCAGCGUGAGAAGGAAGCAAACACUGGCGAGUCCCUGGACAUCUCUCAUGUUAUGUGGUCUGAACUUCUCACUGCCAUUUCUGAGCGCAAGUGCCCGAUCUAUGGUCCAUUCAUCAUGUUGCUCAUUGAGAAGGCCUGGCGACGUUCCUUUCCCGCGGAGCAGCUGGAAACUGGAGAGUUGGUUUCUCAUGAGAUCAAGCGUCUGAGGAAGAAGGAUAACUGGGGCACCUCCGUUCCUACAUCUGGGGUUCCGUCUUCUGCUGCUACCAUGGAGUCCGAGGGCGAGGAUGAGGCCGAUGAUGACGAUGAGGAUUAUGUGCCUUCUGGGACAGAGCCUUCUGCGGCAGAGCCCUCUUGGGCAAAGAAGCUCAAACACAAGAUGAAGAAGCUAUUCUGCAUGGAGUCUCACGGUCAGUACAUGACUCAUGUGGCUGAGAAGAAGGCAAGGGGACGUCACAAGGAGCUUAUGCGUCAGUUGGGUGCGACAGUCACCAGCGGCUCUGAGGGUCAGAUCACUGAGGAGGAGGAGUGGAUCCAGCAGCACUGUCCGUGGACCGAUUCAGAUGCCGAGCAGUUUCCAGCCGAGGAUGGUGGUGCAGAUGAUCACGCAGAGUCCUGAUGUUCGAGAUCCUCAGCAUGCUCUCACCUGGAGCCGUAGGUUAGCUCUUUGCCCCUUUUGGUGUCUCGAUGCCAAAGGGGGAGAGAGUUUAGGGAUUUGCGUCAUUGUGUUGCGAGUGUGUCUUUGUCUUUGUGCUUUCGUUGUGUUUGCUACCUUGUGCUUUGUUUGGUUUUGUGUUCCGUGAGACCUAAGUUCCAGUCAUAUGGUGUGAGACAUAUGCUAUCUUAUCCUUAUCAUAUCUUUAUCUAUGUCUCUAGUCUUUUGGUAUCUCAUGAGUUGCAUGCUUAUUAUGUUAUAUAUCCUGCUCUCUUGAAUCACACUUAGGUUGUUGGUCUCUAAAAUACAGGGGGAGUGUUGAUCCUAGUAUGUGUGUCGUGCAGUCCAAAGCACUUAUCUUGAUGGCACACAUCUAGGGGGAGCCCGUCUAUAUUUUAGAGACUUGGGGGUUUGCUUAUGUCCUUUGUCUUUUCCCGUUUGUGCAAAUCCCGUAUUGUCAUCAAUCCACCAAAAAGGGGGAGAUUGUAAGGGCAUAUUUAUCCCUAAGAUAUUUUGGUGAUUGAUGACAAUGCUUUUGCAGACUAAUCGUGUGCAUUGAGUUUUUUCAGAGAUUCAUCCUUUGGCACGAGAUGAUUCCCUCCCCUCGGAGUUUGAAGCGAAGACGGUGUAGUACUUUCGAAUUAGUUUGGUGGACUAGUUUUGUAGGGAUCACCGUACUAUCAAGAGGAGGUCCACUUUGGAAAGGCUAGGGUGGAAUCAUCACGUACACUUCCUUUGCACACCCUCCGAGCCUUUCCGCUUCGUUGAUGAGCUCGUUCCCCUCUCUCAAUGUGCCCUCUCUGGUCCCAGCGGUAGUACUGCGGGCCGGAGCGGUAGUACCGCUUGGGUGCUACAAGCGGCAGUACUGCUCCAUAGCGGUAGUACCGCUGUAGCCCCCAGUCGUAGUACCGCUGCGGCUUCGUGCUAGUACCGCCUCGAUUCAAGGGGUCUUUUUCCGUGUCGGGUUUUACGGUACUUGCCGCGGCAGUGGGGGGGUAGUACCGCUCGUGUGCGGUAGUACCACCCUGACCACCGCGGUAGUACCGCUCUGGGCCCAGCGGCAGUACCGCGGGAGGGAACGGUAGUACCGCUGGCUUAGCGGUAGUACCGCUGGCCAAGCGGUAGUACCGCUCUCUGCGGGGCUGAAGUGGGGGGUAACGGUUGGAUUGCUUCCCCCACUAUAAAAGGGGGUCAUCUUCCCCAAAGUUGACUCACCUCUUCCCCCAAAAGCUCCAUUGUUGCUCCAAGCUCCAUUUUCGCCCGAUCUCUCUCCCUAGCCAAUCAAACUUGUUGAUUUGCUCGGGAUUGGUUGAGAAGGCCCCGAUCUACACUUCCACCAAGAGAAAUUUGAUUCCCCCCACUUAUCCCUAGCAGAUCUUGUUACUCUUGGGUUUUUAGCACCCUAGACGGUUGAGGUCACCGCGGAGCCAUAGUCCAUUGUGGUGAAGCUUUGCGGUGUCGUUGGGAGCCUCCAAUUAAGUUGUGGAGAUUGCCCCAACCUUGUUUGUAAAGGUCCGGUCGCCGCCUUCAAGGGCACCAAUAGUGGAAUCACGGCAUCUCGCAUUGUGUGAGGGCGUGAGGAGAAUACGGUGGCCCUAGUGGCUUCUUGGGGAGCAUUGUGCCUCCACACCGCUCCAACGGAGACGUACUUCCCCUCAAAAGGAAGGAACUUCGGUAACACAUCCUCGUCUUCACCGGCUCCACUCUUGGUUAUCUCGUCCCUUUACUUUUGCAAGUUUACUCGUGUUAUAUCCCUUUUUUUGCGUGCUUGUUGUCAUUGCAUCAUAUAGUUUGCUCACUUAGUUGCAUAUCUAGACAACCUAUUUUGAUGCAAAGUUCAAUUUGGUAAAGAAAAGCUAAAAAUUGUUAGUUGCCUAUUCACCCCCCUCUAGUCAACUAUAUCGAUCCUUUCAACCAGUCUCAUGAACGCGGUCAUGUAAUGUCGGUCUGGGCCGCUUCAUCCAACAAUACCGCCAAAUCAAAGUAUGACAUGCUGGUAAGCAGUAUGACUAUUAUCGCCCACAACUCUUUGUGUUCUACUCGUGCAUAUAACAUCUACGCAUAGACCUGGCUCGGAUGCCACUGUUGGGGAACAUAGUAUUUCAAAAUUUUCCUACGAUCACGCAAGAUCCAUCUAGGAGAUGCAUAGCAAUGAGCGGGGAGAGUGUGUCCACGUACCCUCGUAGACCGAAAGCGGAAGCGUUAAGUAACGCGGUUGAUGUAGUCGAACGUCUUCGUGAUCCAACUGAUCAAGUACCAAAUGCACGGCACCUCUGCGAUCUGCACACGUUCAUCUCGGUGACGUCCCUUGAACUUCUAGAUCCAGCUGAGGUCGAGGGAGAGUUUCGUCAGCACGACGGCGUGUUGACAGUGAUGAUGAAGUUACCGACGCAGGGCUUCGCCUAAGCACUACGCCAAUAUGACCGAGGUGGUAAUAUGUGGAUGGGGGCACCGCACACGGCUAAGAAUCAACUUGUGUCUCUAUGGGGUGCCCCCCUCCCCCGUAUAUAAAGGAGGGGAGGAGGGGCCGGCCGGCCUCAUGCACUACAAAAAAAGACACUUCCGUGAUGAUACGUGUUUGUCACAGUUGGUCACGUUUUCAGUCAUGCAUGUACAUCCAUGAAAAUUUUAUGACAGAAUCAAGAUAGUCAUACCUGUUUUGUCGUAGAAGUGUUCCAUGACAUUACCAAAAUUAUCAUCACGGAAGUGUCCACUUCCAUGACGAUAAAUCGCGCGUCAUAGAAGUGCUUUCGUCAAGGGUGACCAACACGUGGCAUCCACCGUAACGGGAUGCCGUUAAGCUAUCGGGUUCGGUUUUGGAUCCGAUAACCCGCUAACAGCCACGACCAAUGAUGAUUUUCCACAUGUAAAAUUCUCAUUGGCUGACGGAACCACGUGUCAGCUCCGCGUUGGCACAUCCAAUGGGCGAGAUGCGCCUAUGAUACGUUGACACGUGGACCGGCCCAAAAGUGGCCCAUAAAGAUUAAAUGGGCAGGCCCAACUAAAGUCCCACAAGAUUUAGCGGGCCAUAAUGGGCCAGCCCAGCUAACGGCCAACAAGAUUUUGCAGACCAUAAUGGGUCGGCCCAGCUAAAGGCCCAAAAUUCUCUGUUAAGGCCCGUGCGGCUAGUGUCAAAUCGGCCCGUCAACGACCCGUCCAAAACUUGUCAUCAUCGCGGCCCAUGGUCACUUCUGGCCCAUUAACAGUCCGCUAAGAAUUUGGGCCGAAUUACGGCCCAGUGUGUUUCCGGCCUGUUAAAGGUCCUGCUUCAUUUGGGCCCAUUUAUAGGCCAUUGAAACUUUCGGCCCAUAAAUAACCGUGAAGGAUAUGGGUCAUAUUCGGCCAUGUCUGACAUUCGUCCUGUUAGAGGCCCACUACAGAUUUGGGCCACUUUCAGCCUGUUGUGACUUUUGGCCUGUUAACGUCAUACGAAAUCCAUGGGCCAUAUGUGGCCCAACGCCACAUCGGGCCUACUAACGACCCAUAUAAAAAUGACACUAAUCAAGCCCGACGGAACUUCCAGCCUGUUAAAGGCCCGUGUAGUAGGUCGGCGCAUUUACGGCUCGUCUGGAUCUCGGCCUGUGGACGAUCCGCAUUGUAAAUGGGCCACCAUUUUGGCCUGCUAAGACCAGUGGGUUAUUUGGCACAAUCAGGGCCCAAUCUUACUUUCGGCCUAUUAAAGGCCCAUUUUUUUGUAGGCUCGAGAUAUUUACACGUGUAAACAGCCUAUCAUUACCGAGGGCCCAAAUUAUGUUUAGGCCUGUUAAAGGCCCACUAUGGGCACAUGCCUACCAGAAAAAUAUGAAAGCUUAUGCUGAUUUAGGCCCAGAUAUAUUUAGUGGGCUACAUGCAAAUUUCGGCCCAGAAUCGUUUUUAGACCAAUUGGAAUAAGCCCGACGAAUGUUGGCAUGCUGGGCUCCUACGAAGCUUUUUUGACCGAAUACAUUACUAAGAUAAACCUACACUAUACAAAAAUAGCGUCGUAAUUACUGCAGCCUUUGGCAGCAUCAUAAAUGUUGUAUCACAACAAAAUAAAUUCCAACCAUACAACAAAAGGCCUGUUGGCAUAAAGUUUACAGUCCUUGCAGAUAAAAGCACCAUCAGAUGUAUAGAAGCACAAAUCAUUUGACCUGGGUGCUUAUGUUUCAGGUUGUAGAAUCUGAUGGAGCAGCACGAUCUUCCCCCUUUUCCUGCCAUUGCUCUUGAACAACGAAGCAAAUGUCUGAUAGUCUUGUUUCAAAACCAUUCAUAUCUUCACGACAUUUUUCAACCACUAUUUUUGUUUCCGACACAACGUCCAUUAGGGAUUGGACUUGUGUCUGGAGCACAGAUAUAUCACUCUGUCUAGCUAGAAGAUUUUGUUCAGUAGGCGAUUUGGACGAGGUUACCUUAACAACCAACCCAGAAUUACGCAGGAAGGUGAUUUUUGCACUGUUAGUGGAGAGAUACUGACGCAUUGCAGCAAGAGGUGACACUGUGCCUGUGGUAGCCUCGUCACCUUCAGGUGGUUGUGGUUGUUCAAUAAUUUGUUCCAUAGCUUGCUGAAAGUUUGAACUUGUAGAUUAGUGUACCAGAUAAGUUACUAAUGAGACAAAAACAAACAAAGUAGGUUUCACAUUUAUACAUAACUUAUUUUGGUGAACUACUAUAAUACAUUAGCAUGUAUUGUAGUGCCAACUACAUAAUAAAAUCACUUUCGGAACAUAUGUCCAUGUAGCAUGCCUACUGUAUUGUCUAUUUCCUCACAUUCGUUGACAUCUAAGGAUAAAGAGACAUGGUUUAAAGUAGGAUGAACAUAGUAUGACAUCAUUCAUAUCAUGGGCAAACAAAUAUAAAACAAACAGGCUAUUGUAUCAUUGUGUGCGCACGUGAACAUCACAACUAGAUUACAGAUCAAGACCAAAAGAAUAUCCUUCAUCUCAUUUAAACAAUGUAAGGUGAAAUGAUACGUUAAGACAAUUGUGUAUAAAAGUGAACAGAGUAACUGACAUUGGCUGCAAACCAAGCAGUUAAAUGAACACAUCACAGUACCAAUCAGUUCAAAGGCAGGAGUAAGGACUUACAAUAGCGGCCUGAACUGGUGUGCUCAUGCCCUUCAUCUUGCUGGUGUGGCAAUCCUUGAAGAUUUGCACUGCAUUCGGUUCAGGUUCUUUUUGGUCCGCACGGGUUUUCCUCUGUAUUUGGAACAAGUCAAUAUAGAUACGACAAUAUGGCACAGAAAAAAGAAGGAAGUAGCAGCUAUUUACAAGAGCCUCGCAGUGUGCAAUAUAGCUAGGAGAUCAUGUUGUCUGUUGGAAUUUCACUUUAGAACGGUUGGUCGUGUUCUUCAAAUAGUUAGCCUAGAAGAAGAUACACUUGUAAGGCACAUACAUAAAUACAAGUUCAAUAUGUGGUCUGAUCAAAUACAUAUACCCUACCUGAUACUUUGGAUCAGACCAAUGUUUAAUAAGGGUUGUCCAGUCUUCAUCUGUAAUAUAUUCCACUAGAGAUGUUUGGGCGAUUUCAUUGUUAGCCUUGCCAUCAAAGUGAGAUUUUCUAAGGUGGUACCGAUACUGUCGCAGAGCAGACUGAAAAACAUGAGUGCAUGCUUGUUUAGUUGCAUCAUCUUUAGGAUCCAACUUGAACCUCAUCUGUGAAAAAAGAAUGUGAGUCUAAAUAGGAGGAAGCUAGAAAGUAUGGCACAGAGCAAGACAAUAUUACAAAUUGUGAUGAAUAACAUUACUUACGGAUAAAUGCUCAAGGAAGGUGUUAAACUGGGUAUUGUCUUUCUCAUUCCUGUACUGGAUCCAUGUAGGGAAGGAUUAAGAUAGAUAUUGCGCAAACUUGGGAAGGUCUUCAUCGAACCACCGGUAGGAUUGAAACAACGAAUAAAUUAAUAUGCGGACAUAGGAAAAGGAAUCUUGAACGAACCACCGUAAGAAUUUAAAAUGAAUGAAGAAAAGAGAACGAAUCACCGUAAGAAUUAAAGAGCGCGCGAAAAUAUUCAAGGGAAUUUGAUACACAAGAACGAAGAGAUCACGAGCUGAUUAGAUGAUACUUGAAUGAUGCACCGGUAAGAUUUGGAGAACAAGAGCUGAAUGUUGAAAACGAAUAAAUCUUCUGAAAUGAUGGCCUUCGGAGAAUCAAACUGAAAAGACUCAUGAAUUGCUCCGGAUGGGUAUGAAAAGAAUUCUCACAAUUGAAAACAACUAUGAGAGGAUGGCAUAAGCUAGAACUAUGAAUCUUCAAGAGAACGGAUAAGAUUUGGAGGAAAAACUCUUCUUCGGUCUUCAAAUGUUGAGAAUGAUGACGAGAAACACCACCAUGAAUUUAUGAGGCACUCCGGAACCAUGAAGAAUAGAAAGGUUGAAUCAACAAUGAAAGAAUUUGAAAGAUCUUGGAGAAAGACAUAUGACUGAUGAUAACUCAUUCUUACGUCAAACUUUGCAAAGAAUUUGAGAAUAACUCCGGAAAAAUUAGAAGAGUCAGGUAAGAUCCUGGGGAAAAACCUGUGGGUUAGGGCCCACUCAAAAGAAACACCGUUGAAAUGAUUACUUGAAAAGGAGAUAGCACCGGUUGAAUGAUUACCUCGCUCUGAUACCAACUUGUAACACCCACGAUGCGGCUAUAUCUCCCACGUGUCGAGGCACGACUUAGAGGCAUAACCGCAUUGUGGUUUUGUCGCAAGAAGGGUCAUCUUCACACAAUCCCAUGUAAUGAACAAGAAUGGGAUAAAGAGUUGGCUUACAAUCGCCACUUCACACAAUACAUAAAUAAAUCAUACAUCAAUCAGAGUACACACAUAGGUCCGACUACGGAACCAAAAUAAAAGAAGACAACCCAACUGCUAGAUCCCCGAUCGUCCCAACUGGGCUCCACUACUGAUCAACAUGAAAAGAAACAACACAACGGACAAGAUCUUCAUCGAGCUCCCACUUGAGCUCAGUUGCGUCACCUGCACUGGUAUCAUCGGCACCUGCAACUGUUUUGGAAGUAUCUGUGAGUCACGAGGACUCAGCAAUCUCACACCCGCGGGAUCAAGACUAUUUAAGCUUAUAGGAAAAGAUGGGGUAAUGAGGUGGAGCUGCAGCAAGCACUAGCAUAUAUGGUGGCUAACAUACGCAAAUGAGAGCGAGAAGAGGAGCAACGGAAUGGUCGUCAACUAGUAAUGAUCAAGAAGUGAUCCUGAACUCCUACUUGCGUCAAACAUAACCCAAGAACCGUGUUCACUUCCCGGACUCCGCCGAAAAGAGACCAUCACGGCUACACACGCGGUUGAUGCGUUUUAAUUAAGUCAAGUGUCAAGUUCUCUACAACCGGACAUUAACAAAUUCCCAUCUGUCUCAUAACCGCGGGCACGGCUUUCAAAAGAUAAUACCCUGCAGGGGUGUCCCAACUUAGCCCAUUAUAAGCUCUCACGGUCAACGAAGGAUAAACCUUCUCCCGGGAAGACCCGAUCAGUCUCGGAAUCCCGGUUUACAAGACAUUUCGACAAUGGUAAAACAAGACCAGCAAGACCACCCGCUGUGCCGACAAAUCCCGAUAGGAGCUGCACAUAUCUCGUUCUCAGGGCACACCGGAUAAGCGAAGCGUACAGGUACCAACGUAACCCAAGUUGCCAAGGGACGGUCCCGCACAGUGCUCUAGUUUGGACCAGCACUCAGAGGAACACUGGCCCGGGGGUUUAAAUAAAGAUGACCCUUGAGUCUGCACGACCCAAGGGAAAAAGGCAUAGGUAGGCAAAUGGUAAAACCAAGGUUGGGCCUUGCUGGAGGAGUUUUAUUCAAGGCGAACUGUCAAGGGGGUCCCAUAAAUCACCCAACCGCAUAAGGAACGCAAAAUCAAGGACCAUAACACCGGUAUGACGGAAACUAGGGCGGCAAGAGUGGAACAAAACACCAGGCCUAAGGCCGAGCCUUCCACCCUUUACCAAGUAUAUAGAUGCAUUAAUUAAGAUAAGAGAUAUUGUGAUAUCCCAACAUAAACAUAAUCCAACAUGGAGCAAUCUUCAUCUUCACCUGCAACUAGCAACGCUAUAAGAGGGGCUCAGCAAAAGCGGUAACAUAGCCAAACAACGGUUUGCUAGGAAAAAGGUGGGUUAGAGGCUUGACAUGGCAAUAUGGGAGGCAUGAUAUAGCAAGUGGUAGGUAGCGCGGCAAAGCAAUAGAGCGAACAACUAGCAAGCAAAGAUAGAAGUGAUUUCGAGGGUAUGGUCAUCUUGCCUGUGAUCCCGCAAGGAAGAAGAACGAGUCCAUGAAGAAAACAAAUGGACGUAGACGAACGAAUCCUCACAACUCCGGAACGAAACCAAAGCUAACGAGAGAAGCAAACCGGAAAGAAACAAACAACAUAGUAAACAACCACCACAUAAACAUUGCAUGAUGCACAAUCAAGUAUGAUGCAUGUCCGGUUUAAUGAGGCAUGGCAUGGCAAAGAUUAAUGACAUGAUGACAUGAUGCAAUGCAAAAAUAAAAGAGCAAGCACCAAAAGAAACACGCGGUGAUCACGAAAAUAAGGAAGUCUUCUGAAGCGUCGGUCUUGGGGCGUUACAGAUACGUGCAUGACACCUAACAACAAUGGCUGUCUCUAAUACUAACUUGGCUGACUCUGUAGCAUCACAUGGCCAUUUUAAACCUGCCUCAAAAUGGAUCUCCAUUCUUCCUCCUUUAGAUUUUGUUAAUCUAUCAAGCAUUAUCCCUGAUGUCUGUUUCCACUUGUGAUGUGGUGCUAGUUCAACAACGAAUAUGGAAAGUGUUAGUGCACAUCAAACUGUGAGAGUACAUAUAAAGGAGCAUGCAACUGCAACUUUACUCGGUCAGGUACCGUCUUGGUGUUGAUGCUCAUGAGGUUCAUUUGAUCUUGCCAAGUCCUGUUGUGUCAGUAGUGCUUCGGAAGUAGUGUUAGGUGUGAAUACAACUUGGGAACUGGCCAGUUCCGGAGCAAACGAACGAGUAACUCGUUGAGAUGUUGGUACAGUUGAAGCGGAUGCUGCAGCUAGUGGAGCAGGUGAUACUGUGUUUGUAGAUUUAGCCGGUGGACCUUGACCUUCUACUGCACUAUAAGUACCAGCAGAAUCUCGAGGGCAGAUCCUUUUCUGUUUCACUGACGAGUAACAACAUUCCCUACUAUAUUCUUUUCCUUGCUCAUUUUUGACUUUGCCAUGUCAAGGCAUACCCACAACACAAAGGAAUAAAAUUUCUCUUCAGAACUCAUUGAUGCAUGAUACGGACAAGCAAUACUUUGAUGUAAGACAACCGCAUGAGGAUGGAAUAUGUAAGAAAAAUAGGACGGCAUGACAUAUUCAAAGCUACGAUGUGUAAACUAAGCAGAAGGAUUUUCAAGAAAAUAGAAGUAAUGCAAGCUAGACACCAUAUGAAAGAUGCAACCAAUAUCACUCUGCCUAGUUAAAAGUGUCUCGUCAUAAGUGGCAUUUCGAAAAAUUAGAAGCAGUACAAUGUAGAAAUCAAUCCAAGAUGCAACCACUAUCAAACUGCCAUGUUAAAAGCGUCCAAUCAUGAGUGACUGAUGCGGGAUACACAACAGCAGUACUUUGAUGUAAGAACAUGGUAUGAUUGAUAGAUGCAGUGUAUUCUAGACACAAAAAGGCAUGUCAUAUGCACAUGUAUAACGUAUAAACUCAGCAGCUGCAAUUUAAUCAAAAUAGAAGAAAUACAGGCUAGACAACAUAUGCAACGUGAAACCAAUUAUCACACUGUCAACUUAGAGAAAGCACCUGCGAUGUGGAGUACGGGAGAUGAACUCAUCAUGUAGACUUGGUACUUCAACUUCAUUAGCAGUAGCAGUGGCAAAUCUAGAGAGUAUCUGUUUGCGUCGGCCCGGAGGACCACCAACAUCCCCUAACUUACUCUUUUCCUUCCUAUUUUCUGAUAUUGCCUUAUGAAGUCAAAACCAAAAGAAGAUGAAUAAAAUUAGCUCUGCAUAACUGGUUGAUGCAUGAUACAGACGAACACUACUUUGAUGUAAGGCAAGCGCAGGAUAGGAGGAUGGAAUAUAUACAAAAAAAGACAUCAUUGCAUAUUCAGACGUACGAUAGGAGGAUGGAAUAUGUAUGAAAAACAGUAAGAAAAAGGCAUUGCAACAAAAUUAGAAGAAAGGAAAGCUAGGCACAAUAUGAACAUGCAACCAAUAUCACUCUAUCAGGUAAAAAGUGUCUUGUUGUAAGUGCCAUUUCAAGAAAUUAGAAGCAGUACAAGCUAGAAGACAAUGCAAGAUGCAACCUACAUCACACUCCCAAGUUAAAUGUGUCUUAUGGGUAAGUGAUCAUUGCAGGUAUAAGUUGUAAGCUACGCAGAUGUAAUUCAACAAAAUCAGAAGCAAUACAAACUAGACAUCAUAUGAAACACGCAACCACAUAUAAGAGUUCCAAGUUAGAGCAAGCACCUGUGAUGGUGGAGUAGGGGAGAUGUGCUCAUCAUCUACACUUAUGUUCUAGAAACAGGAACAUGUGUCAUAUUAACAGGCAUUAUGUGUAAAGUAAGCAGAUGCAAUUCAACAAAUUUAGAAGCAAUACAAGCUAGACAUCAUACGCAAUAUGCAACCACAUAUAAUAGUGCCAAGUUAGAGCAAGCACCUGUGAUGGUGGAGUAGGGGAGAUGUGCUCAUCAUCUACACAACUACGUUGACAGUCCAGCCUUGUGUUGUCUUGGGAAUCUUGUUGGUAGGAUGGCGGAGUAGAAUCUAUAGAGACCCUCUAUUUGAGUUGCUCCGAAGGACCACCAUCAUCCACUGCUGGACUAAUUUCCUUUAGUUGUAUUGAUUUUUCAUUGUGAAGUCAAACCGAUAAGAAAAAGGAAUAAAAUUCGCUCUUCAGAACUCAUUCAUGCAUGAUACUGACGAACACUACUCGGAUGAAAGGCAAACACAUUAUACGAGGAGGGAAUAUGUACGAAAAAUAGGACGGCAUGACAUAUUCACACCUAUGAUGUGGUAACUAAGCAGAAGGCAUUUCAACAAAUUAGAAGCACUGCAAGCUAGACACCAUAUGAAAGGUGCAACCAAUAUCACUCUGCCAAGUUCAAACUGUCUGGUGUUUCAACAAAUUAGAAGCAGUACAUGCUAGAAAUCAUAUGCAAGACACAACCAAUAUCAAAGUGGUGACUUAAAGGUGCCUUAUCAUAAGUGACUGAUGCGGGAUAUGCAAGAACAGUAGUCUGAUGUAAGAACAUGGUGUGAUCAGAUAUAGUAUGUUCUAGAAACAGGAACACGUGUCAUAUUCACAGGCAUUAUGUGUAAAGUAAGCAGAUGCAAUUCAACAAAGUUAGAAGCAAUACAAGCUAGACAGCAUACGCAACAUGCAACCACAUAUAAUAGUGCCAAGUUAGAGCAACCACCUGUGAUGGUGGAGUAGGGGAGAUGUGCUCAUCAUCUAUGCAGCUACGUUGACUGUCUAGCCUUGCGUUGUCUUGCGAAUCUUGUUGGGAGGAUGGCGGAGUAGAAUCUAUAGAGACCCUCCAUUUCAGUUGCUCGGAAGGACCACCAUCAUCCAAUGCCUUACCAAUUUCCUUCCGCUUUAUUGAUUUUGCAUUGUGAGGUCAAACCGACAAGAAAAAGGAAUAAAAUUUGCUCUUCAGAACUCAUUCAUGCAUGAUACUGACGAACACUACUAAAGGCAAAGUCAUGAUACGAGGAUGGAAUAUGUACGAAAAACUGGACGGCUGGACAUAUUCACACCUAUGAUGUGGUAACUAAGCAGAAGGCACUUCAACAAAUUAGAAGCACUGCAAGCUAGACACCAUAUGGAAGGUGCAAUCAAUAUCACUCAUCAAACUAGAAGCACUACAUGCUAGAAAUCAUAUUCAAGACGCAAACUAAUAUCACACUGCCAACUUAAAGGUGUCCCGUUAUAUGUGACUGACGCAGGAUACACAAGAAGAGUAGUUUCAUGUAAGAACAUGGUGUGAUAGACAGAUAUAGUAUGUACCAAAAACAGGGAAGCGUGUCAUAUUCACACGUAUCAUGUGUAAGCUAAGCAGAUGCAGUUUACACUAAUUAGGAGCAAUACAAGCUAGACACCAUAUGCAACAUGCAUCCAGAUAUCACACUUCCAAGUUAGAGCAAGCACCUUGGAUGGUGGAGUAGGGGAGCGGAGACUUGGAACUUGUAAUACACUAGCUGUACAUGGUGAAUCCGUACAAAUGCUCUGUUUACGUUGCUGCAGAGGACCACCAUCAUCGCCUUCCUUACUCUUUUCCUUACUCUUUUUUUAUUUUGCCUUGUCAAGUCAAACCCACAAGAAAAAGGAAUAAAAUUUGCUCUUCAGAACUCAUUGAUGCAUGAUACUGACGAGCACUACUUUCAUGUAAGAUAGCCGCAUGAUAGGAGGAUGGAAUAUGUAUGAAAAACAGGACGGCAUGACAUAUUGACAUGUAUGAUGUAUAAAUUGUAAACUAAGCACAAGGUGUUUGAACUAGUUAGAAGCAAUGCAAACUAGAAACCAUACGAAAGAUGAAACCAAUAUCACUCUGCCAAAUUAAAAGGGUGGCCUAACAAAUGUGUUUGACCAAAUUAGAAGCAAUACAUCGCAACAGGCUAGAAAUAAUAUGCAAUAUGCAACGAAUAAAGGUGUCUCAUCGUAAGUGAUUGAUGCAGGAUACACAAGAGAGGUAGUUUCAUGUAAGAACAUGGUUAACACAUAGACGUAGUGUGUACCAAAAAUAGGAAGGCAUGUCAUAUUCAUAGGUAUAAUGUGUAAACUAAGCAGAUGCAAUUUACCCUAAUUAGAAGCAUUACAAGCUAGACACCGUAUGCAACAUGCAACCACAUAUCACACUGCGAAGUUAGAGCAAGCACCUGCGAUGGUGGUGCAGGGGAAGUGCGGUCUUCAAGUACAGAGCUACGUUCAAUAUCUUCAUUUAGGCUUGUUAUUUCUUGAGAAUCAUGUGGAGAGGAUGAAACUGCACUCCUUAUGAGAGUAGCGCGUCUCAUACUAACCCACGGGCGUGACUGUCUCAUCAUAAGCGAUAGAUGCAGGAUACAUAAGAACAGUAGUUUGAUGUAAGAACAUGGUGUGAUAGGCAGAUGUAGUAUGUACCAAAAAUAGGAAGGUGUGUCAUAUUCACAUGUAUAAUGUGUCAGCUAAGGAGAUGCAAUUUAACAAAUUAGGAGCAAUACAAGCUAGGCACCAUAUGCAACAUGCAACCAGAUAUCACACUGCCAUGUUAGAGCAAGCACCUGGGGUUGUGGAGUAGGGGAGAUGAGAUUUGGAACUUGCGCUGCAGUAGGAGUAGCAGGAGAAUCUGCAGAGAUCAUCUGUUUCGGUUGCUCCAGAGGACCACCAUCAUUCCGUGCCUUCGUCCUUUUAGAUUUCGCCUUGUCAAGUAAACACACAAGAAAAAGGAAUGAAAUUCGCACUUCCAAAUUCGUUGAUGCAUGAUACUGACGAACACAACUUUUAUGUACGGCAACCACAUUGUAGGAGGAUGGAAUAUGUACGAAAAACGCUAAGCAGAAGGCAUUUCAACAAAUUGGAAGCAAUGCAAUCUAGACACCAUAUGAACGAUCCAACCAAAAUUACUCUACCAAGUUAGAUGUGUCUCAUUAUAAGUGGCACUUCAACAAAUUAGAGGCAAUACAUGUUUGAAAUGAUAUGCAAGAUGCAGCCAAUAUUACAUUGUCAACUUGAAGGUGUCUCGUCAGAAGUGAUUGAUGAGGGAUACACAAGAAAAGUAGUUUGAUUAAGAACAUGGUUAAUAGAAAGACGUAAUAUGUACCAAAAACAGGAACGCAUGUCAUAUUCACAGGUAUAAUGUGUUAACUAAGCAGAUGCAAUUUACCCUAAUUAGAAGCAUUACAAGGUAGACACCAUAUGCAACAUGCAACCACAUAUCACACUGCCAAGUAGGAGCAAGCACCUUCGAUGAUGGUGUGGGGGAAUUGUGGUCAUCAACUAGAGAGCUACGUUGACUAUCUUCAUUUAGCCUUGCUGUUUCUUGAGAAUCAUGUGGGGAGGAUGACACUACACUCUUUAAACGAGUAGCGCGUCUCACAGUAACCCACGGGGGUUACUGUCUCAUCAUAAGUGAUUGAUGAGGGAUACAAAAGAGCAUUGGUUUGAUGUACGAACAUGGUUAAUAGACAUAUGUAGUAUGUACCAAAAACAAGAAGGCAUGUCAUUAUCAAACAUAUAAUGUGUAAAGUAAGAUGAUGCAAUUUAACCAAAUUGGAAGCAAUACAAGCUAACACCAUAUGCAACAUGCAACCACAUUUGACAGCGCGAAGUUAAAGCAAGCACCUGGGAUGGUUGUGUGUGGAAAUUGAGAUCAUCAACUACAGAGCUACGUUUAUUGUCUCCAUCUGGUGGCACCGCACCCUUUAGAGCGCUAAGACGCUUAGUGCUUAUCUUUGAAUUACACUGGAGCAACUUCUGUCUUUUCUUUUUUGUAUUCAUCAACACUGCGUCAGAGUCUGAAAUACCCAUGCGUAAAAAAACAAUAGUGUGAGUAUGGGUGAAGUGUGUGCACAAGUAGUACAAUGUAAAGGUAGCAGAUAGUAGGUCGGUGAGAAAUAAAUGACGGGAGACAUAUGAUAGCUCUACAACAUGCAUGACAGACGAAAUUACUAGAUUCUAGGAUUUUGAAAUAUGAGCACAGGGAUGGCUGGUAAAUGGAGAUGCUCCUCCAGCACACCACAAGGUGUGGUCCUAUGAAAAUAACAGUCGACUGAAAAAAAUAGGUCAGUCCAUUUUUUCUGCACCGUCCGAUGUACAAAGAAUGGGCAGAUCGCCUUCCUCUACCUCCAGCUAGUCAGUAUUACGAUCUUCCUCGAAACGCGAGCGACCACCGGCCCAAUCCCCUGCCUCCGCCCUUCCCUCGACCUCACUGCACCGCCGUGCUUGGCACCCCCCGGCCAUCCCUUCAAGCCCCGCCGACCUCCAGAUCGGGCGCAAGCAGCUCCUGUGCCCCACACCCAUAUGAUAGACACCGAUGUGCCGCUUCCCCGGCGAACAGGCAGACUAGGUGCUCCGCGCGCCUAAGCGGGUGCUGCUUCUUUUAAUUGCAAUUCGACUGACCCUGAAUUGAAAUCCAGGCGGGCUACUGACCUCUAGCAAAGGUGAAAUAGUAAAUGGGAGGAAACCUUGUGCAUUUAGUAUCACGAAGAAGAUGCAGUACGAAGCGCUCAACUAGUUUCUUUCGUGGGAUGAAUAUGGCGUGAGCAGAGACGUAAGAUUUGCACGAAUAAGGGAAGAGGAGUACCUCUUUCUGCUGGCAGUGUUGUGCCCUUCUUCUGUUUUUCCAACGAUCUUCUUGUGGUUCGCUGGAAAUGAGAAGUUGUAGAGGACGGUGGAGCCUUGGACGAACCCAUGGCCAAGUUGUUGAGUGUGGUGCGGUGGCCAUCGGUCGGCGGCGGGGAACCAGAUCCGAGGCGGCGAAUGACGGCGUAGCGGGAACAGCUCCGGUGCGGUGGACGGUUGCGACAGUGGAGUGGCAGCGGUGAGGCGCAGGACGGCGUGGUCGAAGUGGUUCUGGUACGGCACACGUUGGCGUCAGCGUCGUGCAGGCAGCUCAUCCUUGGCUUCAGCUGCUAAGUCCUUGAGGGCGUAGCGGUUGCGUUUGUGUUGGAUGAAGACGUCGGGGUACCGGCUCCGGCGUGAUGGAGGUGGGCGGCGGUGGAUUGGGCGCGAUGGGGUGGAGGAUGGAGGAGGCUGCGGUUUCGCGGCUGGUGGAGAGGGCGUUUUGGCGCCCACGGAGUAUGAAUGGGGAAACGGAGGGAGGGAGAACUAAGGGUGAAUAGUGUUUUGGUUUGGGACGCGCUUGUUCGAAAUUUGGGGAAAGUUACAAACUUUGCCCCCAUCUAAAAUUUUAGACAUAUUGCGGGUUCGGGGUAGGACAGUAAUCUCAGGUGUCCCAAAUGGUGGGCGGGAUAGAUCUCGGCCGAGCGCAUGUGUGUUUAGGCGCCCACGGCGUAUGAAUGGUUCUCAGAGGCGGUUGAGAUUAGCGUCUUGGUGAAGUUACAAACCUACCCCGGUUUAGACCUUUGGACAUCGGGCCGAUAGGCUACACGUGCCAGAGUCAGGACAGUAAUUUCCUACCACGAAACAUUAGUCUCGCGCGGUUUCGGGUGACCAGAGGCUUAUUUGGCGCUUCGUUCAAUAUUUGGGAGCAGAAGCAUUAACGUUUUCGGUUCUCUUGAAUUGAACUUUCAGGAUUUGUCAAACUUCACAAAUCUUUACUCUUGAAAAUCCUAAAACUACGAUUAUUGUGGAAUGGAGGGGGUACAUUUGAAUAUGCAUUGUACACGAGUAUAUAUUAAAAAAUAUGCAACUUACCUCAGUUCAUGCAUGGUUCCAGAUAUAAUCUCCUUGGUUGCAAAAAAUAGUUAGACAUGCAUAUGAAUAUAUAGCAUGUUCAAACGCACAACAAAGAUUGAUGCCCCCUUUUAGAUCUGAUUUACAAAUUCCAUUAUCUCGGGUUCAAAUAGAUCAAUGCACUUCCUAUGAAUUUGAAUCUUCAAAACCCCCUUUAUGUUGAAUUCAACAUGUAUUCUAUUUCGUAGCUAGCAAUUUGGAAUGUAUCCAUGUAAGUGACAAAUGUAUAAAGUGCUUCACACUAACAACAUGGAGUGCACUAAUUAAUGUUUAUAUAUGAAUUGCAAAAGCAAUGCAUUGCCUGUAUUUCAAACCGCUCUCACUCUAUGGAUCGAUAAUAUGAAAUAAACACAUGCACAUGUUAGAAUUCAAUAGAGUAUGGGUGUCUGAUAGACCAAUUUUCGUUCAUACACAAAUUGCAAAAUUCAUGAUCUCAUCCCAAAAUAAUAAUGCCAUUUAUAUUUUAAUUUAAUGCGUAGAACUGCCUUUUACACGUAGAUGCACUAUGCCUCGGCCCAUUCUCACAAACGUGCUAUAUAUCUCUCUAUCUAACGCAUAAAUGUGCACACUUUAUACACAUCGGCAUUUCUCUGUCACACAUGCUCACAAUCUCUCCCGGGGUGUCGGGGUGUCUCAUGCACAAACUCCCUUUGUAUCUCUCUCUCUCUCUCUCUCUCUCUUUCUGACUACUAUGUACCACUCUUUUCACUAAUCUCAGUUGGAAAACACUAUUUCUCUCACAUGCAUAUAUACACACGCACGGUCUCUACUAUCCCUCUAUUCGCACAUAUAUGUGCCUACGUGCCUCCCGCACGCACAUUAUCUUUAGGCCUCUCUCGCACACAUUGCCCCCCCCCACAGACACACCUCUCUCUUUGUAGUUGGCAGAUAUGAUUCCAUCAGAUCAUUCGGUAGGAUAUCCCUGACUGUUAGGCUGGAUGGUAAUAUGAGGCAAAGUUUUACCCAAGUUCGGACCCUUGCAGUUGAGGAAAAAGCCUACUCCUGGUACUAUAUAUUAGUGAUAGGGGUGUGUACAAAGUACACAUGAAUACCAGGCAUUGUGCGUGUGUGUAUACUUUCGACGAACUAGCCCCCAGGCUUCUAUAACAUACUCGGGGCCUAGGGUUACAAAUCAUAUAGUCGGCUUAUCACUAGUCGGGAUAGAGUCCUCCACGACUCUGGUAGCUUCGUGUUCUACGCCGAGUCCUCCACAUGGGUCUUCGUAUAAUGCGUCUCGGUCCAACCUAUGUGGCGCAGGAUGGAACCGACCCAUGAGUCCUCAUGUUGACCCACCACAACUAGAAAUGAUGUGCCCACCCCAACUAGAAAUGAUGUGCCCACCACACCACACACGCAAUCGGCCACUAAGAAAUAAGCAUAUACAAUAGUACAAUGUUAUACAUGAAAGUUAAUUGCAUGGUGCAUCCAAAAAAAUGUGUUCUGCAUUGUGAAUGUUUAUAUUUUCUCCUAAAAUAUUAGUCACGGGAAAGAGAAACGAAGGGCAUAUCUCACCUUGUCUCCACCGGACACCCCCUCUUUCUACACCACUUUCACGUACGCACACAAACUAUCUCUCGGCCCUCUAAAAGUAUGCAUGCCCAUGACACAUUCAUGCGUGACGGUCACUGUAUUUCAAGCGAAAGCACUAUACGGUCGAUGGACUUCAGAAUAUGCUCAUUACGGUCACCGUAUAUAUUCUCGUGGUGAUCAUACGGUAUCUAGCUCACGAUACGUCUCCGUAUUUUGUUGAUGACACUGACGGACAUUGUAUUUGAUGCGUGCUCCGUAUUUUGUCGACGACACUUACGGUCAUUGUAUUUGAAGCGAAAGCACGAUAUGGUCACUGGACUUCAUAAUAAGCUCAUCACGGUCAGCACAUACAUUUUGUGGUGCUAACCAACCUGUGGUUGGAUGGUUAGGAGGACAGUGGUUUCUCGAGCCCACCAGGGUUAAAGUCCUGGUGCUCUCAUUUAUCCUGGGUUAAUUUCUGUAUUUUUCCGGCGAUGUACGUUCAGUGGGAUGAGAUGUUCCACUCAACUACGAGGCACCUAUGGUGACUCCGUAAAAUCUCAAGAUCAUAUGCUGGCUCACUCUCUCGAAGGUGCUCAUAGGGGUAGGUUCUGCAUGUGUGCGCUUAUAGCGGUGAGUGCUUGUGCGUAUAUAUGAGCGCUUGCGUCUGUACCGUGUUAGAAAAAUACAUGUCGUGAUUAUACGGUCACUGGCUCACCCGUACAACUCCGUAUUUUGUUGAUGACACAAUCAAUUGACCAGUCAAAUGUUCCACGUGGUGCAACUAGUGUUGCACCAUCCGGGCGCGUAACCGUGGGGCCCACCUGUCAGCGCGUAUAUGAAAGAAAGAAAUGGUAGUUUGAGUCUGUACUGUGUUAAUAAAAUACAUUUAGGGUGAUCAUACGGUCACUAGCUCACCAUACAGCUCCGUAAUUUGUUGAUGACACGACCAAUUGACCAGUCAAACAGUCCACAUUCAGCAGCGCACAUUACCAUAGGGCCCACCCGUCAGCGCGUAUAUGAAGGACAGAAAUGGUAAUAAAUUAGUGGUCGAUGGGGAUUAGAAGUCUUGAGACCUCUGGUUGGCAGUCGCUAGCGGUGGGGGGCGCAGUGAUUGGGCGGCGGCGUGGGGAUCGCCGGAGAAAAAGCUCGGCGCGGGGGGGCCUAGAGGGAUGGCCGGGGCGGCGGCGGACCGGUGGUGGGGAGUGGUUUCAGGGCAGGCGGGGCGGCAUGGCCGCGCGGGCCGGCCACGGGCGGCGGCGGCCGGCAGUGGUUGGUGGCUGAGGGGGUGGAGGUUGAAGAUAAACUACAGGCCCUUGAUUUCGUAUCCAACGGCUGGAAAAUCUACUGACCAGAGAUGAAAAAGUCAGUCGACUGACGUGUAGCCUCACCUCGCACGUACACAUGCACGCAUGCAACACUCGCACGCAUGCAGGCGUGCAACACUGACACGUACAAAUAACAAACACACGCACGCAUGCAGGCGUGCAACACUGCCAUGUACACAUGCACUCACGAACACACGCACGUACACACACAUGCAUGCAACACUGAAACGUACACAUGCACGCACGCAACACUCGCACGCCUGCAUGCACACCGCACAUGACGCAAGACACACGCUCAACCUAUACGUGCACGCACCCUUUGUUAAGGACAUGGAUUGUUACGGGUAUUAAUCAAUCUUAUCUUUUUUGCAAGGUUUAAUCAAUCUUAUCUGUGAUAAGCAGAACAUUGAUGUUUGCAGCGGUUUUUAUGAAUCACAACGUAUCGAACGGGCUAUCAACGUAUAUAUGAAAAUUUUAAAAUUCUCUUACAUUAUAUAGUAGGCUUAUCUAGAUGAAAUAGAUGAUGUCACACUCAAUGAACAAUCAUCGGUGUAUGAAAUGCCCGCUUCUGACCGCCCUGGCCCACCAAAAGUUCCUCUGCCAUGCGCUGCCUGCGUUGGGUCACUGACAUGCAGGCCAUCUACCCAAAGAGCCCACACGUCAGUGGAAGAACGGCGCGGUGUCGUACGUCAGAGUCGAGGGCGCCACUCGAUGCACACCUGGCUGAACACGCCUCCUUGCCGCAUUCAAACGCCUCCAUGAAACCCGUGUGGAAGCCGAGAAACCCACUCUGGACACACGUCCGUUCAUGACCGGGCCGACAUUAAACACAAGGCCAGCCGAGCUCCUCCCGUCCGCCAUCUAAUUAAUCUCCUAUUUAAAUGAGGCCAAACGCCGGCCAGAAUCGCACCCCUCCGCCGCUCCCCUAUCUCCUCCUUCACCAUUUUGUCCACUCUUACAAUGGCUUACGAAGAGCAGUUAUCCCGCAUCCAAGCCGGCUUGGUGGCCUGCCGAGACCGCCGGAUACGAGCUAUGCAGCUCGCUGAUCCACCUCCCUCCCCUCACCCGACGGAGCCAGUUGUCGCCCCAAGCUGCCGCGCAGUUCAGCAACUCGCCGCUCCAGGCCAGCUCGACGAGGAGCGGCGCACGGGCAUCAUCGCUGCCGUCCACGCUGCCGCCUCGUACCGCGUCUCCCGUGUCUAUGACCGCGUCUCCUGUUUUUGUGGCCGAGACUCCCAUGCCGGCGACCGUGCCAUGCAAGCAGAGACAUAAGCCGGGUGCGUGGAGAGCGACGAGUCGGUGGCCAGCGCCUCCGCGUCCGCCGCCAUCAUCGAGGAUAAGUAGAACACGGGAGGUCGCCUCCGCUUGGGUCCCAUGAAGGCCACCGCGGAGGCAACGCAGGUGUCUUGCCAGAUCCUUUUGUUGCGAGGACCUUCGUCGACCCCGCAUGGGCUCCAUGGAAGCGGAGAAGCCCCCUUCCACCAUCAUCUUGGGCAUCAGCCAACCAUAUCAGUUGGGCAGCGAGGAAGCGAGCCGUCUUUUGCGCUGAAGCAUAUACCUCCAGGACUCCCGGCAGUCCGGUGAUCGUGCUGCCGGACAUGAGGAACACAAAUGGAUCGGCGGGCGACCAUUUAGGCCAGGUAUUAUAUACCUGUGCUGUCCAGAACUAGCACCGCUUAAUUGAUUUGAAUGUAAUGAAAUCCAUCAUGUUCGUAUGAAAAUCCGGUAUUUUAUAUGAAUUCCGUCAUUGUUUAUGAGAAAUAUCGCCGUGUUUGCAUGAAUUUCGUCCGGUUGGUUGAGUUGCUGUCAGAAUGUGUGUGGCUACGGUUGGAUAGCGUAAUAUGCGGGUCGCCGGUUGGUAUGCGGCCGGCUCGGGCGGCGUGGUGGGACAAAAAAAGCACAACUCGUUUGAGCUCGUCUCCAACGUGUGCGCUAGAGGAUGCAUGAGCACCCGAGCCAUUCCUCGUUCAUCGGUGGCAAAGGCACCGGUGGACAAAAGGGUCGUCAAUAUUUUGGCUACCCCGGGAAAAAUCCAAACAACCCCUCCCAGCGGAUUCAAAUCCCUCGUUCGCCGUGAAAUUUUGCCAUGUGUUGUUUUCAUGGACUAGCAAGAUGCCCGUGCAUUGCACGGAACAUCAAGAUGCAUUUUUUUACAAAACACCUGUUGUGAUUGACCCAUGCAGGAGUAAUCCCAUGUGUAAAAACUAAGGGAACUAAUGAUAUCUCAAGAAUUUUAUCGGAAAAAUGGUAUCUCGAGAAUUUCAUCAAAAAAAUGAUAUCUCGAGAAAGAUGAGAGAUAAGGUGAGGAGGAGUGGGGCGUGGUGGUGACUGGCGGUCGGUCUGGGUGGAGGCUUGGGGAUGGACGGCGCAUUAUGUCUAGGUUUGUAUCUCUCUCACACACACCCACGUAGGUGGGGGACGUGCACGAAGAGAAGAGGUGCACGCACGGCGCACGUACUCCCGUCUCUUUCCCAACCACACCCGCGCGGGUACACGGUGGAGCUCAUUUCUGUACAAAAAGGCAGCCCACGUGGUAAUUUGACACGUGUACUGGUUGUCCACUUGAUAGAGGACCGUCUACCACGGGUGAACAAACAAAUUGCGACUUGACGCGUCAUGUGGGGCCUACCUUAGAGGCAAGGUUCUAUACACUCGAGAUGCUCUGUACGUAUUACUUUUGAUGUGUCCCGUCAACUCGCAGAACAAGGAGAAGCUUGCUUACUACGCCGUCUCCCCCGCCCAUAGGCGCGGUGGCUCGCAGGACGAGGUGAAGCUUGCUUACUACUCCUAGAAACUACCUCCGUCCUGGUUUAUUGGUCUCCAUUAUAUAUUGUGUCAAAUUUUUACUAUAGAUUGAACUAACAAAAUGUUCGUGCAUGUUACCAAAAAUUAUAUCAUUGAAAACUAUGUUGAAAUACGAAUCCAAGAAUAUAAUUUUUGUUGACAUGCAUUAAUAUUUUGUUAGCUAAAUAUUUGGUCAAAAUUUGGCACGAACUACAAAGGUGGCCUAUAAACCAGGACAUAGGUAGUAGUACUACGCCUUACGCCCGCUCCCUCGCCCACGCGCGCGAUGGCUCGCAGGACGAGGAGAAAUUUUUACUACUCCCUCCGUUUACUCCUUGUCCCUACGUUGGUUAGAGAGAUUAUCAUAUUGUUUGGAAUAUAUGUCUUUUAGUAGUACUCCCUUCUUUCCAGUUUAUGGCUCAAUUUCCUUGGAGUAGUAUAUAGGAGUAGUACUACUACAGCAAUUUCCUUGGAGUCCGUGGUGCAGCAAGCUACCCUAGGCUAUGUUACUACUCCCUCCUUUCCAGUUUAUGGCUCAAUUUCAAAAUCUCUCCAACCAAGGUAGACAGUGAGUGGCGGAAUUAAUUUCGUUGUUUGCACAAGUAAUGUACGCUCUUUUUUCUCAAGAAGUUAUGUUUACCGAGGCAUUAAUUAGAACGAAUGCAUGCAUGAUCACUAAAUUUCCAUGAACUUCUACAUGCAUUGGUGAGUUUUCUCUUGACAAUGCUUGCAUCGGGUGAUUUAACGCACCUCGAAAUCCAACAUGUGAUGGUACUAGUACUAGUAGAAUUGAGACUUAUAAAACAAAAAAACAAUUUUUUUAGACGAGCCCUAUAAACCGGAAAGGAGGGAGUAGUAAGUAGUAUACUACCUCCAUAGUGGGUACGUACUCCGUAAAAUCAGAUUUUCCCAAAACUAAGUCGCUCAACCUUUAUUUGCUUGUUUUCCUUCCUGCCUCGUAGCCUCGAAUAGACUAUGCCAAACUUCCCUGCCUGUCGUGCGGGAAAAGAUCAGCCCUCGCCUUUUUUUAGUCCGGGUUUGUAUUGAUGGAUCACACGAAGCAGCAAAAACCAAGCCGUGUCUUGUACUCCUCUGUCAACGCUCGCUUUCAUGAAUUCCGUACUUCCUCUUGCCGACAUGUGGGCAUAUAGCAACCGGGUCGACGUGUCAUGCACCAAAUAACAGUGCAGAACGGCAGGGGGACGCACCCCAGUCGUACCGCCCAGUAGUAGUAAUGAGCAAUGAGAUGUCAAAUCAUAAUGUCGCACCUUCCCAGAAGGACGAAGCAACCAUUAUUUCACACUUCGCUUCGCCAUCAUCUCCUUCAAGAAAACCACGUAGUAUUGCUUCUGCCAUUGUUCUGCCUCAAGAGGGACACGCGCAUCGCCUUGGUACAUCAUGACACAUGGGACCGCAUGACAGGCCAUGCUCCCCCGCCCAUCGCUCGGUAAAAUCACCUCAUUUUUACUACUUCCUACGUAUUGGUUUACAGGGCAUGCAUGUCGUUCUAGGUUGAGAAUUUAAAUGGCUAUAUAUGUGAUGAACAGUAUAUGUUUAGAAACAACAUCCGCUUAAGAAUCGCAUGAUAUACUUUUUGUGACAUAGUAACUCAUAUUUAGUUAGUCAAAUGGAUGACCGAGAACUACGUGCGCGCCCUAUAAACCAAGACGGAGAGGGUAGUAUAGUAUGUAUCUUUUUAGAUCAGUAUAGUUGGGAUUCACCAAGGAGCAAAACCAAGUGGUAGGCUGCUCCUGUUGUGUUGGCGUAGCAACUCAAGCAGGGUCAGUCCGCACACGAAAUGCUGACACACUUAACAGGACCCCUUUAGCCGACAUGUGCUCAUCCACCGUCUUGUUCCACGUGCGAUGCACCAAAUUACAGUUCGGAGCAUCGGUUGGACUUGGAGGCACCCCGGUCGUAGCGCCGCAGUAGUAGUAAAUGAGCGAUGAGGGGUCAAAUCACAAAGCCCCACCUUUCCCGCAUUAAGCUGGACGGACGAAGCAACCAUCAUUUCACUCUAGGGCGCAAGAGCAUAAAGAAAACAGAUAAUCAAUGAUGCAUGCGGCAGCUACCUAGGGCACCCUAGGGUAGGGGCCUCCACUACAAAUCCAUUUUUAAGCGCCUCCACUACAAGUCCGCUUCUCCCUCGUCCUCUUGAAGAAAACCUAUGAUGCGUGCGGCGGUAGGGUUUGCAGGAGUACUGCGGCGUGCGAGGCCAUGUCGUAGUAAACGGGAGAGGGAUUGAGUUCGAGUCGACGCCUUAAUAUGUGUGGGCCGCUUGGUUUUACGAGAACGAGGCAUCAUUUUGGGUUCGGGGACCAGUGGAGAUAUACGUACAUACAAAAAAUUGUGGACGUAGGUUCGACCGAAAGGCAAUGAUGCAUGGCCCCUGCAUUUUGAUAUACCCGCGACCGCGUGAAAUUUGCUACUCUGCUAAAAACUAGUAAGGUACACAUGCAUUGAAUGCAUGAGAUUUGGAAACCAAAUUAUGAAUAAAUACACACUAUAGCAUGUAAAGCUUUGAGUCAUAUAUGCAUGAUGUAGAUGUUCGUUUAGUUCUUAUAGUUAAUCUCAUUCAAAAUCAAUUAGUUUUAUAAAAAGGGUGCAUUUUAAAGCAUAAAGUAAAAAACAAAUAAUGGAAAUUCAUUUAGAAAAAAAAGUUUGGGCAAUUAUGAUACGGAAGAUUCUAGAACAAAGGAGAAGUGCUUGUGUUUUGGGAAAGCAUGCACGGCCCACAUCUCUUAUUGGUUGAUAUGUCACGAAACAAGAAAUGAGGAGGGAGUUAAUGUACCAUGCCAAACUGUAUUGGGAUUAUUUGGUUUUCGGAAGAUGAUUUACACACCUUGACGGUGGGAGUACAAAGAGAAAAAAUGAAUUACAGUUAAAAGAAUGGCAUUUCUAACAGAAAAGUGAAUGUGAACUACAUAUGUGUGCACGUGACCAGCACAUACAUUGUCAAUGCAAAAUUUAAUGCAAGAAAUAACUUAUGAGUAACAUGCACGAAUUGAUGAUGUGGUGCUUGCAUGCAUAGAGUAGAAAAACAAUGUGAUUUAUGACUUGCAUGCAUGACGUGUUCUUGUGCCAUAGUUGCAUGUCUAGGAAAAAAGCUACUAGUGCGUUGUACUAGGUAUUUAGGAAUAGAAGAUGUAUACAUGGAAGUUGUAGGGAAAGAGAUGACAUGUAUCUCAAUUCCCAUGAGUAGGGAUUGGAAAAGAGAUGUCAUUUGGUUCACAUCAUAGGAACUUUUCUAUUGAAUCUAGAGAUGACAUGUAUCUCAAUUCCUAUGAGGAGGGAUUAGAAAAGAGAUGUCAUUUGGUUCACAUCAUAGGAACUUUUCUAUUGAAUAUACGCUAAUGUUUAUUUUUCUUUGAAAUUAUGGGAGUAUAUGAAUCCAUUCAUAUGAACGAAGUGGCUCUAAAGCUAUAAAAAUGAUAUCAUGUUUAUUUCCUUUGAAAUGUAGAGUAUAUGAAUCUAUUCCUAUGAAGCAAUUGGCUCUGAAGGAAAAAGUCCUAUAAAAAUCAUAUCAUAUAGAGUUCCUAUGAUAUUCCUCCACACCAAAGGAUGGUUGAAAUUGCUGCAGGUGAUACGACGGUCUUUCUUUCUAGACUCCUCCCCCAUCUUUAUAGUUACCUCUCGAAGAAGAAUGAAAUGAUAUAUACUGGGUAUUCUAUAUGUGCAUUUUGGUACACGAAAACUCGGUAAAAGUUUGCGAGGUUCGAAUUUUCAGUAAAGCUAUAUGCACUGCAUUUUGGAACGGAGGGAGGAGCAUACGGUAGUUGCUAACACUCACGUGGAAGAUUUGUGUGUAGGAGGAGUGGCUGCUCUAUUAAAUGACAUGGCAAAACUGACACUGUCGGAUGCUGAUCUAACGGUUCUUAUGGCGUUCGUCAGGAAACGGCUUGUGGCGAACGUUUGUCGGAUAAUGAUUUACGGACACAUGCAUUGCAUUGAUACGUGCCCCCUCUCUCUCACACACACAUGCACCCUCACGAGUCAUGACUCUCCUGAGUCCUCUCGCACCCACCGUCUAUCUGCAGGUAGACGUCACACACAUAUGUGCUCUUCACACCCUACCCUCAGAACUUCUAAAAAACAAAAGACAUCGCGCACCUUUUAUUUUAGCUCACACGUCACACACUUAUAAUAUUACUCUUGUGGCGAACGUUCUUUGGGCAUAGUAUAUUGUACUCUCACGAAAAGAAGCAGUGCACGCACGCACUAGUUCUCUCACACCCACUCGCGGGUACACAUAGGAGCGCAUUUUUUGAAGCUGGUACAACAAAAUCACUCCACUAUAUAUAUAAGCAGGAGCCUUAGCGCUUGCUUUACUAGGGUUCCUCUCUUUCAAUCUCUCAUGCUCUCUAGAUCUAAGCAAGACAUAGGUGGCCACACUCUCUCUCUGCUCACGGCUGGUCACAAAUCCGGCCGGACCACCUCGACCGGGGCAGGGGCGUAGGUGCAUUGUUCACGCUGUCGUCGGCGGCGAGGGAGGAGACCAACGGCUGCCCACGCGUCCCGAUCGGCGGCCGUGCCAUUCUCUUCGAGAGAGCGCCGGCUCAGGAGGGCCUCCGACCCCUUCUUCCUCCCUGCGGUAUUGUGGCCAAGAUGCGGCCUCCCGACGCCGUCUUUGCCACAUGCCGACGACCCUCAGGUAUAUAUUCCUUCGAAACCUGCCUUGCUCUACUGCCCCAGAUCCCCACGUGGCUGCGUGUGGAUCUUUUUCUACUUCCGUCGGCUGUUCCAAAGCCACCUAGACUUUUACUAUUAUUAGAGGUAAAGGUAGUUCGUACAGUCGAAUCUAAGAGUUGGUUCAAACAGGGAAGAAAGUGGGAAAACUGUAGCAUGAAUCUAGGACUUGGUUCUAAGAGGAAACGGGGAAAAGUAGUAGAUACUGGCUACCCAACCGGUUUAUUGGUUGAAAAGGCGAAGAAAGCAUGGUGGAUGGCGAAGGGUGGGGGGAAGUGGACCUGUCUCUUGGUUGAAAAAGGAAAGAAAGUGAGGGGUGUUGGGGGACAACGCAAAUGAGAAUGAGCAGGUCUAGAUUUCCUGUGCUCACAUAGGAAAAUGUCACCGAGGAGAUAAAAAAUGGGACAAAUGCAGACAUGUUGCCUGAAUGUUUGCCGCUCUCGGCAACCACAUCUGCCUCACCACUUUAUGCCCCUAUUGUCCCUACGACCAUAUCGCUAUCAUUAAUGUAAAAUCACAUGAAGCAUUAAGCAAUGCCACCUAAUGUCACUAUAAGUAAUGGUCUAGUGUCGUCGAUAAAUUGAAGCAAUGCCACCACCAUUUUAUGAAGUGCUUCCGUCUUGCUUUAUUUCCCAUGAAUUGUGUUGUUGCAGUUACACUUAAAUCUCACACCGCUAACAUUACUUCAUCCCAGUUGAACUGCACAAAUUUGAUUGCACAUUUACUGACCAUGUGCUACUCUCAUGACAAUAAUACUAAUGCUAUUGUUCUGCAUGUUAAUUUAGUGGCAGUGUUGAUGUGAUGUGAUGCUACUUACUUAAGGGCACUUUCAUACUGCCAGUCUAGUGCCAAUUAUAAUACAAUAGAUGUUGUUGUUAAUCAUACGCCACUGCAAAUAUUUGUCACUGUUUAAAUAACCGUAUUUCGUAUUUGCACAAACAGGGAUGUCUGUCUCCAUAUCGUUUCUAUCUUCCCAAUCAAAAGUACACACCUCAGUUUAGUACAACUGCACAAAGUGAGAUGGCUAUUCCUAGAUAUCGUCCUCUAACCACCAGUAUUCCAGGUAUUACUACAUUGGUAGUAACUAGGUAGAAUGACCAACGUAAUCUAAAAGAAGCUGAUUCAUUCGUUUUACUUCCUGAUUGCAGUGCAGGGACGAGCGAAAACAACUGCAUCCUAGUCCGGAAUUCACUUUCUACGAGGUGAUCCAUGGACCGAGGACUAGCUGGCACGGCUGCACGGAGGUUUUUGGGACAGGUGCGUCGACAAGAGGCAUUGUGGUCUGCUUAUUUAUGCAAAUAGCGGUUCUUAAAUUUAGUGGAAUGCACAAGAAUUUCAGCUGGUCAGUACACUACAUGGUUCAGUUCGACAUUCCAUAGUGAACUCCAGGAAAAGCAGGGGGAAAUUUAAGCCUGCCUAGGGAGGCCCUUUGCUCAGAGAAGCCUUGCUUGAUUUUUCCUGAUUUGUAAACCUUCUCACAACUUUGUCUUUAGCUGUGAACUAGUAUAUGUUUGUUAUGUUCUAUGAAUCAUUGAGAUGUAUAAAAUUGCUUAACUUAUGCUUUUCAAGUUUUUUAUGAAGCCGAGUUUAAUGUGAGUGUUCCACAUGAACGCUGGACUAGCGUGUGAACGUUUGGAAUUUACAUUGUGGCCUCAGUUAACUGCAUGAACCACUGUAACAAGAUACGUAGUUGCUUAUAUGUUAGACAGCAGAUUAUUGAUUGUUAGCUGGUCGAUAGCCUAGUGUUGAAGCGAGCUGAGCCAAUGUGCCGUGUUUUGCACAACUGCUUACAAGUGGGGUAGCACCAACAGUGUUUACAAGUACUUAUGUAUACGUCGGCGCACAUUUCUCGAACGAGUACUCUAUUUCAUCAAACACACACUGCUCGUAUGAUAAACAGUGACAACUUAUGUCUUACAUUGCCAUAUUCAUGAGAAAACUAGUAAGGACACAUCUGUUUCGGCAACAAUUAUGAUGGUUCUCACAUGAUUCACGGGCACACAAAAGUAGCAGUGGUUCCCAUAGAUGGAUUCAAACAGAGUACUAGCCCCUAAGGGCUCGAUAAUAGGCAAGGUUCGGAUAAGUAGACACAAUCCAAACUAGUAUUAAACACUAGCUGGGGCAACUAUUUCAUGCCUCGAUCUAAUUUGGGCUGGACACAAGAUGGACCUUGCCAUGAACAUCAUCGAGGACAUCCGGCAGCAGCUCAAUCCUGUGAACCUUCAUGAAGAUAACCUUGUGGCCUUGCCACUCAUAAACUUGUUUGUGGAGGCAUGCCACGUCAUCUUCCUGUGUAAGCUUGGCAAGAACAGUAUGCCUCACAAACGAAGGAAUAGCUUUGAACUUCUUGUGCUUCAGUACACCCUGGACAACACGCCUAACAACAAUGAGGCUGGAAUACAACUCGACAUCGGUAUAAGCGCAAAUGGCUUCCAGGAUCCAACAGCCUAAGAACUCUGUUUUCCCAGUUGUCGGUGUCAAAACCGGCGGAUCUCGGGUAGGGGGUCCUGAACUGCGCGUCUAAGGUCGAUGGUAACAUGAGACGGGGGACAGGAUGUUUACCCAGGUUCGGGCCCUCUCUAUGGAGGUAAUACCCUACUUCCUGCUUGAUUGAUCUUGAUGAAUAUGAGUAUUACAAGAGUUGAUCUACCACGAGAUCGUAAUGGCUAAAACCCUAGAAGUCUAGCCUAUAUGACUGUAUGUCUUUCCGGACUAAGCCCUCCGGUUUAGACACCGGAGGGGACUAGGGUUGUACAGAGUCGGUUACGAGAAAGGAAUCUUCCUAUGUAGUCGCCAAGCUUACCUUCCACGCCAAGGAGAGUCCUAGCCAGACACGGGAGAGAGUCUUCGGUCUUGUAUCUUCACAGCCCAUUAGUCCGGCCUAUGUCCAACAGGCCGGACACCCGAGGACCCCUUAGUCCAGGACUCCCUCAGUAGCCCCUGAACCAGGCUUUAAUGACGAGGUGUCCGGUGCGCAGAUUGUCUUCGGCAUUGCAAGGCGGGUUCUCCUUUCCAAAUACUCCAAGGUAGUCUUCGGAUGAAUGUGUCCGGAUCUGCAACGCGAGCACCACAAGAGAAUAUAAUAUUUUACGAGUCCAAUCUGCCGAUGACUUUUCGUAACAUGACAUCACGCUCGCCCGGACAUUAUUUUGAACCGUUUCCUGUCCUGCCGUUCCACGUUUCGAGGCGGGGUUUUUAUUGGCACGUCUUGUCGAAGCAGAUAUCGUGUCCCCUUAUCACGGGAUUCUUAUUAAUACGAGUGUGGGUAACCCUACCGUUCCAUUGGAAAGAUUCCUUAGGAAUAGGCAAGCUUCCAGGCUUUAGGAGGAGGCAUUCGAUACCCAUUGCCUCUAUAAAGGAGUCAAGGGUCAUUUCUAUUUACGCCAAACCUCUCCUCAACCUUUCCACCCUCAAGUUCUAGCACCCACGGUUCGACUCUAUUGCUUCAAGCUUCCCGGUCAUGUCCGGACCCAGUUCACAGGGCCGAUGGGCGGCUUCCUCUGUUGCAGAGGAGGAUAUUGCGAAGCUGCGGGCGGCCAGAUACCUGACAGCGGAGAUCCCCCACAGGCUUCCUGCUCAAGGACAGGUUAUUCCGACUCCCAGAUCCGGCGAGAGGGUCGUAUUCAUCUCUCACUUCCUCCGAGGGCUAGGGUUCGCUCUUCACCCCUUCGUCCGGGGGCUCAUGUUUUAUUACGGACUAGAUUUUCACGAUCUAGCCCCAGAUUCUUUCCUCCAUGUUUCGGCGUUUAUCAUCACGUGUGAGGCCUUCCUCCGAAUUCCCCCACACUUCGGCUUAUGGCUCAAGACCUUUAGCGUGAGGCCAAAGGUGGUCGACGGGAAACAAGCGGAGUACAGCGGCGCUGCAGUGAGCAAGCUUACCAAUACUCUCUGGCCAAAAGGCUCUUUUGCCGAAGCAUCUGACCAAUGGCAGCGCGAGUGGUUCUACGUCACCGAACCCCGUGGUACCAAGUGGGCGGCCAUACCUGCGUUCCGUUCUGGCCCUCCAUUGCAGCUUGCAUCAUGGAUCAAUAAGGGACUGGGGAUCAGUUGACGAAGUGCAGACUUUAUAGAGCCGCAUCCGAACUCUCCUUGAGAAGGACAUCGACCUUGUCAACGUGAUUCAAGUAAUGCUAGUCCACCGAGUCCUGCCAUGCCAGCGUAGGCCUCUUCGCCUGUGGGAGUUUAAUCCGUAAGGACCACGGACCCUCCAACACUUCUUCGGCACUACGCACAAAGGGAUGUGGAAGUUGUUUUUCGGGAAACGGAAACAGUGGCCGGACACCACCGAGGACAUCGGCCUCGACUGCAACCAUCCAGAUACCUCGGUAAGCGCUCCAUCCCCGAACACUUUGUAGUUAAGCAUGUCAUAAUAUGUUUACCGAGCAAACUAUCUUCUUCCAGGGCUGGGUAAAUAAAGCGGGGCGAAUUCGGUGUUUGGCCCCCCUCCCCGAGGACUCCGCAGAUCCCGUACUAACAAGGAUGCUGGCCCCGGCACCGUACCAGAUGCCUGUGGAGGAGGACAAGGCGGAAAGUGGGAGGACCAAAGGCGGUCUUCAUCCCGAAGGUAUCCCGAACGUUGUGCCCGGGGGAAUAAAAAUUCCCUCGUCCGAAGACAAAAGUGAAGGAGGAGUUGACGUCUCUUUGCCCCAUGGAAAGAAAAGGGUUGCCUCCGAAGAUUGGGAGAAAGAGGCUCCUAAGCGAGGCAAGAUGCCCCAGUCGGGCGGCUCGGGCUUGGAGGAUGGCAUCUUUGCACGGUCCCAUGAUAAGGGCAAGCCUCCAGCCGAAUCGUGAGUGGCCUAGGAUGUUUUAAACAUAUCCCGUUCCUUUCCUGGUACCAGGUAACUUCUAAAAUAUAUGUUUUCGCAGCUCAGAAAAUAGUCUUCUUCACCAAUCCUCUUCUUCGGGAGAUCUUCUCCCAGAGAUGAUGGAAAGAGAGACACCUCCACUGGUCUCCUAUCCUAAUAAGGCGGACGAUUUUGAGGUGUCGUCCCGGAGGACCUCUGCUGAUCAACAAGUGGUGCGAGGGGUGAUGAAGACACCGCCCAAAGGUGAUACUUUGGUAGCCCAGGAUCCAGGGGCCAACAAUAAACCCCCCGGACUGUCCGGUUUACAACCGGAGACGACUUUGGGAACAGAUGAGUGGAUCCCUUCGAAGGGAGGCCGUACUCCUGCAGCAGCUUCCGGAGGUCCAGAAGCGCCGAAUAUAUUGACGAGCAUGCUGCGACAGGCGUCCGUCUCGGAAGAACAUCGUACCUUGAUGGGUAUGGUGGUUGAAAGCACUACAAAAAAAUACACUUCCGUGAUGAUACGUGUUUGUCACAGUAGGUCACGUUUUCUGUCAUGCAUGUACAUCCAUGACAAAUUUAUGACAGAAUCAAGAUAGUCAUACCUGUGCUGUCGUAGAAGUGUUCCAUGACAUUACCAAAAUUAUCAUCACGGAAGUGUCCACUUCCAUGACGAUAAAUCGCGCGUCACAGAAGUGCUUUCGUGGCAUCCACCGUAACGGAACGCCGUUAAGCUAUCGGGUCCGGUUUUGGAUCCGAUAACCUGAUAACAGCCCGGACCAAUGGGGAUUUUCCACGUGUAAAAUCAUCAUUGGCCGGAGGAAACACGUGUUGCCUCACCGUUGGGACAGAUGUCAUCCACUCAUUGGACAAGAGGCGCCUAUGACAGGUCGACACGUGGCACGGACCAACAGUGGCCCAUUCCGGCGAAAAAGGCCGGCCCAGUAAAAAAUAGCAGGGUGGCCCAUAUAAGGCCUACUUGUGUCAGGUCCAUUUAAGCCCACGGCCCAUACGAGAUGUGCCAAUUCGGCCCGUCAACGGCCCGUUAAUGAUUUGACACCAUUGCAGCACAUCGUCAGUUCGAGCCCAUUAACAGCCCGCUAUAUAUUUGGGCUCAAUAUCGGCCCGAUGAGAUUUCGGCAUGUUAACGACCCAUUCAGCGGAUGGGCCAAUUUUCACGAUGUACAUCUUUUGGCCUUUUAGCGACCCAUUUAAAUAUUGGGCUAAUUUCCGGCCCGGUGUGUCUUUCAGCCUGUUGACGGCCCAUAAAUCAGUUGGGCCAUUUGUAGUCAGACCUGAGUUUCGGCCUUUUAGCGACCCAUUUAAGUGUUGGGCCAAUUUCCGGCCCGGUGUGUCUUUCAGCCUGGUGAUGGCCCAUAUAUUUGUUGGGCCAUUUGUAGUCGGACCUGAGUUUUGGCCUUUUAGCGACCCAUUUAAGUGUUGGGCCAAUUCCCGACCCUGUGUGCCUUUCAGCCUAUUAACGAACCAUAAAUGAGUUGGGCCAUUUGUAGUCGGACCAGAGUUUUGGCCUUUUAACGGCCAUGCCCUUCAUGGUCCAAUACCAGCCCGGUUUCUCUUUCGGCCUGCUAAAGGCCCACAACACAGUUGGGCCAUUUACAAUACGACCUGACUUUCGGCCUCUUAGCGGCUCAUGCUCUUCAUGGUCCAGUACAAGCCCGCUGUCUCUUUCGGCCUGCUAAAGGCCCACAGUAUAGUGGCCCUUAUGUACCCCGAACUUAGUAACGGCCUGUUAACGGCCCGUGAAAUCAAUUGGGCCCACCUAUUGCCCGCUUCGAUGUCAUGCUGUUAACGACCCGGGAGUUAAGAGGGCCGACCAUUAACUUUCAGCCUGGUAACGGCCCAUUAACUUAAUGGGCCCACUAAAGUUCGUACAUGUCUUUAGGCCAAAUUAGAUAAUUUGAGCCCAUUACGACGAGCAAUUAUGCACAGGACCAAAACCGAUCAAGCAAACGUACGGCAUACAGGGAAAAACGUUGCACAUCCAGCAUAUAUUACAGGAAAUUACAUCCACUGGGCAAUCAAAGAUUGAUGCCAGUGCAAAUAAAUGAACACAACCUAACGAUCUACAACGUCACAAUCUGCAACCUCAGCACGGAUGACGCCCAUAAGCAUGUGGGCAAGUUCUUGCUGCUUUGCUACACUGUCUCUGAAAACAUUAAUCAGUUGUUGUCUCGCACGACUCUGCACCUCUGAUUCAUCCACCAUUUCCAUCAUUCCUUCAGCCAUUAAUUGGUUCACAAACAUACAUUUUUUCCGUUGCAUUCGAGAUAGAGGAUACUGAACAGAUUCAGAUGGCGAUUUUGGCAGGCUUGUAUUAUUGAUAGUGGAGAGUGUCUUGACCACUGCAUCAUAACAUAAAUUAGGAGGGGAACCAAACAUAUUAAUCAUGAGUUAUUGGCAUAUUACCUGGCCUAGAUUUAUUGGAAAGGAACAAUGGGGUUGCCUUGCUGUUUUCAGAGUUUGUCUUCUUAUCUUCAGCAGCCUCCACCAAAUUAAGACACUAGCAUUGCUAUCAUUGGCCAAGUUAGAUAACAGGAAAGCAACAUUGGCACAACGAACGUUUGGGCAACUAGCCAACACCAAAUUAACACAAUAUGGCACAGCUAUCAUCAGCCAGGUAAGGUAAUACGAAAGCAACAUUGACACAAUGAAUGAAUGGGUAAGCAGAGCAGCACUACAAUUCAGUAAUGUGCAUGAUAUGAGAUAGUACACUCAUGCAGCUCAGUAUGCAAAACUACCAGGCAGUUUUCUUUACAAAAAUCAACAUUGGCGCCUUUAACAUUUUGCUACAACUAAUUUUAGAUCAGACAAAGGUUGGAUUCACGCCGAUUAAAAAAAUACACGUUGAUGUAAAAAUAUAGUGAUAUACAACAGGUACUUACAUCAGUAUUGGAGCACAGAGAAUUCCCGCAAGAUAUUUUCCUCGAAUGCAAUCCCAAUGAAGAAAAUCCUCUAUCAUUUAACCUUAUUUUCUAAAAGAGAGAUGGGUAAGAAACAUGUAGAAAAUAUGAUCAGAAUGCUAUAAAAUUUCAUGAUGCGAGGAUACGCACACGCUUCUUAGAAUGGAGUUGACAUUCUUUUGCUGGACUGGAGCGGACUAGUUCUUUGGCCACUGGAAUCUGCUUAUUAUCAGUGGGAGUUGGGUUUCUCUGUGCUGGAGCAGUAUCUAUGAAAAAUGGAGUUGGUUUAUUAUCUCAUGGCGUUUGGAUCUUUUGCAAAGACCUGGUUUGUAACCCUUCAGAUUCUAACAUAACCGUCUUCCCCUUGCAUGCCUUAUAUAGAAGAAUGGUGCUUCAAUUAUAAAACAUGCUACAGCAAAGAUGGAAUAGGUACUCAAGAAUAGAAAGGCAUGACAUAUUGACAUGUAUUCCCUCCAUCCGGAAAUAAAUGGAUGGGUCUAGGCGCAUUUCAGUUCUAGAUACAUCCAGUUUUAUCCAUUUCUACGACAUGUAAUCCGGACGGAGGGAGUAUGAUGUAAGAGCUAGGGAUACGACAGGACAACACAGUAAAAAAACACUGAAAACCCAUUGCAGAACCAAAGUAAUCAAACCCACUGAUAUGAGAUAGUACACUCAUGCAGCUCAGGAUGCAAAACUACCAGGCAGUUUUCCUUACAAAAAUCAACAUUGUGGCCUUUAAUCAUACAUUUUGCUACAACUAAAUUUAGAUCAGAUAAAGGUUGGAUUCACGCCGAUUAACAAAAUACAUGCUGGUGUAAAAAUAUAGUGAUAUACAACAGGUACUUACAUCUAAAUUGGAGUACAGAGAAUUCCUGCAAGAAUCUUUCCUCACAGACGAUACCAGUGCAGAAAUUCUUCUAUCUGUUAAGCUUAUUUUCUAAAAGAGAGAUGGGUAAGAAACAUGUAGAAAAUAUGAUCAGCAUGCUAUAAAAUUUCAUGAUGCAAGGAUACGCACAUGCUUCUUAGAAUGGAGUUGACAUAUUUUUGCUGGACUGGAGCGGACUAGUUCUUUGGCCACUGGAAUCUGCUUAUUAUCAGUAGGAGUUGGGUUUCUCUGUGGUGGAGCAGUAUCUAUAAAAACUGGAGUUGGUUUAUUAUCUCCUGGCGUUUGGAUCUUUUCCAAAGACCUGGUUUGUAACCCUUCAGAUUCUAACAUAGUCAUCUUCCCCUUGCAUGCCUUGUAUAGAAGAAUGGUGCUUCAAUUAUAAAACAUGCUACGGCAGAGAGAUGGAAUAGGUACUGAAGAAUAGAAAGGCAUGACAUAUUGACAUGUAUUCCCUCCAUCCGGAAAAAAUAGAUGGGUCUAGGCGUAUUUCAGUUCUAGAUACAUCCUUUUUUAUCCAUUUCGGCAACAUGUAAUCUGGACGGAGGGAGUAUGGUGUAAGAGCUAGGGAUACGACAGGACAACACAGUAAAAAACACUAAUGUAAAAUUGUAUGCUAGCGGAAUACGUACAGAAAAAACUAAGGCAGCAUACACGUGUAUGAUUGGGAAACUAAGAUGGCAUUGCAACAGAGCACUAGAACAACACUUCAAUGUAAAAAAACAUGGUAUGGUAGACAGAUGAAGUACGUACUGAUGAAUAACAAUGCAUAAGAUAUUCAGAAGCAUGAUGUCCAAAUUAAGCAGAUGGCAUUGUGAUAGAGUAGAAUGACAGUACUUGAAUUUGAAAACAUGUUAUCAUGAAUGGAAUAGGUACUGAAAAACAGGAAGGCAUGACAUAUUUACAUGCAUGAUCAGCAUGCUAAGCACAUGGCAUUGCAACAGAGUACAUACACUCCAGGACAUUAUAUGCAUGUUGUACCCAUAUCACGGGCCAAGUUAGAGCAAGGACCUUGUGGGGUGAAGAGGAUUCAACAUCUUUCUGCAAGUCUUCUGAAGAACUGCCUUUACAUGUUCCAUCAUAUUGGGUAUCAUUGACAUCAAGUUUAUUGGCCUUUACAUUGCUCCGUGAGGUUCUUGUGGAUAUAUCAGUGUGUGCAAUUAUAUCUGACAUGCAUGGAAGACAACUAGUAGUUAGAUUUAUGUAAUGAGUGCCUGUAGGAGACGACAUAAAUAGUAGGACUGGGGUUAACUAGCAGCAACAGGUCUCAAAAACUAAAGGGAGAACACAGAUGAAAGCUACAGAAUAUGUAUCGUUUGUACUCGAGAUUAACUAGAUGGCACACAAAAGUAUUAAAGAACAACAUAGGUAAUACUAGAAGUGGUACAAUACUAUAAUCACCAGCCUGUGGGAUAGCAUUGGCUGAUGGAUGAUAACUAUGGAACAACGUUACCUAAAGAACAAGUAUCUUAGCUGAACUAUGGAACAACGUUAACUCCUGAACAAGACCCGUAAGAGAUCAGCAUGAAUAUACAGUGAAAUGUGAUAAUCUAUUUUCCAUGCUUAGAUGAAUAACAAAGCCAUAAAUGUUGCACACAAGUAAGAUGAGGGUACAACCUAACUGGCCGCCAUCCAUAGGAGUGAGCAUCAUGUGCUGACUUGUCGAUGGCCCUGCAGUUGUUGUGGUUGUCCAUGUCGGGCACGCGCAUUCGAUGCAGGGAACUGUUGAGUGGGGACUAUAGCUCCCUUCUGGUGUAUACUUACCUUGUUGGAGCAGCUGUGGUGAGUCGGAAGACGGUGUGGCUGAAGAUGCAGAUAACGCAUAAUGUUAAGAACGACACAUCUCUUUGAUCUGAAGAAAUACACUAAGAGAUCAACAACAAGGUACGAGAGUGGUCACACGUCUGUUGACUGAGACUAAAUUGGGGUCACACGAUUUUAUUUUAUUUUGGUACUGUCCGAUCUACGCCAGAUGGCUUGAUGGCCAUCUUGUGCCUCCCGGCUGACACUGUUAGGAAUCUUCCCCGAAGAGCUAGCGACCAACAGCAGAGCAGCUUGCCUCUGCCGUCCGUGGCCCCGGCCAAAACCCCGCUCCCCGCCCCACUGCACUGCCGUGGUUGCGCCACCCCCAGGCCAAUCCACAAAGACUCCCCGUCAUCCAGAUCCGGCGACGGCAGUACCUUGAACCCAUGCAACUCUAAGAUAGCCAUAUAAGCACUGCUACCGCGGCAAACUUGCGGCCCCGCACCCUUACGUUAGACACCAGCCAACCGGCAGCCUAGGAGCUCCGCCGCCUCGAGGGGUGCUGCUUCCCAUUGGGAAUCGAUUGGCCCAAAAUAAAAAUUCAGAUAACUGACGCCUAAAUAAAGUGAUUUGAGAUGAGGGUGUGACCUAUCUGGCGGCAUGGUGAAGUAGGCAGGUCCAGCUGCCGAGUCGGUGAGGCCGGCUCGGUUGUGGUGGCCACCGGCGGCAGGGAAACAGCGAUGUCGCGACGGUCUAUGGCCUCGGGGAAGCAGCGCCGGGACUCUGGACGGAUCUGAAGUUGGAGCCGCUCUGGCGCCGUGAACAACGGCAGGGGUGAAUCAGCUCCGGUACGGUUCACGCGGCUGUCAUCGAGGCAGCUCCAGCAGCACGGAGUAAGAGGCACACGGCCCAGUGCACGACGGCAAAUGGACAGCGUCUCCGGCAUUAGGGAGGAGGGCAGCUGUGAAAUUGGUGCGGUGGGGGCGCCAUGGAGGAGGGGCUGAGGUUUCGCGGCUCGGGAGAAGGGAGCUUCCGGGGAGAAGGUGAUUUGGCACCCAUGACGUAUGAAUGGGGGGAAUUGGGAUAUGGACGCAUUUGUCUGAAAUGUGAGGGGGAGUUACAGUCCUACCCCUACCUUUAGGCUUCUCGGCUUGGGUCUGUGUACUGAGGGUCGGGGAUAGUAGAGUAACUUUGCUUCUCCCCAAAUAGUGGGCGGGAGCGAUUUCGGGCGAGGAGGGCGUGUUUUGAAAUAUAGAGGGCGCGAGCGAUUUCGGGCGAGGAGAGCGUGUUUUGAAAUAGUGGGCGCGAGCUAUUUCAGGUGAGGAGAGCGUGUUUUGCCGACCAUGGUUUAUGAAUUAUUCGGCACAUGUCAUUUCGGCCGAGGAGAAGGCGCGCUUGGAUGAAGUUACGAACCUACCCUCGAUGCACAAUGGGCCAAUUAAUGCGUCUCCCGCAUAGGACGGUAAUUUCGCGUCUCCCAUUUAUUUGCUCGGGCGAAUUCCACCGAGCAGAGGAUGUUUAACGGUUCGUUCAAAAUUUGGGAGAACGAGCAUCCACGUCUACCUUACCAAGUCGAUUCAAAUCAAAUUUAGAAAUAUUAGCUUGCCACUUCUUUUUUAGAUGGAGAGAUGAUGCUCGGGAGUAAUGUGUUUUUACAUGCUCGUUGCUAGCGAUUUACUAUAUGACAAAUAGUUGACCCACUCAAAAACAGGAAUCAAACCCAAAAUGAAAUAUCUCGAUUCAAUGAAAUAGCUCGUUCACCAGGUCAAAAUAGUGAACUAAAUCCAAAAUUGAAAACCUCAAUCGAAUAGCAUAUUGUACAGUAUUAUAGUACUCCAUGAACAUGUUGAAAGCCAAAUUAAUGAACUUGUUUGAUAUACGCAUAUAUCCGUUCAUGUGUGGAUUGCAGACAACAUGUUCUCCAAUUUAAAUAUUUGAAUGCAUGUUUAUAUCGAAACAUGGUUUAUAUCAGUCUUUGAUGCAUAAAACAUGACCUCCCCCUCUCCCGGACUCCUGCUCUCUCUCUCUCUCUCGCCGACAAUCUUCAAUUCUGUUGCACGCAUCCAACACACAAACCUUGUUGGUCCUCUCUCUUUAUCUCCAUCUCUCUCUCUCUCUCUCUCUCUCUCUCUCUCUUUGUGUGUGUGCGUGGGGGGGUCUUUCUAGUUCGCAUGCAUAUAUACUCCAUCUAUAGGUCUCUCUCGCACACUAUGUAUGAUUCUCUAGUCCAAGCUAGAUAUCUUGGGUGCACUCAUCGUACGCACACAAAUUCCUUGGCUCGUUGCCCGUAACUCUCUCACGCACCACUCUAUCGUCUCGGAGCUCUUCCCCCCCUCUCUCAAACUCUCCAUCUACCUGGGUCACACAUACACAUGCAUAUCUCACUCGCACUCGAUAGGCCCAUCUAAAACUCUAUCCCUCUCCCUCGUUCUCUCUCCAUCUCACACGCACACACACACAAUCUCAUGCCUAGCUAGCCAAGUAUGAUGGUAUCUCACUCAAUUGUAGGCAUACGCAGUCCCCCCUAUAUGUAUAUGACUAGCUAAUCUUAGUCUCCAUCACAAACAUGUGGAUGGUCUAUCUCGAUUUCUCUCGGGGCAUCUUUCUAUCGCGCACGCACCUCCCUCGAUCUCCCACCCAUAUAGUCCCCUCACGAUCUCGAGGGGGUCUCUCUAUCACAAACACACCCUCUCGCCCUCCCCAUGCAUCCAUGUUAUCCAUGUGUCCCUCUCGACCUUUGUUCCUUGUUGGCCAGACCUCUAUUGGACAUGUACUUAUUAGCUAUCUUCGUGUAUCUCCUCGCCUCGCUUUUCUAUCUCAGAGAUGCAUGCGUGAUAUGUUCGCCUAAGAAACGAAAAAACACACACUCUCUCUAAUUUAUCGUUUGUUGUCACUUUCUCUUUCACACACGUACUCUUUUUGCACACUUACUCAUUCUCCUUCACACGCACUUGAUCCCUCUCGACUUAGGCACUCUCCUCGGUCCAUAGCAUAUUGAUUUAUUGAAAAGUCAAACAUCACAAAGUUUGACCAUGUACGUGGAGAAAAACAAUUACAUCUGGAACGGCAAACAUAUACCAUUAGAUUCACCAUGAGAUGUAGUUUCGUAUGAUGUAUAUUUGGUAUUGAAGAUAUAAAUAACAUUUGUGUAAACCUGAUCAAAGUUUCCAAAGUUUGACAUCUAAAAAAAUUACAUGCACUGCAUUAUCGAGCAGAUGGAAUAUCCCUUUCCCCCUCUCAGCUAUCUGACGCACCACUCAGCCUUAUCGGGGCUCCUCAAUCUCUCUCAAACUUUAUAUCUCCCUGGUUCACACAUACACAUGUCUCGCUCGCGCUAUACAUAUAGACCCAUCCAACACUCUCCGCCCUUGUUCUCUCUCUAUGUUACACGCACCCCCCUAAUAAGUACCAUAAUCCCUCACUCCAUCAUAGGCGCAAGCACCCCCCUACGUAUGAUUAUCUCUCACUAGCCAUCAGGAACACACGUAUUGUCUCCUUCCGUCCAUACGUCUAUCUCGAUAUCUCUCGGGGUAUCUUCUAUCGCGCACACACCUUGUCACUCGAUCUCCCACCCAUGUAGUCCCAUCACGAUCUCCAGGGGAUCUCUCUAUGACAAACAUACACUCUCUCCUCCCCAUGUCUGCAUUUUCUCCGUACGUCUCUCUCGACCUCUCUCCCUUGUUUGUCAGACCCCUCUUUGCCACGUGCUAGGGGUCUUGCUCUCUUGGUUGCAAACAACCACACACUAUCUCCUCACCUUGCUUCCGUUGUCAAAGAUGCAUGUGUGAUAUGUUUGCAUAAGACACACACGUUUUUUCUCGACUUUUAUCGAGUGUUGUCCAUGUCUCUUUCACACACGCACACACACUUUUUUCACUCACUCUUUCUAUUUCACUCUCUCUCUCUCUAGUUAGGGACUCUCUCACGUCCAUAAGCAUAUGGAUGUUUUGAAAAGUCAAACCUCAGAAAAGUUUGACCAGGUAUAUGUGGAGAAAAACAUUUACAUCUGGAAAGAUCAUUAGAUUCAUCACAACAUGUACUUACUUCAUACUAUCAUUUAUCUUUGGUAUUGUAGAUAUAAGUAAUUUCUUUAUAAACUUGGUCAAAGUUUCAAAAGUUUGACUUUAAGAAAAAUGUUGGAACUACAUUAUCGAACGGAGGGAGUAGCUCUUUCUCUCUCUCUCUGCUAUCUCUCACGGGCCUCCCCUCUCACACGAACACUCUAUAACGAUGGAUUAUACGCUCACUGUGUUAGCGUAUAGCUCCGUAUAUUGUUUAGUUGACCGGUCAACCAGUCCACAUGCUGCCUUGUCAGCUCGUGUUCUGUAUCUUCGUGUGUUGGCCCAUGUGGCAGUGGGUGAAAAUAAGUAAACUAGAGGCCCAUCUGACACGCAGUGAAGUAAACAAAGUUGAAACCACUCGGGGUAGCACCCCGCACGCUAGUAAAUUGAAGGUGCAUUGAGGACACACUUCUUCCGCGUGGAGGAUGCACUCGCGCACAAUUCACCACUGCGCGGCGGCAUGCACAGAAGGACGCACUCGCGCACACCCAGCACACAACACACACCAGCACACGUGUACACCGGCGUCGCCGACAGUUGAGAUGGACGGCGAGGCAGCCAACAAGCGGAGGCGGCUCGAGCCAAAACCGCAUCCGGUGAGCCUGGACUUCAUCAGCAGCCUCCCCGACGACAUGCUGCUCGUCAUCAUCGGCCUCCUCCCCACCAAAUCUGCCGUGCGGACCGCCCUGCUCUCCCGGCGGUGGCGCCCCCUCUGGCGCCGCGUCCCCCUCAACCUCACCGUCGACAGCUGCCUCUGCGACGGGGAUUGCAAACGCAUGGCCGCAGUCUCCAAGAUCCUUUCAUCGCACCCUGGGCCAGCCAGACGCCUUGACAUCCGCAUGUUCAGUACCAACUACAAGGUCCAACCCAAGUUUGACGAGUGGUUCUUAUCCCCGCCCUAGAUCAGCUCGAGGAGCUCAGCUUUGAAGCUGGACGAUGUUGCUCUCUGCCGCCGUCCGCGCUCUGCCUCGCGCCAACGCUGCGCCGCGCCAGCUUCGGCUCCUGCUAUCUUCCCCGGAUUAAUGUCACGCCCGCCCUUCUUCUCCCUCAACUCAAUCAGCUCGACCUCUUCGACGUUGUCAUCUCGAAGAAGGCUAUGGAGCACCUACUCCGCAGCUGUACUGCGCUCGAGUACCUUCGUCUUGAUCAGAUCCACGGGUUCAUUAGCCUCCACAUCGCCUCGACGAAUCUUCGAUGGAUUUAUGUGUCUUGCUGGCCCCGCAACAAGACAUCAAUUGGGAAGAGAUCACUCCAGUUGUUCCACGUUAUGGUCAUUGAGAAUGCGCCUUUCCUUGAGAGAUUGCUUGUACCGGAUCAAGAAGGUCCAACAAAAAUCAGGGUCAUUGACGCGCCGAAAUUGACAGCGUUGGUGCACUCGUCUGCCAAAUUCUCCGAACUCAUUAUUGGAUCCGUAAUCAUUCAGGUACAGCACUCAUCUUCUUCUCUGUCUUCUUGAAAUUCACAUUUUUAAAUUUCUUCUUGAUGUAUUUACGACCGUCUUCCAGAAAAUCAUUCCCACAAGCUUGACCCAGUCUAUGCGCACAGUGAAGAUCUUGGCAAUAAAAUCUAUCGGCCCCAAUCUGGAUCAAGUUGUUGGAUUCCUUACAUGCUUUCCGUGCACGGAGAAGCUACUCAUCGAGGUGAAACUUCUUUCCUAUUAGUAAACGGUAAUCACAACGUAGCUCAAAUUUUUCGUAAUUUCCCAAAUUACGAUGACAAGUGUAGUGUUCAAAACGGCAUCUACGCAUUGCACCAAAAGAAAUGUUUUUAGUAUUUUUUUCUCACGUGAGCACCUGCAUCGUUUUGUUGUUGUACUACUAUAGUAGCCUAGGCUAGUCAUAGUGGAAAGUAACUUAGACUACUCCAGUAACUCUAUGGUUACCCUAAGAGCAAGUACUACCUCCAUCCUGGUUUACUCUUCCUAUUUUGUAGUAUCAAAAUUUGACCAUAGAUUUAACUGACAAAAUGUUAAUGCAUGUCACUAAGAACUAUAUCGUUGGAUUCGUAUUUGAACAUAAUUUCAAAUGGUGUAAUUUUUAGUGACUUGCAUUGGCAUUUUCUUACAUAAAUAUAUGGUCAAAAUUUUAUAUUAAAUAAGAGGUAGUACAAAAGUGGGCUAUAACGGCCCUCCACUAUGUAGGCCAAAACACGUGCCAAAUUCACUUGUGAUGCAUUUGGCAUCGAUGCCCCUCCAUUGCUCACCUGGUGCCCCAAUCUGGAUCACCUACUUUGCUCCGGUGCCAAAUUAACCCACGCAAUGAAAAAACACUUGCGUGGGAGAGAGAGAGGACUGAGGCAAUAAAAAACACUUGUUUGGGAGAGUGAGAGGCUGGUGUAGUUGCUUUGAUUGAUUUGUUUAUACAUGUGGGUCUGUGUGCACAGCGGUGCCAACUCUCUCACAUUGCGAGAGCGGUGCCAAAAUCUUUUGGUUUGACAUCGAUGCGUAUUAUGUGGCAUACUUUUACGAAAUAUGGCAUCGGCCACAUAGUGGAAGGCAACAAAUGCCCAAGCUCUUCACGUACUCCUAGGUAAAUGAGAGGAAAGAGAAAGAGAGAGAGAGAGUGAACAAAUAUCACUAGCCAGCCAACCCUAUCGUAUGAGCGAAUGAUAUUGGUACCUCUUGAUGACACGACAAUCUUAUACAACCAACUGCUCUAAUAUGUUCUCUUCUUUUGCAGAUAAAAAAAGACCCGAAAGUGAAAAAUGUGAUGCACUAUAACAAUCUCAUCGAAUGCCUUGAUCCCCAUCUUACAUAAAUUGAUUUGAUUGACUACCGAGGCAGCACAUCCGAGAUUAAAUUGGCCAGGUUCUUUGUUCGGGAGGCAAGUGUGCUCAAGGUAAUGAGGUUUGGCAUUCUCUGGCGCAACAAUGAAUGGCGUGCUGAUCACCGCAAGCAUCUAAGCCUAAAUGACAAAGUCUCCGCAGAAGCUGAAUUUGAUUUUGAAACAUCAAGUGGCCAGAGACUCGAAAACUUAUUUUUCCGUUAGUGACUUGUCAGGGCGGUGGAUUUUAGUUUGUACGAUAAUGCUGCAUCCACCUAAAGUAACGAAAGUUCUUACGUAAACUUCCUAGUAAUUCCCUCUUCGUAUGUGCAGCAUUACUCCUAACAUUUGUAAUAUCAGUUUGAAACUUGUAAUAUUGUCGUGUCCUAUCCCUGCGUUUUCAAAAUACUGCGAAUCAAACCGGUCCUGAGUUGGUGAUGAUGUUGUGCCUGCCAUCUUUCACCAAUAGCCGUCAGAUCUAGAUCUGACGCAUACAAACCAAACUUCUCCAGUUUUGCAAAAAGAUGCCCGCACUUGUUCCCUAUUUACAAACAACUCCUUGUCUCUCACAAUCAGCCUUAUCUCCUCCCCACCACAUCUAGAAGGCCAUGAAAAAAUCUGGCGCGAUGGCCGCUGCCGGCGCCGUCCACCCCCCAAUCUUGGUGUUUCGUGCAAUGCACGGGCAUCUACGCACGGGAAAUUAUGUCGAACACGGCUAGUUGUAAGCAGGCUAGGUCUACAGCCAUGAUGAUAGUGACUCCAGACGGUGAGGCUGACUAUGGUAUGCCGAACACGGCGCCUAUACUCAGGUGUCAUCUCCGGCGUAGGGUCUUGUCACUUCACUGUGAGUAGCAGCACGUAAUAAUUUGACCAACGGGUAGUACAGUGCUACUACAUUGGUAGCACUACUAGUACUAGCACCACCGUCUGGAUUUAGUAGUACUACCACGUCCAUCUGGAUUUACUAUUUGACUAGCAAUAUCUAGUAAUGCAUGUCACAAAAAAUGUACUACUCCCUCUGUAAAUAAAUACAUGGUGUAUUGCUUUAUUCCGAUCGGCGAGGUAACUUAAUGUCUUUUUGCUACUUAAUAGGAUUGCAUGCAAUGAACUAACCACUGCAUGUGAUGUUUGGUAGUCUCAAGUCAUUGAAAGCAUGCACGGGCACGGAGGGGGACGCAGCUUCAUUGACUUACUGCACCUGCCUUUGGGUGUAUGACACAUGGACCCAACGGGUGGCUGGCCAACCUGUCAUAUAGCCAAAGGCAGGUGCAGUAGAGGGGCGAGGAGUAGAUGGCCAACACGCACGUGAAUUCAACGCAAUCUGCACUUCUCAUAUAAAGGCUCCCGCCAGUCCAAUCUAUGAAAUCCUACGCACCUACGCACCCAAGGGCAAGAGUGACCACUCCAAUCGCAAGAUCAGUUGACUAGAAGCUAGACCCAUGGAGGCGAUGAGCGCGAGCAUCAGCCGGCUGUGCCAGAUGGUCCACGACGCUGGCCUGCGGCCCGGCACCGAGGAACGUCUCCAGGUAGAGCUUGAGGCCGCCAGGGCGAGGGGCCGCUUGGACGACAGCUUCGUCUCCUUGUUCGACGAGGUCCUCGUGGGCUUCCUCGACAAGUUCACCGUCGUCAAGAAGCUCAUGGACGACCUUGACGUAUGCCUCCAGCCCACGCGCCUAGGCUCUGCGAUGCCUGCCACCCUCAACGGCCUCUAUGGUGACAACCUCUUCGACGCACUGGUGGCCCUGCGACUGCCCGCCGUCACGCCGGAGAAUGUCCACCUCGAGGUCGCGCUCGUCGCGCUGUGCCUGGUGCAACAAGACACCAUCGACAUAAUCACCCACGUCUACGCGCAAAUCAUCCACAAGGACUACUACAUGCAAGAGGAGGACGAUAGGACGCUGGCCUUCUUGGACCGUAGGGCAACCUUGGACGGCAUUGUUCAGAAGCAUGUUGAGCUUGCCGCCAACGCCGCUGCUCCUCACACGUCGGUUGGUGACCCGGUGCACUAGGGCGUGAGGAUGUCGUUGAUGGAUCCGUAUGUAUCUUUAUCUUUCCGUCAAAUCCAUGUAGUAGUAUAUGGUACUACUAGUAAUUAUCUUACCUUUCGCAUCAACUUCAUAAUUUUCCUACGUACCCCAUGCAUGAACCGCGCCAGAACCAAACUUCUCAUUACUCUAGGGAAAAUCGUUAUUUCUAUCUAUCGGUCGCGCCAUGGAGCAGAACCAAAUUUUACAAGUUACAAGUUCAAAAGGAAAAGCCUGUCGUGUUCGCGUCGCACCCUCACACGGUUGGUCCGGCACGCCGCUCAAGGGGGAAUGCGUGUUGUGUUGCAUUUUCACUUACAAGUGGGACCGCAGUUGAGCAAACCGACUAUCGGCAAACCCCCACCCCGCCCACCGUGCGAUGGCUGAGAAAACAGGAGGGAGAAGAGAUGGCUCUAGCACGGACUCCAAGAAAAUUGGUAUCGGAUGGGACUCGUGUGGGUGGCGUGUGCCGUACUACUAGACAUGAAUGCUAGUUAUGGCCCAUGCCACCCCACUAUAUCGAGGUGCUGGUUACAUAGAACAAAUUUCCUGUAGUCCGCGCUCAGCCCUCCUCUAUCUCUCUUCUCACCAGCUAGCAGACGCGCGGAGCCCAUCGUCUGUUUGCUCAUAUGUGGUCCCACAUGUCAGUGAAAACGCAAGAGGACCCACUGAACCUGCACAUCUUUCACCUCGACGUGCUGGUGAUGAAAAACAAAUCCAAUAAAGAUCUUCGGUGGCCGCUUUUGGAGUUACUCAAGAGUAGUAAGAUUCUAUUUACAGUUUAACCCAAGAUGCACAUCACGUGGCUUCAACUACCACUCUAUUUUCUUGCAUGACACGACAUGGAUGCUGGAUGUCCCACGUGUCGGCAAAAGGAGGGAGAACUUGACCAAAUCUUCGGUUGUGCUCUCGGAUUAGACUAGUUGUGCUAACUUAAAAUUUUAUUAUGUAGAAUGGAUGCAAGUUUUGGUAUUGGGAAGAAGAGUACAACGAUAUAUUGAUAGAGCACAAUUUAGUAGAUGUUCUAGCACUUUUAGCUAGCAUAGAGGCUAGAGAUAAGACUAGUGCACUUGUUCAUAGAAUAGAGGCUAGACACAUCUACUUCUUUACACUCGAAGAAGAAAGAAGCACGCAGGAUCGAGCCUCCGCAGAUCAACAAUGAAUGCAUCGAGAAGGCACUAAUCCAACUUACAGGAGCAGUUAUGGAAGUUGGAUAUCUUCUAAAAUGUAUUCUUGUGGUUCUUGUUUUUCUAGUCAAAAUUUUGGUGAUGUAUUUCCAUGUACCAAAAAAUCAAUGAUGAAAAAAAGAUAUGUGUUCGCAAAGAAAAAUGUACGCGGCCGGGAUGCGUCCGCGCGUUCGGUGCACGGCCACCGCAUCCGAGAAAUGGCCCGGACACGACCCCAUUGCCCUACCCAAACGGACAGAAUCCAGGCAAAACGGAGGUCCAUUUGGGGUCGUGCGUUGGAGUUGGCCUUACAAGUGGGACCGUAGUUGAGGAAACCGACUAUCGGCAAACCCCCACCUCGCCCGCCGCGCGAUGGCUGAGUUAGAGAAACGACGAGGUUGAAGAGAUUGCUGUAGCACGGACUCCAAGAAAUAUGGUGUCAGAUGCAAGUCGUGCUGGUGGCGUGUGCCGUACUCCUGGACGUGAAUGCUUGUUCUGGCCCAUGCCACCCUACUACUCCUACUACUACUCCUACUACUCCUAUCGAGGCUUCGAGGUGCUGGUUACGUACAGCACAUUAACAUAUGGCCCACCUCACACUGUGGCCAAAUUUCCUGGAGUCUGUGCUAGGUUAAAAAGUGUUCUUUGUGAGGAUGGGUGGCUGGUCUCAAGUUUAAAACUUGUUGUAUUACGUACGUAGACAUAGAGAUAGUGCAGCAUGUGAAGCUAGUACAAAUAGUGUACUAUUGUUGAUUGGCCUCAUCCGAUAACCUGUUGCAAUGCACGUACAAUUAUGUAUUCGGAAAAUAUAUUUUUGCCUCGUCGCAGCACCCACUCAGAGAAGCGACUCGAAACCCAUUCAUAAAUUUAGUAAGUUUAUAACAGGCAUAUCAUUUUAUUACAUACAACAGGUCAUCAACCCACAACGACAACGAGGAUACAUUAUAAAUACUGAAGUUUUCAUCACACAACAAAUAACAAGCAAUGAAAUGAACUUCAACUCAACCAAUCCUCGGCGUUGGAAAUGCUUGCUUUGAACCACAAGCGAUUCUCUGGGAAGAGCCAGCUACUGUCAAUCUCGAGACCAACGCAGGACUGAUCAUCCAGGCUGAUGCGGCCUACUAUAUCACGACCAGGGUAGGGAACCACCACAGUGUGCAACGUAUAGAUGCAAUUGCUUCUCAUAAAUGGUAGUAACGUUGUGUCAACAGCAGUUGGAUCGCCUUUCACCAUCAUUGGAUAGUUUUGUCCAAGGAAGAGUGAGUUUGCUCCAAGACUAUCAAUACUGUACCAGGGAGAAGGUGUUGGCGCUAGCACACUAGUAUCCAUCCCGAAUACCAUGCAACAGGUGUUGGAAUAGGUCCGGAGAGUGCGACCAUGGGAGACAACACCUGCUCCCUCAGUAGUAACAUCAGCAGUGGGCUGUAUACACACAAGAAGUGGUGAUCCAUUGGAAUUAGUUGCCAGCCGCCAGUGAGCAUAUGGGCCCUGCUCGUCCUCAUGCUCGUGAUCAUCACCAUCUUCAUCUCCCCCUUGGUUAUAAAAAUUUUCAAGUAUAAGUGGUGGAAUGUUCACAGGACCUUGGAAACACAAGAAGAAGGGUAAUUAGUAGAGAAGGGAAACUCGCUAACUCGCAUGCAUGUGGAUGAAACAAUUAUAAUUACGGUGGAACAAAAACGUACUGAAACUACGAGGAUCCCAUGCAAAAACAGUGCCACGAGUGGUGGCAGCAAAGACAAGACCGUCGUAUUCAAUUGCAUCACAGUACACAUCCGUGUAUAGAAACUGAUUUUUGAGCAAUAUCCAUCCAGUCGAACCACGAAGGACAGCAACAAACUUGUCGAAGAUAGCAACAACUUGAUAGUUCUUGUAAUUCCAAGAGCGGUUGGGAACUCGAGAAAUUGCUAUCUUCCGUAGACGACAGUCACCAUGAUCAUAUUUGAACGUACGUAGAUCAUUUGUGUGAUCAACCUCAGGGCACUCGGAGAUUUUUGGAAGUGGAAUCCAUUGACGAGUGUACACAUUCACAAGUUCCCACUCGCAAUUGUACCCAAUAUAAACAACCCAAUCUCCAUUUGCACCUGCCCAAGCCUUACCCUCAAGCGAUGGCAUCUUAACAUCAUACGUAUCAUUAUCAAGUGGCAUCAACUUGCACAAGGCGAGGCUUCCCUCGUCCCCGCGCCAGUCAGCAGGGUGAUACGUCCAUUUUGCAUCAUUCUUUUAUAUCGAUAUUUAUUGCAUUAUGGGCUAUUAUCACACAUUAUGUCACAAUACUUAUGCCUAUUCUCUCUUAUUUUACAAGGUUUACAUAAGGAGGGAGAAUGCCGGCAGCCGGAAUUCUGGGCUGGAAAGGGAGCAAAUAUUAGAGACCUAUUCUGCACAACUCCAAAAGUCCUAAAACUCCAUGAAAGUUGUUUUUGGAAAUAAUAAAAAAUACUGAGCGGAAGAAAUACCAGAGGGGGCCCACACCCUGGCCACGAGGGUGGGGCGCGCCCUACCCCCCUGGGCGCGCCCCCUGCCACGUGGGCCCCCUGUUGGCCCUCCGGUGCCCAUCUUCUGCUAUAUGAAGUCUUUCGUCCGAAGAAAAAUCAUAAGCAAGCUUUCGGGACGAGACUCCGCCGUCACGAGGCAUAACCUUGGCGGAACCAAUCUAGGGCUCCGGCAGAGCUGUUCUGUCGGGGACACUUCCCUCCGGGAGGGGGAAAUCAUCGCCAUCGUCAUCACCAAUGCCCCUCUCAUCGGGAGAGGGCCAAUCUUCAUCAACAUCUUCACCAGCACCAUCUCCUCUCAAACCCUAGUUCAUCUCUUGUAUCCAAUUCUUGUCUCCAAGUCUGGGAUUGGUACCUGUAGGUUGCUAGUAGUGUUGAUUACUCCUUGUAGUUGAUGCUAGUUGGUUUAUUUGGUGGAAGAUCAUAUGUUCAGAUCCUUUAUACAUAUUAAUACUCCUCUGAUUAUGAACAUGAAUAUGCUUUGUGAGUAGUUACGUUUGUUCCUGAGAACAUGGGAGAAGUCUUGCUAUUAGUAGUCAUGUGAAUAUGGUAUUCGUUCGAUAUUUUGAUGAGAUGUAUGUUGUCUUUCCUCUAGUGGUGUUAUGUGAACGUCGACUACAUGACACUUCACCAUUAUUUGGGACUAUAGGAAGGCAUUGGGAAGUAAUAAGUAGAUGAUGGGUUGCUAGAGUGACAGAAGCUUAAACCCUAGUUUAUGUGUUGCUUCGUAAGGGGCUGAUUUGGAUCCAUAUGUUUCAUGCUAUGGUUAGGUUUACCUUAAUACUUCUUUUGUAGUUGCGGAUGCUUGCAAUAGGAGUUAAUCAUAAGUGGAAUGCUUGUCCAAGUAAGAACAGCACCCAAGCACCGGUCCACCCACAUAUCAAAUUAUCAAAGUACCGAACGCGAAUCAUAUGAACGUGAUGAAAACUAGCUUGACGAUAAUUCCCAUGUGUCCUCGGGAGCGCUUUUCUCUAUAUAAGAGUUUGUCCAGGCUUGUCCUUUGCUACAAAAAGGAUUGGGCCACCUUGCUGCACUUUAUUUACUUUUGUUACUUGUUGCUCGUUACAAAUUAUCUUAUCACAAAACUAUCUGUUACCUAUAAUUCAAGUGCUUGCAGAGAAUACCUUGCUGAAAACCGCUUAUCAUUUCCUUCUGCUCCUCGUUGGGUUUGACACUCUUACUUAUCGAAAGGACUACGAUAGAUCCCCUAUACUUGUGGGUCAUCAAGACUCUUUUCUGGCGUCGUUGCCGGGGAGUGAAGCGCCUUUGGUAGGUGGAAUUUGGUAAGGAAAAAUUUAUAUAGUGUGCUGAAAUUUAUUGUCACUUGUUACUAUGGAAAGUAAUCCUCUGAGGGGCUUGUUCAGGGUAUCUUCACCCCGACCAGUAGAGCAAAGAGUUGCUCCUCAGCCUACUGAACCUACUAAAAAUGAAAAUGUCUACUUUGAAAUUCCUUCGGGUAUGGUAGAAAAACUGCUAGCUAAUCCUUUUGCAGGAGAUGGAACAUUACAUCCUGAUGAGCACCUAAUAUAUGUGGAUGAAGUUUGUGGAUUAUUUAAGCUUGCAGGUAUGCCCGAUGAUGUUAUCAAGAAGAAGGUCUUCCCUUUAUCUUUGAAGGGAGAUGCAUUGACAUGGUAUAGGCUAUGUGAUGAUAUGGGGUCAUGGAACUACAAACGAUUGAAAUUGGAAUUUCAUCAGAAGUUUUAUCCUAUGCAUCUUGUUCAUCGUGAUCGCAAUUAUAUAUAUAAUUUUUGGCCUCGCGAAGGAGAAAGCAUCGCUCAAGCUUGGGGGAGGCUUAAAUCAAUGUUAUAUUCAUGCCCCAAUCAUGAGCUCUUAAGAGAAAUGAUUAUUCAAAAAAUUUAUGCUCGGCUUUCUGAUAACAAUCGCACCAUGCUCAAUACUUCUUGUGCUGGCUCUUUUAUGAUGAAGACUAUUGAAUUCAAAUGGGACUUAUUGGAAAGAAUUAAAUGCAACUCUGAAGAUUGGGACCUCGACGAAGGUAAGGAGUUAGGUAUGCCACCUAAGUUUGAUUGUGUUAAAUCUUUUAUGGAUACCGAUGUUUUCCAUAAAUUUAGCACUAAAUAUGGACUUGACUCUGAGAUAGUAGCUUCUUUCUGUGAAUCUUUUGCUACUCAUGUUGAUCUCCCUAAGGAGAAGUGGUUUAAAUAUCAUCCUCCCAUAGAAGUAAAAGUAGUUGCACCUAUUAAAGUUGAAGAAAAUACUAUCACUUAUAAUGGUCCUAUUGUUCCUACUACUUAUGUUAAGAAACCACCUUUUCAUGUUAGGAUAAAGGAUCAUGCUAAAGCUUCAACUGUGGUUCGUAAAAGCAAUAUUAGAACUUAUACACCUCCUGAGCAAGUUAAAGUUGAACUAAUAUUGCUAUGGUUAAAGAUCUCUUGGCUGAUACUAUUGAUGGGCAUGUUAUUUAUUUCUGUAAUCAGACUGCUAGAAUUGCUAAACCUUGUGCUAAAGAUAAACAUAGACCUGUGGUAGGCAUGCCUGUUAUUUCUGUUAAAAUAGGAGAUCAUUGUUAUCAUGGCUUAUGUGAUAUGGGUGCUAGUGCUAGUGCAAUACCUAUUGACUUAUACAAAGAAAUUAUGCAUGAUAUUGCACCUGCUGAGUUAGAAGAUAUUGAUGUCACAAUUAAACUUGCCAAUAGAGAUACUAUUUCACCAAUUGGGAUUGUUAAAGAUGUUGAAGUCUUGUGUGGGAAGACUAAAUAUCCUCCUGAUUUUCUUGUUCUUGGUUCCCCACAAGAUAGCUUUUGUCCCAUUAUAUUUGGUAGACCCUUCUUAAACAUUGUUAAUGCUAAGAUAGACUGCGAAAAGGAUGUUGUUACUAUUGGUCUAGGUGAUAUGUCUCAUGAGUUUAAUUUCUCUAAAUUUUGUAGACAACACCGUCAAGAGGAAUUGCCUAGUAAAGAUGAAAUUAUUGGUCUUGCUUGUAUUGUCGUACCUCCUAAUGAUCCUUUAGAACAAUAUUUGCUGGACCAUGAAAAUGAUAUGUUUAUGAAUGAAAGAAGGGAAAUAGAUGAAGUGUUCUUUAAACAGGGUCCUAUUCUGAAACACGACUUGCCUGUUGAAAUCUUAGGGGAUCCUCCUCCACCCAAGGGUGAUCCCGUGUUUGAGCUUAAACAAUUGCCUGAUACUCUUAAAUAUGCUUACCUUGAUGAGAAGAAGAUAUAUCCUAUUAUUAUUAGUGCUAACCUUUCAAAGAAGGAGGAAGAAAAAUUAUUGAAAACUCUGAAGAAGCACCGUGCUGCUAUUGGAUAUACUCUUGAUGAUCUUAAGGGCAUUAGUCCCACUCUAUGUCAACACAAAAUAAAUUUGGAGAAAGACGCCAAACCCGUUAUUGAUCACCAACGACGGCUGAAUCCUAAAAUAAAAGAGGUGGUAAGAAAGGAAAUACUAAAGCUCCUUGAGGCAGGUAUAAUUUAUCCCGUUGCUGAUAGUCAGUGGGUAAGUCCUGUCCAUUGUGUCCCUAAGAAGGGAGGUAUUACUGUUGUUCCUAAUGAUAAAGAUGAAUUGACUCCGCAAAGAAUUAUUACAGGUUAUAGGGUGGUAAUUGAUUUCCGCAAAUUAAAUAAAGCUACUAAAAAAGACCAUUACCCCUUACCUUUCUAUUGAUCAAAUGCUAGAAAGAUUAUCCAAACAUACACAUUUUUGCUUUCUAGAUGGUUAUUCUGGUUUCUCUCAAAUACCUGUGUCAGCUGAUGAUCAAGCAAAGACCACAUGUACUUGCCCUUUUGGUACUUUUGCUUAUAGACGUAUGCAUUUUGGUUUAUGUAAUGCACCUGCUACCUUUCAAAGAUGCAUGAUGGCUAUAUUCUCUGACUUUUGUGGAAAGAUUUGUGAGGUUUUCAUGGACGAUUUCUCCGUCUAUGGAUCCUCUUUUGAUGAUUGCUUGAGCAACCUUGAUCGAGUUUUGCAGAGAUGUGAAGAAACUAAUCUUGUCUUGAAUUGGGAGAAGUGCCACUUUAUGGUUAAUGAAGGCAUUGUUUUGGGGCAUAAAAUUUCUGAAAGAGGUAUUGAAGUUGAUAAAGCCAAGGUUGAUGCUAUUGAAAAGAUGCCAUGUCCCAAGGACAUCAAAGGUAUAAGAAGUUUCCUUGGUCAUGCCGGUUUUUAUAGGAGGUUCAUUAAGGACUUCUCAAAAAUUUCUCGGCCUCUGACUAAUUUAUUACAAAAAGAUAUACCAUUUGUCUUUGAUGAUGAUUGUGUAGAAGCAUUUGAAAUACUUAAGAAAGCAUUGAUUUCUGCACCUAUUGUUCAGCUUCCUGAUUGGAAUUUACCUUUUGAAAUCAUGUGUGAUGCUAGUGAUUAUGUUGUAGGUGCUGUUCUAGGGCAAAGAGUUGAUAAGAAAUUAAAUGUUAUUCAAUAUGCUAGUAAAACUCUAGACAAUGCCCAGAGAAAUUAUGCUACUACUGAAAAGAAUUUUUAGUUGUUGUAUUUGCUUAUGAUAAGUUCAGACCUUAUAUUGUUGAUUCUAAAGUAACUAUUCACACUGAUCAUGCUGCUAUUAAAUAUCUUAUGGAAAAGAAAGAUGCUAAACCUAGACUUAUUAGGUGGGUUCUCUUGCUACAAGAAUUUGAUUUGCAUAUUAUUGAUAGAAAAGGAGCUGAGAACCCCGUUGUAGACAACUUGUCUAGGUUAGAAAAUGUUCUUGAUGACCCACUACCUAUUGAUGAUAGCUUUCCUGAUGAACAAUUAAAUGUCAUAAAUGCUGCUCAUACUGCUCCAUGCUAUGCGGAUUAUGCUAAUUACAUUGUUGCUAAAUUUAUACCACCUAGUUUCACAUACCAGCAAAAGAAAAAGUUUUUCUAUGAUUUGAGACAUUACUUUUGGGAUGACCCACAUCUUUAUAAAGAAGGAGUAGAUGGUGUUAUUAGACGUUGUGUACCUGAGCAUGAACAGGAAUAGAUCCUACGCAAGUGUCACUCCGAGGCUUAUGGAGGACACCACACUGGAGAUAGAACUGCACAUAAGGUAUUGCAAUCCGGUUUUUAUUGGCCUACUCUCUUCAAGGAUGCUCGUAAGUUUGUCUUAUCUUGUGAUGAAUGUCAAAGAAUUGGUAAUAUUAGUAAACGUCAGGAAAUGCCUAUGAAUUAUUCACUUGUUAUUGAACCAUUUGAUGUUUGGGGCUUUGAUUAUAUGGGACCUUUUCCUGCCUCUAAUGGGUAUACUUAUAUUUUAGUUGCUGUUGAUUACGUUACUAAGUGGGUACAAGCUAUUCCAACUAGUAGUGUUGAUCACAACAUCUCUAUUAAGAUGCUUAAAGAAGUUAUUUUUCCGAGGUUUGGAGUCCCUAGAUAUUUAAUGACUAAUGGUGGUUCACAUUUUAUUCAUGGUGCUUUUCGUAAAAUGCUUGCUAAAUAUGACGUUAAUCAUAGAAUUGCAUCUCCAUAUCACCCACAGUCUAGUGGUCAAGUAGAAUUGAGUAAUAGAGAACUCAAAUUAAUUUUGCGAAAGACUGUUAAUAGAUCUAGAAAGAAUUGGUCCAGGAAACUUGAUGAUGCAUUAUGGGCCUAUAGAACUGCAUAUAAAAAAUCCUAUUGGUAUGUCUCCGUAUAAAAUGGUUUAUGGAAAAGCAUGUCACUUACCUCUUGAACUAGAACAUAAGGCUUAUUGGGCUAUUAAAGAGCUCAAUUAUGAUUUCAAACUUGCCGGUGAGAAGAGGUUAUUUGACAUUAGCUCACUUGAUGAAUGGAGAACCCAAGCCUAUGAAAAUGCCAAAUUGUUUAAAGAAAAAAGUUAAAAGAUGGCAUGACAAAAGGAUACAAAAGCGUGAGUUUAAUGUGGGUGAUUAUGUAUUAUUAUACAACUCUUGUUUAAGAUUUUUUGCAGGAAAACUUCUCUCUAAAUGGGAAGGUCCUUACGUUAUCGAGGAGGUCUAUCGUUCCGGUGCCAUAAAAAUCAACAACUUCGAGGGCACAAAUCCGAAGGUGGUGAACAGUCAAAGAAUCAACAUUAUAUCUCAGGUAAUCCCAUAAAUGUUGAAACCAGUGUUAUUGAAACCGUAACCCUGGAGAAAUACAUAAGGGACACUUUCCGGAACGUUUCAGACUCCGAAAAGGGAUAGGUAUGUGGUACGGUAAGUAAACCGACUCCAAAACAGUUCUAAUGGCAAUUUUUCUCCGUUUUGGAAUAUUUAGAAAAAUAGAAAAAUAAGAAGCAGUCAGGGAAGGUCACAAGGGCUCCACGAGGGUGGAGGGCGCGCCCUACCUCCCUGGGCGCGCCCCUACCUCGUGGGCACCUCGUGCGCUCUCCGGACUCCGUUUUCUUGCACGAUACGUAUUUUGGUCGGUAAAAAUUCAUUAUAUAAUCUCCCUAAGGUUUUGACUCCUGUAUCACGCAAUUAUCCUCUGUUUUCGUUUUGAGCUGUUUUUCUGUCAGAUCUAGAUCACCAUGAGAUCUCCAAGCGCCCCCAAGGACAAGUUCUUCAAGAGGGUCAUUAACCCCUAUCUCGCGGAGGUGCUGCAACACCCUCAAACCAUUGAGAUGCGUGAUGGGUUGCUGCACAUCCGCGAUGCUGAGGGACCAAGGAGGACCAGAAGCGUGGAGACGAGGCUCGAAGCAAUGGAGCAACAAGUGUUCAAGUGCCAGGGGAUGGUGGAACGUGGACUCAACACCAACCACAUGAUGAUCGCGGAGUUCACCAACAACUACAAGCUGGAUGCCAAGAACAUUGGGGAGCCAUCUUCAAGCUUCACGAGAAGAUCGAGCACCUCCAAGCCCAAAUCUAUGACCUGCAAAACCAAAACUGUGAGUAUGAAUAUAGAUUCAAGAGGAUGAGUUUGGCUGCAGAUUUGAGGAUCCCGGAGACUCGAUCAUCCUUCUAUGAUGGUGAGCCUAUGCCUUGGAAGAUGGACGACAAGCCCACAUCAUCAACAACUCCACCAUCUUCUUCGAAUUUAGGGUUAGGUCUCCGCCGAAUUCAUCUCGGACCGACCGAGUUGUAGAAAUCGGUCUCACCGAUUUUGGCUUAGGCCAGAGCACACACAUUUUCGGUCCUAUCGAAAAUUGCAAAUCGGUGUGACCGAGUUCGAUUCUCUGUGAAACCCUAGCAGUCUCGGUACCACCGAACUGUGACUCGGUCUGACCUAGUUCACUAGUUCAGGUUCCAAAAGCUGCUUCGGUAUCACUGAGUUUACAAAUCGGUAGAUCCGAAAUGCUUUCUGUGAAGAACUAAAACUACGUUUUUAAGUCAUCUGUUUUGCAAAAACUCCUGUACUUUGUGAUGCUCAUCUACUCUACCUCAUCUAUAACCUAUUCACAGGGGCUGCUGACAGUUUGCUUGCAAGAUAUCUGACCAAAGUGACAGCCAGAACAAGUCAGAGCAACAGGUUCAGUUGAGUGAGGGCACUAGUCCCUCUAGCAGCUAUGAUGAAGGCAGCAGGAGCACUCCAAGCAAUCUGCCAAAGGCUGCUACCAGAACAAGGAAGAAGAGAACUUCUGACUCUGAAGAUGAAGACUAUGUGGCUGUUGAAGAUGAAGCCACUUCCAAGAAGAAAGUGCUGAAGAAAGAAUAUGGCACAGCUGCUGCAACAAAGCCUGGUUCGAAAACUAAAAUGCCAGCAAGAAGACAGCCCAUGCCUAAGCCAAGGAAGGUUGCCACAGGUGAAACUAUGAAGUUCACUAUUGAGUCUGAAGAAGAGGCGGCUGGAAAAGAUAAGAAGAAGAAGAAGAAGAGGGCCAGAACCACUACUGCCAGAGUUCUUGGCAAGCCCUCAAUGAUGAGAGAUUCCGAAGAAGAUGAAGAGGAUGCAGCACCAGCACCCAAAGCUCAAAAGCUCAUGGGAGAUGCAAUCAAAUCAGGGGUUGCUCCAUCUAAGCCCAAAACUGCUCCUAAGACUGCUGCUCCAGCUCCAAAGCCAAAACCCAAGAGGAGCACCAGGAACAUCCCUGCUGAGGAGAAAAACAAGGCCCCGGUGCCUUAGGCUACUGAAGAAGAAGAAGAAUAUGAUUCUGUUAUUUUGAGGAAGCUGAAGCCCAAGAUCCCUGAUCACAAUGAUGCACACCCAGUUGCAGAGAACAUAAAAAUCAGGAAGGGUUCAGGAUUAAGGCUAUGGAGAGAGUCUGAUCCAUAUGCCACUAGGAGAAGGACUGCUGUGGACUACAGAUUCCACACUAAGGAACAGCAGGACUUCUAUGAGACUGUUUUACUUGACAAGAAGCCCAUAGUGUGUGACAUGAGAUGGGUUGAUUGGAAAUUCAUCAAGGAGAAUGAGGAUCACUUCCCUGGUGUAUAUGACAGCUUCAAGGCAUGUGGAGUUGAUGAGUUUGUGGCUCAGAAGUUCACCAAGUGGAAUGAUGAGUUCAUUGUGCAAUUCUACUCCACUGCACACUUCUAUCCAGAUGGAAGGAUUCUGUGGAUGUCUGAGGGUACUAGGUACCAGUCUACUGUUGAAGAAUGGGCAAAACUCAUAAAUGCUCCUGAGGAACAUGAGGAUGACUUGGAUGUCUAUGCCAAGAAGAAGAAAGACCACAACUCUAUGGCAAAUAUGUACAAAGAGAUCCCUAAUGAUGCUUUGGACACACAUAAGUUUGGAUCUGUACACUAUUUGUUGUCUGGUCUGCCUACAAUCAAUUGGAUUCUGAGGCACACACUUCUUCCCAAGUCAGGUGAUCACAAGAUGAUCAGAGGACAUGCUAUCAACUUGCUACACAUAUUUGAUGUCCCAUAGAAGUUCAAGGUUAUGAGCCUGAUUGUGGAAACAAUCAAGAGGACUGCAGCUGAUCAGAAGAGAAGUUGUGGAUAUGCCCCACACAUCCAGGAGCUCAUUAACUCAAAGAUGGGCAAGGGCAAGUACAUCUUGACAAAGAGCAUCUUCCCAUCUAUCCUGAAUUUGAGGACAACACAGUAGUCAUGACUGAGAAUGAACCAUCAUCUGUGAAAGCACAAGAGAAGAAAGCCAAAGCUAAAGCUGAGAAGGCUGCAAAGAUGCCAACUAUGGAAGAGGCAUCUCAGGUCUUCUUGAAGAGCAAGCAAGACCAGCUUGGAUAUCUGAUCCAAUCCACUCUGAGGAUUGAGCAGGGCCUGGCCACCCUGACCAAAAACCAGGAGAGCUUGGAAAGGAUUGUUGAGACAAAAUUCUAUGACCUUGAUGUCAAGAUCACAGAGAUCCAAAAUGCAGUUGAGCAACUUCAGGAGGAAGCAGAGGAGAAGAAGGGAAAGUCUACCACAGAUGCAUUUGCUAGAGUGCCCAGAGGACAGAGAUCUGCUGCAGUGCCAGUGACAGACACUAGAGCUACAGCAUCAGCACCAGCAGCUACAGCUCCAGUCCCAACUCCAACAGCUACUCCACCAGCUCCAGCCACUUCAUCAGAAGCUUUUGUCCUCGGCGUUCUCUCAACACCACCUCCCGAAGAUCAAGCCCGAGAGUCGUUUAGCACUAUGCAUUUUUGAAAUUUUUGGUAACUUGUGCCAAAGGGGGAGAAAAAUGUAUAGAUCAUAGGCUUCGAGAGAGAGAGAGUGUUGGUUUUUAUCUCUCUUUGCACUCUUUUUGGUUGGUUUGAAACUUUAUUGCGUGCUUGUGUGAUACUACUUAAUGUCCUUGUGAGAUACUUAUUUGGUCAAGUGUUUGAUCAUAUGCUACCCUUAAUGCUUGUUGGUUAAUGCUAUCUUUCAUAUCCUAUUAUGAUCAUUCACUUUGCUUGGUGAUGAGUGCAUACUUUUAAUUUCUAUCAUUUUGAGCGCUCCACCAACAUGUAUGUGACAUGGAAGAGUAACCCAUGAUACUAAUCGAUUAUGCAUUUGCAUUCAAAAGCAAAUCUUAAAUAAUGCACAAAUUUAGGGGGAGGUCUUGCUUAUCACAUACUUCUCAAAGCGACGAUGUCUUUCAAUCUUAUUUAUCAUUUGUCGAAGCUUUGAUCUAUAUGUUGUCAUCAAUUACCAAAAGGGGGAAAUUGAAAGUGCAACUAUCCCUGGGUGGUUUUGGUAAUUCCUAACAACAUAUAGCUCAUUGAGCUAAUGCUAUUCCAAGAUAAAUAUUUCAGGAAAGCUCAAUGUUUGGCAUGGCAUGGAUUAGAAAGUGGACCCUUCAAAAUGCUAAGGACAAAGGAUUGGCUCAAGCUCAAAGCACAAGACUCUACAUUUUCUAUUUUAGUGAUCCAAGAUCACAUUGGGUCUAUAGGAAAAGCCAAUACUAUUAAGAAGGGAUGAGGUGUUGCUUGAGGAUCUUGCUCAAAACGCUUAGUGAUAUGCUCCAAAACCCUCCACUACUUUCUCAUAUCCACAUAUGUCCAAAACCAAAAGUCCAACUCGGCCCCAUCGAUUAUGUCCAUCCGGAGCCACCAAGUUCAGUUGACAUAGCUACUGCCAGAAACCCUAAUCAAUUCGGUCUCACCGAUAGGGAUCUCGGUCUCACCGAGAUGGGAUUGCAAACUCUCUGUUUCCCUUCGUAACGUUCGGUCAAACCGAGAUGAGCGAUCGGUCCCACCGAGAUUGCAAUGCAAACUCUCUGUUUCCUCUUCGUAACGUUUCGGUCCAACCGAGAUGAGCGAAUCGGUCCCACCGAGUUUGCCUGACCAACUCUCUGUUUGGCUAUUACCAAAAUCAGUCUCACCGAGUUUGUGUAAUCGGUCUCACCGAGAUUACGUUAUGCCCUAACCCUAAUGACAUCGAUGAGGGAGUCCUGGAUUAGGGGGUCCUCGGACAGCCGGACUAUAUCCCUUAGCCGGACUGUUGGACUAUGAAGAUACAAGAUUGAAGACUUCGUCCCAUGUCCGGAUGGGACUCUCCUUGGCGUGGAAGGCAAGCUUGGCAAUACGGAUAUGUAGAUCUGCUCCCUUGUAACCGACUCUGUGUAACCCUAGCCCCCUCCGGUGUCUAUAUAAACCAGAGGGUUUAGUCCGUAGGACAACAACAAUCAUACCAUAGGCUAGCUUCUAGGGUUUAGCCUCUAUGAUCUCGUGGUAGAUCAACUCUUGUAAUACUCAUAUCAUCAAGAUCAAUCAAGCAGGAAGUAGGGUAUUACCUCCAUCGAGAGGGCCCAAACCUAGGUAAACAUCAUGUCCCCCGCCUCCUGUUACCAUCCGCCUUAGACGCACAGUUCGGGACCCCCUACCCGAGAUCCGCCGAUUUUGACACCGACAUUGGUGCUUUCAUUGAGAGUUCCACUGUGCCGUCACCGUAAGGCUAGAUGGCUCCUUCGAUCAUCGGCAACAAUGCGAUCCAGGGUGAGGUUUUUCUCCCCGGACAGAUCUUCGUAUUCGGCGGCUUCGUACUGCGGGCCAACUCGCUUGGCCAUCUGGAGCAGAUCGAGAGCUACGCCCCUGGCCAUCAGGUCAGGUUUGGAAACUUGAACUAUACUGCCGACAUCCGCGGAGACUUGAUCUUCGACGGAUUCGAGCCCAUGUCAGGUGCACCGCACAAUCACGACGAGCAUGACUUAGCUCUGCCACCGGACAAUGUUCGGGAGAUCACACCUGCAACUACUCCGGCCCUCGAUCCGGAACAAAUUGCGCCAUCUAAGGACGGGUGGAUGGACCCCGCCACGGAGGCCGCACACUCAGUGACGAUAGAGCCGAAUACUGACUUCACCUCCUACGAGACCCAUGUUGCCGAACCGUUGGAUUCGUCCCCGGCCACGGGCCCCCGCCACGGAGGCCGCACACUCAGUGGCGAUAGAGCCGAAUACUGACUUAUCUUCAGCACUCGCCCUUCGGCGACGUGCUAAACUCAUUGAAGUCUCUCUCCCUGUCAGGAGACCCUUGUCCGAACUAUGUCCGGCUAGAAUGGGAUGCGGACGACGAAGAAAUUCGCUCCCCACCCACCACCCACUUAGUAGCCACUGUCGACGAUUUAACCGACAUGCUUGACUUCGGCUCCGAAGACAUCGAUGGUAUGGACGACGAUGGAGGAGACCAACAAGAACCACCGCCCACAGGGCGCUGGACUGCCACCUCAUCAUAUGACAUAUACAUGGUGGACACCCCCAAAGAAGGCAAUGGCGAUAAGACAGCGGAGGAUAAUCCCUCCAAGAAGCAAUCCAAGCACCGGCGUCAACGGCGCCGCUCUAAGUCCCACCAUAGCAAAAGCAGCGAUACCGGCACAAGAGACAAUAAUGCUCCGGAUAGUGCCGAGGACGACGACAAUCCCCUCCAGCCAAACCUCGAGCGGGAGGAUGAACAAGCUAGCCCUCCGGAAUAGGCAGCAGAUGGAGAAUCAGAGGAUGACAAUUACAUGCCUCUCUCCGAAGACGAGGUGAGCCUCGGCGACGAAGAAUUUAUCGUGCCUGAGGAUCCCGUCGAGCAGGAGCGCUUCAAGCGCCGGCUUAUAGCCACAGCAAACAGCCUGAAGAAAAAGCAACAACAGCUUCGAGCUGAUCAAGAUCUUCUAGCGGACAGAUGGACUGAAGUCCUGGCGGCCGAGGAAUACGAACUCAAGCGCCCAACCAAGAGUUACCCAAAGCGCAGGUUGCUACCCCAACUCGAGGAGGAAGCAUUAAAACCCACAUCACCAGCGUAUGAUAUGGCUGAUCGGCCACCUCGUGGCCGAGACAGAGGGGCAUAUCAGCCCGAAGUCCAACCCGCACCCCGUCGCUAGACAAACAAAAACACAAAGGCCCGGGGCAAUACGCGGGACCUGCGAGACAUAUUGGAAAACAAAGCAGGACAUACAAGAUCGAUCUACGGAUCACGGGGGCGCGCCCCAACGUGGGACGAUGAUCGUCACGCCGGAUAUACUAAAAGCAAAUCCGGCCGGGCCAAAUACAGCAGACAAGACUCGUAUGAACUGCGUCGUGAUAUAGCCCGGCACAGAGGCGCCGCACACCCCCUAUGCUUCACUGAUGAAGUAAUGGAUCACGAAUUCCCAGAGGGUUUUAAACCCGUAAACAUUGAAUCAUAUGAUGGUACAACAGACCCCGCGGUAUGGAUCGAGGAUUUCCUCCUCCACAUCCACAUGGCUCGCGGUGAUGAUCUACAUGCCAUCAAGUACCUCCCACUAAAACUCAAAGGACCAGCUCGGCAUUGGCUGAAUAGCUUGCCAGCAGACUCCAUUGGCAGUUGGGAAGAGUUGGAAGAUGCAUUCCUUGACAACUUCCAGGGCACUUAUGUGCGACCACCAGAUGCUGAUGACUUGAGCCAUAUAACUCAGCAGCCAGGCGAAUCGGCCAGGAAAUUCUGGACCCGGUUUCUAACUAAGAAAAACCAAAUUGUCGACUGUCCGGAUGCAGAGGCCUUAGCGGCAUUUAAACAUAACAUCCUGGACAAGUGGCUCGCCCGACACCUUGGCCAAGAGAAGCCGAAGUCCAUGGCAGCCCUCACGACACUCAUGACCCGCUUUUGCGCUGGCGAGGAUAGCUGGCUGGCUCGAAGCAACAACACAUCAAGGAAUCCUGGCACUUCAGAUGCCAAAGAUACUAACGGCAGACCACGUCAUAACAGACACAAGCGCCGCAACAACGGCGAUAACGCCGAAGACACGGCAGUCAAUGCCGGAUUGAGUGGCUCUAAAUCCGGUCAGCGGAAAAAGCCGUUCAAAAGAAGCAAUCCAGGCCCGUCCAGUUUAGACCGCAUACUCGAUCGCUCGUGUCAAAUUCACGUCACCCCCGAUAAGCCAGCCAAUCACACCAACAGAGAAUGCUGGGUGUUCAAGCAGGCCGGCAAGUUGAAUGCCGAAAACAAGGACAAGGGGAUGCAUAGCGACGAGGAGGAGGAGCGGCCGCCGAACACAGGAGGACAGAAGAGGUUCCCUCCACAAGUGAAAACGGUGAACAUGAUAUACGCAACCCACAUUCCCAAGUGGGAACGGAAGCGCGCACUAAGGGACGUCUAUGCGAUGGAGCCAGUCGCCCCAAAGUUCAACCCAUGGUCCUCUUGUCCGAUCACCUUCGAUCGUAGGGACCACCCCACUAGUAUCCGUCAUGGCGGAUCUGUCGCAUUGGUCCUUGACCCCAUCAUUGACGGAUUUCACCUCACUCGAGUCCUUAUGGACGGUGGCAGCAACCUGAACCUGCUCUAUCAGGAUACAGUGCGUAAAAUGGGCAUAGACCCCUCAAGGAUCAAACCCACCAAAACCAACUUUAAAGGUGUAAUCCCAGGUGUAGAGGCCUGUUGCACGGGCUCAAUCACACUGGAAGUGGUUUUCGGGUCUCCGGACAACUUUCGAAGCGAGGAGUUAAUCUUCGAUAUCGUCCCCUUUCGCAGCGGCUAUCACGCACUGCUCGGACGAACCGCAUUUGCCAGAUUCAAUGCGGUACCACAUUACGCAUACCUCAAACUCAAAAUGCCAGGACCGCGCGGGGUUAUAACAGUUAAUGGAAACACAGAACGCUCGCUCCGCAUGGAGGAGCACACUGCGGCCCUCGCAGCAGAAGCACAAAGCGGCCUUUUAAGGCAAACCGCCAAUUCGGCGAUAAAGCCCCCGGACACCUUCAAGCGAGUCCGGAGUAAUCUGCAACAGGAUGCCUGGCACGUUUAGAGCUCGCCUAGAAAUUCGGCAUCCGUCCUAGUCCCAGUCAAGCGACGAAAUCUGUGCCGCACGUACAUAAUUACGCACUAAAAAUACCAUGGGCAUAGGCGGGGGCAUGGCCAGGACACGUCCCACAAUGCGGCUCAACCGCCCCAGGGGCUGUAUAUCUUUAUCAUUCUCUCUCUUUCAAGACCUUACUCUCUGGAAGCCCUUUUCGGCAGUCUGAUUGCUGGAUACAUUACGUGAAGGAAAAACCAAGGAGGCAAGAAGGUAAGACAUACAAGGGAAUCCCCAGGUGGUCUAUGAUAACGAUCGAAGUACCCGUUUUAAAUACCCAUACGCAACUUGCCCUUGGAUAGGACAUGUCAAACAGUCCUAUUUUUUGCUUAUUGCACUACUUGUACCCGUAUGCUUCGACGUAUUAUUUAAUAACAAUGCAUAGAGUUAGUCUAUUAUUGCAUUACCUUUUUUUCUUGUCUGCUUAUUUACGACAAAUUGCACCCGUACAUUCUGGUACGACCAGUGCGCCAGGGGCUUCAGUAUACCCCAUAAUACGGCGUGAGAAGUCCGAACACUUUUGACAGUGCGACACCCCGAACUUAUAGCAUUAUCUGCAUCAGCUCCGAAUCAUGUCUUGGGUCAAUAGUUGGGUUUGCCCGGCUCCCAUGUUUUGGUACCUUACGUUCCGCAAUAUCGGCUAAGGUAGCGCUGGGAGAACUACUGCGAUUGUGUCCCGGUUCUUGCGGACGAGCACCUCAGUAGAGAAAGCCGAAAACUGACUGUCAUGAUAAGGCGAGAGUUGGUCGCUGUUCGAGAGGUCUCAAGUCCUUAAAGACUUUUUCCGCUUCGGGCGAGGAGUCGGCCUUGCCCGACUUAGGCGUAUAUAGCGCCCCAAAUUCGGCCUUCCAAAUACUAGGGGCUUCGCCAAAAUUUAAAAUUGUAGACUUCUAUGGCUAAGUGAGAGUGAUAAAGCUUUCUAAUCCGUUUGCCUGGUUCGCUGUGCUGAACACCUCCUUCGAAGGACCCAAAAUUAGGAUAAAGAGUGCUUAGGUUUAUCCCAAACACCCCAGUACUAGUUACAUGGGGGCAGAAGCCGACGACUAGCCAACUCUCAGAUUUCAUAAACGGUCGCACAGAAGGUAAUAUUUUAAAUUAGCAAGCAUUGCAUAGCGCACAUGAACUCGUUUCAUAUUACAGGAUCACAUGAGUACAUUCAUUCGAAUAUUACAUCCUUAACACAUUCCUCCGCCACAAGGCGAGAACCCUUCAGGACACUGUUAUAAUACAUUUCGGGGUGGCGAUGCUCCUUGCCUUCCGGCGGCCCAUCCUUCACCAGCUUUUCGGCGUCCAGCUUCGCCCAGUGCACCUUCGCCCGGGCAAAAGCCCUGCGCGCACCCUCGAUGCAGACGGACCGCUUUAUGACUUCAAGCCGUGGGCAGGCAUUCACAAGCCGCCUCACCAGGCCGAAGUAGCUAUCAGGCAGGGGCUCACCAGGCCACAUCCGGACUAUAAGACCCUUCAUGGCCUGUUCGGCCGCCUUGUGGAGCUCGACCAGUUGCUUCAGCUGGUCGGUCAAGGGCAUUGGGUGUUUGGUCCCAGUAUACUGAGACUAGAACAACUUCUCCAUCGAGCUCCCCUCCUCAGCCCGGUAGAACUCUGCGGCAUCCGACACACUGCGGGGUAGAUCUGCGAACGCUCCUGGAGAGCUCCGAACUCGGGUAAGUAAAAAGAAAGUUUCCUUCACAUGCUUGCUUUGCAUAAUGAAUGCCUUACCCGCUGCUAUCUUCUUAACCGCCUCAAUUUCCCAGAGGGCCUUUUGGGCUUCGGCCUUGGCAUGUUGUGCGCUUUCGAGGGCCUUCGCAAGCUCGGACCCUUGUGUCUUAGAGUCAAGCUCCAAGGACUCGUGUUUUUUGGCGAGAGCCUGGAGCUCUUGCUGCACCUCGCCUACUCGGGCUUCUUGCUUUUCUCGCUCGAUGCGCUCCUUGGCCGCUUUGUCUUCGGCCUCGGAUAGCGCCUUCUGCAGGGACGCCACUUCGGUCGUGGCCCCUAGCAAAAUUCAUGACGAUCCUAUUAUUCUAAAAACCAAAUUUUUUAUAAUAUACAAACGGGGUAUCACUUACCUUCGUUCUCUUCGAGCUACCUCUUGGUAAGGCAGAGCUCUUCCUUUGACCGCUCAAGGUCCCGCUUCAGUGCGGCGACCUCCGCAGUACGUGCGGCAGCGGCUAGCAGUGAAGCCUGCAUAUGCACAUAGACAUAUUCCGAUUAGACUCCUGCGGUUAUUAUUUGAUCCUCUAUUCGGCCUUCCUUUGCGAAUGCCAAACAGAGCAUCAGGGGCUACUGUCUAUGCGGUGACAUUCUCUUAUAAUCUGGGUACUUACCUCAAAGCCUGUUAGGAGGCUGGCACAGGCUUCAGUCAGUCCUCUCUUGGCGGACUGAACCUUCUUGACCACCGCACUCAUAAUGGUGCGGUGCUCUUCAUCGAUGGAAGCGCCGCGAAGCCCUUCCAGCAAGUUGACCGAUGCCUCUGGAUGAACAGAGGCCAUCAGCACACACGGCUUGCCCCCCUUAGCGAGGGGUUGCCGGACAGAAUCCGGAACCACUGGAGGUUCCGGCGCCGUAUUCAGCUUGGGGCUAGACUUUCCGCCCCCGGCGUUAGGGCCCAGAGGAGUCUUGCCCCUCGUGCGCCCAGCGCCAAGAAUGUCGCCUUGAAGCGUCUCCGGAACUGUCUCCCCUUGGUUCAGUCCCCUUUGAGACAACACCUCGGCGUCGUCCGUAGGGCAGGGGGAGGAGGCGGUCUGGAGUGAAUUGUUGUUCCUAUCCGACGGGCCCAGAGAAUCAUCUGACGAAGAUACGUCGAUGUGGGCUCGGGAUGGGCUGCAUAAUCAUGCGCGGCAUGAUAAGAAACAGUACAAUAAGACGUACCAAGAAUUGUUAGGAUAUCCAGAUACUCACGACUUUGCCAGGGGCUUGUCCCUGGGCAACCACUCCUCGUUGCUGAAAGCGGCCGUCGUGGAGCAGUCCGGGAGGAGGGUCCUUCCCUUCUUGGACCCUUCGGCCUCCCCUGAUGGGGCGACCUUCCUUUUCUUGUCCUCCCCGGCUGGGGGGGAGAACUUUCCUCUUCUUCCUCCUCGUUUUCGUGGGAGGAGUGCACCUCGGUGUUUUCGGACGAUGAGUCCGAUAUAACCUUGCGCCGGAGACCCUUCCUGGUCCCCGUGGCCUUCUUCGCCAGCACCUCAUAAGGCGUCGGAACCAGCAUCUCCGUUAGGAGAGCAUCUGCUGGAUCUUUGGGCAGGGGGGCUGGACAAUCGAUCUGCUCCGCUGUCGCUACCCAGUCCUGUUAAAUAGCGUGGAGGCUUAGAUCCCACGCAUGGUUAAACCAGGGAAAAUGAACAUCUUAUAAGAUAUAAAAGACUUACCGGAUUAGCAGGGCGCUUUGCGCUGAGUCCGCGGUCCUCGGUAAGGGGAGGACGUACCUCAGCGCCCUUGAACAGCACCUUCCAGACGUCCUUGUGUGUCGUGUCGAAGAGCUCUCGCAGCGUCUGGUGCUCGGCCGGGUCGAACUCCCACAAAUUGAAUGCCCGUCUUUGACACGAGAGGAUCCGGCGGAAGAGCAUGACUUGGACCACGUUGACGAGCUUGAUUUUCUUGCUCAUCAUGUUUUUGACGCAGGUCUGGAGUCCGGUCAGCUCUACCGAGGAACCCCGGGAUAGGCCCUUCUCUUUCCAGGAGGUGAGCCGCAUGGCGAUUCCGGAUCAAAAUUUGGGGGCCGCCACCCAGUUGGUGUCGCGCGGCUCGGUGAUGUAGAACCACCCCGAUUGCCACCCCUUUAUGGUCUCCACAUAGGAGCCUUCGAGCCAGGUGACGUUGGGCAUUUUGCCCACCAUGGCGCCUCUGCACUCUGCUUGCUGGCCGACCACCACCUUCGGUUUAAUGUUGAAGGUCUUCAGCCAUAAGCCGAAGUGGGGCUUGAUGCGAAGGAAGGCCUCGCACACGAUGAUAAACGUCGAGAUGUUGAGGAUGAAAUUGGGGGCCAGAUCGUGAAAGUCCAGCCCGUAGUAGAACAUGAGCCCGCGGACAAACGGGUGGAGGGGAAAUCCCAAUCCGUGGACAAAGUGGGAAAGAAAAACCACCCUCUCAUGGGGUUCUGGGGUAGGGACGAUCUGCCCCGCAUCUGGCAGCUGGUAUGCGAUAUCCGCGGCCAGAUAUCCUGCUCCCCGAAGCUUUGUGAUGUUCUCCUCCGUAACGGAGGAGACCAUCCACUUGCCUCCUGCUCCGGACAUGCUUGGAGUAGUUUGAGGAGGAAAUGCGAACUUGGGUGCUAGAGCUCGAGUGCGCAAGAAUGGGUGAGCAAGGAGGAAGAGGGCGUGGGUGAAAAGAGGAAUCCCUGUCCCUUUAUAAGGGCGGAAGAAACUAUACGCCUCCCCACCUGACUGGUAAAUUCGCUUAUUCCCCAAGCGCCGUAAUUGAUGGCGCGGUUGGGUUACCCACACCCGUAUUGAUGAGAAUCCCGUGAUAAGGGGACACGAUCUCUGCUUCGACAAGACGUGCCAAGAAAACCGCCUCGCAAUGUGUGCAGUAGCUGGUUGAGAAAAACGGUUCGAAUAAUGACCGAGUCGUGGUGUGAUGUCAUGCUGCCGAAUGUGUCAGCGGAUUAGAUUUGUGGAAAUAUUAUUCUCUCUAUGGUGGUAUGUGGAAUUUGUUUUACAGAGCCGGACACUAUCCUUGUGUUCAAAAUCUUCUAUGGAAUAUUCGGAGGAGGAACCCGCCUUGCAAUGCCGAAGACAAUCUGCACGCCGGACUCAUCGUCAUUGAAGCCUGGUUCAGGGGCUACUGAGGGAGUCCUGGAUUAGGGGGUCCUCGGACAGCCGGACUAUAUCCCUUAGCCGGACUGUUGGACUAUGAAGAUACAAGAUUGAAGACUUCGUCCCGUGUCCGGAUGGGACUCUCCUUGGCGUGGAAGGCAAGCUUGGCAAUACGGAUAUGUAGAUCUCCUCCCUUGUAACCGACUCUGUGUAACCCUAGCCCCCUCCGGUGUCUAUAUAAACCGGAGGGUUUAGUCCAUAGGACAACAACAAUCAUACCAUAGGCUAGCUUCUAGGGUUUAGCCUCUACGAUCUUGUGGUAGAUCAACUCUUGUAAUACUCAUAUCAUCAAGAUCAAUCAAGCAGGAAGUAGGGUAUUACCUCCAUCGAGAGGGCCCGGACCUGGGUAAACAUUGUGUCCCCCGCCUCCUGUUACCAUCCGCCUUAGACGCAUAGUUCGGGACCCCCUACCCGAGAUCCGCCGGUUUUGACACCGACAAUCGGUCCCACCGAAUUGACAUGUCGGUCCCACCAAGAAUCCUAACGUUCACAUUUUGAACUAAAUCGGUCCGACCGAGUUCUCCAAAUCGGUCCCACCGAGUUUGGUGAUUUGUGUGUAACGGUUAGAUUUUGUGUGGAGGCUAUAUAUACCCCUCCACCCACUCUUCAUUCAUGGAGAGAGCCAUCAGAACAUGCCUACACUUCCAAUACAUAUUUUCUGAGAGAGAACCACCUACACUUGUGUUGAGGUCAAGAUAUUCCAUUCCAACCACAUAAAUCUUGAUCUCUAGCCUUCCCCAAGUUGCUUUCCACUCAAAUCUUCUUUCUACCAAAUCCAAUCCUAUGAGAGAGAGUUGAGUGUUGGGGAGACUAUCAUUUGAAGUACAAGAGCAAGGAGUUCAUCAUCAACACACCAUUUGUUACUUCUUGGAGAGUGGUGUCUCCUAGAUUGGCUAGGUGUCACUUGGGAGCCUCCGACAAGAUUGUGGAGUUGAACCAAGGAGUUUGUAAGGGCAAGGAGAUCGCCUACAUCAUGAAGAUCUACCCUAGUGAGGCAAGUCCUUCGUGGGCGACGGCCAUGGUGGGAUAGACAAGGUUGCUUCUUCGUGGACCCUUCGUGGGUGGAGCCCUCCGUGGACUCGCACAACCGUUACCCUUCGUGGAUUGAAGUCUCCAUCAACGUGGAUGUACGAUAGCACCACCUAUCGGAACCACGGAUAAAAAAUCUCCGUGUCAACAUUGCGUUUGCUCCCUGAAUCUCAUCCCUUUACCUUCAUGUGCAAUUGUUUUACAUUCCGCUGCUAUACUCUUAGAAUUGCAUGUGUGGGUUGAUUGCUUGACUUGUGAUAAGUUGCUAAAAUCUGCCAAGAACUAAAAUUGGGAAAAGGCUAGAUUUUUAUUUGGUCAAGUAGUCUAAUCACCCCCCUCUAGACAUACUUUCGAUCCUACACCCUUAAGCGAUGGCAUCUUGACAUCACACGUAUCAUUAUGAAGCGGCAUCAACUUGCACAAGGCGAGGCCUCCGUCGUCCGCGCCCAUGCGAACAAGCUUAUAGCGAAGAAGAUAAGGGAGAUCAAACCGCUUCUGGACCCUUGGGUUCCUUGUAAUGAUGUUAUUAGUUGAGUCGAGAAUGUUCUUGAACGAACCUGCCAUGCUAGCCGAGGUGAUGACGUCGCAUCGAUCAAUGAGUUCCCCCACCACGUCAUCUUUCAGAUCGGGGCAAGAAUAAUGGGGUCGUUUCCGGCUUGUUCCCUCCAUGGAGAAGACGAUCGAACAAUGGCAGAAGGAAGGGUGAAGGCAAAUGGAGGAGGGAGGAAGAGCGUGCGAUAGCAGUUCCAAAUCGAGAGGGAAAGGCGAAGAGUCAGUGGACGGUUGCCAGUUUGCCACAGUACACGAAGAGGCGCCCCGGCCUACACGUCCUUUCGGAAAUUGUACAAAAGGACUCGCCAUCGUCUCACUGACAUGUUGGAACGGGACCACAUGUCAACGAAACAUGGUGUGUAAUUUCUCGUGCAAAAUGCGAUCUGGCCGCGUUGGCCCGAGGUGCCGCAUUAGUUAUUGACCUUUAUUUUUUUAAUGGCGUGCCGUUCACUUUUGAAGCACGACUAACUAGUAUUGUUUGCAGAGAAAAUAUAAACUACUCUACCACUACUCCACCUCUAGUACUAGUAGUAUUAAAAAGAUAUAUAGGCUGGAGCUUCAGAGCUUUCUUGCUAAGGGCUGCCCACUUGCUUCUCACACUAUCACCCUCUCUCCGGAUCUAAAAAGACGACCUCUCUCUCCCUCCUCACCGGUGGUCACAGAUCCGCCGGGGAAGAAAAGGACGUGCAGUGUUGACGCACUCGUCAUCGGCGAGCGAGAUCACGCACUGACGACAAGGCCGCCCUCUCAGACCUAGCGCCCGCGCGGGAUGGCCUCCGUCCCCAAGCUCGCUGCCGUAGUGCGUGCGGAGGACGACGACCACGAGCGAAGCCACUUCCCGCCGACCCUCAGGUAUGCUACCUCUUUUUGAACCAUACCCUUGUUCUAUUGCCCCAUCUGCCACAUCGCUGCACAGUGGCGGAGACAUCACACGGCGAACUGGGGCUGUUGCCCGGGCUCCCAUGGUGCAACUCCAUGAAGCUCUAGUACAAAAAAUUGGGUGAAGUAGAAUUUUGUUUGGGCAAAAACAAAUUAAUUUGGCAGCACUUAGAUCUUGCCCAGGCUCUAAACUUGAGCUGGCUCCGCCACUAUCGCUACAUGUGGAUCUUUUUCCACUCCACCAUCUUCCCAAUUUCUUGUCCUCUGCUCUGCUGGUCAUGCAGACGAAAACCUUAAUUUGCACUAUUAAAGGAAACCCUACUUCAUGCAGACUAAUCCAUGUCUGGGUUGAAUAAGGAAAGGAAGGGAGACUGUACUGUCCAAGAGAGUAGGCAUCGAACCCGCAUCUAGGUUGAAAAGGGGAAAAUCAGUAGCUAAGGAACGAGUCUCGUGUCUCUUGGUUGAAGAAGGGUAGAAAGGCAUGACAACGCAAUAGAGAAUGACCAGGUCGAUCGGUUUGUUGUCCUCACAUAGGAAAAAGGUGGCUAAAGAGAACAAAAAUGGAACAUAAUCCACAUAUGCUGCCUGGAUAUUUGUUGCUCUGGGCAACCAUACCUCCCUCACCACUCUAUGCGUCCGUGGAGGUACAUCGUACUGGUGCACCCACUGUCUGAAUGGGUCUCCCAUGCUCUUAUUGCCACUUUUUUGCUGUUAGUAUAACGCCAGCGGUAAAGUCAAUCAAUGCUACUGCUAAAGUGAUGCCACAUUUAACUAAUGCCGCAGUCAGUCUAAUGCCACCGAUAAAUUUAAGCAAUGCCAUUUAAUGUCUCUGGAUUAUUUCAGGGUUAGCUGUUGAUUGUGGACGUAUUAAAGAUUUUUCAGCUAAGGCAUUCUAAUGUUCUUGCACAACCAGUAUACCAACGAUGAAACUUGUUACUACCUUUAGAUUUUUGCACUGUUAAUGCUUAUAGAUUACAUACCUCACUUUCAUGAGAUAAGUCAAUUAUUUUGUACAGUGUCACCAAAAUGCCAAGGCGCUGAUGUCAUUUUAUUUUGGUUAAACUGCACAAAAAAUUAUGAAGACAAGAGGAAAGGUCAAGAGUGGGCACCUCCUCCUUUGGCUAUUGUAUUGAUUCGUUCGAUCAAGUUUUAUGUUUGAUCGAUUAUCAAGAUUGGGAUAGCAAUUUUUCAUGUCCACUCGAGUUCGAAAUGAUAUUUACCUUGAAGGUACAUGGUUUGCAAUUUUUUAAUACUGUCAUUAGUUAAUAAUGCUAGUUACCUUCAGACUUUUGUAUUUGGUUUAAUGCUCUUGCACAGCUAGUAUACCAAUGCUGAAACUUGUUACCUUUACAUUUUGUAUUGUUAAUUCUUAUAGAAAUCUUCCAGUGCUAGAGCUUAUGGAAAUUUGUUCAGUAAAACCAUUGUAUUGUACCCUGUAAUAAAAUAACUACUCUACUGUUGCACUAGCCACUGGAUUAGUGUAUAUUUGUACUAUUCGAAUGGUGUUGCAUUAGCGUAUGGACAUAUAUAAAGUGUGGCAAGCUUUCCGAGAUAUGUGCUCAAGAAAACUACUACCUGUUUUUCUAAAUACUGACCGUUUCGGUACUUUAAAUUGAAUUGUGAAAACGUCUUAUAUUAAGGAACAGAGGGUGUAGAGUUCACUCAAAUUAUCCCGGUAAAGCUAGUCACACCUUUGUUAAAAUUAAUGUUCAUUAUGUUAUCGGAGGAGGUCUGUAUGUUUGUCUCUAAUGCCUGUCGACAACAUACCUGACAUCAUGAUGUAAUGUUAAGCCAUUUCCUUUUGUACAGUGUCACUGAAUUGUCAAGGCGGUGAUGGCAUUUUAUUUUAGUUGAACUGCACAAAAUAUGCUUAAAAGAAGAGGAAAGGUCAGGAAUCGAUCACUCUUUCAGAAAGAACUACAUAUGCCUUUCUGACAUCAGCAGUUGUUGCCUUAUUUAUUCCUUCAAACAGGUGGUUAGAAACAGUCUUGCUACCUUUUCCCAUUAAGAAAUUGGAAUGCUUAUAUUUGUGAGUCUAUGCUUCAACUAGUGCCACUUUUAUAGUAAUCACACUUUCAAUAUCUAUGCAAACAGGGAUGCUCGAUUUUAGUGGAACUGCACAAAAAGUCCAGCUGGUUCAACAUUAGGAGCAUGUUUUCUUCCAAACCUUUAUAUCCAAUUGGUGGCACUAUGAGCUGUUCAUUACGAAGGUACAUGGUUUGCUACUAUCUUUCUACUCUUUUUGUACUGUCAUUAGAUAGUAAUACUAGUGGUUUGCAUGUGAAUUUAUUGGCAGGGUGGACCUACAUUGGAGGUGCAGGACAAGAUUCAAUGAUUGGAUGCUCAAUUUCGGUUGUAUCGAUUUCACCUCUUCCAUCAUUGCGAACAUGGAUAUCCUUGGUCUGAUGAAGAAUAGGCGCUAUAUUUCUGCUCUGAACCAGCAAAUCAAUUCAGUAUGAAAUUGUCCAGGGCAAAACAUGACUGUAUCAAAUUGUCCAGUGCAAAACAUGAUAGAUUCUAAGCGGAAGAGACAUGUUUAAACUGAAAAUACAAGGUGGGGUAUAUGUUUACUAGCUGCUUGAUAUUUGUGCAGACAAAGAUGUCUGCCCGUUGCUAUUUGGCAAACACACAAAGUGGCCGCAAUUUUGGUUGAACUGCACAAGAGAAUAGUAUAGUCACUGCAUGCAGUGCCAUUUGAAAAUAGACAUAGAAAGAUUGAAUAGUCACUUCAUGGACUGCAGAAAAGUAGUACUGUACUAUUUAUUGGCCAACACUAGGUGCUUCAUUGCUUUGGUGUUAUUAUACAAUGGGCAUCAUUUUGCCUAAGUUAAAGUUUGUAUUCCGAAAAUAGUCUCGCCGUGUGAUCGAGAGAAGAUCAAAUCAUAUUGCAGGGGAUGUUCCUCCAUCAUGUGUGGUUCAUUCUCAUGGUUCCAGCUGUUGGUGAAACCAUUUACGUUUGCAAGAGGAAUUGUAGACUUCACAAACAAAUUUGUCUUUCAGUCUGUACUGAAUGUUGGCCAAGAGAAGCAUCCAUGUUAGUAGGAAGAACAGAUGUUUUUUCUAGAUCUUUGCUUUUGGAGCUACAUAUUUAUAUAUGAUCUGUGAAUCAUUGAGAUGCAGUAACAUGUUGAUCUUAUGAAUGGGAAUCGUACUAGUUGGUUUUUGAAUUUGGGCUACUAAUGUGAACAUAUUACAAUGCCAGGCAUGUGAGUCUCGUGUGAACAUUUUGAACGGAUCGGCUCUUACUGCUGUGCAUAGCAUGAUCCUUAUUUCUGUGUUCUCAGUGUUUACAAGUUACUAACAGUUCCUUAUUUCUGUUCGCUCAGUGUUUACAAGUUACUGAUCGAUCACUAGCUAGCCUACUAAUGCGCUCCUGGCAGUUUUAGUUCCGACGCAAGAUCUUAAGUGGUAGUUUUUUGAAUAAAAAUGCCUACCUCUCAAGAAACUGACAAGCUGCUCUAAAGAAAAUGCCAUGCGAAUCUGAAGAAACUGCCAGCAAAAACAUUCACAAAUGCCUUAUCUCCCAGCGAACGUUCAUCAGCUAAUGCGAUCGUACACGUACACCAUCCGACCUACUCGAUCCUACACGUACACUAUCCGACCUACUCGAUCCUACACGGAUAAAUAGCGGAUCACGCACGUACUACCUCCUUUCCGGUUUGCAGGGCUCAAUUCAAAAAACGACCUACUCGAUCCUACACGAAUAAAUAGCAGAUCACGCACGUACUACCUCAUUUCCGGUUUGCAGGGCUUAAUUCAAAAAUCUAACCAACCAAGGUAGAUGAUGAGUGGUGGAAUCAUUUUUGACAAGAAGGGAGUAGCUCAUCUGGAUGAUUCGAGUGCCCUCGUUUGACCGUCAUGCCGGCGUGCGACCCAGCACGGAUGGGACGCACCACUGAAGGGACGGGAUGGCACAGUCAUAAUUUCAGUUUUUCUAGUUUUCCACGGCAAGCUGGCACGCUAAGCCAUGCCUGCUUAUGCAUUGAAUUCCGAUGACCGUGAUGACCGUCGCGUUUCCCGCGACACGCUAGUUCGCCUACCUUCCGCCUAUAAUUACUGUUUCCCGGGCUUCUCCGGUGGCACCAUCACCCAACUCGCCCUAUCCUCAUAAGCUCCCACCGGCCCGACGUCGCUCGCCACUUAUCCUCGCUCUCGCCACGUCCGACAUGCCCCCGCCUGUCCGCGAUAGGCGACACCGAAGGCGGUCACCGCCGGAACUAGUGUUCGUUUUUUCACCGGAAGGCAGACGGAGGGAGGAGGCAUUCUAUCGGUCUUUAGAUGGCAAUGCGGAGAUCGAGGAGUUGUUGGAGCGCGACCGCCUGGCGGAGGAGCAGGAGUUGUUGGAGUGCGACCGCUUGGCGGAGGAGCAGCGUAUCGCCGAUUUGCGCCGCCAACGGGACAUGGAGCAGCAGCGCACCAACGCUGUGAGUCGCGAGCAGAGCGCCCGCAACUGGGCCGACUAUGUGGAGGCCGGCGCCCGGCAAAUAGCCCUGGAGGCUGUCGGGCACGCACGCGUUCGCAACGCUGAUUUUUACUACCAACUCGUCAAGUGGGUUUCCCGCUUAGAAGCCGAAGCUUCGGUGGACCACGCCGGCAUGGAAAGGGCCAACGCGCCCUAUCGCACCUCUGGCAAGUCCGAGGCGAGGCGAAGGACGCCGGUGCCGGUGUUUAGCGUGUACCGCAGAUGGCGACCGGCAUCGUCUUGUUAGCUAAGAGUAAGUUAGUACUUGUACGCUACUAGAGUAUUAGUGGGAGUAGAUAGUUAACUUGGCUAUGAUGGAUGUCAACGUGGAAGUUCAGUAUUCUAUAUGUGGAUCAGACCUGUUACUUUGCUCUGAAUGUUGAACUUUCCGUUUGAACGUAUGGAAUGGGCUGUUAUUUUUUUAAAUGGGUUGUAUUUGUCCUCCACGGGUUUAGAGGCUGACUUGUGGGCCUACCAAGUUGACGCGUACACAAUCAGGAGAUGAUUGUACAUGGAGAGGAUGACAGCAGGGACCCGCCAAGGUCAUGGCAGUAUGCAAGCAAGUGCCUCCUUAUUUCAAGUCAAUAAAAAAAUGGCUCCUCCUAAUGGAUUUCUGACAUCUGGGUCCCAUGCCAUUGUCAACGUAGUCAAUAAACGAGAGAAUUGCACAACGAGCGGCUGACACCAGGGACCCAGCAGCUCGCCCAGUUAUUUUUGUUUUGGGUUAAUUUGAUAAAUGCCACUCCAAAUCUGGUGUUUCUGAGAAAUGCUGCUGCAAUUUCCAAACUUUGAAAAAUGCCAUUUCAUGCCAUUUCCAGUGACAUUUUUCGAAGUCUGGAGUGGCAUUUUUCAAAGUUUGCAAAUUGCACUGGCGUUUUCCAAAGUUUGCAAAAAUUGCAGUGGCAUUUUUCAAAGUUUGGAAAUUGCAGUGGCAUUUUUAUGAAUCGCCAUAACUGGAGUGGCAUUUAUCUAAUUUGUUCUUGAGACGAAAGCAGGGUGUCAACUGGGCUGUGCGGGGCACUCUGGCCUGUCUAGACAGCCUUCUCUUUUAUGUUUACCACUGACCAGCCGAGUAGUUUUUUUUUCUUUCUGAAAAUGGCUAGCCCGGUUUUUUUUGUGAUUUGCCAAGUAAGUCGCUUUGUCAGGCCUGUUGGGCUGCAAAUCUUUCAAGAUGAGGAGAGCUUCAUUCGGCUAGACGAGAAAAUGGCCUAUCAGUAAUGAGAAAUGGGCUGUACAUUUUUUAAACACAUCAAACUGACAAUUAGUUUCAAAUUUCUUUUUUUCAUUUCGAGAUUUUAAAUUGCAUUAAUUUUUAUGCGUGGACAGUUUGUUGGAUUUUAUAUUGAUAUACAUUUAUUUUUAAAAUCAGUUUGAAUGUGACUCAAAAUUUUGGGAUUAAAAAUAGUUCAUCCAACCUUAAGAAUAUGGGCUGUAAUGCUAACAAAAAGAAUAUGGGCUCCAAAAAAAACCUUAAGAAUUAGCAAAUGGGCUGUAAAUUAUUAGAAAUAAUGGCAGAUGGGUUGUAUGCUGUUUUCCACAGAUUUGAGGCUUUCCUAGAAAAAAGGUUGACGCACAAGCAGUGACUGUUGGAUGUCCAUCCAACGGGCGUCGUGCUUCUUCAAUCUCUGCUCUUCCUGCUCCAGCCGCUCAAACAAGUGUCGGCGGGACUGCCUGCUCCCUCCUCCCCGUGGCCGGCUGUGCUGCCGCGCAGGCCUCAUCGCCCCACCGUACUCCCAUUGCUGGCCUAGCCAUCCCUCUAGUCACCCACACCUGCUGUUAUUCUCCGGCGACGAUAGACGAACCAGUAAACCCUCGUACAGUCGUACUCCCCUCAGCGUGGGAAACAACUGCCGAGUCUUCCCUACCUCCGUGUCGUUCCCUUCCUAGGCCUCGCCGUCGUCCAGCGCCCUGGUGCUCUCGGCGCGGCCAGGUCAACAUGGUCAACGACCAACAUGCAUCUGAAGUGGACUGUACGUGGAGAGGCUGACUGCUGGGUCCACGGCCGCACACAAGGAAAUGCCUCCUUAUUACGCGCAAAAUAAUGAUUCCUCCACCUGACAUCUGGGACCCACCGAAAGGGCCUCUGUAUUUCGUGAAAAAACGUUACCGCCGUUGACAGCUCGGACCCACCAGCUAUAUCUUCGCACGCAAGGAAGUGCGUCCUUAUUACGCACAAAAAAAUGAAUACUCCCCCUGCUAGCUGGGACCCAGUAUAGUGGCAGGCUGACUUGUGGGCCUACUAAGUUGACGGGGACGGAGGGCUUUGUCAACUUAGUCAAUAUGCACGAUUCUAGCUCCAGUGACCGUAUGAUGUCCAUCCAACGGCCGUAGUACUUCUUCAACCUCUGGUCUUAUUGCUCCAGCCGCCCAAACCAGCGCCGGUCGUGCCUCGUGCUCCUGCCUCCCGUGGCCGGCUGCGAUGCGGCGGAGGCCUCACCGCUCCCUACUACUCCCACCGCUGGCCAGGCCAUCCCUCUACUCACCCACAUCCCCUGUUAUUCUGCCGCAACGGUAGCCUCACACUGUAGAGAACUAGUGAACCCUUGUACUCCUCUACGCGUGGGCAUCCACUACCGCGUCUUCCUCGGCUCCGCGUCGUCCCCUUCCUAGGCCUCGCUAUCGUCCACCGCCCUGGUGCUCUCGGCGCGGCGUGGUCAACAUGGUCAAGUAAUGGCUUCCAUCGGACGUGGACUGUACAUGGAGAGGCUGGCAGCUGGGUCCACGGCCGCAGCAAGGAAGUGCCUCCUUAUUACGAGUAAAAUAAUUAUUCCUCCACCUGACAGCAGGGACCCACCGGACGGGCCACCGUAUUUCGCGAAAAAAACGUUUCCCCCUUACUGCUGGGACCCAGCAACUACAUCUUCGCCCGCAAGGAAGUGCGUCCGGGCAAAAAAAAUGAGUCGCCCCCCUGACUGCUGGGACCCACCAGCUACAUCUUCGCAUGCAAGGAAGUGCCUGACAGUCGGGACCCACCUGGUCGAAGCGUACGUAGCAUUGUCAUUCUGGUCGCGAACGUGUACGUACAUACUGGUCGAUGUAGAGGCGCGCACGUAGCAUGUACACGUAUGUACAGCGGCCAGUGUGCAAGAAAGAAAAUACGGCCACGUACGUACAUACGGGCAGGGUCUCGAACGCCUACUCGCGCAUACGUACGGCCAGGGCUCAUGUACAUGGCUGGGUCGGAACGGAGAAAUGGCGUCAUCGUCGUGUUCAUGGGGAGGCAACGGAAUGCGUCGUGUUCAUCGGGAGGCAACGGAACGCAUGGGAGCCAACCGGCUUGGACGGAACAGCCGAUGGAAACGAAGCCUGGCGUACCACAGAACGAAGGAAACGGCCUUGUGUUCGACCGGCCACGUUCGAAACGGGAUCCUGUUCAUCGGGAGGGGUCUGGCGUACCGCAGAACGGAGGAAACAGACCUCUUACGGUCGAAACGGGGGUCCUGUUGAUCGGGAGGGGUAUGGCAUACCGCAAAACGGAGGAAACAGACUUGUGUUGGAGCGCUACGGUCGAAACGGGGGUCCUGUUCAUCGGGAGGGGUGUGGCGUUCCGCAAAACGGGACUCCACGGGAUACUGUUCAUCUCCACCGUCGACCCCCUCCAGCCUCAACGGGCUACUGUUCAUCCACCGUCGACCUCCUCCAGCCUCCACCUGCGACUGUUCAUCCACGGGCUCCUGUUCAUCCAGCCUCCACCGCGCGCUACUCCACCGGCUACUGUUCAACCAGCCCUCUCCACGGUCUACUCUUCAACCACCCCUCCACGGGCUACUGUUCAUCCAGCCCUCCACCGUCUACUAUUUAUCAUGCCCUCCACGGGGUGGUCCUGUUCAUCCUACCCUCCACGGGGUCCUAUUCAUCCAGCCCCAACCGACUCGAACGAUCGGGGUCCUGUUCAUCCAGAGGCAACGCCACGGGGUCCUGUUCAUCCACCCCCACCGGAAACUGUUCAUCCAAACCCCCCAGCAACGCUCACUGUUCAUCCAGAGGCAGCAUCGAUUGGCUUCACUUAGCAGCAGUAGCGAAGGAAUCGCUCGAUCGGGUUCAGUUAACAGCCAUCGAUCGAUCGCUCGGGUUCAGUAACGCAUAGCCUGCAGUGCAAUCGCUCGGGUUCAGUUAGAGCCCAACGCCUCGCUCGGGUUCAGUUAGAGCCCAACGCCUCGCACCCACGCACGUGCAUGUACGAGAGACACGCGCAUCGCUCGGCCCCGACCACCCACCCUAACCGGGAACACCCCGAUAUUUUCCUCGCCCUCGCUUCUACCAUAGUUUUUUCCGUCAUGGACGGCCCAAAGAAUGUCAUGCAGCUGCGUCUCCGGCCCGCCCAGGACGAAAAGCCCAUUUUCUGUCAUGAUUUUUUAUCAUAGAAGUAGGACUCCACCACAUCUAUGAUGAUACCGUGUUUUGUCACAAUUAUUGUCAUAGAAGUGUCAUAAGUAUGACAGAAAAAAAUUCGUUCGGCCCAAAAUGUCACGGAUGUGUCUUUUUUUGUAGUGAAGGGUUCUGUCCGCGAAAAGUGGAUUAGGCGAAGCCUGCGCGAGUCUGUUAAGAGGCUUCGAGGUUUGUACUGAAAAGACCAUUGAGUGUGUUUUAUUCAUGAACUGCAUCUGUGUAUAGGUAGUAGCCCCUGAGACUCUGAUUGGCCUCCCAAGGGGAGCGGUCAGAGGAUCAAAAAGAUAUGCCCAGGAAAUAACCAGAUGAACUGGAACACAGGCUAUUACCACUCUGGCGACUGCCCGGACUACGGAGGUGGCAGAGCUGCGGCGGAAGCUUGAUGUGGCAGAUGAUGAUAUUACGCUUAUCAACAGGCAGCUUGACGAGGUGCAAGGUAUGUCUUCGGGGAUUGUCAUUACAUGCCUGUGCCUGUACUUGAUCAUGACGCUAAGAAUUAUGAUAUGCAUAACUGCAGAUGGUGCUGCUGCGGUUGAGAUCCUUCGGGCUGAGCUGGCCCGUGCUAAAGAGCGGGCCCGGAUGAAUAAUGCGACUGCCGAGAAGGCCUCUGCCGAGUUAAAGGUCGAACAGGCUGCUUGGCGCCAAUGGGAGGAGAGAAUGCCCACGAUGAUGCGUGAGCUAAAGGAUGCCGCUAGCCGCUGUGAAAUCCUCGAGAAGGAUAAUAAAGCCAAAAUGGCUAGUCUUGAUAAGGCCUUACAAGAGGCGAAAGAGGCGUGUUCCGAAUCUAGAGUGGCGCGGGAGGAGAUCCCACAAGCUGGGGAGAUCGCGGCUGGUAAGCCCUUUUUAUUGCAAACUAAGUUCGGCGAUCCGAAUUAUGCUCCACUUAAUCAGGUGUGGAGUUCUCCAGACGCGUUAUUGGACCUGCCGAAGAGUGCUUCCGAUGCGGCGCAGCUUUACCAAGCGCAAGAGGGGUAUGCAACGGGGAAGCUUUUUUGGUCGCAGUUCGGUGCAUCAAAACGCCCACUGUUGUUGAACGAAUAGAUGACCCAAUGGGCCGAAGUCCAUAGACUAUCCGGUUCUGCCAUGAAGGAUGCUGUGGCCGGGCUGUGGCCGAACGAGCCAAUUCCGAAUAGUUAUUUUGGUUUGGUGCGGCGACUUGCUGAUGCGGUGCCGCCUAUCGACGUCGUUAAGUGGUCGGCAUGCAUUGAAGGUGGACGGAUGGCCUUUGCCCGUGUCAAGACAUAUUGGGCGAAGAUGAAGGCCACAGAUGUUGCCGUGAAGGGUCCACCCAAAGGCAAGGACCAUCACGCACCAGAGCAUUAUUUUGAGGAUGUCUUGGAGGGUGCCCGCUUGAUAGAGGGUCAAUGCUCGAAAAACAUGAUAUUCGAGUGAAAUGUAUGGGUAGUUGUAAAAGGCAAUGUUUAUGAUAAGGCUAUUUUGUAGUUAUGCCUAAAACUCUUAUUCCUCCUGUGCGGCCGUUUUUGUAUUAUACUGAAAGUUUUCCAGUCGUCGGCUUCAGCCCCCUCGUAUAAAGUACGUGGGUGUUCGGAAAAGCAUUUGAUCACUCUUAACCCAACGUCUUGGUCCUUUAAGGAGGUGUCAAUGCGGUGAACUAGGCAAUCGGACUAUAGGGCGUUAACACUUUCACUUAGCCAUAGGAGUUUUAUGGGGGGGACUACGAUAUAGCCCCUGGUAUGUAUACGGCUUAUUCCGAUAUGGUGUGUUACAUGUAUGACCUGAAGAGAAAAGGUCCUUCGUAUAAUACGGAGGGAAUCGCGAAAGAUUCUGAUAAGUCAUCGAGUGGUUGACCAGCUCUCGCCGCAUCAUGACAGUCAGUUUUUGGCUUUCUCUACUAAGGUGCUUGACCAGAUGAACUGGAAGCACAAUCGCAGUAGUUCUCCCUUUACUACCCUAGCCGAUAGAGCGGAACGUAAGGUAGUAAGCACAGGAGCCGGGCAACCCAACUAUUGACCCAAGACAUGAUUCGGAGCUGAUGCAUAUAAGGCCAAACUCGCGACGCCGAAGUUCGCUAUAAAGUUGUUCGGACUUGUCGGCAACUCAUUUGUUCCCAUACCGAGCUCGUGGCAAUUUAUGCCGAGGUGUAUGUGUGAAACCACCACAGGAGCCAAAUUCAUUUUUUGAAAAGAGCGAGUGCUGGAUGCGGGCUAUGUUUACCGGGACCUGAGUGAUAUGUCAUAAAUAACAAAGCCGCAACCCCGGCUAUUUGACAUGCUCGGGGUCGAAGGCGGGGGAAAGGCACAUUACAGGCUCGAAAUAAAGAGUGCGGUCUACAAAAAGUUAUUUUGGACCUCCUGUCGCACGUCUGUGUCGCCUGUCCUCAAUGAUUGGAUUCCUUGACGGAAAUAGCCUUUAGGUGAGUGUAUGGAUCCGAACUCCGAUGGAGUCCAUUGAUAUGAUUAGCCUUUGCAUCACCUGUGGUAAAGGAUAAUGAAAAAGAAAGAGUAAUUAGAAAAAUGGUUACGGGAGUGCUUGCAGGCUCAUCCGUAUUGUGCUUCUGCCGAUGCCCAGGGUAUUUUAAGUGCAUAGUUAUGCAUGCGCGAUACAAAUUUCGCAGGUAUAUGAGGUGGGCGGCGGAAGCCGAACUGCUAGGUCCGCUCCGGAAUUGGUCGAUCAUGUUGUAUGGAGACCGGUGGCUUAAUGGCCGGCAAGGUGUGCGGUUUAGUGAGACAGCUUUGUACUUCGGCUGAGAUUGCCGCUAUAUAAUCGUUAGUCUGGAGGCAGUGUUUCUCCUGCUCCGAUGUGGAGUUGUGUGUCACGUAUACCAUAUUCACUGUUUUUACUUCGGGGGGAAAUUGCUUCUGACCCCCGGUAUUUGGUUGGUAAGUCUUUUCGUCAUCGCUAUCACCGGGCGGCCUCCUCCCCUUGUGUUCGGCGUUGAGCUUGCCGGCCUGCUUGAAGGCCCAGCAGCUUCUGUUGGUAUGAUUAGCUGGUUUGUCAGGGUGGCCGUGAAUCUGGCAGGGCCGAUCCAAUAUCCUGUCUAAAUUGGAUGGUCCGUCUCUAUUUGCGUUGAAGGGCUUUUUCCGUUGACCGGGUUUGGGACCGCUGAAUCCGGCGUUAACCGUAGUGUUGCAUGUUCUUUCGUUAUCAUUGCGACAUUUGUGCUUGUUGCACUGUGGCUUGCCGUUGCCGUCUCGGACUUCGGAAGUGCCCGGAUCGCUGGCGCUGUUGCUUCUACGAGCGAGCCAGCUGUCUUCUCCCGUGCAAAAGCGGGUCAUCAGAGCGGUAAUGGAUGACAUAGAUUUUGGUUUUUCUUGACCAAGGUGGCGGGCAAGCCACUCGUUCCGAACGCUGUGUUUGAAGGCCGCUAGGGCUUCCGCGUCUGGACAGUCGAUGAUUUGGUUCUUUUUAAUUAAGAACCUAGUCCAGAGCUUCCUGGCUGACUCUCAGGGCUGCUGGACAACGUGACUUAAGUCAUCGGCAUCUGGUGGCCGAACAUAUGUGCCUUGGAAGUUGUCGCGGAAGGCGUCUUCCAAGUCCUCCCAGCUGCCAAUAGAGUUUUCCGGCAGACUGUUUAACCAGUACCGAGCUGGUCCUUUGAUUUUUAAUGGCAGGUAUUUGAUGGCGUGAAGGUCAUCUCCUCUGGCCAUGUGGAUAUGGAGGAGGAAGUCCUCGAUCCAUACCGUGGGGUCAGUUGUUCCGUCGUAUGAUUCAAUAUUCAUGGGUUUAAACCCAUCUGGGAAUUCGUGCUCCAUUACUUCGUCUGUGGAGCAAAGAGGAUGUGCGGCGCCUCUAUAUUGGGCCACACUGCAACGUAGCUCCGAUGGAGUCCGUCUUCGGUUUUCGGCCCGGGCGUGACUAGGUUUGUUGCGUCCGAGUAGAUAAUCGUCGCCACGCGUCGGGGCACCUCCUCGUGAUCCGUAGAUCAAUCUAGUAUGUCUUGCUCUGUUGUCCGGGCCCUGCCGGGGGUCGUAUGUAUAACCAUGAGCUGUUUUGUCCCUGCCCUUACGGCAAGGUGGGGCGGGCUAGUGUUCGGCUUGAGUUGUCGUUCUGUAGUGACCGCGUUGUGGUCGAUUAGCCGCAUUGUGUGAUGACGGUAUGAGCACCGGCACCUCAUCACCGGACAGAGGUAGCAGUUUGCACUUCGGAUAAUUUUUAGCUGGUCCGCUGAUACGUCUCCAACGUAUCUAUAAUUUAUGAAGUAUUCAUGCUAUUAUAUUAUCCAUCUUGGAUGUUUAAUGGGCUUUACUAUGCACUUUUAUAUUAUUUUUGGGACUAACCUAUUAACCCAGAGCCCAGUGCCAGUUCCUAUUUUUUCCCUCGUUUCAGUGUUUCGCAGAAAAGGAAUAUCAAACGAAGUCCAAACGGAAUGAAACCUUCGGGAGAGUUAUUUUUGGAACGGAAGCAAUCCAUGGGACUUGGAGUGCACAUAAGGGAAGCAACGAGGAAGGCACGAGGCAGGGGGGCGCCCACCCCCCUGGGCGCGUCCUCGACCCUCGUGGCUCCCCUGACCGACUUCUUUCGCCUAUAUAUAUCAAUAUACCCUAAAACCAUCGGAAAACAGAAUAGAUCGGGAGUUCUGCCGCCGCAAGCCUCUGUAGCCACCAAAAACCAAUCGGGACCCUGUUCCGGCACCCUGCCGGAGGGGGGAUCCCUCACCGGUGGCCAUAUUCAUCAUCCCGGCGCUCUCCAUGACGAGGAGGGAGUAGUUCACCCUCGGGGCUGAGGGUAUGUACCAGUAGCUAUGUGUUUGAUCUCUCUCUCUCUCAUCUUCUUGAGGUGGUACGAUCUUGAUGUAUCGCGAGCUUUGCUAUUAUAGUUGGAUCUUAUGAUGUUUCCCCCCUACUCUCUUGUAAUGGAUUGAGUUUUCCCUUUGAAGUUAUCUUAUCGGAUUGAGUCUUUAAGGAUUUGAGAACACUUGAUGUAUGUCUUGCCGUGCUUAUCUGUGGUGACAAUGGGAUAUCACGUGAUCCACUUGAUGUUUUUUUUGGUGAUCUACUUGCGGGUUCCGCCCAUGAACCUAUGCAUAGGGGUUGGCACACGUUUUCGUCUUGACUCUUCGGUAGAAACUUUGGGGCACUCUUUGAAGUACUUCGUGUUGGUUUGAAUAGAUGAAUCUGAGAUUGUGUGAUGCAUAUCGUAUAAUCAUACCCACGGAUACUUGAGGUGACAUUGGAGUAUCUAGGUGACAUUAGGGUUUUGGUUGAUUUGUGUCUUAAGGUGUUAUUCUAGUACGAACUCUAUGAUGGAUCGAUCAGAAAGAAUAACUUUGAGGUGGUUUCGUACCCUACCAUAAUCUCUUCGUUUGUUCUCCGCUAUUAGUGACUUUGGAGUGACUCUUUGUUGCAUGUUGAGGGAUAGUUAUAUGAUCCAAUUAUGUUAUUAUUGUUGAGAGAACUUGCACUAGUGAAAGUAUGAACCCUAGGCCUUGUUUCCUAGCAUUGCAAUACCGUUUACGCUCACUUUUACCACUUGUUACCUUGCUGUUUUUAUAUUUUUAGAUUACAAAAACCUAUAUCUACCAUCCAUAUUGCACUUGUAUCACCAUCUCUUCGCCGAACUAGUGCACCUAUACAAUUUACCAUUGUAUUGGGUGUGUUGUGGACACAAGAGACUCUUUGUUAUUUGGUUGCAGGGUUGCUUGAGAGAGACCAUCUUCAUCCUACACCUCCCACGGAUUGAUAAACCUUAGGUCAUCCACUUGAGGGAAAUUUGCUAUUGUCCUACAAACCUUUGCAUUUGGAGGCCCAACAACGUCUACAAGAAGAAGGUUCCGUAGUAGACAUCAAGCUCUUUCCUGGCGCCGUUGCCGGGGAGGUGAGUGCUUGAAGGUAUAUCUUUAGAUCUUGCAAUCGAAUCUUUUAUUUUCUUGUCUUAUCACUAGUUUAGUUUAUAAAAGAAAACUACAAAAAAAUGGAAUUGAGUUUACCUUAUACGCUUCAUCUUUUUAAUAUCUUUCGUGAGUAUGAUGGGAAGGAAAAUUGUGCCAAAGUGUUAGAAGAAGAAUGCAUUAAAAUGUUUGGCACUAAAUCUUUGAAUGAUGAGCAUGAUUGCAAUGUUGUUAGUAUGAACUCCUUGAAUAUCCAUAGUACUAAUGAUGAUUGCACUAGUUAUGAUGAAAAUGUCUCCUAUAAACAUGUCAAUUUUUGUGGAGUGCAUUGGGUUUGCAAGUACACACCAAAUAGGGAAGAUAGAUAUUGCAAGAGACAUAAGAAUUUAGAAACUAAAUGGUUACAAGAAAGGCUAAAUGUUAGUGCUAAAAAUUUAAAAUUUCUUAGCCAUACUUGUGAACUUUGCAAUGAACAUGGUCAUUUAAAUAUCAAAUGCAAAUUGUUUCAUGAUCGAAUCGUGUCCAAAAAUUGUGAUGACUUGAUUUCCCUUGCACAUUAUAAUGAACUUAGUUUGCUUAUGGGUUAUGAAGAAAUGAAACGUAUAACUAACUAUCUUCCAUUAUUUGCCCGUGAUAAACUUCUUGAUUUUGAUCUAGAGGAAAUUUAUAUGUAUUGUGCAGUGAAUUGCAUUGAAAAUCCUUAUAUUGCCAAUUACAUAAAUAAAAGAAAACAAAUAGAAGAUGAAGAGAACACUAAUGAAAGGGAAGAUACUUCCCAAUAUCCUCCUAUUAUUUCUUAUGAUGAAUCAGGUAACGAGGAGGAGCUUUCUAUUCAACCAAUCUCAUCAAUAAGGAGCUCAAAAAAGAGGGAUAAACCCGCACAUGAUGUGAAGAAGAAAAAGAAAAAACGGAGAAGCAAAGGUAAAAAGGUAUCCCUCCCAAAUGAUGUUGCUCCUACUACUCAUUGUGAUGAUGAUAAUUGCUAUACUAUUGGUGCUAUCCAUACUAUUAAUGAUGAGAAUGAUUAUGCUUAUGAUAUGAAAAGGCCCAAGCUUGGGGAAGCUAUGUUUGAUGAGGAUGACAUAUUUGAGAAUAUAUUUACUGAAAUUAAUGUUUGUCCCAAGCUUGGGGAUGCUAUGUUUAAUGAAGAUGAUGUUAUUAGCCUCCCAAGUUUUGAUAUGCAAAUUUAUAAUGAUGAUAGCAUCCCUCCUACUUAUGAUGAAUAUAUUGAUGAAAGUGGGUUUGGAAGAGUGUCAACUUUAGGAAGUAAUGAUCCCACUAUUUUGGAGGAUGUUGAAUCUUAUAAUAUUUAUGAAAGUGGAUUUGGAGAGGUCAUGACUUUAUUUAGUGAUGAGUCCACUAUCUUGGAAGACGUUUCAAUCAAUUAUGAUGAGAACAAAGUUGCUACUUAUGAUGAUUAUUGUGAUGAAACUUAUGCUAUAAAAAGUAGUGAUGAUUAUAUUUAUAAAACUUGUCAUGAUUAUGAUUACCCUUUUUCAGAACAUUACUCUUUUAAUGUGGAAAUAAUUUAUAGUAUUCAAGUCUCUUAUGAUACUCCCACUAUUCCGAAUGAGAAGAAUUUUGCUUAUGUGGAGAGUAGUAAAAUUUCUAUGCAAGUAGAUCAUGAAAAGAAUGCUUUAGGUGCUGGUUAUAUUGUUGAAUUCAUUCAUGAUGCUACUGAAAGUUAUUAUGAGGGAGGAAUGUAUGCUUGUAGGAAUUGCAAUAAUAUCAAGUUUCCUCUCUAUGUGCUUAAAAUCUUGAAGUUAUGCUUGUUUUACCUUCCUAUGCAAGUUGAUUCUUGUUCCCAUAAGUUGUUUGCUCACAAAAUACCUAUGCAUAGGAAGUUGGUUAGACUUAAAUGUGCUAGUCAUAUUCUUCAUGAUGCUCUCUUUAUGUUUCAAUUCUUAUGUUUUAUGUGAGCAUCAUUGAAAUCAUCAUGCUUAGCUAGGGGCGUUAAACGUUAGCGCUUGUUGGGAGGCAACCCAAUUUUAUUUUAGUUUCUUUCUUUUUGGUUCUGUUUAGGAAUAAAUAAUCCAUCUAGCUUCUGUUUAGAUGUGGUUUUCUGUUUUAAUUAGUGUUUGUGCCAAGUAGAACCUUUGGGAAGACUUGGGUGAAGUCUUUAUGAUCAUGCUGUAAAAAACAGAAACUUUAGCGCUCACAAUAUUAGCUAAAACUUUUUACUGGAGAGUGAUAUUUAGUUGAUUAUUUUUGAAGAUGAUUACUAGACAAAUUCCUCAGGUCCACCAAUUUAUUUUAGAAUUUUUGGAGUUCCAGAAAUAUACGUUUGAUACAGAUUACUACAGACUGUUCUGUUUUUGACAGAUUCUGUUUUCUAUGUGUUGUUUGCUUAUUUUGAUGAAUCUAUGAGUAAUAUCGGAGGGUAUGAACCAUAGAGAAUCUGGAAUACAGUAGACAUUACACCAACAUAAAUAAAGAAUGAGUUCAUUACAGUACCUUGAAGUGGUGUUUUGUUUUCUUUCGCUAACGGAGCUCACGAGUUUUUCUGUUAAGUUUUGUGUUGUGAAGUUUUCAAGUUUUGGGUAAAGAUUCGAUGGACUAUGGAAUAAGGAUUGGCAAGAGCCUAAGCUUGGGGAUGCCCAAGGCACCCCAAGGUAAUAUUCAAGGACAACCAAGAGCCUAAGCUUGGGGAUGCCCCGGAUGCCAUCCCCUCUUUCAUCUUCGUUCAUCGGUAACUUUACUUGGAGCUAUAUUUUUGUUCACCACAUGAUAUGUGUUUUGCUUGGAGCGUCAUUUUAUUUUCUUUAGAUUUGCUUGCUGUUUGAAUAAAAUACCAAGAUCUGAAAUUAUUAAAUGGUAGAGAGUCUUCACAUAGCUACAUAAUUAUUUAACUACUCAUUAAUCUUCACUUAUAUCUUUUUGGAGUAGUUUGUCAUUUACUCGUGUGCUUCACUUAUAUCCUAUGAGUAAAUGGUUGAAUGAAUUGAAUAUCAUAAAUCUGAAAUUAUAUAUGUUUCAUAUGCUUAUCCCAUGGGGAGUAAUGACUUUACAUAUAAGAAUUAGAGGUGGUAAAUUCAUUGAAGGUUAGCAAACAUUGUAUUGGUCACUUGAACAAUUCAUGAUAGAAUAUUGAAGGAAGAGAGAUUUCACAUAUAAAUAUACUAUCUUGGACAUCUUUUGUAAUUGUGAGCACUCAUUAAAAUAUGACAUGCUAAAAGGUUGAUGUUGGACAAGGAAGACAACGUAGGUUAUGUUUUCUUAUAUCCGAAAUAAAGUAUAUUGUCAUGGAUCGCCCAACACGUUGAGCUUGCCUUUCCCCCUCAAGCUAGCCAAAUUCCUUGCACCAAGUAGAGAUACUACUUGUGCUUCCAAACAUCCCUUAAACCAGUAUUGCCAUGAGAGUCCACAAUACCUACCUACAGAUUGAGUAAUAUCCUUCAAGUAAGUUGUCAUCAGUGCAUGCAAUAAAAAUUGCUCUCUAAAUAUGUAUGAUCUUUUAGUGUGGAGAAAAUAAGAUUUAUACGAUCUUGUGAUAUGGAAGCAAUAAAAGCGAGACUGCAUAAUAAAGGUCCCUAUCACAAGUGGCACUAUAAAGUGACGUUCCCUCGAAUUAAGAUUUUGUGCAUCCAACUAUAAAAGCGCAUGGCAACCUCUGCUUCCCUCUGCGAAGGGCCUAUCUUUUACUUUUAUGCAAGAGUCAUGGUGAUCUUCACCUUUCCUUUUUUUCAUUUUAUCUUUUGGCAAGCACCUCGUGUUGGAAAGAUUCUGAUAUAUAUAUAUAUAUAUAUAUAUAUAUAUAUAUAUAUAUAUAUAUCCAAUUGGAUGUAAGGCGUCAUGACCUAUUAUUGUUGACAUUACCCUUGACGUAAAAGGUUGGGAGGCGAAUCUAUAAGCCCCUAUCUUUCUCUGUGUCUGAUUAAAACUUUGAACCCAUAAAUAUCGCGUGAGUGUUAGCAAUUGUGAAAGACUAAAUGAUAGUUGAGUAUGUCGAGUUUGCUAAAUCAAAGCUUUGACAUAGACUCUUCCUGAAAAUAAGAUGAAUUGUAAUUGUUUGAUGACUAAUAACACGGUUUGUUAGUUUUCAAGAAAGUUUAUGAUCUAUACUUUAGCAUGUGAAUAGUUUGUUACUUGAUCAUGCAAAGUUUAAUGAGUUGAGCUACUGUUAUGACAUAUAAUGAUGCUAGAAAAGGUGAUUGAAAUUAUCAUUGAUCAAACUUGUGCACCUGCUAGCAUCCACACUUCAUAAAUUAUUUCUUUUAUCAUUUACCUACUCGAGGACGAGCAGGAAUUAAGCUUGGGGAUGCUAAUACUUCUCCAACGUAUCUAUAAUUUAUGAAGUAUUCAUGCUAUUAUAUUAUCCAUCUUGGAUGUUUAAUGGGCUUUACUAUGCACUUUUAUAUUAUUUUUGGGACUAACCUAUUAACCCAGAGCCCAGUGCCAGUUCCUGUUUUUUCCCUUGUUUCAGUGUUUCGCAGAAAAGGAAUAUCAAACAGAGUCCAAACGGAAUGAAACCUUCAGAAGAGUUAUUUUUGGAACGGAAGCAAUCCAGGGGACUUGGAGUGCACGUAAGGGAAGCAACGAGGAAGGCACGAGGCAGGGGGCGCGCCCACCCCCUGGGCGCGCCCUCCACCCUCGUGGGCCCCUCGUGGCUCCCCUGAUCGACUUCUUUCGCCUAUAUAUAUAUAUAUAUAUCAAUAUACCCUAAAACCAUCAGAAAACAGAAUAGAUCGGGAGUUCCGCCGCCGCAAGCCUCUGUAGCCACCAAAAACCAAUCGGGACCCUGUUCCGGCACCCUGCCGGAGGGGGAUCCCUCACCGGUCGCCAUCUUCAUCAUCCCAGCGCUCUCCAUGACGAGGAGGGAGUAGUUCACCCUCGAGGCCGAGGGUAUGUACCAGUAGCUAUGUGUUUGAUCUCUCUCUCUCUCUCGUGUUCUUGAGGUGGUACGAUCUUGAUGUAUCGCGAGCUUUGCUAUUAUAGUUGGAUCUUAUGAUGUUUCUCCCCCUCUACUCUCUUGUAAUGAACUGAGUGUUCCAUUUGAAGUUAUCUUAUCGGAUUGAGUCUUUAAGGAUUUGAGAACACUUGAUGUAUGUCUUGCCGUGCUUAUCUGUGGUGACAAUGGGAUAUCACGUGAUCCACUUGAUGUAUGUUUUGGUGAUCAACUUGCGGGUUCCGCCCAUGAACCUAUGCAUAGGGGUUGGCACACGUUUUCGUCUUGACUCUUCGGUAGAAACUUUGAGGCACUCUUUGAAGUACUUUGUGUUGGUUUGAAUAGAUGAAUCUGAGAUUGCGUGAUGCAUAUCGUAUAAUCAUACCCACGGAUACUUGAGGUGACAUUGGAGUAUCUAGGUGACAUUAGGGUUUUGGUUGAUGUCUUAAGGUGUUAUUCUAGUACGAACUCUAUGAUGGAUUGAUCAGAAAGAAUAACUUUGAGGUGGUUUCGUACCCUACCAUAAUCUCUUCGUUUGUUCUCCGCUAUUAGUGACUUUGGAGUGACUCUUUGUUGCAUGUUGAGGGAUAGUUAUAUGAUCCAAUUAUGUUAUUAUUGUUGAGAGAACUUGCACUAGUGAAAGUAUGAACCCUAGGCCUUGUUUCCUAGCAUUGCAAUACCGUUUACGCUCACUUUUACCACUUGUUACCUUGUUGUUUUUAUAUUUUCAGAUUACAAAAACCUAUAUGUACCAUCCAUAUUGCACUUGUAUCACCAUCUCUUCGCCGAACUAGUGCACCUAUACAAUUUACCAUUGUAUUGGGUGUGUUCGGGACACAAGAGACUCUUUGUUAUUUGGUUACAGGGUUGCUUGAGAGAGACCAUCUUCAUCUUACACCUCCCACGGAUUGAUAAACCUUAGGUCAUCCACUUGAGGGAAAUUUGCUACUAUCCUACAAACCUUUGCACUUGGAGGCCCAACAACGUCUACAAGAAGAAGGUUGCGUAGUAGACAUCAUCCGCUGAGGCUGUAUUCUUCGGCGGCUAGGAUUUCGGUCCAUCUAUCAUUGAGCAGAUCUUGGUCAGCUUGAAGCUGCUGCUGCUUCUUUUUCAGGCUCCUUGCAGUGGCUAUUAGCCGGCGUUUAAAGCGCUCCUGUUCGAGGGGUUCCUCAGGCAUGAUGAAAUCCUCAUUGCCGAGGCUCUCCUCCUCCUCAGAGAUCGGAAGAUAGGUACUGUCCUUCGAGUCUUCAUGUAUGUCCUGUUCGUCAGGGCUAAAGUGCCCGUCUUCCCGUUCAUCCUGUUCGGUCGUUUGCUCGCCGGGAUCUUCAUUGUAUUCGGCACCAUCCGGAGUGUGAUCGUCUCUUGUGCCGGUGUUGUUGUCCUUGCUGCGGCGGGAUUUAGAGCGGCGCCGCUGACGUCGGCGCUUUGGUUGUGUCUUGGGAGGCUCGUCCUCGGCUGGAUUUUCCUUGUCUUCGCCGUUAUUCUCUUUGGGUGUAUCCACCAUGUAUACGUCGUACGAAGAAGUGGCCGUCUGGCGUCCGGUAAACAGCGGGUUUUGGCCAUGCUCCUCAUCUGCAUCGUCGUCCAUACCGUCGAUGUCCUCGGAGCCGUAAUCGAGCAUGUCGGUUAAGUCCUCGACAGUAUCUAUGUAGUGGGUGGCGGGUGGGAAGCGAAAUUCCCCGUUAUCAGCCUCCAGUCCAAACCGGGCAUAGUUCAGCUGUGAGACCUCCCCUAAGGAUAGAUUUCUUAAUGAGUUUAACACAUCGCCUAAAGGCGAAUGCUGGAAGAUAUCUGCGGCGCUAAAUUCGAAGAUCGAUAACUGAUCAAGCUCAGCGUCCGCGGACGCACAUGGUUCGGAACUUAUAGCCGGAGACGAGUCCGGAGUUCUGGUGACACAGAUGCCACAUCAGGUUAAGUCUGUGUGCGGCUCCAACACCGCGGAAUCUGUGGCCUCCAUGGCGGGGUUGAGCUUCCCGUCCUCGGAUGGCACGGUCUGCUCUGGAUCUAAGGCCGGAGUGGUUACAGGUGCAAUUUCCUGAGUAUGGACCGAUGAUAGAUUUAAAUCAUGUUCAUCGUAGGGAUAGGGAGCGGCUGCCGUGGUCUCGAAUCCGUCGAAGAUCAAGUCUCCGCGGAUGUUCAUGAUGUAGUUCAAGCUCCUAAAUCUAACCUGAUGGCCAGGGGCGUAGCUGUUGAUCUGCUCCAGAUGGCCAAGUGAGUUGGCCCGCAGUACGAAGCCGCCGAACACGAAUAUCUGUCGGGGAGGAAGGUUUCCCCUUGGACAGCAUCGCCGUUGAUGUUUGCAGAAGCCAUCGAGCCUUUUGGGGACGGCACAGUGGAACUCUCAAUGAAAGCACCAAUGUCGGUGUCAAAACCGGCGGAUCUCGGGUAGGGGGUCCCGAACUGCGCGUCUAAGGUCGAUGGUAACAGGAGACGGGGGACACGAUGUUUACCCAGGUUCUGGGCCCUCUCUAUGGAGGUAAUACCCUACUUCCUGCUUGAUUGAUCUUGAUGAAUAUGAGUAUUACAAGAGUUGAUCUACCACGAGAUCGUAAUGGCUAAAACCCUAGAAGUCUAGCCUAUAUGACUGUAUGUCUUUCCGGACUAAGCCCUCCAGUUUAUAUAGACACCGGAGGGGACUAGGGUUGUACAGAGUCGGUUACGGAGAAAGGAAUCUUCCUAUUAGCCAAGCUUGCCUUCCACGCCAAGGAGAGUCCUAUCCGGACACGGGAGAGAGUCUUCGGUCUUGUAUCUUCACAGCCCAUUAGUCCGGCCUAUGUCCAACAGGCCGGACGCCCAAGGACCCCUUUGUCCAGGACUCCCUCACCAGUGCGUAUAUUCAGGUCAUCUGCCUCAUAGCGAGUGACAUGUACAACCACACAAUCCUUGUCUGCAUCAGGGCUCUAACGGAAACAGAAACAAAUUCUGAAUUACUUUCCAGUAUAAGAAACACAAGUUAUUUAAACCACUAUGUAUAGCAUGGCAUCGAAGCUAAUAAAAUUUUGCAUUAUUCAUCACCACAUACUUAGAUGAAAAACCACAAUCGAGAUCGACAAAGAAGAAAAUCACCUUGGGCAGCUCAGCGGGGGGGGAGACAUCCUUGAAGGGGGAAAACUGCUCCUGCAGUGUCGCGGGGGCUGUAACCUCAAACGGGGCGUUGACCAUCUCAGUAGUGGCCGUGAGCGUAUCUGGGGUCAGCUCGGUGGCUGCCUCCAUCUUCUUGGAGCUCUUUGUCUCGUGGGGAUCAGCCUCCCGCGUCUGCUCCAAUAUCGGCAGAUCUUUGCCUGGUUCUCCUUGGUCCAUCAUGAAACUGACGGAUACUAGGAGACCACUGAAAGGAAAACACAAUCGCAAUGAAAAUGAAACAAAAAGAGAGUGAGGAUCGGUUACUGCUUUGCAAAAGUUCUUUUUUUUCUCUGAACGAAAAUAUACCAAUAUCACGGAUCCGCUUACCUUCCCUUCGUUGGGAGAGAAGAGCAGUGGCAGAAGCGAGUGUUGGCUUUCUUGAAGACGGUGAGGGAAAAGGGGAUUCAGCGAAGAGUGAAAUGAUGGUUGCUUCGUCCGUCAAACUUAGACUGCAGGGAGGUGGGGUUUUGUGAUACGACAGCUCGUUACUGCUGCGCUACGACCGGGGUGACUCUCCGCCUGCAUACUGCCUUCUAAUUUGGUGGAUGGCAUUUGGGCCCACGCGCAGCAUUGGCCCACAUGUCGGUGAACAAAAGUAAAACGGCAUUCAGUAGAGGGAGACAUUUCGAUGACCUAGGAGGAGCCAGAAGCGGUAGUGUAUCCACUGUACUAGUAGUAAUUGUUUUUCUGGUAGCUGUAGAGUGUCUCCACUGUACUAGUAGUAGUUGUUUCUUUGGGCCCAAGACAAAAUAGCCCAUCCACCCUAGUAAAUAAUAAAAUCAAUUGAAAAGCCCAUAUAUUUACUUAAUAAGAGGCGCUACCCACACCUAGCACACUGCCCCCCCCCCCAAAAAAACCUCGGUGCUCUUCUUCCUCCUCACUCCCACCCACCUCACGUCAGAUCACUCCACUUGUACCCCCAAAUUCCUCAACUCACUCCUACAGAAAACCCCAGCUCCCCUUCUUCCUCACUACUAUAGAAAAACCCUAGCUCCCCUUCUUUUUCACUCACACUACAACUAGGCUCGUCAUUCGUUACUCUGCUCAAAUCCGUGAGCGCGGCGCGACGCCCUCGAGGAAAAUGGAGUCGGCUGACCCCAGUGCCAAGAAGAUGAGGCUCCCGCCAGCGGCGACGCCUAUUGUAGAUCCCGCACCUGGCAACGCGAGGAGAAGCGGCGACCCCGCCCCCACCGGAUCCCAGGAACCUAUAGAAUCUCGGGUGGACCGCAUCAGCAAUCUCCCGGAUUCCGUCCUUGGGGAGAUCAUCUCGCUUCUCCCCACCAAGGAUUGCUACCGCACCCAAGUCCUCUCAAUUCGGUGGCGCCCUCUAUGGCGCGCCGUGCCCCUUAAUCUCGACUGUCGUCAGCUAUCUCUCUUCAAAGGUUUUGAAAUCCCCAGAGCCAUCAUCUCCUCCCACCAGGGCUCCGUUCAAAGCCUCUGCAUCCCGUCAUGCUACCUGAGCAAGCAUACCAUGCCCUGCACGGUGGACGCCUGGCUGAAAUCCCCUGAAUUCACAGAACUACAGUUGCUUGAGUUCUACUAUUCCCCUGGAAAUCACCUACCAGAUACCGAACGCCAUCUACCUGUGCCCUCAGCACCGAUGUCCAUCUCGCGUUUUUCCUCCUCUCUCCACACCGCCACCUUUGCGUUGUGCGACCUACCAGACAAUCUGGUACUAAACCUUUGACUCCCAUUUCUCAAGAACUUUCACUUGUGCGAGUUCGUAUAUCGGAGGCCUCAUUGCACAACAUCAUCCACUCCAGUUGCCCUGCCCUGGAGUGCUUGGUGCUUGUUUUCACGGUUAGAAUCGGUUGUCUCCAAAUAAAGUUGCCUAACCUUGUAAGGAUUGGAAUUUCUUUUGAUGGAAGGCAGCUCAUCAUCCAAGAUGCCCCUUAACUUCAAAGGUUGAUCCUUGAUUCUAGUUAUUCACCGUCACAAAUAACUGUCCUCUUUGCGCCUAAACUGGAGACCUUGGGUGUAAUACAUGAUCUCUGUGCUCAUUUCAAUAUGGUGUUUGGCUCCAUAGUUCUUCAGGUACUUUAUAUUACCAUCUACACUUGUAACCAUAAGCUGCAUUUUAAAUUUCUGCACAGAAGUUAUAUAUCAUCUCGGAGUACACAUUUUGUACUAAUAUUAUGUUCUAUCCUCAAUGAAGAGUUUUCCAUGGAUAGCCUAUCAAUGGUGCUGGAUUCUGUCAAGAUCUUAUAUAUCCAAAUGAAUAGUUUUGAUCUGAACAAGAUUAUUAGCUUGCUGUCUGGAGAAGUUGUAUAUAAAGGUGAUAAUUUCAUGCACAUUGGAAGCCCGCAUAUAGUGUACUAGAAUUAACCGUUCAGCUGUUGCUCUUUCCACACUCUUUUUUUAGACCUUAACUGUUUUCAAUCUUCAUGUCUAUUUAGGCAACAGGACGGGAUAAGAAAGUUAUAACCAAUCGGUGGAUUCGUAAGCACUGGGAUUUUCUCACUUCUCAUGACAUUCGAUUGAAUACAAUAACGCUAGAACGAUAUGUAGCCAACCAUGCAAACACUAGAUUUGUCACAUUCUUCCUGCUGAAUGCGAGGUUACUAUUGUCCAUCAGGCUUAAGUUUAUCAGCAGCAUGGUUUUGACGGAUGGGUAUGUCGAAGAGCAAAAAAAAGGAGUUUCAGGUGGGCAAAAGAGCUUCUGAACAUGUCGGGCUUCUAUUUACAACAUAUUGUGGUCAUAAUCCAGUAAAUUUUACGACUCAAGAUGUUCAUUCUAUGGACCUGACUGAUCCAUUUGACUAUGACUGCUGAAAAUAGUGCUAGAGUUAGAUGUUGUUGCCCUUUUCAACCUGGGUUUUGUCUAAACCUGAUGAACAAUUAACCCUCGUUAUUUUGUACGGUUUGUAAGCUGGAGUUAGAUGUUCUUGCCCUUUUCAACUCGGCUGUGACUGUCAUAUUUUCUUUGAAACAAGGCAAAUGGCUUGCCAUUCGUUUAAUUUAGAGUGAAAUAUUGUAACAAAUCCCAACCAAGGGAAAUAACAUCACUCUCGCCGGCUGCUUGAGCUCACUGUGCAUUACAGAAGCCAAGUGAUUAGCCCCCACCAGCACCCACAAACUUAUUUCGAACUAGCACACCAAAUGGGCUGUAAAUUUUCAUAGGAAAGGCUGCAUGACCAUGAAAGAUUUGGAUUCUGGCAUUUGGGACCCAUGAGGAAAUAGCCUAUCCAAGGUGGUGUUGACUUACUAGCUAGUCAACAAACGAUUCUGCCUACCAACCGUUGGAUUGACAUCCAACAUCUGUCGUGUAUCUUAUAUCUCUGGUCUUCUUCCUCCAGCCGCCCAAACCAAACCACCCUGUCGGCUCCGCCUGCUCCCGCCACCCAUGGCUGGCUGCGCCUCCGCCGCCCUACCGUACCCUCCAACGUUGGCCAGUCCCUCCCUCUAUUCCCCCACAUGUCCUGUUAUUCUCCGGCGAUGUCAGCCCCAACAUGCACCCGCACCUGAACCAGUCAACCCUCGUACUCCCCUCCGCCUGUGACUGGACCGGCGCAUCUUCCACGGCUCCUGUUUGUUCCGUCUAAGGCCUCGCCGUCGCCCUCGGCCUUGGUUCGCUCGCCGUGCGCGGUGCGCCGCCCUAUUGCGUUGUCAACGCCGUCAACAACCGAGAGGAACAAGGAUAUGAUUGUACGUGGAGAGGAUGACAGUAGGGACCCACCAGCGUCAUGGAAGUACGCAAGCAAGUGCCUCGUUAUUAUAAGCCCCAAAAAAUGGUUCCUCCUAAUGGUUGGACAUCUGGGGCUCACACUAUUGUCAACGUAGUCAAUUACACAACGAGCGGCUGACACCAGGGCCCCAGCAGGUCGCGCAGUUGUUAUUUACUUUUUCUUAGGAACAAGCAGUUGUUAUUUAUACUAGUUUUAGCGACGGAUCAGGGUAACAACAAGGCUGUGUGGGGGCUGUGGCCCGUCUAGACAGGGUUUUAUUUAUGUUUACCACAUCAUGAGUCCAGUUGUGUUUUUUUCUUGCUGAAAAUGGCUAGCCCAGUUCUAUUUUUUAAAAGAAAUACCCAAACGAGGCCUACUUGCUUUAUCAGGCCUGCUGGGCUACAAAUCUUUCAAGACGAGGAGAGUUUCAUUCGGUUUGCCCAGAAAUGGGCUAUACAUUUUUAAAACACAUCAAACCGGGAAUUAGUUUCAAUUUUUUUAAUUACAAGAUUUUAAAUUCCAUUGAUUUUUAUGCAUGGACAAUUAUUUGGAUUUUAUAUUUAUAUAAAUUAUUUUUCAAAAUAGUUUGAAUGUGACUCGAUAUUUCGGGAUUAAAAACAGUUGACCGCACCGAAAUAUGCAAAAUUUCGUAUAAUUUUUAACCGUGGCCACAAUAUGGGGUGUAAUGCUAACAAAAAGAAGAUGGGCUCCAAAAAAAUCUUAAGAAUUGGCAAAUGGACUGUAAAUUAUUAGAAAUAAUGGCAGAUGGGUUGUAUGAUGUUUUCCACAGACUUGAGGCUGACUUGUGCGCCUACUACAGGUUGACGCGUAUGCUUUCCUAAAAAAUAAGGUUGACGCACAAGCAACGUCGUGUCAACUUAGUCAACACACGAGAGCAGUGACUGUUGGAUGUCCAUCCAACGGCCGUCGUGCUUCUUCAAUCUCUGCUCUUCCUGCUCCAGCCGCUCAAACAAGCGCCGGCGGGACUUCCUGCUCCCUCCUCCCGCGGCCGGCUAUGCUGCCGCGCAGGCCUCACCACCCCAUCGUUCUCCUGUCCCUGGCCUAGCCAUCCCUCUACUCACCCGCACCUGAUGUUAUUCUCCGGUGACGACAGACGAACUAGUAAACCCUCACACUCCCCUCCGUGUGGGAAACAACUGCCGAGUUUUCCCUGGCUCCGUGUCGUUCCCUUCCUAGGCCUCGCCGUCGUCCACCGCCCUGGUGCUCUCGGCGCGGCGUGGUCAACGUGGUCAACGAACGACAUGCAUGGGAAGUGGACUGUACAUGGAGAGGCUGACAGCUAGGUCCACGGCCGCACGCAAGAAAAUGCCUCCUUAUUACGCGCAAAAUAAUGAUUCCUCCACCUGACAGCUGGGACCCACCGGAAGGGCCUAUGUAUUUCACGAAAAAAUGUUCCCCCGCUGACAGGUCGGACCCACCAGCUAUAUCUUCGCACGCAAGGAAGUGCCUCGUUAUUACGCACAAAAAAGAAUACUCCCCCUUCUAGUUGGGACCCACCAUAGUGGGAGGUUGACUUGUGGGCCUACUAAGAUGACGGGGACGAAGGGCUUUGUCAACUUAGUCAAUAUGAAUGAUUCUAGCUCCAGUGACCGUACGAUGUCCAUCCAACGGCCAUAGUGCUUCUUCAACCUCUGGUCUUCUUGCUCCAGCCGCCCAAACCAGCGUCGGUCGUGCCGCAGCCGAACCAGUGAACCCUCAUACUCCUCUCCGCGUGGGCAACCACUGCCGCGUCUUUCCCGGCUCCGCAUCGUCCCCUUCCUAGGCCUCGCCGUCGUCCACCGCCCUGGUGCUCUCGGCACGGCGUGGUCAACGUGGUCAACGAACGACUUCCAUCGGAAGAGUACUGUACGUGGAGAUGCUGACAGCUGGGUCCACGGCCGCAGCAAGGAAGUGCCUCCUUAUUACGCGGAAAAUAAUGAUUCCUCCACGUGACAGCAGGGACCCACCGGACGGGCUACCGUAUUUCACAAAAAAACGUUUCCCCCUGACUGUUGGGACCCACCAGCUACAUCUUCGCAUGGAAGGAAGUGCCUGAUAGUCGGGACCCACCUGGUCGAAGCGUACGUAGCGUUGUCAUUCUAGUCGCGAACGUGUACGUACAUACUGGUCGAUGUAGAGGCACGCACGUGUCGUAGUAGAGGUGCGCACGUAGCAUGUACACGUACGUACAGCGGCCAGGGUGCAAGAAAGUAAAUACGGCCACGAACGUACAUACGGGCGUGGUCUCGAACGCCUACUCGCGCAUACGUAUGGCCAGGGCUCGUGUACAUGGCUGGGUCGGAAUAGAGAAGCUGCGCCAUCGUCGUGUUCAUGGGGAGGCAACGGAAUGCGUCGUGUUCAUCGGGAGGCAAUGGAACGCGUGUUGUUCAUCGGGAGCCAACCGGCUUGGACGGAACAGCCGAUGGAAACGAGGCCUGGCGUACCACAGAAUGGAGGAAAUGGCCUUGUGUUCGACCGGCCACGGUCGAAACGGGAUCCUGUUCAUCGGGAGGUGUUUGAUGUACCGCAAAAUGAAGGAAACGGACCUCCUACGGUCGAAACGGGGUCCUGUUGAUUGGGAGGGGUGUGGCGUACCGCAAAAUGGAGGAAACGGACUUGUGUUGGAGCGCUACGGUCGAAACGGGGGUCCUGUUCAUCGGGAGGGGUGUGGCGUACCGCAAAACGGGACUCCACGGGAUACUGUUCAUCUCCACCGUCGACCUCCUCCAGCCUCCACGGGCUACUGUUCAUCCACCGUCGACUACCUCCACGGGCUCCUGUUCAUCCACCGUUGACCUCCUCCAGCCUCCAUCUGCGACUGUUCAUACAUGGGCUCCUGUUCAUCCAGCCUCCACCGGCUACUGCUCAACCAGCCCCCUCCACGGGGUCCUGUUCAACCACCCCUCCACGGGCUACUGUUCAUCCAGCCCUCCACCGGUUACUGUUCAACCAGCCCUCCACGAGGUCAUGUUNNNNNNNNNNNNNNNNNNNNNNNNNNNNNNNNNNNNNNNNNNNNNNNNNNNNNNNNNNNNNNNNNNNNNNNNNNNNNNNNNNNNNNNNNNNNNNNNNNNNNNNNNNNNNNNNNNNNNNNNNNNNNNNNNNNNNNNNNNNNNNNNNNNNNNNNNNNNNNNNNNNNNNNNNNNNNNNNNNNNNNNNNNNNNNNNNNNNNNNNNNNNNNNNNNNNNNNNNNNNNNNNNNNNNNNNNNNNNNNNNNNNNNNNNNNNNNNNNNNNNNNNNNNNNNNNNNNNNNNNNNNNNNNNNNNNNNNNNNNNNNNNNNNNNNNNNNNNNNNNNNNNNNNNNNNNNNNNNNNNNNNNNNNNNNNNNNNNNNNNNNNNNNNNNNNNNNNNNNNNNNNNNNNNNNNNNNNNNNNNNNNNNNNNNNNNNNNNNNNNNNNNNNNNNNNNNNNNNNNNNNNNNNNNNNNNNNNNNNNNNNNNNNNNNNNNNNNNNNNUCGAUCGGCUUCAGUUAGCAGCAGUAGCGAAGGAAUCACUUAGGUUCAGUUAACAGCAAGGGAUCGAUACAUCGCUCGGGUUCAGUAACGCAUAGCCUGCAGUGCAAUCGCUCGGGUUCAGUUAGAGCCCAAUGCCUCGCUCGGGUUCAGUUAGAGCCCAACGCCUCGCACACACGCGCGUACGUACGAGAGAAACGCGCAUCGCUGGGCCCCCGACCACCCACCUUAACCGGGAACUCCCCAAUAUUUUCCGCGCCCUCGCUUCUACCACGGUUUUUUCCGUCAUGGACGGCCCAAAGAAUGUCAUGCAGCUAUGUCUCCGGCACGCCCAGGACGAAAAGCCCUUUUUUGUCAUAGAAGUAGGAGCCCACCACAUCUAUGAUGAUACCGGGUUUUGUCACAAUUAUCGUCAUAGAAGUGUCAUAAGUAUGACAGGAAAAAAAAUCGUUCGGCCCAAAAUGUCACGGAUGUGUCUCUUUUUUGUAGUGAUGGUGCGCCCCCAAGGGGGGAUUCCUACUCCUACUAGGAGUAGGUUUCCCCCCUUUCCUAGUCCAACUAGGAGGGGGAAGGAAGGGGAAGAGGGGAAGAAGGAAAGGGGGGCCGGCCCCCUCCCCAAUUCGGAUUGGGCAUGGGGGGCGCCCCACCUCUUGGCUGCCUCCUUUCUCUUCCACUAAAGCCCAUGUAGGCCCAUUAAGCCCCCGGGGGGUUCCGGUAACCCCCCGGUACUCCGGUAAAUGCUUGAACUCAUCCGAAACCAUUCUGGUGUCCAAACAUAACCUUCCAAUAUAUCAAUCUUCAUGUCUCGACCAUUUCGAGACUCCUUGUCAUGUCCGUGAUCACAUCCGGGACUCGGAACUACCUUCAGUACAUCAAAACACAUAAACUCAUAUUACCGAUCGUCAUCGAACGUUAAGCGUGCGGACCCUACGGGUUCGAGAACUAUGUAGACAUGACCGAGACUCAUCUCUGGUCAAUAACCAAUAGCGGAACCUGGAUGCUCAUAUUGGUUCCCACAUAUUCUACGAAGAUCUUUAUCGGUCAAACCGCAUAAGAGCAUACGUUGUUCCCUUUGUCAUCGGUAUGUUACUAGCCCGAGAUUCGAUCGUUGGUAUCAUCAUACCUAGUUCAAUCUCAUUACCAGCAAGUCUCUUUACUCGUUCCGUAAUGCAUUGUCCCGUAACUAACACAUUAGUCACAUUGCUUGCAAGCCUUAUAGUGAUGUGCAUUACCGAGAGGGCCUAGAGAUACCUCUCCGACUAUCAGAGUGACAAAUCCUAAUCUCGAUCUAUGCCAACUCAACAAACACCAUCGGAGACACCUGUAGAGCAUCUUUAUAGUCACCCAGUUACGUUGUGACGUUUGAUAGCACACUAAGUGUUCCUCCGGUAUUCGGGAGUUGCACAAUCUCAUAGUCAUAGGAACAUGUAUAAGUUAUGAAGAAAGCAAUAGCAAUAAACUAAACGAUCAUAGUGCUAAGCUAACGGGUGGGUCAAGUCAAUCACAUCAUUCUCUAAUGAUGUGAUCCCGUUCAUCAAAUGACAACUCAUGUCUAUGGUUAGGAAACUUAACCAUCUUUGAUUAACGAGCUAGUCAAGUAGAGGCAUACUAGUGACACUUUGUUUUGUCUAUGUAUUCACACAUGUACUAAGUUUCCGGUUAAUACAAUUCUAGCAUGAAUAAUAAACAUUUAUCAUGAUAUAAGGAAAUAUAAAUAACAACUUUAUUAUUGCCUCUAGGGCAUAUUUCCUUCAAAUAUGACAAGGACGAGCUAUUUUUCUGUCCGGUCUGCGUAUUAUACAUAAUGGGAUCAUCAGUUUGGAGCUCGAGUGCGAAGAGAGGAUGGACAGGGAUCGUCCACGAUGAACCCAGUAUGGGAUAUUGUUUGGAAGCUGAAGAUCCCAAGUAAAAUCAAAAUAUUCAUAUGGAAAGCACUGCAUGGUACUGUCGCGUGCUAUGGGGUUCUCGCCUCGCGACACAUUCUGGUUUCUGGCCAGUGCCCUAUUUGUUCUUUAGGCAUGGAAGACAUACGACAUCUACUCUUCACAUGCACUCGGUCUUGGCAGGUAUGGCGGGCAUUAGGCUGGAUGAUAUCAUCAAACAUGCAGUGCCCUCUGACCGCUCUGGAUAUGUUAUUUUGGAAGGGUUGCUAUGCAGUCAGGUGAAGAAAUCACCGGUUCUCGGUGGGCUCGGACUUCAGGAAUCAAUUGUCGUGGUUUGUUGGUAUAUCUGGUACCAACAUCGAGAAAUGGUCAAAGGAGAACAGGUGUUUGCCCCAACGCGCAAAUCAUUUGCAAUCCAGGAGCUUAUGUCAAAUUUCAAUGCGGCAUCGAUAACAAGUGUUCCACAUGAAAUCAUGUGGACUAAACCUAGCCCAGGAUCGUAUAAACUAAACAUAGAUGCGGCUUUUCAUGAUGAUGGCACGGGAGUUGUGGGGGUUGUCUUACGCAACAAUUCCGGUGAAGCGAUUGCGGGUGCUGCUAAACCUAUAUAUCAUGUGUUGGAUGCUGGAUCGACGGAGUCUUUCGCCAUGCUCAAAGGAUUUGAGCUACUAGAAAGACUAGGAUGCUCGGGAGUGACGGUGGAAUCAGACUGUUUGGACUUGAUUAAUGCAUGCACUGGAGUCAUUGAAUUAUUUGGUCCCUCCUCAGCUAUACUGGUGGAAAUCUUCGCAAAGGCACAACACAUUGCUGGAAUCUCCUUUCAGAGUUGCAAGCGGGAUGCAAAUUUAGUUGCGCACAACUUAGCAAAACAUUCGUACGAGUCAAAGUCUUUUAUUUUUUGGGAUGAUGUCCCUCCUAGUUUCUUACUUCCAUUUUUUAUUCAUGAUGUAACUUUGUUGGCUUCGAAAUAAAGUGCGCCCGAAUAGGCAUCCCCCCUCAAAAAAGAAAAAAUGAAUGCACAAUUAUAGUUGUUAUCGUCGUUUUAGAUUUAGCAAGCAUUUAGAUGUCUCUAUUUAACGGAGUCUUUGUCUCAUCACCUAGAUGAUAUAUUGUCAAGUAAAGAAAAUAACAAAAGAAAUCAUGUGCACAUAUUUUUUUAGUUUUUCAUCAAGUUUUUUCUAGAUUACUCCAAAGAAUAUUUCUUUCAAACAAAAUGCUUUCUCAUCAACAUAUACUAUGUUUUCAUAAAAAACAUUAGCUCAUUUUUUUAGCGAUUCCCACAGCAACGCGCGAGAUAUCACCUAGUAGCAGUAAUGCAUAGUUCGUUCGGUCAUUUUUAGUCUGCAUGUAUGAUUUGUCCGAAAUCAAAGUAUCUCUACUUUAACCAAAAAGAAUAUCAACAUCCACAAUUUCAAAUCAAUACUGUUAGAUUCGUUAUGAAAUGUAGUUUUCCAGAAGUAGGAUUAUGAAAUGUAGUUUCAUGUAUAUAUAUUUGGUAUUGUAGAUAUUGAUAUUUUUAAUAUAAAUUUAGAACGCCGAUAUCCAUCACACGUGUGGUAUAUUAGAUAUCCGCUCACACGUCGUGUGUAGCGUGAGCAGGAGGCAGCCCACACAGGUUGUGUGUGGGCGAAUAUUAGAAUUGCCCACCCGUGUGGGCGCAGCCACUUCGUGCCACACGCCCAACAAGUACUACUCAUCUCCACCCCGCACGUGUGGCACGAAGCAAAAAUGCCACACGUCCUGACGCAGCUACGUUAGGUACCCGCGGGAUGAUGAUUUAGUUGCUAUUCGGGAUGGCAGAUGUAGUUAUCCGGGAUGACAAGUUAGUUGUAAAAGAAUGGCAACUCUAUCUGUUUUGGUUAACUAUAGUUGCCAUGUCUAAUUUAUGGUAAUUGCCACGUGUAAUCAAACCGUAGUUGCCGUGUGUGAUUAACUAAUUGCCACAUAUGGUCAAACAGUAGUUGCCAUGUGUGUUUACCUAGUUGCCACGUGUGGUGCAACCAAAGUUGCCAUGUAUGGUUAAUCACACUUGUCAUGUGUGCUUAUUUGGUUGCCAUGUACCCGCAACUAUACAGUUACCGUCCAGCAACGAAUCAUAGUUGCCAUGUGUGUUUAACUAGUUGCCACGUACGCGUAACGCGUAACUGCAGUUGCCAUCCAACAACAUAGGAGUGUUGUGUGGGCGAAAAGCAGUUCGCCCACACGCGCAUGGACUAGGUGGUGACUGUGUGGGCAGAAACUAGUUUGCCCAUACAGCGCAGCUGACAAACAGCGUGGUGCGGAGAGAGUUGAACUCUCCAACGACCACAUCCACCAGCCCCGUCCUACGUGGCACGCAAAUUUGACCUCAGUGUGUCAAGAUUAUGCAAACUGCACUGAACGAUGAUCCACGCGUGUGGACGAGUUGCAAAACUGUCACACGGGCGUUAGCAUUUUUGUAAAUUUAGUCAAGAAGGAGCUUCGUUUGCAGAUUCAAUACUUAACAUGUGUUUAGGAAAAGAAAACGCUAGAUUCUUUCGUUAUUAAUACUUAGCUGUAAAAGUAAAAGGUACAAGCCCUGCUCGACGAGAAAUACAUCUGAUCUGAGCACAUGAACACUAUAGCAGGGCAUCCAAGCCCGGACGCACGCACGCACGCGCACACACACACAAUGGGAAACAGCCAAACAUCCAGGCCGCAUCUCCUCCGUAGUAUAGGAUCGACGAUGAUGAUUGAUGCGUCGUUAAGCCGCGCCAG